GUCGGUGAAGGGGAGCAAGCGCGUUAAGUGGACGGAGAUGAAGCGCAACUGGGGGCAAGUGUGGCAGACCGGGGAGGACCUCACAUGCGAGUCGCUGACGUUCCGGGUGAUGACCAGCGACCACCGCAAGGCCACCUCAUGGCACGUUCUCCCUGCUGACUGGAAGUUCGGCGUCACGUACCAGGCGUCCAAGAACUUCUAAGUAGCCACUUUCCCUCCUCUUCUUCAACCUGCAUGCCCGCAAGCAGCCAUGCAGAUGAUAACAUGCAUCAUGCAUGCAUAUUCAUUCUUUCGCUCAUGCACUCCGAUACGGUGCCGGAGUUAAAAAAAUAUAAAUCAAUGUGCAAAUUCAAAUGACAUCUUAACCAGUUGUGAUCAAUCUGAACCGCUAAUGCAUGCACACACCGAAUGAAUAUACCAUCCACUAUUGGAACAAGCUGCUUUGUGGAAUACUUGGCAAAAAGCCAAAUUCUGAUAGUGAUCUCCACUAUUUAGCCCUUGUGUUGCAUCAAAUGAAGCAACUUUAAGAGUCUCUUUAUAUUCUUUCCAAUUAAUAUAAAUAUAGAUUUUUUUAAAAAAACCUCCAACAACUUAUCUAAAUGGCUACCUAAAUAUAGACAUUUUCUAUUCCGGGUUUCUCGCUAGCCAAAUAUAGAAAACGUGAAUGACUCUCUAGAGCCCAAACAAGAUAUAGAAAAUGUAUUCGAGAUUAAAAAAUAUGGAAAAUAAUUUUUUUAUGCAAAUGACUCUAAAUGAUAAUUUAGACAGUAAAAUUUAGAAAGACUUUUAGAGAUGCUCUUAGCUUUGGGUAGCUCCGGACUUCACUAUGUACGGACGAUGGCACCACUGCUCCAAGGCCAGGUCUAACGCGGGUCAUUACUUGGUACUCAGGGACAGAUCUAGCGUUGGGGCUGGUGGGGCUCAAACCCCACUACCGCUCCUGAGCAUAUGGAGCUCCACCGAAAUCCCUCCUAAAAUUUAAAAUGUAUAUAAGGGAUGCUUGAAUGCACUAGAGAUAAUAGUUAGUGGCUAAAAUUAGCUGGAGACAUCCAAACUCCCUAGCUAAUAGUUCAACUAUUAGCUAUUUUUAGUAAAUUAGCUAAUAGCUAGCUAGCUAUUUGUCAACUAACUAUUAGCUUUAGUACAUUCAAACACCCCCAUAGUAUAAUCUUAUUACGUAUUUUUAUGGUUUUAUCAUGUACCUAUGUUUUAAUAUAAUGCUACUUCAAACCAUUACAUAUGUCUAUUAUAAGUGCUUUAUCAAUAAGAUUAUGUUAGUUUAGUUUAGUUUAGUCCCUCCUAAAUUUUUCCUACUGUACCGAUCAUUGGCGUGGUGAACCAGAUGCUUGGUACCCACCGAUCGAGCUGGUCAUAGCGCCAUUCAGCUCUACCGGUUGGUUGGCUGGCUAUCAACCGACCAAUCGAAGCAUACCACCUACGUUGGAGCCUGCGCAGUCGGUACAUGUUAGGGCCGCGACUAAAACCGACCGGACAUGGUCGGUACUGUCCACAUGUUUGCACACGUGUAAGCAUAUGAUUGGCCAUUCAAUUUCAAACGUUUGAAUUUGAAACAAAAUUCCAAAAAUUUUUAAAAACAAAUCAAAGCAGCCCUUUUCCCUCCUCUCUAACCCGUAUGCCUGCAAGCAGCCAUGCAUAUGGUAACAUCAUGCAUACACAUAUUCGAUUCUUCCGCUCAUGCCCUCCGUCACGGUGCCCUGAGUUAAAAAAAUUGUUGAAAAUCAUUGUGCAAAUUCAAAUGACAAAAUAACCAUCUUAACACGUUGUGAUCAAUUUGAACUGCUAAUGCAUGCACACACCUAGGGGUGAAAAUAGAAAGGAUAAUUUUCAGAUACCGGGAAUCGUUUUUGAAGUUUUAUCUAAAUUUAGGUCUAAACAGAAACAAAAACGGUUACCGAAAAUACGAAAACAAAAUCGGUAGAAAAAAUCAGAAACAAAAAUGGUUUGGGUCUCUUCCGAUCAUUUCCGGAAAUUACCGUCUUAUUCGAUAUUUUACCGUCGAAAAUAAAUUCAGCAUUUUUCAGAAAAAUAUUAAAUCUGAACUGAUCUUUAUAAAUUCAUAAUAAAUUUAUCUUUGCUUAGAAAAAUAUGAAACUAAUUUUAUUAUUUUUCUAAAAUCAAGAUCUAUCUAAUGAUAUAUAGUUUAGAAUCAUUUGAAACUUUUAUAAAUCUUAUUUAUGUUUUCUUACCUGUUAUUACUGUUGAUACAUAUAUUUAUAAUUUGCACGAGAACUUAAAAAGGACCAAGAGGAUACUAAUUAUAUUGACUAUGCCAAGUAGUAAAAGUACAAAUACAAUAUAAGUGCCAUAUCAUUAUACACAUCUUAAUUUUACUUUAUUUCAAUACAAAAUAUAAUGAUUUUAUUAUUGUAUGACUUCUUACUUUAUAUAUUUAUUGUGACCUCCUACCUUAUAUACUAUUACUAAUUUUAUAUGAAUGUAUGACUUACGUGAUCGAAUUUUAGAUACAUGUUAAUUGAGGAUACAUGUUACAGUUUUUACUGAUCGAAUUUUAGAUUUUGAUCAUAACCAGUGUAAUUUUCGUACCGAACUUUCAUUUUCGAUGUUUCCGAAUUAUCGAUAUCAUUUUCGUUUCCGGAGUUUCCGAGGAAAAAUAUGAAAACGAAAAUGGUUUUAGUGUUUACCGAUCGUUUCUGACCGUUUUCACCCCUACACACCGAAUUAGACAAGCAAUGGUCUAUUUGUAAAUGGGGAAAUAUGUAUCGGAAACCACUUGCUGGUCGAAAACAUGAAAACUAGUUUUAAAAAGAACACUUUUGUAACCUGAAAUCUUCUAAAACUUGAUACAUAUGCAGUUCAUCCAUACAUAAACUCACAUAAAAAGUUGAGAUGCAAAGUCAUCUGAAAAUAACAAAAUUCAUGUGCACAUAUAAUAGAAGACAAAAAUAUAGAAAUUGUCUUGUAGUGCACAUACAAGUGAAAUUUGUGAUUUUUAUAUGAAUAUUUUAAAAUAGAGUUUAAAUUCUAACUUUUUUAUGUAAGUACAUAUGUAGAUGACACAUAUGUGCCAAUUUUCAAAAAAAAAAGUUAAGUUACAAUAGUAUAUUUUUAAACUAGUUUCCAUAUUUUCACAUAACAGGUGGUUUUCAAUGUAUAUUUUUAAGUUUAUUUGACCCUUCAAACUAUUGUUAAUUGUUUACCUCACCCUUACACAUGUAAAACAAGGUAUUCUAUCCCUUAAACUAUUGAAAAUCAUCUACAUAAUCCUCUAAGGAGGUUUAGAAAGUGGUUUUAUUGAUGUGACAUGUUAAAAUGUCUAAUUCCCUCAACUAUAACCCCCUGGUCUUAUAGAUCCGUUUAGUUACCAUAUUCCGCCAAACUAGACUAAGAUUCCAUGCUUGAUCCAAUGCAAGCCUAUAAAGCGCCUCACUCUCUCUACUCUUUUUGAGUUUCCACCACUCCCAAAUGAGCACCACCCUAUUUCCUUCUCCACUCAUGGCAAUCCUCUACAUCAUUGAACUCAUGCAUUGCACUUGUGCCCUUGUCAUUUGGUCCCUUCUUGUCUCCUCUUGUUUUAUUCUCACAUUGCUACGUAAAAAUUUGAAGGAUGAUCAGGUAAAAGGUAUGGGAGGGGCUGGAUGACAAGGGUACAAGCAUGCAUGGUGCUUGAGCUCAAUGUCAUCAAGUGUUGGGCGAUGGUCCAUGAGAUGAGAAGUUGCAUCCUAUUUAUUGGGCGGUGGGUUAGCAUAGAAAGAGUAAAGAGGUGCAUGCUACAAAUGGACCUAUAAGAAAAUAUGUGUACAUAGGCUAGCCUAGUAUGACACAAUGUCUAAACACCCUAGAAGACCAUGCAGGAGAUCACAUUAUUAGAUACUCUAAAAACUGUAAUAUUAGAUUUUAUAGUUGACGGGGUUAUUAUCGUUGCAGAAACCUUCUAGGGACCGCCUUUGCAGACAAGGAGUCGAGAGGUGCGCUGCUGCUGCGGUUGUCCCUCCAGAACGUGACUCUGUGUACAUGGCCGCUCUGCAGACGCACAACAAUCAGUUAAACAUUAAAGCCAGAUCAUGUGGAUCAUCCUGUGCUGGUUGUACUGAUCGGCUCCUUGAGCUGAUUUUUAUUCUUUUCUAGGUCGACUAUUAUUAUAAUAAUAAAUGUGAUCAUGCAUUGGAAGUGGUCGACAACGAAUAUAAAUCUAUCUAAAGCAUGCAUGAGCCGAUUGUUUACUCUAGAGCAAUGCAGGCUAAGUGCAUGUCCAAGAAGAGAGUGGCAUGCCAAAGAACAACCAUUAUUAACUACAUUGUUAACCAAAUCUAGGGCCAUAUGAAUAGUAAACCAUCUAUAGGAACAUCCGCUACUGAGAACUGUUGACCACACAUGUGAACAUGGAUCAUGACCUUGAAAGAAGUCUAACCAAAGUAAACAAUGAGGCUAAGCAUGUAAAAUAGGAUGACAGAUAUGUAUUGGACUUUCAAGUUGCCGCGUUCACAUGUGCAGCUUGUAAGUCGUAGAAUAUGGCAACUGGUCAAUGAAUACGCAUGCGGCAAUAUAAAAUCAAUCUAAUAGCAUGAAGCAUAAAGACAAAUAUAGAUUGAAACUACAAAUGUAACUAGCAGAUAUUUCCAACAACAAUGCUUAGUACAAUAUCUACCAGGGUAAGAUGGUGACACCAUGCCACCUUGACAUGAUCAAGACCACAUCAGGGCAACAUGGCGUUACCUUGGAAAACUCUUGGAGAAGGGGUGGUGAUGCGCCGAGAGGAUGAGAGUCACUUGCUGCUUGGUGAAUGAAAGACUUUCUAUUUAUUCACGUUUGUAUCAGUUUUAAUAUAUAGCCAUGUGGGCCUGAAGUGAUAAACACUUCCUAACUUACAUUACCAUCUAAUCUGUUACUUAUUUUCGAUAUAAUGGUAUAUUUCUAUAUCACACACUUAAUUUUUAUUGUGGCCGGAUACUUCUUUUGUGGAGCCAUUCGGUCAGAACAAUAUCCUAGACCCAGCUAGGAUUAGGUGCCAACACAUGCCCCCUAUUUUUGGUAGAAUUUUUAUGUCGGAACUAAAUCUUUGCCUUGUGGAAGAUUAACACCUCUGUUAGCGGUCAAGUCAUGUCAACUGACUCUUCAUCACACAACUCUACCUCAGGUUUCGGUCCGACACUUCCACUUCAAGUUGUUUGCCUCCUUAUACUAGUAUUAGUAUGCACAAGAACUCUCCAAAUAGCAUGAACCUGUCGUAAGCAAUGACACCCGUUCUCCCACCUAGAACAACGACUCUUCCUACUUCUCUUGGCCAUCUGAUGCUCCCAUCACCCCUAUAAGUCUCCUCUUCCUUCUCCACCCUCGCUUUAUUUAGUCGAGGAGGAUUGGGACUUCCACUAAGACAUUGACCCCUUCUCGAUCGAUUAUGCCUCAACGAUCGUCGAUGAGUCCGAUGCAUAUUCGUUGUUUGUUGCGUGAGUUGCUUGCCUCCUACAUGCCCCUUUGUACUCUCCUCCUCGGAAGAUGAUUGGGACUGUGAUGAGGCAUACAUCGACUCCACUGAGGAGGAAGUCUCCUCUGAGGAGAUCGGAGGAGUUGGUAGAGAUGUGGCUGCGUAACAGCAGCUCCACCAACGAGGAGCCUGAGGAGGACCUCGACUGAGAUUUCAGCGACGAUACUAGUGUGGAGAGCUUCCUUGACGUCGCUGCCGCCAAUGACGGUGGUGACAAGGAGGAACUAGAGCGUAAGCGUAGGAGGUUGAUCAGAUACCUCUGCCUUUUAUAGAUAAGAUUUCUUAUAUAGGGUCCCCUUGUAGUCCUGCUCCUUCUCGAUGAAAUAAAUAAAACUUUUGGUCAAUCUGUUCUAUUUGUGCUUCCCUGUGCUUGAUAUAUUUUGGCCAAUCUACCUGUGAUGUUCAUGUUCCCUGUUCUUGAUGCAUUUGAAUGACCUCCUCACCAUUCCCAUUAUUAUUAGAAUGUUUCGGUAGCGUCCUAUUAGCCCAUGAAAAACCCCCAUCUUCGUCAUCUCUCCUAUGGCGACGGUACUCUUAGCUGACUGUCAUUGGGACUCACGAACGACAUCAACAAGUUUUCCUUGAACGACGUGUUGACUUAUGAUGCCCUCCGAGCAGCUAAUGACACCUCGAUGUGUGUAUAGUCUUCUAGUCGUUCAUCGACUUUACCAUUUUUAUCAUUGUUUUUUAUCUAAAGGCGAUGGCAAUGCAUUUGACUAUUCGUCCUUUUACAUUUUUAGAUGAUAACAACAUAUCAAGUUUUGGCUAUCAACAACAUUUCUUCAAAUAUUUGCCAUUGAUAUUCCUGCUAAACUAGAUGCCUUCUAAUGUUUCCAUCCGAUAUGAGUUACUUGGGAUAGUUUCUUUGAUACGAUAUGGACACUUUCCAUAAAUUGGAUCCUUAGUCCCAACUAGCAAAAUCAAUUCCUAAAUGAGGUCGCUAGUGUGAAAUUAUUUGGGCCUAACCGUUUUGUUGUAUGCCCAAGCCGCUUUAGCUUUAUUUUCCUUGUUUUUUUUCUAAUGACCACAGUCUCAAUUCUAUUAGGUCCCUAGUAUUGAUAUUCAUCAUUAUUGCAUACUCACCAACCUAUAAACCAUUCCAAAAUGUUACCAUUCUGUUGAAUGCAAUUUUUGUGGUGCUGUUAGUGCAGGAGAUAUCCAGAGCCACCUGCCAGAAGAAAGCAGAGGAAGAAAAAAACAAAACAAAUUAUUAGCUGGUGUAUAGAUAUAUAUACAGUGGUAUACGGCCAGAAAAAGUGGAAGAAGAGCACCCGUAUAAGCAUCUACGGAUGACCAAAUUGGCAUGGCCACAAGCACUGAAGUUUAUUAGGAUUAUUAUUCAUUUAGAUCAAAUUAGUUCCUAUUUUCUAGAGUAAGUCAGUUUUAUGUUUGGUCAGGGAUAAACUAGAAAGUUAAGUUGUUUAGAUUUUUAUGGAGUCGGUUCCUAUUUUCUAGAGUGAGUCGGUUGUAGAUGGAUUAUAAAGCCUUAUUGUAAUAAUGCAGAGAGGGCAGAACCUAUAGUUAUCAUUUCAUUUAAUCUAGUAUCUAUUAUCUUCGUUCCUCUUUGGUGCUUUAUUGAGAAAAGCAUUCGAGUUUCUCUGCGAAAGUGAGAUCAACGCCUGCUGCUCAACCAAUUUUUGGUAGCAACAGACGCCUGCUGCUCAACCAAUUUCUGGUAGCAACAGAUUUGGCGACUCCGCUGGGGAGCGAUUUGCAAUCAUUAUCGCCAAUCAUAGUCAGGGCUAUGGAGGAAAAGACAGCGAAGAAGGCGACACCGGACAAAUCUGAAGUUCAUCCCUUGAACGUGAUCAAGGUCACGAUGGAGGACCUUACAGAGGCAGACCGGAUGGAGAUUGAAGAAGAAAUCGCACGAGAGAUGGAGGAGAAACGGAACGAGAGAUUGGCUUGCUUUCGAAAAACCAAGAAUGGUGUGAUCAAACAGAUUGGUGGGGCAAGCACGUCCAGCAAGAAGGUAAGUUCAUCUGUCACUUGUGAAGAACUAGCUCACAUGAUUGAUACCGCCGUAGCUAGCAAAUAUGGGACUGAUGUCACGGAAAUAACACACAUGAUUUCUGAGGGAGUGCGCAAUUCUUUUGACACAUUUUGAUCUGAGUUUAAGCAAGAUAUGAAUAAUAAUAUGCCUAGACAGAUCCGAUCUAUAGUUCAACAGAUUCAAGGAGAAUUGCAGGGUAAGCGUGUAGAAAAUCUUUCAUAUGCGCCUAGUUAUAACAGAGCAGUUGCGCAUAAUGAUGUAAACCAAACUGUUAAUGAGAGGAGUGGGGAUUCAGUAAUGAACUUUAACCUACAGCAGCCAUAUUAUCAGAGUAUGGCAUACGGGCCAUCUAUUCCACCUAUAGGGAACAAGAUCCCACAAGGAUUUGUUCCAAAUGAUUACAGGAUUGGAGAGCAGAGAGCGUUGUUAUCAGCAUCGGGAGUCACACAUACAACAGCUGAGGGUGAGAGAUCUGAGGGUGUUAGAGAACAGGUGGCAAGGACUCUCAGGGAAUUUGGUUUUGAGCCCAAAGGGCAUACUAGGUCAUAUAGGAAGCCCUAUCCUGAAUUUUUUGACACUGUGCCAUAUCCUCGAGGUUUUAGAAUCCCGGACUUUGUGAAAUUUUCUGGGGAUGAUUCAAAAACUACCUACGAGCAUGUAGGACAAUACCUAGCGCAGGUAAGUGAAAUUGGUAUAACAGAUGCCCACAAAGUGAAAUUGUUUCCUUUAUCAUUAUCUAGUACCGCUUUCAAUUGGUUUACAUCUUUAGCACCAAAUUCAGUUACUACGUGGGCAUGUUUAGAGCAGAAAUUUCAUGAUUAUUUUUAUUGUGGUGAUACUGAACUCAGGCUAUCACAUCUUACCAUGGUUAGGCAGAAAUAUAAUGAAACUGUUUCUGAAUACAUCAGAAGGUUUAGAGAAACAAGAAACAAAUGUUAUAGCUUAGCUUUAGGGGAAAAGGAUCUGGCCGAUUUAGCUUUCGCAGGGUUAUCAUCCUAUCUUAGGGAGAAACUAGAGGGGCAAGAUUUUACUGACAUAAACCAAGUCAUGCAGCGUGCUAUCACCCAUGAAAGUCGUGCUAGGGACAAUAAACAGUAUAGCCGAUUUAGAGAUACGAAUGGCAGGGAGAAAGAGAAGCAGGGGGUUAACAUGUUAGAGCCCAAUAAUGACAGUGAUGAAGAGACAGAUGUAUGUGUGGCUGAAUGGGUAGAUGCGCCAAAGGGUAGGCCCAUGACGUGUGCUUUUUUAAAGCCAAGUCUAGGGAAAAGGGAAGAGAUGAAAUAUACAUUUGAUGUGUCCAAGUGUGAUAAAUUGUUUGACAUCUUAUUACAUAAUAACAUCAUUAGAUUAAGGGAGGGGCAUGUGAUACCACCCCCUGAGCAAUUGGCUAAGAAAGAUUACUGUAAAUGGCAUAAUUCAUUUUCUCAUUCUACUAACGAGUGUAAUUAUUUUUGUCGUCAGAUACAAUCGGCCCUAGCUGAUGGACGAUUGACAUUUGGAGAAGCUAACAAAAUGAAGCUUGAUAAAGAUCCGUUCCCUAUCAAUGUAAUUGAUUUCGAGGGCAAAAGAGUGUUAGUUCGGACAGAUCAGGCCGAAACUACUAAAGGCAAGAAUGUGGUUAUCUCUGAUGAUCUCAAACUCAAGAUGAUAAAACCGAAGAGUCCGGAAGUCGGUGUGUGGAAAAUAAACGAGAGAAAAACGGUUCAGUCUGUCUUUAAACCGACUUCUGAAUUUUUGAUCAAUAAAUAUACUUCACAAUGGAAAAGAAAUGAGUUCCAGCAUCCUAGAGGUUUCAAGAGACCCAGGACUCCAGAAUGGGCACGAGGCAGUUUCUUUGGACAGAGGGGAGGGCCGUUGAACUGGAGAAGCAGGGAAGACUGUGCUCAUGCAGAAAGCCAAUAUUCGUUCUCACAACGUGAAUUCCCGAAGCGGCCAUAUUUGGAGACAGAGCGAAGGCAUGGAGGUGGAGUGUGGAGCAGGCUAGGGAGAAGUAUGGGGAGUCGGCCCUGGGCUAUUGCCAUAUCAAAAGGCCCCGAGGAGUUGCGCUCGCAGAUUCAAAAGAAAUGGGUUUCUCGCAACCCAGCAGAUGCCAGAAGGCUACAUAUGGGCAAAAAACAGAAGAAGGGGGUGUUAUUGUUGAUGGGCGAGAUGAGCCACUGAGCAAAAGAUGCUCAAAAGUCAUAGUGGGAACAGUGGAGUGCGACAUAUUAAAUGAUACAGAAGGUUCCCAGGCAGAGGUGGCAAAGCAGAAUGGUCAGGUGGUUGUCACUAAGAUUUACACAAAGAAGGGUGAGGAAAUGGCAGCUAAGCCAAGCAUAGGGCAUGGACGCGUAGCUGCUGCUAAGACAAACAAAUCACAAGGGAGCAUGCUGCGAAGUGGUGGUGAUCAAGGGGUGAGCAGCAAGCGCAUGAGGCUUGACGUAGGGGCUGCACGAGAAAUGAAUAACUUUGCUAGCUGGGAGGGUGAACGCAGGGCUGAAAUGAUUGCAAAUCAACGCAUAGUUGGUCCCGGUGUUAUGAUGGAUGGCCACUAUAGGGGGGAGCAUCACACAUUGGCCGAACAAUCAGGUUGCAGUAAUAAGCAAAGAGCAAUACCAGCAAGAAUGUCGGUCAGAGAACAGGUUGAUACAGGCGAAAAAAUAUGUUGAUUGAUGUCACCCAGAAUGUAGGUCCUACUGGUCGAGCUUCAGCUGGCAGUGUACUGGAUGUGGGGGACAAGAAAAAUCAUGGUUCAGUUGCGCCCAGUACAAAACCAGCAUCGAGAUGGUGUCCACCUGGAUUAAGCCGUACGCAAAAGCGUCGUGUCCAGCGGUUGAGGACUAUGGAAAUGACAAAAAAGAUGGAAGAGGAGGAAUGUGACAGAUGGUUUAACGAGGAUAGGCCAAUGGUUAUCCCUAAGAAAACGUGGAGGGAGAAACGAUUGGCCAGGGAGGAAAAAGAUGAUGACAACAGCAAUGGUUCCGAUAAAGAAGAAAGCACUGAAGCACAAGGGGGCAUGGAUAUAAACAUGGUGUUUGUUUUACCUACUGAGUUCGGAGCAGGAGAGGGAGAUGUGGCUGAGCUAACAUUGGGGGCUGAGCGUGCUGUGUUUGAAAAAACAAGUGAGCAGGGAUCUCAUCUAAAACCAUUAUAUGUUCGUGGUCACAUUGAUGGGAAGCCAAUGGGGGGCAUGUUGGUCGACGGGGGAGCAGGUGUGAAUGUGAUGCCGCUAUCCGUGUUUUCUAAGUUAGGAUACAAAGAGAGUGAGCUAAUUAAGACGAAUAUGAAUCUAAGUGGGUUUUCAGGGGAGCCAUCACAAGCAAAAGGAAUUAUGUCUGUUGAACUCACAGUGGGCAGCAAAACUGUCCCAACGGCCUUUUUCGUGGUGGAUGUGAAAGGGAGGUAUAAUGUUUUGCUAGGGCGAGACUGGAUACAUGCUAAUGGUUGUGUGCCAUCUACUUUGCAUCAGUUUUUGGUUCAAUGGGUAGGUGAUCAGGUGGAGGUGAUUGAAGCAGACACCGCUAUGUGUAUCGCACUCAUGGAAAACGCCAAUGGAAUGGCAGCACAGUAAUAUGCGGUGUUUGACAGGAAGAGAUUUGUCAGGAUAUGAUUUUAUCAGUGUAGAGCGAGAUAGUUUUGUGCCUAUUCAUGUAAAGCCGGCUGACAUAGCACGGCUCAAUGACUCAGCAUUAUAAAUGAAUGAACACGAUAAUUUAAAAUGGUUAAAGGAGAGGACAGAUGAAUAUCGUUUAAACAAAAACGAUAUGGGUGAGGUGGUGGAUGAUUUUGAUGACCUUGGAAAGUUAGGACAGGGGUUCUCAUCUGUUGAUGAACUAGAGGAAGUCGAUAUUGGAGACGGAAAGGUGCCAAGACCAACAUUUGUAAGUGCUAAAUUAAUAGCCGAUCAGAGGCAAAAGGUAUGUGAUUUACUUAGAGAAUUUAGAGACUGUUUUGCAUGGGAUUAUACUGAGAUGCCAGGGCUGAGUAGGGAGUUGGUUGAGCAUAGGCUACCAAUUAAGCAUGGGUUUAGGCCACAUAAGCAGCCACCUAGACGAUUUAACCACGACAUCCAUGACAGAGUUAAGGAAGAAGUUGAUCGGCUGUUGAAAGCAAAUUUCAUAAGGCCAUGCAGGUAUGCGGAAUGGAUCUCCAAUAUAGUGCCGGUUGAGAAGAAGAAUACAAGGAAGAUCAGGAUUUGUGUGGAUUUUAGGGAUCUAAACAGGGCCACCCCGAAAGAUGAAUACCCAAUGCCUAUAGCCGAUGAACUUGUUAAUCAGGCUUCAGGGAAUAAAAUCAUUAGUUUUUUGGACGGUAAUGCAGGGUAUAACCAGAUUUUUAUGGCCGAAGAGGAUGUAUCUAAGACAGCCUUUCGUUGCCCUGGUUUUGUGGGGUUGUUUGAAUGGGUUGUGAUGACAUUUGGAUUAAAGAAUGCUGGUGCAACAUAUCAACGGGCCAUGAACCUUAUUUUUCAUGAUCUUUUGGGCAUUGUGUUAGAAAUCUACAUUGAUGAUGUUGUGGUGAAAUCGGCUGCUUUCAGUGACCAUUUAGCCGAUUUACGGUUGGCAUUGGGGAGGAUGCGAAAGUAUGGUUUAAAGAUGAAUCCCCUCAAAUGCGCAUUCAGAGUGUCGGCUGGUAAGUUUUUAGGCUUUAUGGUGCAUGAGCACGGGAUUGAGAUUGAUCCAAAAAAGGUGGAAGCAAUUGAUAAAUUGGGAGAGCCGACAUGCAAAAGAGACGUUCAAAGGUUAUUAGGAAAGAUUAAUUACUUGAGGCGAUUUAUAUCAAAUUUGGCCGGCAAAAUUGAGUCAUUCGUACCUCUUAUUCGGCUUAAACAUGAAUCUGACUUUAAGUGGGGAGCUGAACAGAGGGAGGCAUUCGCUGUUAUUAAGGGAUAUUUGGCAAAGCCGCCAGUGCUUAAAGCAUCCAAGGCAGGAGUGCCUUUCAAAUUGUAUAUUGCAGCACAAGAGAAGGUAAUCGACGCUGUUUUAAUACAAGAACAUGGUGGGAAAGAGAGUGUGGUGGCCUAUUUAAGUCGUCGUCUGCUGGACAGCGAGAGCAGGUAUGUGUUCAUUGAAAAACUCUGCUUAUCCUUGUAUUUUGCAUGCACCAAGUUUCGACAUUAUUUGCUCUCAAGUACUUGUACUGUAGUAUGUCAAAUGGAUGUGGUUAAAUAUAUGUUGCAAAAGCCGAUUCUUAGUGGUCGAGUGGGAAAGUGGGCAUAUGCUUUGAUAGAGUACGAUCUAAUUUAUGAGUCUUUAUCUUCUAUGAAAGGGCAAGUUAUAGCUGAUUUUAUAACUGAUCAUAGGGUUGAUGUAGAGCAGGAAAUCUCAUAUCUUGAUAUUCGUCCUUGGCAAUUAUUUUUUGAUGGUUCUGUGUGCAAAGAAGGGCAGGGAAUCGACUAUGUUUUAGUGUCACCAAAUGGUUUAUUGCAUGAAACAUCAAUUAAGAUUGAAUAUUGUUGCACUAACAAUCAGAUUGAGUAUGAGGCUUUGUUGUUUGGGUUGAUGCAUUUAGAUGGUAUGGGAGUAAAAGAUAUAGACGUGUUUGGGGAUUCGUUGCUUGUGGUACAGCAGGUGAGAGGGGAAUUUCAAUGUUUAGAUGGAUGCUGCAUAAUUAUUUAGACAAAUGUCUAGAUAUUAUUAAAAAAAUGGAUACUUUCACUAUUGUGCAUAUAUCUAGAGAUAAGAAUGGUAGAGCUAAUUUUUUGGCACAACAAGCAUCGGGAUAUAACAUAGAGAGAGGGCAGUUCUUUAUCCAGAAAGAGCCAAUGUUUGCAGGCAUCAAUAGUAUAGAAAGGAGUAACUUAGGCCAUAAAAAAUUCGAGGUCGAGCAGCAAGAUGGGAUGGAUAAUGCUGAUUGGAGAACACCAUUAAUCGAAUGUCUGCAAAACCCCAGCAAUACCAAAGAUAGAAAUGUUCGGAGGCAAGUUUUGAAAUAUACUUUAAUGGAGGGUGAGUUGUAUAGACGGACGAUAGAUGGUUUGCUGCUGAAAUGUUUAGAUGAGGAGGAGUCAAAAGUAGCUAUGGGUGAGGUCCAUGAGGGUAUGUGUGGCACUCAUCAGUCAGCCCAUAAAAUGAGGUGGAUGCUAAAACGGGCAGGGUUUUAUUGGCCGACCAUGAUGGAGGAUUGUUUUAGAUAUUUCAAAGGGUGUGAGGCAUGUCAAAAGUUUGGGGAUAUUCAGUCAGCGCCAGCUAGCACAUUGCAUCCUAUUAUAAAACCGUGGCCAUUUAGAGGGUGGGGUUUAGAUUUUAUUGGUGAAAUUCAUCCAUGCUCAUCUAGAAGGCAUCGGUUCGUGUUGGUGGCUACUGAUUAUUUUACUAAAUGGACUGAAGUUGUGCCUUUAAAAAAUAUGACGCAUAAGGAAUUAAUUAGUUUUGUAUUAGAGCAUAUUGUAUACAGAUUUGGCAUUCCACAAACAUUAACAACAGAUCAAGGAGCUGCUUUUAUGUCUCACCAAUUUAAAGAUUUUGCCAAAUCUUUGCGGAUCAAGUUAUUGAAUUCGUCGUCGUAUUAUGCGCAAGCUAAUGGGCAGGCCGAAUCUAGCAACAAGGUGUUGAUCAGGUUGAUAAAGAAGAAGAUUACAGAACAGCCGAAGAGGUGGUAUGAAGUGUUGUCAGAGGCGUUAUGGGCUCAUCGGGUAUCUCGACAUGGAGCAACUAAAGUAACACCAUUUGAAUUGGUUUAUGGACAAGAGGCGGUGCUUCCUAUUGAGGUUAAUUUACAGGCUUGCAGAGUAGCUUGUCAGAAUUCGUUAUCGGCUGAGGUGUAUGGUGAGCUAAUGCUAGACAAAAUUGAUGGGAAUAAUGAAAGUCGAUUAACAGCUUUAAGGGAAAUAGAGAAGGAAAAGCUGAGAGUAGCGAAAGCUUAUAAUAAAAAGGUGAAGGAGAAAUCGUUUCAGAUUGGAGAAUUGGUAUGGAAAACGAUUUUACCCGUGGGAGUCAAAAAUAAUAAAUUCGGAAAAUGGUCGCCGAAUUGGGAAGGACCAUUCAAAGUUGUAGGUAUUGUGCACGAGAAUGCAUAUUUCGUUGAGGAUUUGCAAGGAAAGAAAUUACCCAAAGCACUCAACGGUAAGUAUUUGAAAAAGUACUAUCCUAGCGUGUGGCAGGGGGUGUGCUAAGAUUUGAAACUAGUAGCGGAGUUAGAGUCUCCUUAUAGUUGGAGCCGGGUAUAAUCUAAUAAUUCUUAUACUGGCUGAAGUGAGCAGGCCGUAUGAGCACAUAAUAGCACAUGUAGAAUCGAUUUGGGGAAGGAUGUACCUUUCGGUGAGUGCUCUGCGGAUGGAGGUCGAUUGCUGGCAGUGGACGACCGGUUGGAGGAGUUUCGAGCUCGAGCGCUUGGAGAUUUGAGCUGGCGGAGCGAUGUCCGAGGACGCCGCGCACAGCCGUCGUCGCGCUGGGUCGAUCUGGCCUAGUCGCGCUGGCCGCAGCACCGGAGGUAGCCACGACGCUCCUGAAAUGAAGACCAGCCCGUAGGGAAAGCCCGGUCGCCACAGCACACCAAAUUUCUUGGAACCCUAGCAGUGGCUGAUGGAUGCAAAUAUGUUGGUCAGAGGCAGCUUCGAUGCGCUGGAGAACGAUGCGCUGAACGGCUGGAGAACGAAAAAGGUAAAGGGCUGGACGUACAGGUUGUUUGGGCUGAUUUCAGUACAGGAGAUGGGCCCAAGAUUGAUAUUGGCUGAAGACAUGGCCGAUAGGUGUCAUCGUCCUAAAAGAAAAAAAGGGAAAGUAUUAUAUAUAUAUAUAUAUAUAUAUAUAUCACAUGAUUGAGAGCCGAUUUAAUAUGGAAUCGUUGCUAAGUUGUGUUUUUCGACACACUAUGUUCAUUCGAAAAACAGGGGGGCAUGUGUUGAAUGCAAUUUUUGUGGUGCUGUUAGUGCAGGAGAUAUCCAGAGCCACCUGCCAGAAGAAAGCAGAGGAAGAAAAAAACAAAACAAAUUAUUAGCCGGUGUAUGGAUAUACAGUGGUAUACGGCCAGAAAAAGUGGAAGAAGAGCACCCGUAUAAGCAUCUACGGAUGACCAAAUUGGCAUGGCCACAAGCACUGAAGGUUAUUAGGAUUAUUAUUCAUUUAGAUCAAAUUAGUUCCUAUUUUCUAGAGUAAGUCAGUUUUAUGUUUGGUCAGGGAUAAACUAGAAAGUUAAGUUGUUUAGAUUUUUAUGGAGUCGGUUCCUAUUUUCUAGAGUGAGUCGGUUGUAGAUGGAUUAUAAAGCCUUAUUGUAAUAAUGCAGAGAGGGCAGAACCUAUAGUUAUCAUUUCAUUUAAUCUAGUAUCUAUUAUCUUCGUUCCUCUUUGGUGCUUUAUCGAGAAAAGCAUUCGAGUUUCUCUGCGAAAGUGAGAUCAACGCCUACUGCUCAACCAAUUUCUGGUAGCAACAGACGCCUGCUGCUCAACCAAUUUCUGGUAGCAACACAUUCUUGAUCUGUGCUGAUUUACCAUGGAAUUAUGGCCUCCUAACCAUAAACUAGUUGGUAGGACAAGUUCUUGGUUGCCUCAUGACAAGACAUCAUGUAAGCCCAUAAUGCUUCUACCAACUUGUCAUGUCAUUGUUUCAGGUACUCAUUGAUCUUACGCUUGAUCAACUUGAUUAAGUUUUUAUUUGAUGCCUCGGUAUUUCCAUUGGCCUGAGCAUAAUAUGGUGAUGACUAACCAGGAUGACUCCUAUUUCUUUAGAAAACUUUCCAAAUUCUUCUGAUAUGAACACUAUCUAUUGAGGCCACAGACCCAUGUGCCUAAUAAGUAGAACAAGCGGUAUGCCUCAUACAUGUGGUGUGUUGGGUUUCUCAACCUAGCCUAAGUAGUGACCUCUGGGUUACUUGCCCUUGACCUAGCACUACUCACCACUGGCAUGGACCAACAGUAGCCGAAGACCCACUCGUUUCACCUUCCUUAUGGUGAGAUAAUGAUCACAAUAUAAGAUGUUGCCCUAAUCUUUUGGAUGUCUUUACAUAGACUCCAUGUCAUUAAUUGGGGUUGUGGACCUGAGAACUAGAUGGACCUAGUGGGGGAGUACUAUAGGAUUAGGCCACCUGAGGAUGCUGAGGCUGAUAGGUCCAAGUAAGUACAACAUAAAUCAAGUAUGUUCCAUUAUUAUAAAACAUUAUUUGUUCUCACGUUGUUUUUGUUCUUUCACAAGAGAACGUUAGGGGUGCCCUAUAGUCAGAUCUGUCUCCACUUAGGUAUCUAUUCACUAGGUGCUACCAAGUUGAGGUCAAGAGGCACAUUAGAGUGUGGCUCUGGCACUUUGUAGCUACUUUCUUAUUCCCCAACACUUCUGGCAACAAUAUCAAUUGGGCGAUGCUACAGAUCCUUAAUAAGGAGAGGGAGAACAUAAGUCAGUUUAGCUAGGGCACCACAGAUCUAUCUUGGAUGUAGCGACAUCUCGCAUAGCCUACCAUCGUGAUGUCGCAAACAUUAGCAUGUGUGGUUGUUCUUACCUGGUUUAGUUGUCAUGUUUGGAUCAUUGGUCCGUUAGGAGACCUAACCUUUGUGGUUUUUGAAAGUUGCCUAGAGGGGGGUGAAUAGGCGAAACCUAAAAUUUAUAAACUUAAAUGCACACUAAGGUCGAGGGUUAGCGUUAGAAUUAAAUUCAAGUCCGAAGAGAGGGAACAACAAAUCAAACAAGAAUCAAGGCGAUUGAACACGAUGAUUUGUUUUACCGAGGUUCGGUUCCAAAGAACCUAGUCCCCGUUGAGGAGGUCACAAAGACCAGGUCUAUUUCAACCCUUUCCCUCUCUCAAACGGUCACUUAGACCGAGUGAGCCUUCUCCUUAAUCAAUCGGGUCACUAAGAUCCCGCAAGGACCACCACACACUUAGGUGUCUCUUGAUUUGAUUACAAGUCACUUGAGAGCAAGAAUGAGAAAGGAAGAAAGGCAUUCCAAGAAACAAGAGCGCAAAAGAACACGAACACACACUCUCUCAAGUCACUAAAUGGUUGAGAUGAAUUCUAGACUUGGAGAGGGUUUGAUCUUUGGAAAUGUGUCUUGGAGUGGAUGCACUAGCUCUUGUAUUGAAUGUGAUCUCUGAAAAACUUGGAUGCCAAAGGUUGUGGUGGUUGGGGGUAUUUAUAGCCCCCAACCACCUUGGUAGCCGUUGGCCAAGGCUGCUGGCGAUGGGCGCACCGGACAGUCCGGUGCGCCACCGGACAGACACUGUUCCUUGUCUGGUGCGCCGCCAUGUCACUUAACCGUUAGGGUUCUGAGUUGGUCGACCAUUGGAGACUUUGUCUUCUUGCCACACCGGACAGUCCGAUGCCCUCUGACUUCGCUGCUCUGACUUCUGUCGCGGCACUGUAGCUGUGAUAUCCUGGCCCCUGGGAUGGUGAUUUCCUGGCCCAAGGCUUAAUAGAAUUAAUAGAGUAUCCAUACCAAUAAGGUGCAUCUUCUUUUUUGGAAGCCUAUAUCAAAAGAACCUCCAAUUUAAGCGUGCUUGGCUUGGAGCAAUUUGGGAUGGGUGACCGACCGGGAAGUUUUCUCGGGUGCGCAUGAGUGAGGACAAAGUGUGCACAAAAGUAUCGUGUUGGUCUAUGGGGACAAUAUAUGAUCCUAGAGAGCUGCCAGAAGUAAGUACCGCCGCUCCAGGGAUUGGACGAGAUGUUACAAGUGGUAUCAGAGCCGACCCUCGCGGUUUCACGGGCGUGUGUGGGUUAGGGGGUUCAGGUAUAUGGCGCAUGUGGGCCCAAAGUGGUCACAUGGCAUGGCAUAUGACGACACUAGACACACAGACGUGGCUAAGAGGGGAGGUUCCUGAAUUGGGGUUGACCAACGAGGACGUUGGUAUUCUAAGGGGGGGUGGAUUGUGAUAUCCUGGCCCCUGGGAUGGUGAUUUCCUGGCCCAAGGCUUAAUAGAAUUAAUAGAGUAUCCAUACCAAUAAGGUGCAUCUUCUUUUUCGGAAGCCUAUCUCGAAAGAACCUCCAAGUUAAGCGUGCUUGGCUUGGAGCAAUUUGGGAUGGGUGACCGACCGGGAUGUUUUCUCGGGUGCGCAUGAGUGAGGACAAAGUGCGCACAAAAGACUCGUGUUGGUCUGUGGGGACAAUAUAUGAUCCUAGAGAGCUGCCAGAAGUAAGUACCGUCGCUGCAGAGAUUGGACGGGGUGUUAUAUUUGUGCAAUCGCUAUCGAUUAUCUAACUUGAACCACCGGAUGCAUAAACCUACAAAACAAUUUUAGGCCUUGUUCUUAGGUACCCAAACGGUCUUGGGUUCUUACACAUUAGAAACAAGCACCUUGGGUACCCAAACACAGGUCUUAGGACUCUUGUGUUUGCCCCCAACAUAUUUGGCAACUAUUUUGCCUGAUUUGUUAGUUAAAACAUAAGAUGCAUCAAAAGUCUUAAAUGAAACAUUAUGUUCAUUUGAUGCAGCGGGAAUUUUCUUUCUAGACAUUUUAACAUGAGUGGUAUGCCUAGAGCUAGAAGCCUCAUUUUUAUACAUAAAUGCAUGGUGAGAAACAUUGUGAGGUUUUCUAGCAUGAAUCUGAGGUUUUCUAGCAUGAAUCUUCCUAAUUUUGUGUUCGAGAUAGUUUGCAGGGUAUAAAAUGUAGCCUUCACUAUCCUGAACCAUGGGAGCUUUGCCCUUAACAAAAUUAGACAGUUUCUCAGGGGCAUUAAGCUUGACAUUGCUCCCCUGUUGGAAACCAGCGCCAUCCUUAAUGCCAGGGCAUCUCCCAUUAUAGAGCAUGCUACGAGCAAAUUUAAUUUUUUCAUUUUCUAGUUCAUGCUCAGUAAUUUUAGCAGUUAAUUUAGCUAUGUGAUCAUUUUGUUGUUUAAUCAUGACAAGUUGAUCAUCAAUAGCUUCAACAUUAACAUCUCUACAUCUAAUGCAAAUGGAAACAUGCUCAACAGUAGAUGUAGAAGGUUUGCAAGUAUUUAAUUCUUCUAUCUUAGCUUUUAACAUGGCAUUUUCAUUUAUAAGACAUGAAAUAGAAUCAAUGCAAACAUUCAACUUUUCAAUCUUAGAAAUUAAACUAUCAUUCUCAGUUUUAAGACUUGAAAUUGAAUCAUGACAAAUGCUAAGCUCCUUAGAUAAGUUUUCACAUUUUUCUAUUUCCUGAGCAUAAGCAUUUUUCAAUUUAACAAAUUUUUUGUUUUCUUUAAUAAGGAAGUCCUCUUGGCUUUCCAAGAGGUCAUCCUUCUCAUUAAUGGUUUCUAUUAAUUCAUUUAAUUUUUUCUUUUGAUCCAUGCUAAGGUUAGCAAAAAGAGCAAGUAAAUCAUCUUCAUUAUCGCUAGAGCUACCAUCAUCACUAUUCACUAGAUGUUGUAUAUUUGGGGGUGGCUCUAGAGUGUACCUUCUUGUCGUCUGUAACACCCUGAUUUUGGGGUAUAAAAUUUCUUUCUAAUUAUCACCCAAAAUCAUGUGUUACUCUUCCUUUUCUCACUCUAGGCUUUCUCUCUCUCUAGAUUCUUUCUCCCUUUUUCCUUUUGAUUAGAACUAACUUAAACUAGUGGAGAUUAAUUAUUUAUUUUUGUCAAAACCUUAUGAGUCAUGACAUGUUGCAUCAUGCUGAGCUUAAAAUAUUCUUUGAAGUAUUGCACAAGUUUGAAUUUAUUUGAAUUUGAAACCUAGUUUGAAUUUGGAUUUGAAACUCUAUAGAAAAAGAAAUGGAAAAGGAAUUAGAAAAUCCAGAGAAAAAGGAAAAGAGAAAGCAGCCCAGUCGGCCCACUAAGCCCAGCCAAGCCGCGCGCCGGUGCCGCCUGACAGGCGGACCCUGCCUGUCAACGGCAGUUCUCCCUCGCGCGCGCCCUCUCUCUCUCUCUCUCGCUGCCCAGUGGGGCCGAUCUAUCGGCGCCCAAUUUUCUCCCCCGCGCGCUCCCUCUCUCUCUGUCUCGUGGGCCCGGAUCGCCAGUCGCCGAGCCGUUGCCCCGCGCACCCCUUUCUUCUCUCUCUGCACCGUGGGCCUGACCUGUCAGUUCCGCCCCCUCCGCGCUCACCGUGGACCGGCGCGUGCGCACACGUCGCCGGAUUUCUCGGCCACGACGCCCGCCCACGUGCCCAGCUCCCUUCUUAGAGCCCCGCCAAUGCCCCGCGCACAUCCCUCGCCUUAUUUUGCUCAGCUUCACCCUCUCUCGCGCUCUACCCACGCCGCCAGCCGCUGCCAGAGACCCGCUGCCGGAGACCCGCGCCCGCGUUCUUGGCCAUCCAGCUCGCCGAAGACCGUCCCAAGCCUCCCCGAGCUCCGCCCCGAGGUGAGACACCCGUCCCUGUGCCCAAUUUCCCCUAUUGCGCCCUAUGUUCGGCCAAUUUUGCCUUCGCCGGUGCUCGACCGCGACGGACCGCCGUGCUCGCGCGGUGGCCGACCAAUUUAGCCCGGUCUAGUUCCCCGGCGUUAGUCCCUAAGGUGCCUCUGCCUCUGCUGAAGCUAGCCAAGGCCUUAGCGCGCCUUAAGUCUCUUCCCCGUGGCCGGAAUGGCUCACCGGAGUUGCUCCGGCCCGACCGAGGCUUCCUCACCGCCGUUCUCCCUUCUCUGCCCGUGGAUUCAUGGCCUCUUCCCCGCCAUUGAGUUCGCCGUGGCGCCCUCUCCCUCUCUGCCCAACUCCGGCGACCCCGGAGCCACCCUAGCCCGCGCCAGCCUCAACUCCGGCGACCUCACCGCCGCGGAGAGGAGCGGCGCCGCCCACAGACAUUCAACCCCCUCGGUCUGAUCCCUUCCGUCCAAUUCAGAUCGAACGGCUCAGAUCACAGAUAACGCUUCGCGCACGCACGCCCCAGCGCCCUGGCCCGCAUGUCAGCGCCCAAACCCUCUAGCGCUAGGCCCGCUCGUUCAGUGCGCUCCCCCCCUCUGUCGCUGACACUCCCUGGGCCGCCUGUCAGCGCUCACCCGCAGAUCUAAUCUCAGCCGUUGGUUUUAGACCUGACGGUUAAAUUCACCCGAUACCCCUUUGCGCGUUAGUUUUCUUAAAGAGACCCUCGGUUUAUUGGAAAUCAACCCACCGUCCCUGGUUUUCGCCCGCAGGCCCCUGUAAUCUUGCAGAUUUAGCCCUGAACUUUUAAAUAUUCACAGAAUUAGCCCUAAUUUCAUAUUUUGAAUCCCCAAACUUGUUUAUUUCGUAACUUUUGCAUAUGAACUCCAAAUUUAGUGAUUCAAAUUGUAAAAUGUUCAUAGAAUUAUUCUCUGUUUAAAUAAAAUGGUUUCACUUACUAUCUGCACACUCUAAUUUUUAGGAUUGAAUAUGAACUAAUGUAGAUGUAUUUUUAUUUAUUUAAUAAAAUAAAUAAAAGGAGAACCUUAGAGAUUUAAACAUGUGUAAGCUUUUGAGAUUAAUAAUGUGUAUUACAUGAGUUUACCUCUGUUCUAAAUUUUAGGUCACAAUAAAAUAAGUUGAACUAUGUUUAUGUACUUGUAAGUAACACUUAGGGGAAAUAAUAAUCUAUUUUCAAAUAAAGUUAAUGUAGGUUAUAGUUUAUGUUAUACUUUGAAUUCAUUAUCCCUUAUGUAGUAUUAUGUCUUUUUAAGAUGUGUUCCAAUGUUUGUACAUGUUUGGUGUGAUGUUCAUAUGUACUUUCCAAAUGUAUUGAAUACAUGCUCGCUUUAUUUAGACAACGAGCAGUCCGAGGUUCCUGAGUGUGUUGUUGGAGACCUCCCUGAGCAACCACCUGGUGAAGGCAAGUGUCCUCUGACCUAUUAUGUCCUACAUACUUUAUGAUUCACUAUCCCGCCUUACUUUAUGGAACCUAAGGAUUGACUAGUCUGUAUUCACUUAUCCUUGUUUACCUUUUGGGUUAUCAUGGUUAGCAUGUUGCUAUUGCCUUAACUUAAUCAAUAAACAUGAUGUGAACAUUUAUGAUACGAUACUGUUAUCCUGAUUAUGUGGAUGAUCUUGUGAUACCUUAGGGGGCUCAGGCCUUUUUCCUGAGUACCUCUCCGUAAGGACCUAUUCGUGGAGUGACCACCUGGGAUAACAUUGCAACCAUGAGGGUGGAACGGGAUGCCCUUAACUGAUUAAUUAGAUGAACCUGGGGGUGAGGGCCAUCAAUGGGGGCCAGAGCGUAGUGCUCGCUCUGCCAAGGUUGGGGUACAGAGGUUCUUUCGAUUUGGUUUUGUUAGUCACCCACCUUGGGGAGGUGUACUGCGUUUGUACGACUAGUGAAACCUAAUGAGCAGCUAUGCACCAGGGGAGUCUUUGUAAAGGCUACGUAGUGUAUCCCUGGCCAUUCACCUUGGUAGUGAAGAUCGGGUCUGUACAACCCAGGCUGGAAAGGGAACACGACUUGUGGGUAAAGUGUACAACCUCUGCAGAGUGUUAAAAACUGGUAUAUCAGCCGACCUCACGGUUAAGAGCAGCCUUGGGAUCCUCUUUGAUUAGAAGAACUUUGGAUACUUUUAUGAUGAUGAUUAAUAGUGAUGUUAUAAAAUUUGAUCUCUGGUAUUUCCUCUUGGAGGGAGUGCCUCUGGGUAAUAACUGGGUUUAUUACUAAAAGUUGGCUCUACUAAUAAUAAUAAAUACUUGACUAACCUAAAAGCAACUGCUUGACCUCAACCCCAUAUACAACUAGUCCACUUUAGCCAAACGAGACAUUUGCUAAGUACGUUGUUGUGUUUGCUUUACACACUACCCCCACCCCAGGUUGUCCCCAGUGUACUCAGUGCUUAGGAGGUGAUGCUGGCAACAUGGAUGACUUCGAGGAGUUCCAGGAAUAUGACGAGUUCUAGUUGUUUCUUAGUGGCAAACCCCCAGUCAGCUGCCUGUGUAGGCUUAGCAUCUACGUUUCGUAUUUCCGCACUUUGAUAGUUAUGUUAAAGACAAUGGUUAUGUAAUAGACUCUGUGGAUGUCUUGGACAUCUUGAUGUAAUAAAGUACCUUUCCGCUAUUUAUUUCGAGCAUUGUGUGAUGAUGUCCAAUUAUGUAACCGUUGUGUACGUGAGUUUCUGAUCCUGGCACGUACAUGGUUCCCAUUCAGUUUGCCUUCCAAAACCGAGUGUGACAUAAGUGGUAUCAAAGGCUUGCUGACUGUAGGACCGCUAACCUAGACUAAAAUGGUCGAUCUAAGGACUAUAGACCCUUACUCUUACCUUGACCUUAGAGUCUUUUCAAAAGUUGGUCAUCUUGACCAACUCUAUGUUAUUUACUUAUCUCAAAAGUUUUGUCUCACUUUUCUUUCUGUUCACUUCCUGGUCUAAUAGUUCUACUCUUACUCUUGUGCUUAAGAUGUCUUCUGUAGAUGGCCCGUAUCAGGUGCACUGCACGUAAGUCUUUGAUCCCCUUUUUGCCUUCUCGCCUAGCAAAGCGUCCACUGCGUCGCACGGUGCCAGGUCAGUCUAGCCACCUAGAGAGACUGCAUCGUCGCCUGCAUGAGGAGCAGGAGCGCCGACGCCAGGAGCAGGAGCAGUAGGACUCUUCCCCCUCGCCUCAGCAGGAGGUGGAGUCUGAGAGGCCACCUUCCUCUGCACCUCAGCCAGAGAUACCCCCUGCACCACCUCAGGGCACCCCGGCUACUAGAGGAGACCCUGACAGAGAUGGAGACGACGACGCCGGUGGCAGUUUGAGCCACGGCACGGAGCUCUCGAAGGAGCCGGAGCCAGAGGGAUGGAUCGCUAGACCCAUCACUCGUGACGCCGCUCGCGGGUGUCACUUCCAUGACGCUCUCGAUGCCCUGUUGCGUCGGGCCUUCGACUGACACACAUGGUCCAUCGAGUACCGUUGUGUAGUCUACCAGCAUCGUCGCGGGCUAUACCCGGACCAGUGGGAGGCUACUUGCUUGGUGCGCCAUCCGGACAAUGAUCUCCGGGGUGCAGAACCCUUCUUAGAGCACUAUUCUAUUACUGAGAGGGAUACUGCCGAGGCAGCCAUGCAAGAUGCAGCACGACGGGCGCUUUCUCAGUAUUGCUCGUUGUUCAGCAGGGUAGCUGAUGGCCUUGACCUGAAGUACUACCCUUGUCGUUCGACCGACAGUGCUGGAGGUGUGAUUGCCUCGCCAGUUGGUGAGGGCAAUCCCAGGCUGAACAACAUGGUCAACUUGGCUGCCGUGCUCAACACAGAGUUGGACCACGCCCUUGACGAGUUGGGCAAGGUUCGGGCGGAGGUUGCAGAAUUGCGUGCUGAGUGCACAGCACGCCACUAUCUCGAUGGUGGUUCUCCCGCCCCUAUCGGGAUUCAGCACCAUUAUCGUUCACCGCCCCGUGGUCGCUUCGACUAUGGUACCCCAAACUGCAGGACCCGGAUAGAUUUGGAUCCCUAGAUCGACAGAGUCGGUGUCUGUAAUAAUGCUUAGUUCAGUAUCUUAGUCUAGUCAGUCUUAGUUAGAGUUAGUUUACUUAUUUUAUGUUGGAUGCUUGUUAUGAUGGACAUGUACUGAAGUUGGAUAUUUGUAAUGAUUAUCACCAAGGUGUGGGUAUCCCCUGUAACUUGGUGUAGUUAUUAAUAAAGUCAGUUAUUUAGUUGGGUAAUCCAAUUGUUUCCACUUUCCUCUUUAUCUGAGAAGCUAUCAGUGAAGAUGGUCAAUUGUUCAGUUCUAUGAAGAUUUUCUAUACAUCUUUUCUUAUGUUGAAAGACUGCAGAGUCAGAUUUGAUUUAUGUGUGUGAUUUCUAUAGAUGUCUGAGAAUAGGCGCAGAGGUGCGAGGCGUGCUGAGCCUGAACAGCAUGCACCCCAAGAGGAAGCAGCCUCGCAGCAGCAUUUGCCACCACCACCACCGAUGACCAUCGAGCAGAUGUUCUUGAUGCAGACUCAAGCAGUCCAGGAAAUUGGUCAGACAUGAGCAGCUAUGCAGCAGGUGCAGCAGCAGCCACCACCGCCUCAGCCUCCAGUGCAAGUCCAGAUGCCUCAAAUGCCCAGAGACAAGCGGGCAGAGUUCAUAAGGGACCAUCCCCCAGUCUUUGCCCACUCUGCUGAUCCCAUGGACGCUGAAGAUUGGCUGUGUACCGUGGAGCAUGAGUUGCACACUGCCCAGUGCAACGAUCGUGAGAAGGUGUUGUAUGGUCCCCGACAGCUGAGGGGAGCAGCACAGUCUUGGUGGGAGUCCUACCUCGCCACCCAUGCCAACCCUGAAGCCAUCACUUGGGAGGAGUUCAGGGAUAACUUCCGUCGCUACCAUGUGCCCGAGGGACUGAUGAUAGUGAGGAAGGAGGAGUUUCUCACGUCGAAGCAAGGUCCCCUGUCUGUCAGCGAGUACAGGGAUAAGUUUCUGCAGCUGUCGCGUUAUGCCCCAGAAGAUGUCAACACGGAUGCCAAGAGGCAGUACCGCUUCUUGAUAGGAUUGGUUGAUCCUCUCCACUAUCAGCUAAUGAACCACACCUUCCCUACCUUCCAGCAUCUGAUAGACAGAGCAAUCAUGACAGAAAGGAAGCGUCGGGAGAUGGAGGAUAGGAAACACAAGAUUGGUGGACCUCAGGCUGGGAGUAGCAGCCAUCCUAGCUACUCAGGCAACCCACCUCAGCCAUUCAAGCAAGGUCACCAGCACCAGCACCAGCAUCAUCGUAAGAACCAGCAGCAGCAGUACUAGAGGCAGUUUCUUCAGCAGCAGCAGUACCGUCAGAACAACCAGCAAGGAGGAAAUCAAUACCAGCAUCAGAGCAACCAGGCAGCCCGUCUUCCUGCCCCAGCAACCAAACAGAACAAUCAAGCAGCGCCAACGCAAGGAGGAAGUCGUGCAUGUUUCCACUGUGGGGAACAAGGCCAUUGGGUGAAUCAUUGCCCAAAGAAAGCAGCUCAGCAGCAGCCAGCUCCCAAUGCCCAGUCAGACAGAAUGCAAUGCAGCUAGGAGGCAACAACCGUGGGCAACCUCGUGCCCAGUAUGGAAAGGUGAACCACCUGGAAGCCGACACAGUCUAGGAGACUCUAGGAGUGGCAUUAGGUACAUUUUCAGUCGAGUACCAUUCUGCAAAUGUCUUAUUUGAUACUGGAGCAACGCAUUCUUUUGUGACUGCAUCAUGGGUAGAAUCACAUAAUAUACUAGUAGCGCCCAUGUAUCCACCUAUGAGAGUUAGUUCAGUUGGUGGAAGGACCCAAACUGAUAGAUUUUGCCCUAGUGCAAAGGUUCAAAUAAGGGGGAUAGAGUUCCCCACUGAUUUAAUAGUUAUGGGUAACCAGGAUACAACUAUAGAUGUCAUCCUAGGGAUGAAUUGGUUAACCAAGUACCAAGCCUGUCUUAGCCGUGACAAGAGAACAUUGAAGCUAGUGUCCUUAUCAGGAGAAGAAGUGUUAGUGGAGUUGGUCUUGUCAGGACCAAGGAAAGGGAGUUGUCACCAAGUCACCGCCUGUAUUGAGGAGAUUAAACCAUCAGAAGCUAUCAAUGUAGUAUCAGAAUUCCCAGGUGUGUUUCCCGAGGAGUUACCAGGUAUGCCACCUGAAAGGAAGGUUGAAUUUGCCAUAGAGCUUAUACUAGGCACCACCCCUAUUUCCAAGAGAGCCUAUCGAGUGUCCGGACCGGAAUUGGUGGAACUCAAGAAGCAGAUUGAUGAGUUGUUGGAGAAAGGUUAUAUCAGACUGAGUACCUCACCUUGGGCAGCCUCAGUGUUGUUUGUGGAGAAGAAGGAUGGCACAAAGAUGAUGUGCAUUGAUUACAGAUCCUUGAAUGAAGUUACUAUCAAGAACAAGUACCCCCUGCCCAGAAUUGAGGAUUUAUUCGAUCAGUUGAGAGGAGACAGUGUGUUCUCGAAGAUAGAUCUGAGGUCAAGCUACCAUCAGCUCAGAAUCUGACCCUCGGAUAUAUCGAAGACAUCAUUCAUCACCAAGUAUGGACUAUAUGAGUUCACGGUCAUGUCAUUCGGUUUGACGAAUGCGCCAGUUUACUUCAUGUACUUGAUGAACAACGUGUUCAUGGACUACCUCGACAAGUUCGUAGUAGAGUUCAUUGAUGACAUUCUCAUAUAUUCCCAGAAUGAGCAAGAGCAUGAGGAGCAUUUGAGGAAAGUACUUCAGAGGCUACGAGAUUGUCAGCUGUAUGCCAAGCUUAGCAAGUGCGAGUUCUGGAUCAGUGAAGUCCUAUUCUUGGGUCAUAUUAUAAACCGAGAAGGAUUGGCUGUAGAUCCGAAGAAGGUAACAGCUAUCUUGGACUGGAAAGCACCAAAAGAUGUGCGAGGAAUCAAGAGCUUCAUCGGAAUGGCCGGUUAUUAUCGGCAUUUCAUUGAAGGUUUCUCCAAGAUUGCCAGGCCAAUGACAGCCUUGUUGGCAAAGAAGGUUGAGUUCAAGUGGACCCCAGCAUGCCAGAAGUCCUUUGAGACAUUGAAGGAGAAGUUGACAACGACACCAGUACUGAUUCUGCCAGAUGUUCACAAGCCAUUCUCAGUAUAUUGUGAUGCUUCGUAUACUGGACUGGGAUGUGUGUUAAUGCAGGAAGGGAGAGUAGUGGCAUACUCGUCCUGACAGUUGAAGAUUCAUGAGAAGAAUUAUCCUACUCAUGAUCUGGAAUUAGCAGUCGUGGUUCAUGCAUUGAAGACCUAGAGACAUUAUCUUUAUGGGCAGAAGUGUGAUAUCUACACGGAUCACAAGAGUCUCAAAUACAUAUUCACUCAGUCAAAGUUAAACAUGAGGCAGCGAAGAUGGCUAGAAUUGAUCAAGGAUUAUGAGCUGGAGAUUCAUUAUCACCCAAGCAAAGCAAAUGUGGUUGCAGAUGCUCUUAUUAGAAAAAGUCAAGUUAAUAUGUUGGCCGCUCACCCGAUGCCGUAUGAGCUAGCGAAGGAGUUCGACAGAUUGAGCCUCGGAUUUCUAAACAACACCCAAGGGGUGACAAUUGAGUUGGAACCCACUCUAGAGCAAGACAUCAGGAAAGGUCAGAAGGAUGAUGAGAAGAUCAAUGAGAUCCGCUAGCUGAUCAUAAAUGGAAAAGGCAAGGAUUUCCGUGAAGAUGCGGAAGGAGUGUUAUGGUUCAAGGACAGACUGUGUGUUCCCGACAUCAAAUCGAUCCAGGAACUGAUUCUCAAGGAAGCCCAUGAGACAACAUAUUCUAUACACCCCGGUAGUGAUAAGAUGUACCAAGACCUAAAGAAAAGAUUCUGGUGGUACGGUAUGAAAAGGGAGAUAGCAGAGUAUGUGGCUGUGUGUGAUAGUUGUCAGAGGAUUAAAGUAGAACAUCAGAGACCUGCAGGUUUGUUGCAACCGUUGCAGAUUCCUCAGUGGAAAUGGGAUGAGAUCGGAAUGGAUUUCAUAGUCGGUUUGCCCCGCACUCGUACUGGUUAUGACUCCAUCUGGGUAGUAGUGGACUAUUUGACAAAUGCGGCCCAUUUCAUACCAGUCAAGACCACCUACAACAGUGCGGUGUUAGCCGAACUAUAUAUUGCUCGGAUUGUGUGCUUGCAUGGCAUUCCAAAGAAGAUAGUAUCAGAUAGACACACCCAGUUCACCUCUCAUUUUUGGCAGCAGUUGCAUGAAGCUUUGGGCACACACUUGAAGUUCAGCUCAGCUUAUCACCCACAGAUAGAUGGUCAAACAGAGAGAACAAACCAGAUUCUGGAGGACAUGUUGAGGGCUUGUGCUUUGAAAGAAAAAAUAGGUUGGGACAAGAGAUUACCAUAUGCAGAAUUCUCUUACAACAACAACUAUCAAGACAGAUUGAAGAUGUCACCAUUUGAAGCACUCCAUGGGAGGAAUUGCAGAACUCCAUUGCAUUGGGGCCAACUCGGUGAAAGACAGGUGUUCGGUCCAGGUAUUUUGCUUGAAUCCGAAGAGAACAUCAGGACGGUCCGAGAGAAUUUUGUGGCAGAACCACCCGAAUUAUUCCAGCUUAAGUGCCUAAGUCACGCCUCAGGGGCCGUAACACACUUAAAUCGGAAUAACCCGUCAGUUCCUCAAAUCUAGUCUGAUAGAGCCACUUAACCAGGAUCAAAUUCCACAACCUCACUCGAAGGUGAGUCACAGAAAUACAAUAAAACAGGAAACCUCAAAUUAAGUGCUGAAUUAUUACAUAGAUCGAAGUUUUUGAGUAGCAAAUAAAGUUCACAAAAUAAAGUGCAGCGGAUAAUCGAUGUCGUCGGUAUCGAGGAAUUGGGCAAGGCCUAGCCCACUACUCCUCGUGCUCCUCUCCUGCCGGAGCAACAUCCCACUCGACCGUCCAACCCGGUGGCAGGGUGGUAGGCCAAGUCACACCAUCAACCAUUUCCUGAAUGGUACCUGCAAAAAUUGUGCCACAAGCAAGGCUGAGUAUACUAAUACUCAGCUAGACUUAACCGGUGUGAGGAGUCUACUCCUCUACCUCUAGACUAUGCAGCUGUUUGGCUGAGGGGUUUGGUUUGCCAAAAGCACUAGCUGUUUCUAAAAUCAAUUUUUAGCUUUUCAAAUUCUAUCAUCAUCAACUUAGCUAGAUUUGCUCCUUCUAAGCAUACAUGGUGACAAGCAUUUAGUUCAAUCAACAAGUUAUCUCAUGUAACCUCAUUUCACUUCUUACUCGAUGCAGUACAAGGGGUCAAGCAGUCUCAUUAGCUGCGAGAAGCAGACGAUUCGAAUCGAGUUUUAACCUUGCAAGGUAAACCUAAACACACGACAUGUCAGGGUACUCCGUCCCCACACACGUCAACCGUACCCAUCGAUCCCCCGUUUGCGUCCAGGCCUCACCGCCUUGGCAUACAAUGCUCCACUGACCCCGGCCGCCACCGUGCAGUGACCGCACUUGUACCCACCAUAGCUAGCAUGGGAGACCCAGUCUCAGGUCGUAUGAGGGAUAAAGUUCGCGCCCGGCUUCAAUCAGGUACUAGGUUUACCAGUUACCAUUUUUCCCGGCAUGUGCUUAGUACGUUCAAAAGCUUGACUCAGGUAUCCACACAUUAAUCCUUAAUUCCUUUUCCCGUCUCAUGGACAAGGCAUCCUCCCUGGAUCCAAGUCCAUAGACUAACAUAUAUCCCGUUAUCAAGAUGAAUACAAUCAAUUCCUGACCUCACGCGAGUGCUAGAAAAAUCACUCGACUUCUACCGAGAUCCUGAUUAGCAAGCAGCUACUCGAUCUAGCAUACUAGUAUUCAUCUAAAAAAGGAAUCCUAAGUUCAUGCAACUAGAGGUUUCAAGCAACUCCUACACUUAAGUGCACAUUGCAAUCCUACAAGCAUUAAGUGUAGUAAAGUAGCAUAUAAUAAUACGGUUAUGCAUAAAACCGGGGCUUGCCUUCAAUUGUUGGGGCUGCGGGGAGAUCCUCAAUAGCAGCCUCUGAAGCCUGCUCCUGGUCCUCCUCUUGGACAGGUCCUUGCUCGGGGAUGAGCACGUACUCUCCGUCGGCAAGAUUACAAUCUAAUGAAUGCAAUGCGUAAGAUACAUGCAUGAUAUGGUGCUUUAGAAAUUACAACUUUUGACGGUGUAUGAUCUACUUGGGUUAAACAAGGUUAACUUUACUUAUGUAAGACCCUUGGGUGGUAUACUUGGUAAAUUGGGUCAAACUUAGCUAAGGUAAGUGGUAGGUUUAUUUUUGGGGUUCCAUUGAAUUCUUUUUAAGUCUUAGUGAGAGUUGAUAAGUACUCAAGUUAGACUUAUUGGGGUGAGGUUUAUUUCCUCUUCCCUUUUCUUUUACUCUCUUAAAUGUUUUGGAGUGGGUUUAAACUACAAGUUGCUUUUAUAAAACUCUAAAAAUUCUGCAAAAAUUACAGUGGCUUGGUACUGGUGUAUAUUUCUCUGUCUCAAAAUUUGGGGUCAGAAAGUGAAUAGUUUUCUCUGAACAAAAUUAUUAAAUUCUAGGGCAGAAGGGGUGCUUUGAACUACAACUAUUAUUUAACAGUGGGUAGUUCUCUAAAACUUAUUUUUGCUGACUUUUAGGUGUUAUAACAUGACUUGAUACAAAUUUCUAGUCAUUAAUACCUUUUAAUUAUUUUACUAUGGUUUUCUCAAGUUUCUAGCCAAAUGGGUGCUUUCUACUACCACUAUAUUUGAAAAAUAUCAAACAACAGAGUUCUUAUUUUUCAUAGUUAUUGUUUUGCGCAAGAGCAAUCAUUCUGAAGUUUGGCCUCUUUUUGCUUAAGGGAAGGGGUGGUAUGCAUUAUUUGAAUUAAGUGGCCUUUCCCAUAAAACACUAGCAAUAGGUAGGAGUUUGCUUCUUUUUCAUGGGUUUGCAUUUUUCUCUGGUGGUUUAUCUCAUUAUAGACUUAGCUAAUUUUUGGUUGCCCAUUAUUACAUUAUUAGGGGUUGUUCAUGAUUUAUUUGGAAAAUGCCUCAUUAGCAUUCUAUAUUUAUUUUCCUUAAAAAGUUGGGCUGAGGUGUUCUUUAUUUUUGUAGUGGGGCUCUGGUGGUUGUAAGUCCACUGGAUUUUUAUUAUUCAUUUUAGGUAUAGUUUUGUAAUUCCAAUAAUUGAUUCUUAGUUCAAAUAAGGCUAAAUAAAGCAUUUUAAUUUAAAACUGAUCUGGACUAAGGGUCUCUUUAUUUUUUCUAGGUUUUCUGUUGCAUAAGCAAACUAGGAAAAAUAAUUUUACUCACUGUUCAUCAGUUUCUAAUGCCUUUCUGGUUUUUUUAAGUUUUGGGCAAAAUAGCUUUAAAUGAUUAUCUACAUCAUAUUUUCCAAUGCUGGGGUUCCCACUAUUUUUAAACAGUGUCUAAGUGAGGUUUGAAUACCUACAAAUUUUCUUAGGUUCAGUACAGAAGAAAAACAAAUUUUCCUUAAUUAAACUAGAUUUGGUAAGUUUUUGUUUUUAAUUUUAACUCUAAAAUUUAGAACAGAAAGCAUAGGGUUUAUCAUUUUUAAAUGAUAGCUCAUAAUAUUUAGGAUCUAGCAAAAUUAGUUUGACAACUUUUGAUUAAGAAUUCAUCAAGUUAUGGAUUUUCUAAGUUCUCUGGUUAUUUAAAAAGAUUAACAGAAUUGAUUAAAUGGAAAACUACUUUGCACGGGGGUCCCUGGCGGGUAUUUUAAGUUUCCUUCGCGGAUCAGUCCUUAGGCUACUAUUCACAUGGGUCACUGACGUUACAGAAAACCCCUGGGGUUCUCCAAAUCCUAACCCGAGGUCCUUCUCCUAACUUAAACAGUAACCGCGGCGGAAGAAAGGGCGGAGGGGCUUACCGGCGGCGAGAUGGCUCCGUUGAAGUGGUCGAGGACGUAGGGGAGGUCUCGGGGAUCACAACGGUGUGCGGGUCGCCGUCGGGGAUGGCCGGGGUUGGCUGGUCCACGUGCGCAGGCGGGGAUGCUCGUCGGCGUCGAGGAGUCCGGCCUGCUCAUGGUGAGAUAGUUCAAUUGGACGGGUCAAAAAGGUUCACAGGAUGCCAGAGAAGAUAUGGGUGCAAGGAAUUGGACGGAGACUCACCGGUUAGCUCUGUCCACGCGCGGCGGCGAAAGACCGAAGUCCGGUGAGGUCGAUCUCGGACCUCCGGUGAAGUCCGUCCUGGUCCGAGGGCUUGGAAAGCUUCAUGGGCCACUAGCGGAGCUAGCCAAAGCACUGGCUCGACUUGGGGGUGGCUGGAGUGGGCUGGCCACGGUGGCCGAAGCUCUGGCGGCAAUGGCGGGCAGAAUUGAGCUCGCCGGAGCUAAGGAGAGGGGGCUGGCCGGUGAAGGUGAGCGCGGGGUGAAGUGGGGCGCGCCCAGGGAGGCUUUAUAGGCGCGGGCGAGCACGGCCGAGGGCGGGGCUCUGACAUGCGCUCAGGGCGUGCACGGCGAACACCAGUGCGCGCUCUGGCGCCUGGCACAGCAUCGAGCACGAGGCAGAAUAGAGAGAGGUCAAGUUCAAAAGCGGAUUGGGCCCAAAUCUUUGAGAUUAAGGCCACGAUCCCGUUGAAAGAUCUCUUCCUCUCAGGUCCCUUUGUCGUUUGUGUGUGGAGGCUAGCAAGUUUCGCUGACUGGAUUAAGAGAUAGAGAGGGGAGAAAUCCUGUUUGUCUCACUGCCACACACAGGGAGAAAAUCUCUGGUUUGUCGUGUCCGAGGCACGCGUCCCAAUGCCAUCUCCUGGCACAUGACAGAGGAGUUAAUUAGGCACAUUUUUGUUAAUGGGGCCAUUAGGAUUCGAGUUAGGGAUCAAGGUGAACAUCCCUGAUCUUUGGCUCAAGGUCUGAAUUUCAGAAUUCUGAAAUUCAGAAUUCCCAUUAAGUCCCCACAUGAGAAGCUUGAUUUGGGGUUUUAUUUGAGUUAAUUUGGCCAAGCUUUCUCAACCUUUCUUGUUACUUAUUUAAUAUACUUCAAUUUUUAUAAUUGGCUCAAGUCAUAAUUUUAAAUUUUUCAUACCCUUUUCCUUAUUUUCUUGAAUUUUGCUCAUGGGGCUCACUUAGGGUUUUUAUUAGGGUUACAACAUUCUUACCUUUUUGAAGGACCCAUUUGCUUUGGUCAUGAUACUUUUAAGUAUAUGCUUGGUGAAUUCUUUAUUGCUUAAAUUAAUUUGAUGCUCAUGUUUACUUUGGUUCACAUAAAAUGAUGGUUCUUGGUUUGGCAUUUUGAGAGAAACCCUAGGUGACACUGGGGUGUCACAGCCUUCCCCCCUUAAAGGAAUCUCGUCCCGAGAUUCGGGCCAGAGUCCUCCCAGGGUGAAGUGAAGGGUGAGACUUAUAGGAAUGGGUGAUUAUUGUUAUUAUUAGGGUGAAACUGCUCUUCGAAUGUCAUUCUCUUUGCAACUUCAGAAGGAAGCCCUUUUUAAGUUUUCCUUCAUAGUUACUUCAUUCUGAAUUAAGAUCAUAUUUUUAGAAAUUAGAUUCGAAGGGCAGGAGGAGGGAUUGGGUGUGAUUACGUACCAGCUUCCUUAGGUAGGCAAUCGGGGAAGUUGGAUCUCAAGAAUUCCUCAGUUUCCCAAGUAGCUUCCUCCUCUGAGUGAUUACUCCACUGAACCUUGUACAUCUUGAUCGAUUUAGCCCGAGUUGAUCUUUCUUUGCAAUCCAGAAUCUUGGAGGGGUACUCUUGGUACAAUAGAUCUGGCUCUAUCUCCAAUUCUGGCUCUGCUAUGAUCUCGGUCGGCAAUCGAACACACUUCUUCAGCUGAGAUACAUGGAAAACACUAUGAAUGGCAGACAUCUUUGAAGGUAACUUCAGCUUGUAUGCCAUAGGUCCACAUGCUUCUAUGAUCUCAUAAGGUCCAAUGUAACGAGGGGCUAGCUUGCCUUUGAUCCCAAACCUCUGCACUCCCUUGGUGGGUGAUACCUUGAGGUAUACAAAACUUCCCACCUCGAACUGGAGAGGUUUCCUUCUUCUAUCAUGGUAACUCUUCUGCCUGGCCUGAGCAGCUUCUAGAUUCUUCCUGAUUAGUUUGACCUUCCUUUCGGCUUCAAUCACUAAGUCAGGUCCAAAAACUUCUCUUUCUCCAGGUUGAGACCAAUUGAGCGGUGUCCUACACCUUCUUCCAUAGAGAGCUUCAAAAGGUGCCAUCUUUAGGCUGGAUUGAUAACUAUUGUUAUAAGCAAACUCUGCCAAGGAGAGGUGCUUAUCCCAGUUCUUGCCACAAUCGAUUGCACAAGCUCUCAGCAUAUCCUCCAGGAUUUGGUUUGCCCUUUCCGUCUGACCAUCAGUCUGUGGGUGGUAAGCUGAACUCCUGAUUAGCUUGGUUCCCAAAGACUCUUGCAAUUGUUCCCAAAACCUGGCAACAAAUUGGGCUCCUCGGUCAGAAACAAUGGUCCGAGGUAAUCCGUGCAAACACACGAUCCGGUCAAUAUACAAUUCUGCAUACUUCUGAGCCUUAUCAGUGGUGUGCACAGGAAGAAAAUGUGCCACUUUUGUCAGUCGGUCCACAAUAACCCAAAUCGAAUCAUGAUGACGAGAGGUGUUGGGCAGACCCACAAUGAAAUCCAUGCUGAUGUCAUCCCACUUCCACGAAGGUAUGGACAGGGGUUGCAAAGCUCCAGCUGAUUUCAGGUGGCUUGCCUUUAUCCUCUGACAGGUGUCACAUUCUGAUACAUACUGGGCUAUCUCCCUUUCAUUCUGGUCCACCAGUACAAAGGCUUUAGAUCAUGGUACAUCUUGGUGCUUCCCGGAUGCAUAGAGAAUUUGGAGAGAUGAGACUCAUCCAAGAUUUUCCUCUUGAGGUCCUGGUCUUUAGGAAUCACCAAUCUGCUUUUGAACCAUAACACACCCUUUUCAUCCUGGCGGAAACAAUUAUACUUCCCAACCUUCUGAUGGAGAUUCUUCUUGAUAAUUUGCACUCCCUUGUCACUGAGCUGGGCCAUGAUAAUCUGGUCUUGCAAAGCUGGCUCAACAGUAAUGUGAGACAAAGAACCAGAAGGAAUCACUUCAAUUUGCAUCUUGCUCAACUCAUCACACAAGGUGUUAAUGCGAGAAUCCAUCAGAAUACAAUUGCAUUGCAUCUUCCGACUCAAGGCAUCUGCUACCACAUUAGCUUUUCCUGGGUGAUAAUGUACCUCCAGGUCAUAAUCCUUGAUCAGCUCUAGCCAUCUUCUCUGCCUCAUGUUGAGAUCAGCCUGAGUAAAAAUGUACUUAAGGCUCUUAUGAUCAGUGAAGAUGUUGCAGUGGGUUCCCAUUAGAUAAUGCCUCCACAUCUUUAAUGCAUGAACCACUGCUGCCAACUCGAGGUCAUGAGUGGGAUAGUUUUGCUCAUGAGGCUUGAGUGCUCUUGAGGCAUAAGCAAUGACUCGGUUGUCUUGCAUCAAGACACAACCUAGCCCGGUGCCAGAGGCAUCGCAAUAUACAUCAAAAGGCUUGCUGUUGUCGGGUUGCGCCAAUACCCGUGCUGUGGUCAGAUGCUGCCUUAAUGCAUGGAAGGCAUCUUCGCACUUCUAACUCCAAACAAAUUUGACUUCUUUCUUCAGCAACUCAGUUAUAGGCUUUGCAAUUCGAGAGAAGUCCGGAAUAAAUCUUCGGUAAUAACCAGCUAAUCCCAGAAAACUCCGAAUCUGACGGACAGUUGUUGGUGGCUUCCAGUUCAUCACCUCUUGCACUUUAUCAGGAUCAAUAGCUAUUCCAGCCUGAGAGAUAGUGUGACCCAAGAAUUUGAUUUCCUUUAGCCAAAAAUCACAUUUGGAUAACUUGGCAUAAAGGUGGUGCUCUCGCAGACGUUGAAGCACUACAUGCAAAUGCCCGGCAUGUUCUUCUUCGUUCUUUGAGUACACCAAAAUAUCAUCAAUGAAAACCACUACGAACUUGUCCAAUUCCGGCAUGAGAACAGAAUUCAUCAGAUACAUGAAAUAUGCUGGUGCAUUUGUCAGCCCGAAUGACAUCACCAAGAAUUCAUAUAGCCCAUAUCUGGUUGAGAAUGCCGUCUUCGGAAUAUCACUCGCUCGUAUCUUGAUCUGAUGGUAGCCAGAGCGAAGGUCUAUCUUGGAAAAUACCUUGGCCCCGACCAACUGGUCAAAAAGAACAUCAAUACGAGGCAAAGGAUACUUGUUCUUGAUAGUUACCACAUUAAGAGGGCGGUAAUCUAUACACAGCCUCAAGCUUUCAUCCUUCUUCUUUACAAACAGUGCUGGACAUCCCCAAGGCGAAGUGCUUGGGCGAAUAAAUCCCUUAUCCAGCAGCUCUUGCAAUUGCUUCUUCAAUUCUGCCAACUCGGCGGGUGGCAUUCGGUAGGGCCUCUUGGAAAUUGGGGCCGUUCCCGGUUGCAACUCGAUGGUGAAUUCAAUAUCCCGGUCUGGUGGCAUUCCUGGCAAUUCAUCAGGAAAGACAUCUGCAUACUCACAGACCACUGGGAUCUUCUUCAGAGGUAACUCCGUCAUAGAGAAAGCACAUGACUGAGUAGAACCUUGACUAGGCAGAAUUAAGGUGAAGUUCCCGCAGAACGGAGAAUUAACUUCCACGGUACGGCUGGCUAUAUCAAGCACAACUUGGUGCAAGGUCAUCCAAUUAGCUCCCAGAAUAAUGUCCACAUUUUCCAAUCCCAACACAAGAAGAGUGGUUUUGACAAUGUGGCUUCCCAGUUGAAUAGGCACACUUUGGUUUAAUUGAUUAGUUGAAAUUUUACCCCCAGGUGUGACUAUCAUGAAUGACCCUUUUGAGUGAGAGAAUGGCAGUUUACAUUUAGCACUGAACUUUUGGCUAAUGAAACUAUGAGAUGCACCAGAAUCAAACAGAAUUAAAGCAGGUUGAUUAUAAACUGAAAAGGUACCGGUCAUGAUAGGAGCUCCUUUUGGUACUUCCUCCAGAGUAGUGAAGUUGAGCUUCCCUUGCCUGACUUGCACCUUCUGCUUUCUUCCCUUGUCUUGAUUUGGUGCUGGCAUCUGCCUCUGCUGGUUCCUAGGACAAUUCUUGGCAUAGUGGCCCACAUUGCCACAAGUGAAACACUUGUUCCCAUUGCCCUGACGGAAUUGCUGCUGCUGCGGAGGCUGAUUAUUCCUUGGGGCGGGAGCUAGAAAGCGGUUGGGUGCCGGCUGCUGCUGCUGCUGAGGUGGCCUGAUCACCCAUCUGCCUGCCUGCUGCUCAAAACCCCUGCUCUUAUUGUGAGAAACAAUCCGGAACCUCUGAGCCUGAGCGGAUGGUGCUGCCAUUGGUGCCUCUCUUCUUCUCUGCCCGGUGAGCAACAAUGCAAUCCUCCUGGGAGAUGGCCAUAUUGACCAACUCAUUGAAGCUAUCAGCCCGGACAGUGUUGAGUCGUUCCCGUAGCUUGGUAUUGAGACCCAUGCGGAAGCGAUCCCUCUUCUUUUCAUCAGAAUCAGCAUGAUACUCUGCAUACUGGCAUAAGUCGUUGAAGGCUUGCGCAUACUGCAGUACCGUGCGGGUUCCUUGAUUAAGGGCCAGAAAUUCAUUCAACUUCCGAUUAAGAAUGACAGCUGGGAUGUGGUGUCCUCUGAAGGCAGUCUUGAAUUCCUCCCAAGAUACUUCACGAUUGUUGGGGACCUUCGGCAUCCGAAGGUCCUCAAAAACAGGAUUUAACAGUAUUUCUGGAGCAUAAUGUGUGAACAGGUAUCUUCGGACUCAGGUCGGCAUCACAGCAGACCAGAAUAAUACGAAGGUCGAUACAGCGCCGAAGGUGUGAGUAGGAAAGCUUCGGCGUGACAGCAGAAAGUGGAACCGACUUAAAGAUGAAAAGGCUAUUUAGACCUCAACAGAUUACUAUAGAAUUAUUAUCAACUGUAAAGGACAUGAAUGUAAUUUUGUAUGGGUUGUGUCCCGCGCCUAUAAAUAGGUGAACAGUAUUCCCGUACUGUUCACGCUGACUUGACAUUCGCUUUCUGCGUCACUCUUGUACUAUCAUCUCCUUCCGAUUGAAGGUACACUUGUAAUUCGAUGAUAUUUCUGUUUAUACAUAAUAAUAAUAUAUAAUCGUUCGUAUGGUCUUUUAUAUUCUUUAUAUUUCAUCCUUCAUCAUUGUCUGAUGAAUUUAUGAAGGUACGUCCUUCAUAACCUUCGUCCGUAAGCAAUUAUGUCCUAAGGGAAAUAAUUCUUCGGAGGACGAAGGACUUUAAUGAUUAACGUUUUCUAUGUUGCCUUGUUCUUAACUCAAAGCACUUGAGAACAAGUCCCCAACAUUGGCGCCCACCUCCGGUGAACUCACUCCCACUCUUUGAAGUUUUUUGAACACCUUCGGCGGUCAUAGAUCUUCGUCAUGGCGCCGAAGAAAGCUUCAGCGACUGGGGCUGCAGCUCUGCAACCACUGGACCACAAUCAGGAGACAGUCUCCCUGCGGGAGGCCCGAAGCCAGAAAAGGAAGGUUGUCAGUCCGACACCACCAGAGGACGAAAUAGAUCAAGAAAUCAGAGAUAUGGAGAUGCUUCAUCAACAAGUACAGAGGAAGAAAGAAAAGAUGGCCAGGCUAGCUGAACUGCAAAGGCAGAUAGACGAAGCCUCUGAAGAAGUUCGUCAUCUUGCUCAAGAUGAGAAACACCGAAGGCCUCAGCACCAAGACCUUCAUCAGGAGGGUUUUCCCAACGAGGAUGACUGGUAUGACAAUUUCCAUCAUGGGAAUUUUGUUUUUGAUGAUGCUUCUCCUUUGUCCGCUGAGCUGCAGGCUACACCUUGGCCUCCAUCCUACAAGCCGCCUCAGCUUCCCGUAUUCGAUGGCCACUCAGACCCGAAACAGUUUCUGAUGAGCUACGAAGCAACAGUAUCUUCGUAUGGUGGCAAUGCUUCAGUCAUGGCCAAAUCUUUCGUUAUGGCUGUCAGAAGUGUUGCUCAAACCUGGUACUCCUCCCUUCGACCAGGAAUGAUCACUUCAUGGCAGAAGCUGAAGGACUUAUUGUUAACUAGUUUCCAAGGAUUUUAGACGAAGCCGGUCACUGCUCAGGCUCUGUUCCAGUGCACCCAGGAUCACGAAGAAUACCUUCAGGCGUAUGUCCGAAGGUUCUUGCGUUUGAGGGCACAGGCACCAACGGUGCCCAAUGAAAUUGUCAUUGAGGCCAUGAUCAAGGGGCUUCGGCCAGGACCGUCAGCUCAGUAUUUCGCUAGGAAGCCUCCUCAAACUUUGGAGAAGCUGCUCCAGAAGAUGGACGAGUACAUUCGGGCCGAUAAUGAUUUUCGCCAAAGAAGGGAGGAGGCUUUCAGGUUUUCUGAAAUGACCAGGGGCUUCGGAGGGAGGUUCUACCCGAGGCACGUGAGAUCGAUUCAUAACUCUACACAAAAUGAUGAUAGAGGAAGCCAACAGCAAAGGCCACAAUGUUCCUCACAGGCUUCGGGGCAACAGCAAAGCUCCUUCCGACCACCAGCUCCAAGAGGCAGAGGCGCCAGGGGCUUUGGAGGAAGAUUUGGCGAUCAACCGAGAAGGAUCUUUUGUUUAUUCUGCGGUGAGAACAAAGGCCAUACUACCAGAAUGUGCCAUGUUACUAUUCAGAAGCAAAAGGAAAUAGCUGAAGCAGCAGCACAACAAGCUCAGCCGAAGCAGGUCAUGCAUACAGCUUCGUAUCAUUCGCCCUACAUCCCAGAAUAUGUGGGCAAUCAUCCUGCAGUUUCUGUUGCUUCGGCGAGUCAGCCUCAAGCUUCCUGGCAACAGCCUCCGCCCCCACCUCCGUUGCAACAAGGCCAGCAGCUAGAAGGGAGCCAGUAUGCUUCACAUCAGAGGGAUUUCAGAGAGCAGUCCGAAGCUCGUACAGUCAAUAGCACUGUUCCAGAGUCAAAGCACAUCUAUUGACAAAUAUCCUACCUUAGUAGCAAUCUUUUUCAUUCAGUUUUAUUUUCUGUAAUAAAGGACAUUGUUUAGGUUUCAUGUAAUUAGUUUUGCUGAUUCCUACAAGGAAAAUACAUUUUCUUCACAGGCUCAUAUUGAUUAAAGUUCAAAGACUUGUGGUAACAAGGACGACCUUCGAACUAUCGAAAAUUCUUCGAAGCAACAACAAGUCGUUCUAAGGAACGCAGAGUAAGUUUUCCGAAGUCACAAAAAAGUCGUUCCAAAGGGAGCGCAGUGUAAGUUUUCUGCUCCAAAGUCGUUCCAAAGGGAAUGCAGAGCAUACAGCGAAAAGUCAACGCUGAUACCGCCUAAGUAAAAGGCGAAGCGCGAAAAGUCAACGCGAAUACCGCUGAAAGUAAAAGGCGAAGAAGCUCCUAAGGGAGGCUUACAGCGAAAAAUAAACGCUGAUCCCGCUGAAGUAAAAGGCGAAGAAGCUCCUAAGGGAGGCUUAUAAAAGAUUGUGUUUUAUUGCAGGGAUGUGUAUGUAUCUUCGGAAUAAACAUCAUCUCACACAUAACAUAACAUCAUCGCAUCAUUUCGCAUAGCAUAAGCAUCAUACAUCAUUUUUGCACAUGGCACAAGAGAUGGACACAUUAUCGAUCUACAGAAGAACGCUUUGAAAAAAGGGGGAGAAAUCAUAGUUACAAAAAGAUACAUCAUUGAACUUCGGAAGUGUAGCUUCGGAAAAUAUUUUCACGCAGCCUGGAUAUUAUUCAUCAGAACAUUGGAUAUUGUUUUGACAAAGAAGAAUCCUUCUUCACGAAGCAUGAAAAGAAGGGAAGGUGUUUUUUCGUCAAAGACUCAAAAGCGGUACGUAUAAAGUUUCAUGCAUCAUAAAGAAUUGAUUAACAAAAAUAGGUAUAUUACAUUUGAGUUACAAAAUGUUGCAGUAUAUUACAUUUCAUAAGUUUUCACAAGAAUAUUUAAUCUUCUCUCAAAACGACUUCUGCAGCCUCGUUCAGGAGCCGAUUAACGACUUCGUCCAUAAUAUCUUCAGCCAUCUUUUUAAUUUCAUCGUCUCCUUUCGGCUGAGGGCCCGAAGACGCUUUAGCAGGAUCUGAAGCAAGAUAGGAUACAGCUACAUUGCUAUUACAAAUCGCAAACAAAUCUUAAAACCCAAGAUUGCAAAACAAUAAAAACUAUUAGUUAAUACCUAAUUGACCUUCGGCCUCUGCGCUCUUUUCAGCAGCUUCAGCUACUUCUCUAGCAUCGUGAAUGCCCUUUUCACUUCUUCGAAUAAUUUCUCCGGCCAUUUCUCGGCCACCAUUAUCCCAGAUAUCGGUAAAAAAUUUCCCACCAAUUAUACUAGCUUCGGCCGAGGGAUCUCUUGCAUCUUCAAAGGACAAAGCAGCUUCGGAUUGUGCUAAGAUUUUUACAUGUUCGCAGCCCUUCUUCUCUAAGAUGGUGGCAAUCCCUCUGGCACCAGAGAAGGCACAUAUAUCUCCUCGGCUAGUUAAAAUUUCUUCGAAGGCUUCAGCUUCGUGGUCGAUCCAUUCGAUGGGACCUUCGGGAUUGCCUCUCGUAAAAUUUUCUUCGCUCGAGAAGGCGCCGACCCUGGCGAAGCUAGCUUUUAACUUCUUAACACACUCUAUAGAUUUGUUAUAGCAUCUUUUUCUGGAUGAAUGAAGCUCUUCAACAGUCAUUUCUAGGUGAUCGGCCCAUUGGUCGCUGAGUUCUCGCUUUGUUUCUUCAAGUAUGCGUUCUUCCUUGGCUCUAGCCAGUUGUUUCCGAAGAUCUUCAAUUUCGCGCUUCUGAGCUUCAGCUUGACCUUUAAAAGCAGCUUCGUCUUCUUUUAUUUUAUUUAUCAAUGAGUGUAAUAUUUUAUCUUUUUCAAGACCUUCGUUCCUCAGUUCAAUAACUUCGGAACGAAGGUUGCUCAGGGCUAUAGAACACCCUUCGUCUUCAGCAUCUUUCUGUGCCCUGAGGGCAUUGCUAAGUAUCAGGCCCUGCAAAGAGAAAUAUGUGUGUGUCAAUAGAUUUAAACAAGCGAAAGAUUUUGGACUCAACAAAAAUACAAGGAUUUCAUUUGUCGCACCUUUAAGCUAUUGUAAGCCAGGCUGUCGGCCAGAUCGUUCUUCGACAGCACCGAGAGCCCGUCUUCUAAAGUUGGGAAUCCGAAGCUCUUGCUCAUCUCCCGACAGACAGAAAUCUCCUUGCUGUCGGGGAGACAAUACAAGAAGUCUUCUUCUCCACUGCCAUUGAAUAUUAACGCCCCUUUUGGAUAUUUCAGUUUUUGGGCGUAGUGCUGGGCCUCUUGCUCUUCUUUUUCUGACAGUUUUUUCCCCGAAGCAUGACGAACAAUAUAAUCACGAAUUUUGGGGGAUGCUUCAGGGGCAAUGACACCGGUUUCUUCAACAAAAGUUGGCUUUGUUAUUUUUUCUGCCUCACUUUCCAAGGAUUUUAUCUUUGAAGGCUCUGGGGGCCCAGCUUCGGCUUCAGUCUCUUGCCCUGGAGCUUUAGAAUCAGAAAUUUCAGUUGUUAUUUCAGGAAUAACAGCAGCCUUCUUCGGAGGUGUGCUUGAAGAUUUGAUCGUUUCCAGUACAUCUAGCACAUUAGCCAUUCUCUUUCUUUUCGGAGUUACGGCUGGCACUUUUUGAUUUUUUGCUGUCUCAAUGUUUGCUGCAGGACUCAAAACUUCUGAUGUUUUGGAGCCCUCAGUUGCUUCCUUUACCUCUUCCAUUUUUUCUGUGGACGGCGCUUCGGCCGUCUCUUUCGUUUCUGAUAACAAAAUCUUUGAUUGCUCCAAUUCUAUCUUUGUUGGCACUUCGGCCGUUUCUGCGACUUCUGGCAGCAAAGUUGGCUCGGUUGGUUUUUCAGCUUCGGUGGCCGAAGGAGUUUCUCCGGUAAACUCAGGCACCGAAGCUGGUUCAAUAUAGCGCGGCCGAUGUGUGAGGACUUAUCUUCUUUCUCUUCGGUUCUGGCUCGCUAGGAGCAAUUGUAGCUUCUUCUUUUGCAGAGGUUGUGUUUUUUCUCUUUUGCCUUCGAAUGGGAUAGCAAUAGUCAGGGUAGACAAACCCGAUUGCAUCGAAUACCCGAUUCAGCCUCUUCUUCUUUCGGCCUCCGAAGGCUGCUGACAUUGCAGUGUCUUCGGCCUUCGAAUAAGCCCCAAGCAGUUCAUCACUUAAAUUUUCAAUACUUUUUAACCAGUCAUCAUCUGGCUCGACGAAUUUAUCUCCAAAUUUAAAAGUGUACUUCAACCUGAUAAGUCCACCUUCGUCGGCUUCUUUUACGGUUUCUUGUGGCAUUUCCCAUUUUUUCGCAAGUGGCCAUACCCUGAAGGCAAUAUGCUCUUGAACUAAGUCCCUUGUUCCAAUGAAAGAGCAGACUGCGCCGAAGGCCCUCUGGCAUUCUUCGGCAGCUUCAGUCAUUUCAACCUUCGGCCUCCGAAGGCCGAAGCUUUGCCAAAUAGGGCGCAUGAUUAUACCUUUGAUAUCUUCUCGUAUUGUCAGAUCAUUCUUCACAUAGAACCAUUCUGUCAUCCAGUCUCCGGGCCAUCUCUUCCGAAAGGUUGGCACGGGGCAGCUUGACCCGGACCGAGAAACGAAACUGUAGCAGCCAAAAUUAUUAUGAUACUGUUCCUUACCCCAAGGUUUUGUUUCAUAUGAUAAUUCGUGUAUAUUGCAGAAGCUUUUUGCAUCAGGCUGCAGACCUUGGCUUCUCACGGCCCACACGAAGACAUUCAGCUUUAUGAUUGCUUCGGGGGUAAGUUGGUGAAGAUAGACUUCGAAGAUUUUCAGCACCUCCACGACGAAGCUGCUCAAGGGAAAUCGCAGUCCAGCUUUCAAAAAGCUUCGGUACACUACGACUUCAUUUUCUUCAGGGUGUGGGCACGUUUUUCCCCUUCGUCAGCCCUCACAAUGGAUAAAUCCCGGAAAUACCUUCCUCUCAUGUUGACAAGAUGAUUCUCUUUGAUAGUUGAUUUACCAUAAACUGAAUGGCUUGGUCGCCAGGGACGAUCUUUGGAGUCCUCACCACCACUGUCCACAUCAUAGCUGUCACUGUCACCAGUAUCUUCAGACAAACCUUCCAGAAUCUCCUUGGUGAUUUUUUCUGUAUUGGUCUUUGACAUUGCUAUAAGAAACCCCAAGUUUUUCUCUUCGUCCAGGCUCAGCUUCAUCUCAGCAGCAGUCUUCUUAUCCUCAGACAUCUUCGGAGACACUAAAAACUAUUUUCAAAGCCGAAGCUUCAAAACUAAAGGCUUAACAAAUCUUAGUGCGCAAGAGCUAAAAAUUGAGUGAGCAGGAGCAAUUGGCCAGAGAGCGUGUCAAAUGAGUUUGCGGUAUGACUGUAUUUAUACGCCAAGAGCGUUGAAAAUUGAAAGACCCCGCUUGUCAGUGAAUGUUGCUAUUCUAGCAAAGGGAAGGUGUUUUUUCGGACCUUCGGCGUAAAGCCUUCGUCCAUAUCGCAAUCUAAAUUUAUUAUUUCAAACAAAUUAAUAUUGCGAGGGGCUACUGUUGGGGACCUUCGGCAUCCGAAGGUCCUCAAAAACAGGAUUUAACAGUAUUUCUGGAGCAUAAUGUGUGAACAGGUAUCUUCGGACUCAGGUCGGCAUCACAGCAGACCAGAAUAAUACGAAGGUCGAUACAGCGCCGAAGGUGUGAGCAGGAAAGCUUCGGCGUGACAGCAGAAAGUGGAACCGACUUAAAGAUGAAAAGGCUAUUUAGACCUCAACAGAUUACUAUAGAAUUAUUAUCAACUGUAAAGGACAUGAAUGUAAUUUUGUAUGGGUUGUGUCCCGCGCCUAUAAAUAGGUGAACAGUAUUCCCGUACUGUUCACGCUGACUUGACAUUCGCUUUCUGCGUCACUCUUGUACUAUCAUCUCCUUCCGAUUGAAGGUACACUUGUAAUUCGAUGAUAUUUCUGUUUAUACAUAAUAAUAAUAUAUAAUCGUUCGUAUGGUCUUUUAUAUUCUUUAUAUUUCAUCCUUCAUCAUUGUCUGAUGAAUUUAUGAAGGUACGUCCUUCAUAACCUUCGUCCGUAAGCAAUUAUGUCCUAAGGGAAAUAAUUCUUCGGAGGACGAAGGACUUUAAUGAUUAACGUUUUCUAUGUUGCCUUGUUCUUAACUCAAAGCACUUGAGAACAAGUCCCCAACAACGAUCAGCGGGGAGCAUAGCACGGAAGUGGUCCCACCAAGUCCGAGCAGGGCCGCGAAGCUGCUGUGCGGCGAAGCGAGCCUUGGCCUCAUCAGGGCAGUCUCCCGUGAGGAGGGGAAACUUGGACUCAACGACGCGAAGCCAUACGUCGGCACCCAACGAAUCCUCUGCCUUGGUGAACAAGGGUGGCUGCGUGCUCAGAAACUCCUGGUAAGUUGCCAUAGCCGGAGGUCGCUGAUGCUGGCCUCCACCAUGCUGCUGAGGGUGGGGCUGGCGCUGCAAGAGCUGUCACAGAAUCUCAUUCUGCUAGGCCAUCAGCUCCUGCACUGUGGGAGCUGGAGGAGGUGGCAGGGGAACCUGCUCGUUAUGCCCGCGACGCUGCCUAGCUGUCAUCUGAAAACAGAGAUUGUCGCCAUUGUUAUCCCAACUCACAGUUUCGAACGACAAGAUAUCAUCUCAUAUGGAAGGAAAAAUGCCAUAAUCAUAAUAUUAGGUUCGAAAUGAAGAUAACAUGGUGACAAAUAUCCCACAGAUUUCAAAAGUUCACAGGGUUACAUCAAUCAGGGGAAGGUACCCAUAAGCCUAGUCCAAAAUCUGACAUUAACUAAGCUCGCAUAGGUUUCUAUCCGCCUAAAAGUGUCGAAGUGACUGCUUAACCCUGAGCGGUGGAAGCGACACUAGAUACGGGUGAAGGAGGCAUCGCAGAGGUAGUCCCAUUGGCACCAUGGGCUGGUCCUAGCUCCUCGGGAGCCUCUUCUCCCUCGCUUCCUGCUUCAUUGGCCUCCAUCUCCAGGUGGUGCAUGUCCAAGUGGUCGUUUGCUUCUUCGAGUUCCCUCUGCACAUCGUGAAGAUGAUUCUCCAAGACAUCAAUAGUGUUGUCUCGGAUCUCCACCUGCUGCUCCAAGGUGGUGAUGCGCUGGCUCAGCCUCUUCACCUGCAGAUCCUUCUCUACCAACUCGGUGGAUAGAUCAACCACAAAAUCUUCUCGACUGUCGAGAGUGAGCUUGGCAGUUUGAGCGGUGUUAGCAAGGAGUGCCAUAGCAUCGCUCUGAAGGGCCUGAAGGCGGUACAACGCACUCAUGCACUGAACAGUGACCCUCCCAACCAAGUCAGGAUACAUCGCCCACACAUCCUUCACAUGGCUCACGCGGUUACACCACAUGGGAUCAUCCUUCUUCUCAGCAGGGAAGAGUCCCAAGGGGUGCAUCACCAUCUCCAGGGGAUGGUAGCCACAGAAAGUCGUCAGAGUCUUCAUGGCUGCUGCUUCAACGGUGUCGUCCAUCCUGAGUCCAAUCAUCUCAGAAUCAAGAGAACGCCAACCCGGCUGAAGGGGAUGAGCCUCCAAAGUCAGCCAGACCCGACAACGAGGUACCCGAUGCUCCUCAUACAACUGCACCGUGUACAAAGGGGGCGUAGGGUAACCGGCGGAGUUAAGCACUUCCCACAAGAUGGAAGGAAAACCAUCGCGAGAAAGGAAGUCAGAACUGAAACGAGAGUCUCCUCCACUGGCGGGGUGGGUGAAUUCAUCUGCAGAAGGGAAUCAAGGGUAACGAUUAUGGUGGAAGGAAUAAGAAAGAAAAAAAAGAGCCCGGAUGGUUUUAGAGAAAGUGGGUUAGCUCAAAAUUUUAAUUCCUCUUUAUGUUUUAUAAUGCAUGCAUGCUGGAAGUAACGUUGCCUCUCACAAGAAAAUAUGGUGCUUUUUAGGGCAUCCUUAAAAAUAUAAGUACUGGCCCACGGGGCCUAAUUAGCCACCUAUUUCUCCCUCUAUGCCUAAGGCCUUUCGUCCUAGGUCUAGCGGUCUAGUCCUGACGAUCUGUAGCAAUUUCUAGGCAAGUUUUAGAUUUUGAAGAUUGGUAUUCAUGGUUUAUUGUCCUUCUCUGUGGUGGAAUUUGCUCCGAUACCAGCUGUGGCAGAACCACCCGAAUUAUUCCAGCUUAAGUGCCUAAGUCACGCCUCAGGGGCCGUAACACACUUAAAUCGGAAUAACCCGUCAGUCCCUCAGAUCUAGUCUGAUAGAGCCACUUAACCAGGAUCAAAUUCCACAAUCUCACUCGAAGGUGAGUCACAUAAAUACAAUAAAACAGGAAACCUCAAAUUAAGUGCUGAAUUAUUACAUAGAUCUGAGUUUUUGAGUAGCAAAUAAAGUUCACAAAAUAAAGUGCAGCGGAUAAUCGAUGUCGUCGGUAUCGAGGAAUUGGGCAAGGCCUAGCCCACUACUCCUCGUGCUCCUCUCCUGCCGGAGCAACAUCCCACUCGACCGUCCAACCCGGUGGCAGGGUGGUUGGCCAAGUCACACCAUCAACCAUUUCCUGAAUGGUACCUGCAAAAAUUGUGCCACAAGCAAGGCUGAGUAUACUAAUACUCAGCUAGACUUAACCGGUGUGAGGAGUCUACUCCUCUACCUCUAGACUAUGCAGCUGUUUGGCUGAGGGGUUUGGUUUGCCAAAAGCACUAGCUGUUUCUAAAAUCAAUUUUUAGCUUUUCAAAUUCUAUCAUCAUCAACUUAGCUAGAUUUGCUCCUUCUAAGCAUACAUGGUGACGAGCAUUUAGUUCAAUCAACAAGUUAUCUCAUGUAACCUCAUUUCACUUCUUACUCGAUGGAGUACAAGGGGUCAAGCAGUCUCAUUAGCUGCGAGAAGCAGACGAUUCGAAUCGAGUUUUAACCUUGCAAGAUAAACCUAAACACAUGACAUGUCAGGGUACUCCGUCCCCACACACGUCAACCGUCCCCAUCGAUCCCCCGUUCGCAUCCAGGCCUCACCGCCUUGGCAUACAAUGCUCCACUGACCCCGGCCGCCGCCGUGCAGUGACCGCACUUGUACCCACCAUAGCUAGCAUGGGAGACCCAGUCUCAGGUCGUAUGAGGGAUAAAGUCCGCGCCCGGCUUCAAUCAGGUACUAGGUUUACCGGUUACCAUUUUUCCCGGCAUGUGCUUAGUACGUUCAUAAGCUUGACUCAGGUAUCCACACAUUAAUCCUUAAUUCCUUUUCCCGUCUCAUGGACAAGGCAUCCUCCCUGGAUCCAAGUCCAUAGACUAACAUAUAUCCUGUUAUCAAGAUGAAUACAAUCAAUUCCUGACCUCGCGCGAGUGCUAGAAAAAUCACUCGACUUCUACCGAGAUCCUGAUUAACAAGCAGCUACUCGACCUAGCAUACUAGUAUUCAUCUCAAAAAGGAAUCCUAAGUUCAUGCAACUAGAGGUUUCAAGCAACUCCUACACUUAAGUGCACAUUGCAAUCCUACAAGCAUUAAGUGUAGUAAAGUAGCAUAUAAUAAUACAGUUAUGCAUAAAACCGGGGCUUGCCUUCAAUUGCUGGGGCUGCGGGGAGAUCCUCAAUAGCAGCCUCUGAAGCCUGCUCCUGGUCCUCCUCUUGGACAUGUCCUUGCUCGGGGAUGAGCACGUACUCUCCGUCGGCAAGAUUACAAUCUAAUGAAUGCAAUGUGUAAGAUACAUGCAUGAUAUGAUAGGUGCUUUAGAAAUUACAACUUUUGACGGUGUAUGAUCUACUUGGGUUAAACAAGGUUAACUUUACUUAUGUAAGACCCUUGGGUGGUAUACUUGGUAAAUUGGGUCAAACUUAGCUAAGGUAAGUGGUAGGUUUAUUUUUGGGGUUCCACUGAAUUCUUUUUAAGUCUUAGUGAGAGUUGAUAAGUACUCAAGUUAGACUUAUUGGGGUGAGGUUUAUUUCCUCUUCCCUUUUCUUUUACUCUCUUAAAUGUUUUGGAGUGGGUUUGAACUACAAGUUGCUUUUAUAAAAUUCUAAAACUUCUGCAAAAAUUACAGUGGCUUGGUACUGGUGUAUAUUUCUCUGUCUCAAAAUUUGGGGAUCAGAAAGUGAAUAGUUUUCUCUGGACAAAAUUAUUAAAUUCUAGCGCAGAAGGGGUGCUUUGAACUACAACUAUUAUUUAACAGUGGGUAGUUCUCUAAAACUUAUUUUGCUGGCUUUUAGGUGUUAUAACAUGACUUGAUACAAAUUUCUAGUCAUUAAUACCUUUUAAUUAUUUUACUAUGGUUUUCUCAAGUUUCUUGCCAAAUGGGUGCUUUCUACUACCACUAUAUUUGAAAAAUAUCAAACAACAGAGUUCUUAUUUUUCUUAGUUAUUGUUUUGCGCAAGAGCAAUCAUUCUGAAGUUUGGCCUCUUUUUGCUUAAGGGAAGGGGUGGUAUGCAUUAUUUAAAUUAAGUGGCAUUUCCCAUAAAACACUAGCAAUAGGUAGGAGUUUGCUUCUUUUUCAUGGGUUUGCAUUUUUCUCUGGUGGUUUAUCUCAUUAUGAACUUAGCUAAUUUUUGGUUGCCCAUUAUCACAUUAUUAGGGGUUGUUCAUGAUUUAUUUGGAAAAUACCUCAUUAGCAUUCUAUAUUUAUUUUCCUUACUUAAAAAGUUGGGCUGAGGUGUUCUUUAUUUUUGUAGUGGGGCUCUGGUGGUUGUAAGUCCACUGGAUUUUUAUUAUUCAUUUUGGGUAUAGUUUUGUAAUUCCAAUAAUUGAUUCUUAGUUCAAAUAAGGCUAAAUAAAGUAUUUUAAUUUAAAACUGAUCUGGACUAAGGGUCUCUUUAUUUUUCCUAUGUUCUCUGUUGCAUAAGCAAACUAGGAAAAAUAAUUUUACUCACUGUUCAUCAAUUUCUAAUGCCUUUCUGGUUUUUUUUAAGUUUUGGGCAAAAUAGCUUUAAAUGAUUAUCUACAUCAUAUUUUCCAAUGCUAGGGUUCCCACUAUUUUAAACAGUGUCUAAGUGAGGUUUGAAUACCUACAAAUUUUCUUAUGUUCGGUACAGAAGAAAAACAAAUUUUCCUUAAUUAAACUAGGUUUGGUAAGUUUCUGUUUUUAAUUUUAACUCUAAAAUUUAGAACAGAAAGCAUAGGGUUUAUCAUUUUUAAAUGAUAGCUCAUAAUAUUUAGGAUCUAGCAAAAAUAGUUUGACAACUUUUGAUUAAGAAUUCAUCAAGUUAUGGAUUUUCUAAGUUCUCUGGUUAUUUAAAAAGAUUAACAGAAUUGAUUAAAUGGAAAACUACUUUGCACGGGGGUCCCUGGCGGGUAUUUUAAGUUUCCUUCGCAGAUCAGUCCUUAGGCUACUAUUCACAUGGGUCACUGACUUUACAGAAAACCCCUGGGGUUCUCCAAAUCCUAACCCGAGGUCCUUCUCCUAACUUAAACAGUAACCGCGGCGGAAGAAAGGGCGGAGGGGCUUACCGGCGGCGAGAUGGCUCCGGUGAAGUGGUCGAGGACGUAGGGGAGGUCUCGGGGAUCACAACGGUGUGCGGGUCGCCGUCGGGGAUGGCCGGAGUUGGCUGGUCCACGUGCGCAGGCGGGGAUGCUCGUCGGCGGCGAGGAGUCCGGCCUGCUCAUGGCGAGAUAGUUCAAUUGGACGGCUCAGAGAGGUUCACGGGAUGCCAGAGAAGAUAUGGGUGCAAGGAAUUGGACGGAGACUCACCGGUUAGCUCUGUCCACGCGCGGUGGCGAAAGACCGAAGUCCGGUGAGGUCGAUCUCGGGCCUCCGGUGAAGUCCGGCCUGGUCUGAGGGCUUGGAAAGCUUCACGGGCCACUGGCGGAGCUAGCCGAAGCACUGGCUCGACUUGGGGGUGGCUGGAGUGGGCUGGCCACGGUGGCCGAAGCUCUGGCGGCAAUGGCGGGCAGAAUUGAGCUCGCCGGAGCUAAGGAGAGGGGGCUGGCCGGUGAAGGUGAGCGCGGGGUGAAGUGGGGCGCGCCCGGGGAGGCUUUAUAGGCGCGGGCGAGCACGGCCGAGGGCGAGGCUCUGACAUGCGCUCGGGGCGUGUGCGGCGAACGCCAGUGCGCGCUCUGGCGCCUGGCACAGCGUCGAGCACGAGGCAGUGCAGAGAGAGGUCAAGUUCAAACGCGGAUUGGGCCCAAAUCUUUGAAAUUAAGGCCACGAUCCCGUUGAAAGAUCUCUUCCUCUUAGGUCCCUUUGUCGUUUGUGUGUGGAGGCUAGCAACUUUCGCUGACUGGAUUAAGAGAUAGAGAGGGGAGAAAUCCUGUUUGUCUCACUGCCACACACAGGGAAAAAUUCUCUGGUUUGACGUGUCCGAGGCACGCGUCCCAAUGCCAUCUCCUGGCACAUGACAGAGGGGUUAAUUAGGCACAUUUUUGUUAAUGGGGCCAUUAGGAUUCGAGUUAGGGAUCAAGGUGAAAAUCCCUGAUCUUUGGCUCAAGGUCUGAAUUUCAGAAUUCUGAAAUUCAGAAUUCCCAUUAAGUCCCCACAUGAGAAGCUUGAUUUGGGGUUUUAUUUGAGUUAAUUUGGCCAAGCUUUCUCAACCUUUCUUGUUACUUAUUUAAUAUACUUCAAUUUUUAUAAUUGGCUCAUGUCAUAAUUUUAAAUUUUUCAUACCCUUUUCCUUAUUUUCUUGAAUUUUGCUCAUGGGGCUCACUUAGGGUUUUUAUUAGGGUUACACCAUUCUUACCUUUUUGAAGGACCCAUUUGCUUUGGUCAUGAUACUUUUAAGUAUAUGCUUGGUGAAUUCUUUAUUGCUUAAGUUAAUUUGAUGCUCAUGCUUACUUUGGUUCACAUAAAAUGAUGGUUCUUGGUUUGGCAUUUUGAGAGAAACCCUAGGUGACACUGGGGUGUCACAAAUUUAAAGGCAGCGCAGUCUAGACAGCGAAGCUAUGCUGACACCCGAAGAAGAGAACUCAAUUUCAAAGUGGGAGACUAUGUCUACUUGAAGGUGUCACCCAUCAGAGGAACCAAAAGGUUUGGAGUCAAAGGCAAGCUAGCACCCUGAUAUAUUGGGCCGUAUCAGAUCCAAGCGAGACGCGGAGAAGUGGCUUAUCAACUCAGCUUACCAGAGAACCUGUCCGCUGUGCACGAUGUGUUCCAUGUGUCAGAAGAGCAGUUGCCAGCAGAGGAUCUUGAAGUUCAAGAAGAUCUAACAUAUAUUGAGAAGGCAACUCAAAUUCUAGAGACAGCAGACCGGGUCACUCGAAGAAGUACCAUCAGGAUGUGCAAAGUCAAAUGGGGUCACCACUUAGAAGAAGAAGCAACCUGGGAAAGAGAAGAUGAAUUGAAAGCCAAGUACCCUGAGCUCUUUUCUAGCCAGCCCAAAAUCUCGAGGGCGAGAUUCUUUUAAGGGGGAUAGGUCUGUAACACCCUGAUUUUGGGGGUAUAAAAUUUCUUUCUAAUUAUCACCCAAAAUCAUGUGUUACUCUUCCUUUUCUCACUCUAGGCUUUCUCUCUCUCUAGAUUCUUGCUCCCUUUUUCCUUUUGAUUAGAAAUAGCUUAAACUAGUGGAGAUUAAUUAUUUAUUUUUGUCAAAACCUUAUGAGUCAUGACAUGUUGCAUCAUGCUGAGCUUAAAAUAUUCUUUGAAGUGUUGCACAAGUUUGAAUUUAUUUGAAUUUGGAUUUGAAAACUCUAUAGAAAAAGAAAUGGAAAAACAAUUAGAAAAUCUAGAGAAAAAGGAAAAGGGAAAGCAGCCCAGUCGGCCCACUAAGCCCAGCCAGGCCGCGCGCCCGCGCGCCCGCGCCGCCUGACAGGCGGACCCCGCCUGUCAACGGCAGUUCUCCCUCGCGCGUGCCCUCUCUCUCUCGCUCGCUGCCCAGUGGGCCGAUCUGUUGGCGCCUGUUUUUCUCCCCUACGCGCUCCCUCUCUCUCUGUCUCGCGGGCCCGGUUCGCCAGUCGCCGAGCCAUUGCCCCGCGCACCCUUUCUUCUCUCUCUGUGCCGUGGGCCUGCCCUGUCAGUUUCGCCCCCUCCACGCUCGCCGUGGACCGGCGCGUUCGCACUCGCGCACGUCGCUGGAUUUCUCGGCCACGACGCCCGCCCACGCGCCCAGCUCCUUUCUUAGAGCCCUGCCAGUGCCCCCGCCCACAUCCCUCGCCUCAUUUCGCUUAGCUUCACCCUCUCUCGCACUCUGCCCACGCCGCCAACCACCGCCAGAGACCCGCGCCCGCGUUCCCGGCCAUCCAGCUCGCCGGAGACCGCUCCAAGCCUCCUCGAGCUCCGCCCCGAGGUGAGACACCCGUCCCCGUGCCCAAUUUCCCCUAUUGCGCCCUGUGUUCGGCCAAUUUCGCCUUCACCGAUGCUCGGCCACGGCGGACCGCCGUGCUCGCGCGGUGGCCGGCCGAUUUAGCCCGGUCUAGUUCCCCGGCGUUAGUCCCUAAGGUGCCUCUGCCUCUGCUGAAGCUAGCCAAGGCCUUAGCGCGCCUUAAGUCUCUUCCCUGUGGCCGGAAUGGCUCACCGGAGUUGCUCCGGCCCGCUCGAGGCUUCCUCACCGCCGUUCUCCCUUCUCUGCCCGUGGAUUCAUGGCCUCUUCCCCGCCAUUGAGUUUGCCGUGGCGCCCUCUCCCUCUCUGCCCAACUCCGGCCACCCGGAGCCACCCUAGACCGCGCCAGCCUCAACUCUGGUGACCUCACCACCGUGGAGAGGAGCGGCGCUGCCCGCAGCCAUUGAACCCCCUCGGUCUGAUCCCCUCCGUCCAAUUCGGAUCGAAUGGCUCAGAUCACAAAUAACGCUUCGCGCACGCACGCCGUAGCGCCCUGGCCCGCUUGUAAGCGCCAAAACCCUCUGGCGCUGAGCCCGCUCGGUCGGCGCGCUCUCCCCCUCUAUCGCUGACACUCCAUCGCCCGCCUGUCAGCGCUCGCCCGCUCUCACGCGCGCGCCCUCGGCCGCAGAUCUAAUCUCAGCCGUUGGGUUUAGACCUGUCGGUUAGAUUCACCCGAUACCCCUUCGCGCGGUAGUUUUCUUAAAGAGACCCUCGAUUUAUUGGAAAUCAACCCGCCGUCCCUGGUUUUCGCGCGCAGGCCCCUGUAAUCUUGCAGAUUUAGCCCUGGACUUUUAAAUAUUCACAGAAUUAGCCCUAAUUUCAUAUUUUGAAUUCCCAAACUUGUUUAUUUCAUAACUUUUGCAUAUGAACUCCAAAUUUAGUGAUUCAAAUUGCAAAAUGUUCAUAGAAUUAUUCUCUGUUUAAAUAAAAUGGUUUCACUUACUGUCUACACACUAUAAUUUUUAGGAUUGAAUAUGAACUAAUGUAGAUGUAUUUUUAUUUAUUUAAUAAAAUAAAUAAAAGGAGAACCUUAGAGAUUUAAACAUGUGUAAGCUUGUGAGAUUAAUAAUGUGUAUUACAUGAGUUUACCUCUGUUCUAAAUUUUAGGUCACAAUAAAAUAAGUUGAACUAUGUUUAUGUACUUGUAAGUAACACUUAGGGGAAAUAGUAAUCUAUUUUCAAAUAAAGUUAAUGUAGGUUAUAGUUUAUGUUAUACUUUGAAUUCAUUAUCCCUUAUAUAGUAUUAUGUCUUUUUAAGAUGUGUUCCAAUGUUUGUACAUGUUUGGUGUGAUGUUCAUUUGUACUUUCCAAAUGUAUUGAAUGCAUGCUCGCUUUAUUUAGACAACGAGCAGUCCGAGGUUCCUGAGUGUGUUGUUGGAGACCACCCUGAGCAACCACCUGGUGAAGGUAAGUGUGCUCUGACCUAUUAUGUCCUACAUACUUUAUGAUUCAUUGUCCCACAUUACUUUAUGAAACCUAAGGACUGACUAGUCUAUAUUCACUUAUCCUUAUUUACCUUUUGGGUUAUCAUGGUUAGCAUGUUGCUAUUGCCUUAACUUAAUAAAUGAACAUGAUGUGAACAUUUAUGAUACGAUACUGUUAUCCUGAUUAUGUGGAUGAUCUUGUGAUACCUUAGGGGGUUCAGGCCUUUUUCCUGAGUACCUCUCCGUAAGGACCUGUUUGUGGAGUGACCACCCGGGAUAACAGUGCAACCAUGAGGGUGGAAUGGGACGCCCUUAGUUGAUUAAUUAGAUGAACCUAGGGGCGUAGUUGGCUUUGCCGGAGGGCCAUCAAUGGGGGCCGGGGCGUAGUGCUCGCUCUGCCAAGGUUGGGGUGCAGAGGUUCUUUCGAUUUGGUUUUGUUAGUCACCCACCUUGGGGAGGUGUACUGCGUUUGUACGACUGGCGAAACCUAACGAGCAGCUAUGCACCAGGGGAGUCUUUGUAAAGGCUACGUAGUGUAUCCCUGGCCAUUCACCUUGGUAGUGAAGAUCGGGUCUGUAGAACCCAGGCUGGAAAAGGAUCACGACUUGUGGGUAAAGUGUACAACCUCUGCAGAGUGUUAAAAACUGGUAUAUCAGUCGAGCUCACGGUUAAGAGCAGCCUUGGGAUCCUCUUUGAUUAGAAGAAUUUUGGAUAUUUUUAUGAUGAUGAUUAAUAGUGAUGUUAUAAAAUCUGAUCUCUGGUAUUUCCUCUUGGAGGGAGUGACUCUGGGUAAUAACUGGGUUUAUUACUAAAAGUUGGCUCUACUAAUAACAAUAAAUACUUGACUAACCUAAAAGAAACUGCUUGACCUCAACCCAUAUACAGCUAAGCCACUUUAGCCAAACGGGACAUUUGCUGAGUAUGUUGAUGUGUACUCACCCUUGCUUUACACACCACCCCCACCCCAGGUUGUCCCCAGUGUACUCAGUGCUCUGGAGGUGAUGCUGGCAACAUGGAUGACUUCGUGGAGUUCCAGGAAUAUGACGAGUUCUAGUUCUUUCUUAGUGGCAAACCCCAGUCAGCUGCCUGUGUAGGCUUAGCAUCUACAUUUCGUAUUUCCGCACUUUGAUAGUUAUGUUAAAGACAAUGGUAAUGUAAUAGACUCUAUGGAUGUCUUGGACAUCUUGAUGUAAUAAAGUACCUUUCCGCUAUUUAUUUCGAGCAUUGUGUGAUGAUGUCCAAUUAUGUAAUCGCUGUAUGUGAGUUUCUAAUCCUGGCACGUACAUGGUUCACAUUUGGUUUGCCUUCCAAAACCGGGUGUGACAUCGUCCUUAGCCAUGAGACAAUUGUGGCCAACGUUUGGGAAGAGGAGGCCUUUGUUGACAGCGAUGUUGGCGGCGUCCUCGUCGGAGGAGUCGAUGGAGCUCUCGUCGGAGUCCCUUUCCCGACAUAUGUGCGCAUCGCCGCCCUUGUUUUUGUAGUAUCUCUUCUUCUCCUUAUUCUUCCCCUUCUUGUCUUCGUCCUUGUCACUUUCACUAGAGAUUGGACAUUUAGCUAUGAAAUGACCAGACUUACCACACCGGUAGCACACCCUUUUGGAACAGGACUUGUAGUCCUUCCCCCUCCUUUGCUUGAGGAUUUAGCGAAAGCUCUUGAUAAUGAGCACCAUCUCCUCGUUGUCAAGCUUGGAGGCGUCAAUUGGAAGCCUACUUGGUGUAGACUCCUUCUCUUCUUCCGUUGCUUUGAAUGCGACGAGUUGCACCUCGGGUGGAGAGGUGGCGCCUUGCUCCAAGUUGACAAUGUGUUUGGAGUCUUUGAUCAUAAGUUCAAAGCUCACAAACUUGCUAAUCACUUCCUCGAGAGACAUUAGUUUGUAUCUAGGAUCUCCACGUAUUAAUUGAACUUGAGUAGGAUUACGAAAAACAAGGGAUCUUAGAAUAACCUUGACCAUUUCAUGGUCAUCCCAUUUGGUGCUCCCGAGGUUGCGCACUUGGUUCACCAUGGUCUUGAGCUGGUUGUACAUGGCUUGCGACUCUUCUCCUUUGUUGAGGACGAAUCGAUCGAGUUCUCCCCCGAUCGUCUCCCACUUGGUGAUCUUGGUCACCUCGUCCCCUUCGUGCGCGGUUUUGAGGACGUCCCAAAUUUCUUUGGCACUAUUUAACCCUUGCACCUUAUUAUACUCUUCUCGACAUAAAGAGACUAGGAGUAUAGAAGUUGCUUGGGAGUUAAAGUGCCUAAUUUGGGCGGCCUCUUCCGAGUCGUAGUCCUUGUCCCCCACCUUAGGUACCUACGCUCUAUACUCAACAAUAUCCCAAAUACUUUCGUGGAGUGAGGUUAGAUGGUGCCUAAGUUUAUCAUUCCACAUACAAAAAUCUUCACCAUCAAAAUAUGGUGGCUUGCCUAGGGGUACAGAGAGUAAUGGGGCGUGCUUUGAAAUAUGGGGAUAGCGUAGGGACAUCUUACUAUACUUCUUGCGCUCAUGGCGCUUAGAAGUAGUGGACGACUCGGAGCUUGAUGUGGAGGGUGAUGAAGAGUCGGUCUCGUAGUAGACCACCUUCUUCAUCUUCUUCUUCUUGUCACCUCUCCGAUGCGACUUGAUGGAGGAAGAGGAUUCCUCCUUGUGUUUGUUGCCGGAUAGGUGUGGAAACGAGCCAAGCCGAGCUCGGCUCGGCUCGUUACGGCUCGCUCAUGCAACGAGCCGAGCUCGGCUCGGCUCGCCCAUCUGGCGAGCUCGGAAAAGCGGCUCGGCUCGGCUCGCUCCGGGCUCGUCGAGCCAAUGAGCCUAGCCAUAAACGUAAAUCUGCUCUCUAAAUUAUAAUAUAAAAUCUUAAAAAUAUUUUAAAUAACAUAUUUUAAAUUAAUAAAAUAGACAUAUCGCUAAUAUAAUAUAUAAAAUAGAUUAUUUUUGUAUAGUUAUCUCAAAUAACAUAAAUUAUUGUCUACUCGGUACUAACAUUAUAUACUAAUUAAGAUUUUAUGUAACAAAUUGUUGUUGGGUCGAGCCACGAGCCAGCUCGCGAGCUGCACCGAGCUGAGCCGAGCUGGCUCGCUCUUUUCACGAGCCGCAAAAACAGGCCCGACUCGGGCUCGUUAUGAACGUCGAGCCGGUCCGAGCCGAGCCGAGCUACUGCGAGCCUGAGCCAGCUCAUCGAGCUCGAGCUUUUUUUCCAGCCCUAUUGCCGGACUCCCUUGAGAGAGUCCUCCCCGAGCUUGCGUCUUUUUCACCGGUCAUGAUCUCCAUCUUGGCGUGAUCUCUAGACAUCACUUCGAGUUGGUUAGACUCGUAAUGAAGCACUGGCUCCGAUACCAAUUGAAAGUCGCCUAGAGGGGGGUGAAUAGGCGAAACCUGAAAUUUAUAAACUUAAAUGCACACUAAGGUCAGGGGUUAGCAUUAAUUAAAUUCAAGUCUAAAGAGAGGGAAAAACAAAUCAAACAAGAAUCAAGGCGAUUGAAUACGAUGAUUUGUUUUACCGAGGUUCGGUUCCAAAGAACCUAGUCCCCGUUGAGGAGGUCACAAAGACCGGGUCUAUUUCAACCCUUUCCCUCUCUCAAACAGUCACUUAGACCGAGUGAGCCUUCUCCUUAAUCAAUCGGGUCACUAAGACCCCGCAAGGACCACCACACACUUAGGUGUCUCUUGCUUUGAUUACAAGUCACUUGAGAGCAAGAAUGAGAAAGGAAGAAAGGCAAUCCAAGAAACAAAAGCGCAAAAGAACAUGAACACACACUCUCUCAAGUCACUAAAUGGUUGAGAUGAAAUCUAGACUUGGAGAGGGUUUGAUCUUUGUAAAUGUGUCUUGGAGUGAAUGCACUAGCUCUUGUAUUGAAUGUGAUCUCUGAAAAACUUGGAUGCCAAAGGUUGUGGUGGUUGGGGGGUAUUUAUAGCACCCAACCACCUUGGUAGCCAUUGGUCAAGGCUGCUGGCGAUGGGCGCAUCGGACAAUCCGGUGCGCCACCGGACAUGCACUGUUCGUUGUCCGGUGCGCCACCAUGUCACUUAACCGUUAGGGUUCUGAGUUGGUCGACCGUUGGAGACUUUGUCUUCUUGCGGUACCGGACUGUCCGGUGCCACACCGGAUAGUCCGGUGCCCUCUGACUUCGUUGCUCCGACUUCUGCCGCGGCAUUGUAGCCCACUGUAGCACUUUGCAGAGUCGACCGUUGGCGCUGGAUAUCCAUUGCCCGCUGGCUCACCAGACAGUCCGGUGGCACACCGGAUAGUCCGGUGAAUUUUAGCGGAGCGCGCCCUGGAAUUCCCGAGAGUGGCUGGUUGACAUCUGUACGGUCCUGGUGCACUGGACACUGUCCGGUGGCACACCGGACAGUCCGGUGCGCCAAUUUUCAGCACACUCAAGUCCUUUUGCUCCAAUAAAAUUGUGUCCCUGUUGAAGACUUGUUCUCAAAUGCUAUGAGUUAAGAACAAGGCAACACAAAAAAUGUUAAACGUUAAAGUCCUUCGUCCUUCGAAGCAUUAUUUCCCUUGGGGUAUAAUGAUUUUUGGACGAAGGUUAUGAAGGGCGUACCUUCAUAAGCGCAACAUAUAAUAAUGAAGAGAGAAUCAUAUGAAAUAUAAAAGAUAACAUGAACAAUUAUGUAUUAUUAUCAACUCAUUUCUAUUUUACUAUUAUGGAAAAAUAGAAAUGACAUCAAAUUACAAAUGUACCUUCGGCUUGAAAGAAGGUAAAAGUACAAGCGUGACGCAAAAGCAGAAUGACCAGUCAGCGUGAACAGUACAAGAGCACUGUUCAUCUAUUUAUAGGCACGGGACGCAACCCAUGUAAAAUUACACCCAUACCCUUUACAUUUGCUAAUGACUAUAUAGUAAUCCAUCGAGGUCUAAAUAGCCUUUUCCCUUUUAAGUCGGUUUCCUUUUCUGCUAUCAUGCCGAAGCUCGCCUGUGCAUAGCUUUGGCUCUGCGCCAACCUUCGUAUUCUUUGUGCUUUUUCACACUGUGGUUCUGAUCUGAGUCUGUAGGUACCUGUUCAUGUAUUAUACUCCAGAAACAUUGUUAAAUCAUGUUUUUGAGGACCUUCGGAAGACGAAGGCCCCCAACAGUAGCCCCUCGCAAGGUUAAUUUGUUAGAAUAACGAAUUCAUAUUGUGAUAUGGACGAAGGCCCUAUGCCGAAGGUCCGAAAAAACACCUUCCCUUUGCUAGAAUAGCAACAACUAAUGACAAGCGGGGCCCUCCAUUUUGCAAUGCACUAGAUGUAUAAAUAGGAGCACACGACGAGCUCAUUUGGCACGCUUUUUGCCGUCUGCUCUGCUUGCUCAAUUUUUAGCUCUUGCCUACCAACGCUUGGUUGGUUUUUUAGAUUUUCUAAGCUUCGGCUUUAAGAGCACAUUUUCAUCAUUUCCGAAGAGAUGUCUCAAGAUAAGAAAGCUGUUGUUGAGACGAAGCUAAGCGAGGAGGAGAAGCUCUCUGAGGAGAAGACUGCUGGCUUUAUUGAAUCAAUAGCAAAGACAAAUACAGAAAAGAUUACUAGGGAGAUUUUAGAAGGCUUAUCUAAAGACACCGGUGACAGCGACAGUUAUGAUGUGGAAAGUGGGGGCGAAGACUCCGAAGAUCGACCCUGGCGACCAAGUCAUGCAGUUUUCGGAAAAUCAACUAUUAAACAGAGUCAUCUUGAUAAUAUGAGGGGAAGAUAUUUUCGAGAUAUGUCUAUUGUGAGGGCUGACAACGGAGACAGGACUGCUCCUGUUCCCGAAGAGAAUGAAGUCGUGAUCUUCCGAAGCUUUUUCAAAGCUGGGCUUCGGUUCCCCUUAAGCAGAUUUGUGGUUGAAGUUUUAAAGAUAUACCAAAUUUUCCUUCACCAAAUUACUCCCGAAGCAAUCAUAAGAAUGGGAAUCUUCGUCUGGGCCAUGAGGAGUCAUGGCUUGGAGCCAAGUGCAAAAAGUUUCUGCAGUAUGCACGAACUUUUAUAUGAGACGAAGCCCUGGGGUAAAGAGCAGUAUCAUAACAAUUUUUGUUGCUACAGCUUCGUUGCUCGUUCUAGCUCAAGCUGCCCAGUGCCAACUUUUCGAAAGAGAUGGCCCGGGGACUGGAUGAAAGAAUGGUUCUAUGUGAAAAAUGAUUUAAAGGCACAAGAAGACAUUAAAGAGAUCAUCAUGCGCCCCAUCUGGCAGCGUUUCGGCCUCCGAAAACCGAAGGUAGAGAUUGAUGAGGCAGCCGAAGGAUGCCGAAGGGCCUUCGGCACGGUUUGCGCUUUCAUCGGGACAAGGGAUCUAAUCCAGGAGCAUAUAGCCUAAAGAGUAUGGCCACUUGUAGAGAAGUGGGAAAUGCCGAAGGAGACUGUCACUAAGACUGACGAAGGAGAGCUGGUUCGACUGAAAUACACCUUUAGAUAUGGAGAUAAAUUUGAUGAGCCAAGUGAUGACUGGCUGAAAUGUAUCGAAGCUACAAGUGAUGAACUGCUUGGGCCGUACUCCAAAGCGGAAGAUAAUGCGUUAUCUGCGGCCUUCGGGAGCCGGAAAAAGAAGAGGCUAAAUAGAGUUUUUGAUGCUAUUGGAUUUAUGUAUCCUGACUACCACUACCCGCCAAGGGGGCAGAAGAGAAAGAGUGCAACUUCUGGGAAGGAUGUUACUUCAGCUGCUCCGAGUGAGCCCGCUCCGAAGAGGAGAAAGGUGAAGGUUCUUACUCACCAACCGCGCUAUAUUGAACCGGCCACAAUGCCCGAAUUUGGUGGUGAAACCUCUUCGGCUACUGAAGCCAAAGAACCUGUGCUUACAUAGAAGAUUGAAGAGUCGGCUGCAAUGCCGAAGGCAUCCUCAGCCAAAUUAGCUGAGCCGAAGGCCGAUAAUAUUGAAGAGAUAGAGGUCGAAAGAACAAAGCUAUUAGAAGUUAUAAGCCCUUCGGCAGAAGUGACAGAGCCGACAGCACAAAAAGAUCUUACAAUGACCCCCAAGAGGAAAAGGAUGGUCAACGUACUAGAUGUGUUGGAGACGAUAAAGACUUCAAGCUCUACUCCAGGGAAAACUGGCGAAGCUUCAAAAACGCAGACUGAGACAAAACUAACCGAAGCCGAAGCUGUAAAGAACCAGGCCGAGACCGAAGCUGGGCCUUCAGAGCCCGCCAAGGAGAAAUCCUUUGAAACCGGAGAAAAGGAAACGGAAAAAGAAGCUGCAAAACAAAUUCUGCCUGAAAAAGCUAUCACUUCUACUCCCGAAGCAUCUUCUGAAGUUCUUGGUUAUAUUGUAUGACACGCUUCGGGAAAAAGAUUAUCUGAAGAAGAGAUUUUUGAAGCUAAACACUAUGCCCGAGAACUGAAGUAUCUGAAAGGGGCCUUAGUAUUCAAUGGCACAGACGAAGAAGACUUCUUAUACUGCCUCCCAGACAACAAAGAAUUAUCUGUCUGCCGAGAGAUGGCUAGAAGUAUGGGGUUCCCGAAGCUUGAAGCUAGCCUCUGCGCUAUGACGAAGGAUGAUCUUGCAGAUAGCCUCGCAUAUAACAGUCUGAAGGUACAAAAAUUGUAUAUUUGGAAAUUUAUAAAUUUUGAACUAUUCUUUUGCUCUUAUACUAAUUCUUUUCAUAUAGGGUUUAAUACUUAGCAACGCCUUGAGAGCGCAAAAGAACGCCGAAGACGAGAGCUACACUAUUGCUUUCAACAACCUUCAAAUAGAGGUUAUUAAGCUGAGGAACGAAGCUUUGGAAAAAGAUAAAAUUCUGCUUACAUUGGUGGAUAAUGUAAAGAAGGAUGAAGCUAACUUUAAAACCCAAUCUGAAGCCCAAAAAAUUGAGAUUGAAGACCUUCGGAAGCAACUGGCCGAAGCUAAAGAGAAGUGCGCAGUCGCAGAAGCUAAACGAGGAAUUAGCGAACAAUGGACAAAUCAUUUAGAGAAGAAUGUUGAAGAACUUCACAUAUCCAAGGAAAGAUGCUUUGAAAAAUCUAUGGACUGCGUGAAGAAAAUAAAAACUAGCUUCGCCAACGUCGGCGCAUAUUCAAGCGAGGACAACUUCAUAAGAGGCGAUCCUGGGGCCCAAUUGAAUGGAUCAGCAGCGAAACCGAAGCUUUUGAGGAAGUUUUGAGUGGCCAUGGGGACGUCUGCGCCUUCUCUGGCGCGAGGGGAGUUGCAGCUAUUUUGGAGAAAGCAGGGUGCGAACAUGUUAAAACUUUGGCCCAAGCCGAAGCUGCUUUCUCCAUUGAUGAUACGAAGGAUCCCUCGGCCGAGGCAAGCUUAAUAGGCGAAAAUUUUUUCACUGACGUUUGGGAGAAUGGCGGUCGAGGGAUGGCUCACGAAAUAAUAAAGAAAAGUGAAAAAGAUACUCACGACACUAGAGAAGCGACAAAAACAGCUGAAAAGGCUGCGGAGCUUGAGAGACAAAUAGGUAUUACUUAACGAUUUUUACUUUUGAUGUUUACUUUUGCGACUUCGAAAUAAUUUACGUUUUCUACCGCAGCUGAACUAUCUCCUCCCCCAGAGCCCUUCGAGCCACUGGCCAAAGCAGAGGCAAAAGAAUCAUCAGAAAUUAUUAGCAUGGCUGAAACCAUUAUGGACGAAGUCGUUACUCAACUGCUGACCGAAGCUGCAGACAAAGUUUUGAAAGAAGAAGAAUAGAUAUUGUAAAAAUAUUGCCAAAAUAUUAAUGUAACAUUUGCUGGACUAUGCUUGUAAUAUUUGGUACUCAUGAGUUCUUAAUGUAAUGUGUAAAUGGCUUUGUAAUCCAUUUCUUUGCGAUGCAUGAAAUUUUUAUUGUACAUACUGUUUCUGAGCCUUCGGCGAAAAAAUACCUUCCCUUCUUUUCAUGCUACGUAAAUAAGAGUUUUUAUGCUUCGUGAAAAAUCCUCCAAUCAUUGCAGAAACAUUAAUGCUUCGUCAGUAAUAGACUUUCUUCCUUGAUAUCAGGGUGCUUCAUAAAAAAUGCUCCAAGCGUCGCCAUAACACUGAUACUUCGUCAAUAAUAGACUUUUUCCUCCACUUCAGAGCUGAUAAAGUUGUAUCUUUUCAAAACUUAUUUUGUGCCUUAGCACAAUUUCACUUUUUCGAAGCAUUCUCCGAAGGUCAACAUUGUAUCCCCUUCUUGUGCCAUUGAUGCAAUAUGAUGUAUGAUGUUAUGUUAUGAGAAAUGCUGUGAUGAUGUUAUGCUAUGCGAAAAUGAUACUUUGUGCCGAAGACACACACUCACAUCCCCAUAUGGAAUACACAAUCUCUUUGACGUUUAUUUUUCGGCUUCACCGUUUAUUUUUCGGUGUAUCAGCGCUGAGUUUUCGCUGUAAGUUCUGCAUUCCCUUAGGAACGUCUUUUGAACUUCUUCGUCUUCUAUUUCGGCGGUAUUCGCGUUGACUUUUCGCGCUUCGCCUUAUAUUUCGGCGGUAUUUGGCUCUGCAUUCCCUUUGGAACGACUUUUGAGCAGAAAACUUACACUACGCUCCCUUAGGAAUGACUUUUUGUAGCUUCGGCAAACUUACGCUGCGUUCCAUAGAACGACUUCGGCAAACUUACGCUGCGUUCCAUAGAACGACUUUUUAUGCUUCGGUGACUUUUUGGACUCCGUAAUUCUGUGGAGAAGAUAUAUUUUCACUAUGGCAAAAAUGAAGUUAUUACAAGGAAUUGAAAACGACAAGAAAACUAGGUUUUCAAUAAUUGUUCCUAAGUAAGAAAGAAAAUGACAACGAAUGUAAAAACUGAUUCAGGGGUAGGAUAUCUCUUAGUAGAUAUGCUUCGACUCUGGCAUAGUACUGUUGACUGUGCGAGCUUCGGACUCCUCCCUGAAGUCUCUCUGCUGAUGGGUCUGUUGACUCCCAUCUGGCUGUUGGCCGCGUGAAUAUGCAGGUUGUAGUGGUGGCGGAGGUGGAGGCUGUGGCCAGGAUGCCUGUGGCUGACUAGCCGAAGCAACAGACGCUGCAGGAUGGUUACCCACAUACUCUGUAUGUAGGGUGAGUGAUAUAAAGCAGUAUGCAUGACCUGCUUCAGCUGGUUCUGCUGAGCUGCAGCUUCUGCUAUUUCCUUCUGUUUCUGAAUGGUGACAUGGCACAUCCUUGUAGUAUGGCCCUUGUCCUCACCACAGAAUAAGCAAUAAAUUUUCCUGGGUUGAUCCCCAAACCUUCCUCCAAAGCCCCUGGCGCCUCUGCCCCUUGGAGCUGGCGGCCGAAGAUAGCUUUGUUGCUACCCCGAAGCUUGCGAGGAAUAUUGUGGCCUCUGUUUUUGACUUCCUCUAUCGUCAUUCUGGGUGGAGUGGAUUGAUCUGACGUGCCUUGGGUGGAUUCUCCCUCCAAAGCCCCUGGUCAUCUCAGAGAACCUGUAGGCUUCCUCCCUUCUUUGACGAAAGUCUUUAUCAGCACGGAUGUAUUCAUCCAUCUUUUGAAGCAGCUUCUCCAAAGUCUGUGGAGGCUUUCUAGCAAAAUAUUGGGCAGUAGGUCCUGGACGAAGCCCCUUGAUCAUGGCCUCAAUGACAAUUUCAUUGGGCACUGUAGGCGCUUGUGCUCUCAGACGCAAGAACCUUCGGACGUAUGCCUGGAGAUACUCCUCGUGAUCUUGCGUGCAUUGAAACAGAGCCUGAGCUGUGAUUGGCUUCGUCUGGAAGCCCUGGAAGCUUGUCACCAACAUGUCUUUGAGCUUCUGCCAUGAAGUGAUAGUUCUUGGCCGAAGAGAAGAAUACCAUGUCUGGGCCACAUUCUUAACUGCCAUGACGAAAGAUUUGGCCAUGACAGCUGCAUUGCCGCCAUAUGAAGAUAUGGUUGCUUCAUAACUCAUCAAAAACUGCUUUGGGUCUGAAUGCCCAUCAUACAUUGGAAGCUGAGGUGGCUUGUAUGAUGGGGGCCACGGGAUGGCCUGCAGUUCUGCUGCUAGGGGAGAAGCAUCAUCAAAAGUAAAGGUAUCAUGAUUAAAAUCAUCAUACCAUCCAUCGUCAUUGAACAAGACCUCUUGAUGAAGCUCCCUGUGUUGGGGCCUUCGGUCUUGCUCGUCUUGAGCAAGGUGACGUACUUCUUCAGUGGCUUCGUCAAUCUGCCUUUGUAGGUCAGCUAGUCGAGCCAUCUUCUCCUUCUUCUUUUGCACUUGCUGAUGAAGCAUCUCCAUAUUUCUGAUUUCUUGGUCCAACUCGUCCUCUUGGGGUGUUGGACUGGUGGCCUUCCUCUUCUGGCUUCAGGCCUCUCGAAGAGAAAGGGUCUCCUGAUUUGGGUCUAGCGGCUGCAGAGCGGCAGCCCCUGUCGCUGAAGCUUUCUUCGGUGGCAUGACGAAGGUCAAUGCUUGCCAAAGGUGGUCGAAAAGGAUUCACCGGAGGUGGGCGCCAAUGUUGGAGACUUCUUCUCAAAUGCUAUGAGUUAAGAACAAGGCAACACAAAAAAUGUUAAACGUUAAAGUCCUUUGUCCUUCGAAGCAAUAUUUCCCUUGGGAUAUAAUGAUUUUCGGACGAAGGUUAUGAAGGGCGUACCUUCAUAAGCGCAACAUAUAAUAAUGAAGAGAGAAUCAUAUGAAAUAUAAAAGAUAACAUGAACAAUUAUGUAUUAUUAUCAACUCAUUUCUAUUUUACUAUUAUGGAAAAAUAGAAAUGACAUCAAAUUACAAAUGUACCUUCGGCUUGAAAGAAGGUAAAAGUACAAGCGUGACGCAAAAGCAGAAUGACCAGUCAACGUGAACAGUACAGGAGCACUGUUCAUCUAUUUAUAGGCACGGGACGCAACCCAUGUAAAAUUACACACAUACCCUUUACAUUUGCUAAUGACUCUAUAGUAAUCCAUCGAGGUCUAAAUAGCCUUUUCCCUUUUAAGUCGGUUUCCUUUUCUACUAUCAUGCCGAAGCUCCCCUGCGCAUAGCUUCGGCUCUGCGCCAACCUUCGUAUUCUUUGUGCUUCUUCACACUGUGGUUCUGAUCCGAGUCUGUAGGUACCUGUUCAUGUAUUAUACUCCAGAAACAUUGUUAAAUCAUGUUUAUGAGGACCUUCGGAAGACGAAGGCCCCCAACAGUCCCUAACUUGGUUCUUUUCUUGGUUUGUGUUGAACCUUAUGCACCUGUAAUACAUGAGUUCUAGACAAACUAGUUAGUCCAUGUGUUUGUGUUUACUAUCAACCACCAAAAUAAAUUAUAGGAAAUGGUUAACCCUGUUUCCGUUUCAGUUUUUCUAUAAGUCAUUUGCAAUGUCACUAUCUUUCAAUCACUUACAUCAUUUGGUUAUACAAACUAACAUGUGUGUGUUAAUUGCAGAUCUAUAAUCGACAAGAUGGGACUUGUUCAAUUUGCCUGUACCAUGAAAAGAGGUAAAAAAAUGGAAGACAACCUACAAAGAUGUUAUAUGUAGUAUAUGGACCUCCUCGAUGUCCCAACACAAUGCUAGGUUAGCAACUUGUGUUAUCGUCACCGUUGGCACGUUUGUUUUCUCGAGAAUCUAACAGUUAUAUGUCACUAGUAGGUUACUUGGAUGCCUUGGGCAUAGUAGGAUCUAGACUCUUAUAGUCUAAUCAUGAUAGUGACAUAUGGAGCAUAUAUGUGCCAUUUAUCUUCUUCCACGUGGUGGAGGUCUACUACCUUUGCAUGGUGUGUAGGUAGUUAAGAAGGUUUCAAUCGAACCCACCGAUGGACCACUCCAUGAGUUAGACGUGGCACAAGUAGUUAAAUAGUUCUUAAUUUGUUACAACUUGUGAAUGAAAUGUACAGACAAUUCAAAUUAUUAAUAUAGAAAUUCUAGAUUUGAUUAGAGAAAGAGGUACAAGGAGAAGGAUUGGCAUGUCACACACCAUGAUGUCGUAGAUGUGGAACCAUAGGGAGCAUAGGGACCCAUGAGCGAUCCUCCACAUGACUAUCACAUGUGGUUUGGAAGUGUAAGAAGAAGAUGACGUGGAGGUGGAAGGUGGUGUUAUGGGAAUGAGAACAUCAGAUGUGGAUGUAGAAGAUGAUGGUUCAGAUGUUGGAAUGGAAGGAAGACACAGGAAAGAAGUACAUUCUGUGGGAUAAUAUGAGGAGUGAGUAGACUGGUUGUGAAAGAAGGGGCAAUUUUCAUUGAAACUCACAUCUCUAGAAAUUCGAAUACGACGAGUAGAAGGAUCAUAACAACGAUAGCCUUUAUGUUCAGGACUGUAUCCAAGGAAUACACACUCUACAGAUUGAGCAGUCAAUUUGGUCCGCUCACAUGGUGGUAACAACUAACAAGACAUAACAUAUACAUCCAAACACACGAAGAUGAACAUAUCAUGGAGGAGUCCCAAAAAGAACUUCACUCAGGGAUUUGCCAGAAAGUUUAGAUGAUGGAUGUCUAUUAAUGAGAUACACAGUAGUGGAAACAACUUCACUCCAAAAGUGUGAAGGAACAAAAGAAGAUAUCAAACUAGUACAAGCACUCUCAAUAAUAUUGGUGUUUUGCAUUCAGCAACACCAUUUUGGGCAUGAGCACCAGGACAAGAAAGUUGAGCUAGAGUACCCUCUAAGGUCAAUAUCUCGUGGAAAUUGUUAGAUAAAAAUUCACCACCAGAAUCCGAACGAAAUAUUUUAAUAGUAGCAAAAAACUAAGUGUGAACCAUGCGAGUGAAGGACUUGUAAAUAGAAGGCAAUUCCGAGCGGCGUUUCAUGAAGUAAAUCCAAGUAUAACGAGAAUGAUAAUAAAUAAAAAUGACAUAAUAUUUAUGACCACCUUUGGAAACAAACGGAGCUGGACCCCAAACAUCAGAGUGAAUUAGAUCAAAAGGUUUAGCAGAAUGGGAAUCACUAGUAAAAUAUGGAAGUUGUAUUUGUUUUCCAAGAUGACAACCUUUACAAUGAAAACUAGACUCAACAUGUGUAGGGCCUAAACAUCCUGACUUUAUUAGAGUGAACAGACGAGAUCCACAUAAGUGACCUAGACGAUGAUGCCACUGGGCAAACGACGUCGACCCAAAGCAGCAAGCACAUGUGGUGUAGAGGUAUGGUAUGAAGGAAGACGCAAGGUGUCCAAGAUGUAGAGGCAAGGCGAAGAUUUACGGUGACGGCCAGUCCCAAUCACAUCCCCUAUGGGUUGAUCCUGUAUAAAACAAGAUGAGUCAUCAAAUCCAACAAAGCAAUUGUGAUCGGUAAUUUAGCCAACUGAUAGUAGAUCCAUGGAUAAUUCAGGUACAAAGAAAAUAUUUGGGACAAUAAAAUUAGAAUUGGAAAGAGAACCCUUGUGGGUGACAUGACAUAAUGUACCAUCAGCAGUCUGAACAGAAGUACCCUCGGUGACAGGUGUAGUAGAUGCCAGCUAUGACUGAUCAGAUGUCACAUGAAAUGAAACUCCAGAGUCAAGAACCCAAGAGGAUGACAAAGCACCAGCAGAUGAAGUAGCAGCAACACCAACUGAGCCUCUAGGAGAUGCUCCUAUACCACGACCACGAGUAGCACGACGGACACAAAAAUCAGCCAGCUUCUCUGGAAACUUAGCAAAGCAGUUCUCAGACCGAUGAGUGGUCUUUUUACAAUGCUCACAAGGCUGAAAAGAGGUGUUCCUGGACUUCUGAGAAGUGGCCAAUACACUGUGAGAACUCACACCAGUAAUAGAAGACAUAGACUUCAGACGAGUCUCUUCAGCAAGUAAUUCAGACAACGCAUGAGCCAUGGUGAGAGUAUCAGAACUGUGAAGUAACCUUGCACGAAGAGAAUCAAAUUCAGGUCGAACGCUCAUAACAAAUCUGUAGGUAAAGAACUUCUCAAUGAACUUAUGGGUUGGGCAAGGCACAGUUGUACAAGCAGGCACCAUGGAGGUCAAUGCACUCAUAAGACAAUCAAAGUCUAAAUAGUAUUCAUCAAUGGACAUAUCAUGUUGCUCAAUGACAUGAGUCUGUUGCAUAAGGGUAUGUAAAAGAGCACCGUUAUCCUGAACAAAUCGAUCCUUCAGAUGUGACUAGAUAGCCUUAGCAAUGGUGAAUUUGGACAGGCUCAUAAUCAUAGUUGGUUUAGUGCUAUUGACCAUUGCAACCAUUACCUUGCCAUCAUUGAUCUGCCAAGUCUUGAUUGCAGCAGUAUUGCUUCUAUCAGUUGCUAAAACUAGAGAAUCUUCAGUCAAAUGAAAUAGUAAACCGUGACCUCUUAAUGCAGUCUGAACACAAAAAGCUCAUUCUAGGUAAUUCUGCCCAUCAAGCACGAUAUUGACAACAAUAGUGUUGGCUGACAUAUUGAAGAGCAAUAAAACGUUAAAGGAUAACAGAUCUGAAAAAAGACUGGUUUGAUGGUACCAAAAACCCUAGCAGGUGCAGCAGAUGAAUAGUGGAUACGCCGGCUACAGCCUUAGAUGAAACCGUGCGAAGUCACAGUAGAUCAACAGAUCUGGCCAGGGCUACACUCGGCGUAGAUACACACAGACCCUAUGUUGUGCGCUGCACAGACGGACGACGCAGCGACAGAUGGGGGUGCGCGAAGAAGGCGCGCAGGAGAUGGCAGAUGGUUACAGCAGUGCCUGCGGACGGGGGCUGAUGAUGGCCGCGAUGGUAGAAGGCAGGGCCACGACACCGGGCAGGAGCAGACGGUGAGAUGGCCGCGACACCGGGCAGGAACGGAGCACCGGCGCGCGCGCAGAAGAAUUGCACGGACGACGAAGAUGGCGGGGCGGAGCACCGGCGCGCGUAGAAGAAUCGCACAGGAGAUGGCGGGGUGGAGCACCAGCGUGCGCGCAGAAGAAUCGUGCAGGAGAUGAGGGCCACGACGGCGGUUGGGUGGGGGAGGGCCGCGACGGCAGCCGACCAGGGAUGGUCGUGACAGCGGCUGGGGUGGGAGAGGGCCACGACGGCGGCUAGAAAAUUAGUGAAACCCUAAUCAUAAUCUCCUCUGUUACCAUGUUACUAACCUUGGGAUUGACAAUAGAUGAUUAGUCCCUAAGGACUAUAUGUUAUAUAUAUAGGCAGUAGGUCUGGGUCUAAUGGACCUUAACAAUGAGUACCUCAUCUGAAGGUACCAUGAUCAUACUGAUCAAGCAUUGGUUUCAGUUUAGAAUUAUUAGAUCAAGAAUUGGUUUCAGUUUGGUACUUUGGUUUUAGUUUAGAGUACCUCAUCUGAAGCUACUGCUGUUUGAGAAUUGAGACUUUGAGUCUGAUAAUUGAUACUUUGAUUACCUACUGUUGUAGUGUUGUAGUUCUAGGACGCUGUUUGAAGUAUAGUGUAUAUAACUAUAUAUAAUUAUAUAUGUCCUAAUUAGUACAUGGCGUUUAGGAUGACCAAUCACCAAUUAAUCAUCCUGGUCGACAUCCUAAUCGCGAUUACUCGCCUAAUCGGUCACCAUCAACGACCUCGCGACCAGGCGACUUGAAAUCCACGCACUUCAUCUUCUUCCUCCCUCUCAUAUUGACCAUCGAAUCCCACAUUUCAUACAUUAAGUGAAGACAUGGUGUGCUGGUGCCCACCAUACCUAUCAUUUCAUAUAUAGUAGCGAUCCUAAGAAUGUAGUUGACCUUGUCCCACCGUACAUCACUAAGUAUCCUGUCCUUCACAAGUUGGGCAGUUGGAGCAUCAUCUCUGUAGACUCUAGAUGCUGAUUGUUGGAGGGCUGUUUUUACUUCAACAAACCGUUUCAACAUACAUACAAUUGAGGCAAAUCUUGUUUCAGGAAUCGAAAGUAACUUCAAAAGGCUAAACUCAUUGAACAUUUUUUUGAAAACUGGCAAGAGAAUUGCCUGUUAUAUUAAAAAGAAGGUGAGAGCCAGCAAGGGCUAAAAUAAACAAGUACAUCACACUAGGGAAGGAGACAUUAAGUAUGGUGACACAAAUGUCCCAAAACCAACCCCCUCCCCUUCCCGAAAACCUACAGUAGCCUUGCUAAGUGUUUUGCUCCUCCUAGAAUCCACAAGCGGAUUUGCUCCUUAAUCAUCGCUAUAGUCUGUGUCACGGUCUUCUCUUUGUGCUCAAAGAUUCGCGAGUUUCUCUCACACCAAAUUGUCCAAGACACGAGGAUGAGGAGGGUUCGCAAUCCCUUCACGCUUCUGACUGUGGAUGUUGCAAGAUUCGACCACCAUUGGUGCAUCGAACCUACAAGUUGCCAAGAAGAAUGGUGGAUCUCCGUAAUUGCAGCCCACAGACUCAAAUCAGCCCAAAUAUGUCUGGUGAAGCAACAUUCAACAAAAAGAUGUAGUCCAGAUUCUGGGCAUGAGGCACAUAGGACACAGCGCGGAUUAUUAGACCAUCCCCUUCUUGCCAACAUGUCUGCUGUCCAAACUCUAUUUUGAACAGCAAGCCAACUGAAGAAUUUGCACUUUGGUGGCGCCCAAGCUCUCCAAAUUAUACUAUUAAAAUUCAUGCAUGUGGAGCCACAGAAUUGCGCUUGGUAGGCUGACUGUGUUGUGUACUGGCCACUCAUAGUAAACUUCCACUUGAUAAGGUCGGGGGUAUUGUGCACUAAGCGAAGCUGAUUUACCUUGCACCAUAAUUGAUAAUAUUCAUGUAUGUGCGCGACAGAAAAAUCAUUGUGAUUAAAAUGUAGGUCCUGAAUCCAUUGGUUGUUUGAGAGAGCCUCAUGGAUGGAUCUAUUUUUGCCAUUAGAAAUGGGGUAGGUCAAAGGGAAGGAGUCUCUAGGUGUCAUACCCCUUAGCGAGGCAUUUUCCCAGAACAAAGAAGACUUACCAUCCCCCACCCUGACUGCAAAUAGUCUCCUGUCCAACGUAUUGCAAGGUAUAUCUUUCGCCAUCCUCUGAGUAUUUAACAGUUUGGCCUCCUGCCACAACCAUCUGAGGCGUAAGGCCCGCGAGAAAAUACCAAGGUGCAGAAUGCCUAAACCACCGUAUUGUUUUGGUCUUGCUGCAUAGACCCAGUUGACUUUGCAUUUACCGUCGGUUAAUCUCUUUGAACCAGCUCAAAGAAAUUGCUUAUGUUUUGAGUCAAUGAAAUCCAACACACUUUUAGGCGGUUUUAGGGCUAGGAGCAGAUAGGUGACCUGCGAGGUUAGCACUGCAUUGACUAGUGUGAGGCGGCUAGCCGCCGAAAGGUUUUUCCCGCUCCAUGUACUCAGCUUUGCGGAGACUUUGUCAAUCCAUGGCUGGAAGUCCACCCGUUUGAGUCUGUUCAUGGACAAAGGUAGUCCAAGGUAUUUGAGGGGGAAGGAAGUCCUCGAGGCCGGCAGACCAGAUAGAACGUCAGAGAGGUUGAUGUUGUUACACUGGAUUGGUACUAUUGUGGACUUGUGGAAAUUUGUUUUUAGGCCUGUGGUUUCACCAAAAAGUUCCAGAAUCCUUGCAAGCAUAGAUACCUCACCUUUUGUGGGCGUGACAAAUAUGACUGCAUCAUCCGCAAACAUCGAUAUGCGCAGGUCGGGCGAGCGGCCACGGAGCUUGGUGAGCAUUUCGAGUUCAGUUGCUACUUCGAGCAGUCUUUGCAAGGGAUCUAUUGCAAUGACAAAAAAGAAGAGGAGAUUGGGGGUCGCCUUGCCUUAGGCCUUGCCCGUGCCAGAUAGGGGGGUUUGGUAUGCCGCUAAGGAUGACUCUUGAGGUUGAGGUGGAGAGAAUUGCCGCAAUCCAUUCCCGCCAUCUUAUAGGGAAGCCUAGGUGCUCAAGGAGGGUGAGGAUAUACUCCCAACGUAUCGAAUCAAAGGCUUUUGCUAUGUCCAAUUUGAACAAAAGUGUUGGGGUCUUGUUUGUAUGAAAACGACGCCGCCGUACGCACUGCCAAGAAGUUAUCAUGUAUGCUCCUGUUCUUGAUGAAGGCGCUUUGACAAGUGGAGAUGAUCGCGUUCAUAUGGGGCUGAAGUCGUAAUGCCAGUAUUUUGGAAAUAAGCUUUAUGAAGGAAUGGAUUAAGCUUAUCGGUCUAAAAUCACCCACUUCCUCGGCCCCUUCUUUUUUGGGAUUAGGAUUACGUUAGCGGUGUUGAUGAGUGAUAAGCUGCCACAACGUAGAGCAUGGAAAGUGUUGGCCGCCCUUAUGACAUCCCCUUUUAUUAUGCUCCAGCAUGUCUUAAAAAAUAACCCAGUGAAACCAUCAGGUCCCGAUGCCUUUUCAAUGGGCAACAGAUCAAUGGCUCUUUUGAUCUCCUCCUCUGAGAAUGGAGCAACUAAAGAAGAGAGAUCAUGGUGUCGUAAUCCAAGCGUCGCCCAGUUGAAGUCUAUUCUCGGAGCGGGUGGACGACUCAACAUAUUUUCAAAGUGGGAUUGAAUUUUCGCGGCCUUGCCUUCAUGUGUUGUUGUCGAGCCAUAAUGGUCUUUGAGGCAAUGAAUGAAAUUUUUUCGACGCCUAGAAGUGAUCCUUCGAUGAAAAAAUCUAGUGUUAGCAUCCCCAAACUUUAUCAAAUUUAGCCGGUCAGCCUGUUUUUUCCACGCACGUUCGAUGACAGUAAGGCCCAGAAUUCUUUUCUUAAGUCUGCACCUUAGGAGCUCCUCUCUAGGAGAGAGAGCUCUCAGCUCCUGUGCUAUGUCAAAUCUAUGGAUUAUCUCCAAAGCCAUAUGAAGUUGCAGCUUAGCAUCCGAGAUAGUGCUGAAGCUCCACUAUCUGAGGGCCCUUGCUGUAGCCUGCAGUUUGUGAUAGAGUUUGUGGAAAGGUUCCUGGUGUGUGCAGUGAGUGCACCAGGACCUCGACACCACCUCCAUGAAUCCUAGAAGCAUGGCCCAAAAUUCUCAAAUUUAAAAGAGCGCGGGUGUCGGGGGCCAGUUUGGUUAGAGAGAAGCAAUGAACAGUGAUCCGAGAGCGAAGAAGAUAGGCCGUGCAGCACGUGGCUAUGAAAAGCUUGGUCCCAUUCAGCAUUUGCAAAGACCCUGUCAAGCUUAAUAAGGGUUGGGUUUGUACGCUCGUUGCUCCAAGUGAAUCUUCUAUUUUGCAGGUUAAUUUCCUUCAGGUCACAACAGUCUAGCAUAUCACUGAAACGGUUCAUUAGGCUAAGGUUCAAACGCCUCUUAUUCUUGUCACUAGCUUUGUAAAUUAGAUUAAAAUCUCCCAAAAGCAGCCAUUUAAUUUCGGAUUGCGGUUUUAGAUCUUGAAUUUCUUGGAGAAAGGUUGUCUUCAUGCUAUUGCUUGUAGGCCCAUAAACCACAGUUAAUAGGAAGGCAGUAUGGGAUGCUGUUAGCUUGGCCUUUCCAGAAAUAUGGAAAUCGCCUACUGUAAAAUCAGUCAGCUCCACAUGGUUGGUAUCCCAUAGCAAUGCAAUCCAUCCCCAUGUGUCGCUGGGGCCUCCUGUCGGUUUGUAGAAGAAUUUGUCUAGGUGGUGGCCUCCAAGGUGCCGGGUUGUUGUUUGGUCGAAGGAAGACAAUUUAGUUUCUUUCAAACAAGCUAAGUGACACCUCAAUGAAGUGAUUGUCUCUUGGACCGUGUCCUUCCGAGCCUGGGAAUUGAGACCCCUCACAUUCCAACAAGAUCGAGGGUAUGCACAACAUGUGGUGUCCAAAAUAUGUUAUCAUAUUCAGCUUCUAUUACGACCCCAGCACCUUUGCAGUUUGCGGUGUUGUCUGUAAUGAUUUGUACUGUAUUGUUGACCUACUUCAAUAACACCCCCAACUUAUCAGCAAUGUAUUCUUUUGAUUUGUAUUUAUUCACCUUGACAAUUAUCAGCCGUCAAGAACAAUGGUGCCUUCUCAGAAACAACAAUAAAAUUAAUGAUUGGUCACCUCUGUGGAUCCAACCAACCACCAGUGCAGAUUGUGACUCCCUUCUCUGCCCAUAUUCUCUUUGUGCUCUCCAGUCUUUACAAUAGAAAGCAUGAGUUCCUUACACCUUUCAAUUUCCUUCCGGUUGUCACUAAGCAUUUCAUAUAAAACAUUAGGACAUUCAACUAUUCCUCUUCCUGAUGCAACACAGGUGCAGAAUAUGGUUGAUAUAUUUAUUUGUGUAGGAACUGGUGAAGGAAAGAGCUUUGCAUUGUUUAUAAAUUUUCAUAAUUUUACUUUUCACCACUUGUUGGGGACAUGUUCUCAAAUGCUAUGAGUUAAGAACAAGGCAACACAAAAUGUUAAAUGUUAAAGUCCUUCGUCCUUCGAAGCAUUAUUUCCCUUGGGAUAUAAUGAUCUUCAGACGAAGGUUAUGAAGGACAUACCUUCAUCAACACGAUAUAUGUUAAUAAAAGAAGAAGUAUAUGAAAUAUAGGAAGCAAAAUAAACAAUUACAUAACAUUAUUAAUUCAUUGUAUUAUCCUAGAAAGACAGAAACAAUAUUGAAUUACAAAUGUACCUUCGACUUGAUAGAAGACAAAAAGUACAAGCGUGACGCAAGAGCCAGUACAAGUCAGCGUGAACAGUACGGGGGUACUGUUCAUCUAUUUAUAGGCACAGGGCGCAGCCUGUGCAAAAUUGCAUUCAUGCCUUCAUGUUUACUAUUGACAUUAGGACAAUCUAUCGAGGACUAAAUAGCCUUUUCCUCUUUAAGUCGGUUCCUUUUCUGCUACUGAGCCAAAGCUUUCUUGCGCAUAGCUUUGGAACUGGUUUGACCUUCAUCCCAACCAUGCUUUUCAUAUUGUGGACAACUCCAUCUCGAUUUCGAAGGUUCUUGUACAUAUAUUACACUCGGGGAAACAUUGUUAAUCAUGUUUUUGAGGAUCUUUGAAAGACGAAGGCCCCCAACAGUAGCCCCUCGCAGUAUUAAUUUGUUAAGAUAACAAAUUUAGACUGCGACAUGGACGAAGGCCUUAAGCCGAAGGUCCAAAAAAACACCUUCCCUUUGCUAGAAUAGUAACACAGUCAAUGACAGAUGGGGCCCUUCAAUUUAGAGCGUGCCGAGCGUAUAAAUAAGAACUCGCACCAACUACAUUUGGUACGCUGGUUGUGCCAUUUGCUUUAUUUUCUCAAUUUUAUAGCUCUUGCUCACUAACGCUUGCUAGUUUCUGAAGCUUCCUGAGCUUCGGUUAGAAAGACACAUUUUCAUCAUUUCUGAAGGAAAAAAUGUCUCAAGACAAGAAGGUUGCCGUUGAGACGAAGCUAACUGAAGAGGAGAAGCUCUUUGAGGAGAAGAAGGUUGUGAAUCCUUACAUAGCUGGGUUUAUCGAAUCAAUGGCAAAAACAAAUACAGAGAAGAUUACUAAGGAAACACUAGAGGGUCUGUCUGAAGAUACUUGUGACAGUGAUGAUUAUGAUGCUGAGAGCGGGGGAGAAGAUUCUGAGGAUCGGCCGUGGAGGCCGAGUCAUACAAUUUUUGGGAAAUCAACAAUUAAACAGAGUCAUCUUGACAAUAUGAGAGGAAGGUACUUUCGGGAUAUGUCUAUUGUUAGAGCUGGUGGAGACAACAACGUUCCUGCCCCCGAGGAAGACAAAGUUGUGAUUUACCGAAGUUUCUUCAAAGCUGGGCUUCGGUUUCCAUUGAGCAGGUUUGUAGUUGAAGUGCUGAAAAUUUAUCAGAUUUACCUUCAUCAGAUAACCCCGGAAGCUAUUAUUAGAAUAGGGAUUUUGUUUGGGCUGUGAGAAGCCAGGGGCUGGAGCCAAGCGCGAAAUGCUUUUGCAGUAUGCACGAACUUGUAUAUGAGACGAAGGCCAUGGGCAAAGAACAAUAUCAUAACAAUUUUGGAUGUUAUGGAUUUAUUGCUCGCCCCAACGCAAGCCACACGGUGCCAACAUUCCGGAAAAGAUGGCCCAGAGCUUGGAUGGAGGAAUGGUUUUACGUGAAGAAUGACUUGAAGGCAAGAGAAGAUAUUAAGGAAGUGAUUAUGCGCCCCAUUUGGUCCCGCUUCGGCCUCCGAAGGCCGAAGGUUGAAAUUGAUGAUGGUGCGGAAGCUUGUCAGAAGGCAUUUGGUACAGUCUGCUUCUUCAUUGGUACACGAGAUUUAAUUCAAGAGCAUAUAGCCUUCAGAGUAUGGCCGCUUGUAGAGAACUGGGAAAUGCCGAAGGAGACUGUCACCAAGUCUAGCGAUGGUGACCUGGUCCGGCUGAAGUAUACAUUCAGAUAUGGGAUAAAUUUGAUGAACCAAACAACGACUGGCUGAAAUGUAUCGAAGCUACAAGUGAUGAUCUGCUUGGAUCAUAUUCCAAAGCAGAAGAUAAUGCAUUAUCCACAGCCUUCGGAGGCUGGGGAAAAAAGAGAUUGAACAGAGUUUUUGAUGCCAUUGGCUUUGUUUACCCCGACUACCGCUAUCCACUGCGAGGACAGGGAAAGAAGAGGAAAACUGCUACUUCGGCCACUCCAGACGAGCCUGUGCCGAAGGGAAAAAAGUUAAAGGUUCUUACCCACCGGCCGCGCUAUAUUGAACCGGCUGUGGUGCCUGAGUUUGGCGGGGAGGCUUCUUCAGCUGCUAAACCAAGAGAACCUGUUCCUCCGACGCAGAAGGCUGAAGAGCCGGCUAUAAUGUCGAAGGCACCUUCGGUUGAGUUAGUUGAAACGAAGGUUGACAAAGAUAAGGCUGAAAAGUCAAAAACUGAAGAAGUAACAAAGAUGCCAGGGAUUUUAAGUCCUUCAACAGAAACAACAGCGCUGAAGGCAGAAAAGAGUUCUGCCACAACUCCUAAGAGAAGGAGGAUGGUAAAUGUAUUAUAUAUUUUAGAAACAACCGACUCCAUAAGUCCCGCUCCCACAGGGAGGGUUGCCGAAGCUGACAAAACGCAACCCAAAACUGAUACUAAGCGAAUAGAAGUCGAGACUACAAUAACCCAGGCUGAAACCGAGGCAGUGCCCACAGUGCUUACUGAGACGAAGCUUGCCGCCAUCGAGCAGAAGGCCGAAGGAAUAACUCCAGAUAUUAAUAUAGGUUUUGAGAAGAGUGCGACCAAAGAGGCCGAAUCCCUUGCCCUUGAAGCACUCUCUGAAAAUCUUGAUUAUAUCAUUCGACAUGCUUCGGGAAAGAGAUUAUCCGAAGAAGAAAUUUUUGAAGCUAAACACUAUGCCCGAGAACUGAAGUACCCGAAGGGGGCCUUAGUGUUUAACGGUACGGAUGAAGAUGAUUUCUUGUACUGCCUCCCGGACAACAAAGAAUUAUCCAUCUGCUGGGAGAUGGCCAGAAGUAUGGGUUUUCCGAAGCUCGAAGCUGGCCUUUGUGCCAUGACGAAGGAUGAUCUCGCAGAUAAUCUUGCAUACAACAGUCUGAAGGUACAAAAGUUGUGAAUUUUGAAGCUUAUGGACUCUGUAAUGGAGUGUUUUUAUUCUUAUGUUAAUCCUUUUAUUCUGUCUUGCAGGGCUUGAUACUUAGCAACGCCCUAAGGGCGCAAAAGAAUGAUGAAGAUGAUAGUUGCACUAUAGCUCUCAAUAACCUUCGAUCAGAGGUUAUCAGGCUGAGAAACGAGGCCACGGAAAAAGACAAGAUUCUACUUUCAUUGGAGGAUAAAGUAAAGGAGGAUGAAGCUAGUUUCACAAAUAAAUCCGAGGCCCAAAAAAUUGAGAUUGAAGACCUUCGGAAACAGUUGGCCGAAGCCAAGGAAAAAUGUGGUCUCGCAAAGGCCAACCGAGAUAUUAGUGAGUAUUGGAAAAACUAUUUAGAAAAAACAGUUGAAGAACUUUGCGCAUCCAAAGAAAGAUGCUUCGAAAAAUCCCUGAGCUGCGUGGAAAAGAUAAAGGCUAGCUUCGUCAACGUGGGCACUUAUUCCAACGAAGAUAACUUUAUACAAGGCGACCCUGAGGGUGUUAUUGAAUGGAUAAGCGGAGAGGCCGAAGCUUUUGAAGAAAUCUUAAGUGACCGAGGGGAUGUAUGUGCAUUUUCUGGUGGUCGCGGGAUUUCAGCAAUCUUGGAGAAUGCGGGGUGCAAUCACAUCAAAAUCAUGGCCCAUGCCGAAGCUGCCUUCUCCGCGGACGUCACGAAGGACCCUUCAGCUGAAGCAACCUUAAUGGGCGGAAAAUUUUAUAAUGAUGUGUGGGAGAAUGGUGACCGAGAAAUGGCUCAUGAAAUUAUGAAGAAAAGUGAAAAAGACAUCCAUGAGGCCCGAGCUGAAGCAAAACGACCUGAAGAAGCUCCUGAGCAUGAAAAACGCAUAGGUAUUGUUUCGCGGCAUCUAACUUCGGUAUUUGUUUUCGUGACUUCGAACUGAUUGAUUUUUUCUACAACAGCUGAAUUAUCUCCUCCACCGGAGCCAUUCGACCCCCUGGCCGACCCAGAAACGAAGAAAGCAAUAGAAAUCAUCAAUAUAGCCGAAUAUAUUGUUGACGAAGUUGUUAACAAGUUAUUGAAUGAAAUUGCGGAAAAGGUCCUGAAAGAGGACUGAUAUUGUAAAAACAUUUUUAGACGAUCAAUGUAGCUUCGCUAUAUCAAGACUGUAAUAUUCGAUGUGCAUAUUUUUGAAUCUAAUGUGUAAAUUAUUUGUAAUUUCGUUCUUUGCGAUGCAUGAAACUUUAUAUACAUACCGUUUUUGAGCCUUCGGCGAAAAAACACCUUCCCUUCUUUUCAUGCUUCACAAAGAAGAAAAUCCGUAGUUCGUGAAAAUAUCCAUGCUUCGUAAAAACCUCCCAGCUUCGUAAACAAAGGAUCCUUCUUUUGCAAUAGAGCUGACGAAGCUGUAUUUCUCAGCUAACUUUGUGCCUUAGCACAUUUUCAUUUUUUAUAAAGCAGUCUCCGAAGGUCGACUUUGUAUUCAGUUCGUGUCAUCAGUGCAAUAUGAUGUAUGAUGUGAUGCUAUGCGGGAUGAUGUGACAGUUAUGAUGUGAAUGAUGCUAAUGCCGAAGAUACGUGUCACACCCGGUUUUAGAAGGCAAACCGAAUGCGAACCAUGUACGUGCCAGGAUCAGUUAUUCACGUACACAGCAGUUACAUAACAUGGACAUCAUCACACAGUGCUCAAAAUAGUAUUAAGAAGGGAAAUAGACGAUUACAUCAUACGUCUGAGACGUCCAUAUAGUCUUUACAAUAAAUCAAAGUGCGGAAAAGAAACGUAGAUAAACGCGGCCUUCACAGGCAGCCGACUGGGGGUUGCCGCUAACCCACACCUAGAACUCGUCGUAGUCUUGGAACUCCUGGAAGUCUCCUUCCACGGCUUCAUCUUCUCCUGAGCAGUGGUUGCAAUGCUGACAACCUGGGGAUGGGGGGGGUUUGGUGUGUAGAGCAAGGGUGAGUACACAUCAACAUACUCAGCAAGUAUCCUGUUUGGCUAUAGUGGACUAGCUUUAUGUGGGGGAUAAGUCAAGCAGUUGCUUUUAGUUGGUCAGAUUAUUAUUUACUAAUAGAAAGCCAAGUUUUAGCAUUAACCCAAGUUAUUAGCCCGAUGUACCCUUUCCAAACGGAAAGAAUACCACUUACCAGCACCAUAGUCAUAACAAAAACCAUCGAUCUCAUAACCACCUGUACCAAAGUAUCUCUGAUCAAGUACCACUAAUCACUGGAGCUCCCUUGGCCGCUCAUAACCGCGAGCACGGCUGAUAUAUCAGUUUUCAAACACUCUGCAGAGGUUGUGCACUUUACCCACAAGCCGUGAUUCCCUUUCUGCCCGGAGAUCAUGACUCUCCAUUGAUCACUACCAAGGUGACCCAGCAGGGCAUCACUACGUAGCCUUUACAAAGAUUCCCCGGGGCUGUAGCCACCCGUUAGGUUUCCUAAAUGCACCGCACUCCUCCCCAAGGGGCGAACCCAAACUUGGCAGAGCGAGCCGCAUACACCGAGCCCCAUUGACGGCAUGACGGCUAAGUGAACUACACCCCAGAUCCUCUAAUUAUUCAGCUAAGGGCAUCCCAUUCCACCCUCAUGGUUGCACUGUUUUCCCGGGCGGUCAUCCAUAGAACAGGUCCUUACGGAGAGGCACUCGAGAAACCGCUCGAGCCCCCUUGAUGACCACAAGUACAACAUUAUAAUAAGAGAAGGGAGAACAGCGUAUCAUAGAUAACCUCAUCAUGUUCAUUGAUUAGAGUUUGAGCAAUAGCAUAAAGCUAAACAAUAAUAAUCCAACCCAAAUAGGUAGACAAGGACAUGGAUAACAAAAUCUAGUCAAUCCUUAGGCAUAAAUGUGUAAUGCGGGAGGUGAAUUAAAGAAUGUAUAGGACAGAGAUAGGUCAAGGGACACUUGCCUCCACCAACCGACUGCUGCUCAGGGGCUUCUCCUGCGAGUUCCUCGGGCUCUUCGACCGGAUCGUUCUCUAUGCGAUUGCAAGCAUACAUACAUACAUCCAUUCAAAUUAGGAAACAAACAGUACACCACACAAGGGGACAAAUAAAGUAAAUAUGCAUCAAGUAUGACAUUCGAUGUCGCAUUCGUUAAGGUUAGAAAGAAACGGGGAAAGGUCUCGCAGGGGUUAAAGCUUAUGCACUAACAGAAACCUAGCCCCUUUUUAGUUGAUCGACCUUAAGCGAAAUGAACAAUUGACUAUAUAAAUUGACUAAUGUAACGGAAUUCUAAAUUAAGUUUCAUAUUUCAUUAACAUGAACGAUGAUUAGCUUGCCCAAAACAAAAUAAAAUAAAUAACAAUAAUGAAAGAAAAUAAAAUAGAAUAAAAUAAAAUAAAAAAUAAAAAAAGGGGGGCGGUUGAACCGGACAGGGGCAGGGGCGGGGGCGGCCAAGCCGGCGGCGGGCGGCCGGGCUGGGCGCGCAGGGGCGGCCGGGCAGGGGCGGCCGAACCGGCGGGGGGGCUGGGCCGGCCAAGGCGGUGGCCGAGCCGGCAGCCGAGCCGGCGGCCGAGCUGGGCGGGCGGGCGGCCGGACUAGGGCGCGGGGGCGGCCGAGCGGCGGGGCCGAGCCGGGGCAGGCGGGCGGCCGAGCGGCGGGGGCCAAGCCGGGGCAGGGGGAAGGGGAGGGGAGAUGGGGGAGGGAGGAGAGGGGGAGGGGGACCUCACCGGGGACGGGGACGGGCGGCCGAACCGGCGACGAGCAGGGGCGGCAGCUAGGGCAGGGGCGGCGGUUGGGGUGGGGAAGAGAGAGAAUGGGAGGGAGAGAGAGGGAUUUGGGGAAAAAGGGGGGGCGGCUGGGCCAGCUGGGCCCAAAGGGGGCGCGGGGGGGGUGGCUGGGCCGGCCAAGGCGGCUAGGUCGGCCGGGGCGGCCCACGGCGCGUAAGAGAGAAAAAGGGAGGAGAGAGAGAAGGAAAAAGAAAAAAAAAGAAAAAGAAAAAGAAAAAGAAAGGUUUUCUCCUUUUCGAAAUCCGUUUUUUCCUGGAUGAAUGCACUUACAUUUUUAAGCAAUCGAAAGAAUGCAUGGUUCGGCAUGAUGCAUCAAACAACAUAAAGUAUUUUAAGGUUUUGCUUAACACGGGAAUUCCAAGCCAAACCCCGCUAAAACUUUGGAAAAGGUCAAGGUUUAGCGAGAGAACGAGAAAAGAAAUGAGUAACGCCUGAAUUUGGUGAGAGAAAAGAAGAAAAAAUUCUACCCCCAAAUUCAGGGCGUUACGAACCUAUCCCCCUUAAAAGAAUCUCGCCCUCGAGAUUCAGGGUUGGCUAGCAAAGAGCUCAGGGUACUUGGCCAUCAGAUCAUCCUCACGCUCCCAGGUUGCUUCUUCCUCAGUGAUGAUUCCAUCUGACCUUGCACAUUCUGAUGGUCUUCCUUCGGGUGACUCUGUCUGCAACCUCAAGGAUCUGCACUGGCUUCUCAACGUAGGUCAAGUCCUCCUGGACUUCAAGACCUUCCACUGGCAACUGCUCUUCUGGCACACGCAAGCACUUCUUCAACUGAGACACAUGAAAGACAUCAUGCACAGCGGACAAAUUCUCUGGCAGACUGAGCUGAUAGGCCACUUCUCCACGUCUUGCAAGAAUUUGGUACGGACCAAUGUAGUGGGGUGCUAGCUUGCCUUUGACUCCGAACCUCUUGACUCCUCUGAUCGGGGACACUUUCAGAUAGACAAAGUCUCCGACUUCGAAACUCGGCUCUCUUCUUCUUGUGUCUGCAUAGCUUUGCUGUCUUGAUUGCGCUAUCUUCAGAUUCUCUCAAACCAUCUUGAUGUUCUCUUCGGCUUCAAGCAAAAUGUCUGGCCCAAACACCUGCUUUUCUCCAGGCUGAUCCCAUUGCAACGGAGUUCUACAACUCCUUCCAUAGAGCGCCUAAAAUGGUGACAUCUUCAAACUGGCCUGGUAACUGUUGUUAUAGGAAAACUCUGCAUAAGGCAAUCUCUUAUCCCAUCCAGACUGAUCUUGCAACGCACAGGCUCUCAACAUGUCUUCAAGAAUUUGAUUGGUUCUUUCGGUCUGGCCAUCUGUCUGCGGAUGAUAAGCUGAACUGAAAUUCAGAUGUGUGCCCAAAGCCUCAUGCAACUGCUGCCAGAAAUGAGAGGUAAACUGCGUUCCUCUGUCCGACACUAUCUUCUUUGGCACACCAUGAAGACAAACGAUCCGAGACAUAUACAAUUCUGCCAAUACUGCACUGCUGUAGUUGGUCUUGACAGGUAUGAAGUGGGCUGACUUGGUCAAGCGGUCCACUACUACCCAAAUGGAAUCGUAGCCGGCUCGAGUGCGAGGCAAUCCGACUAUGAAAUCCAUACCAAUUUCAUCCCAUUUCCACUCAGGGAUCUGCAACGGUUGCAACAAUCCAGCUGGUCUUUGGUGCUCUGCCUUAAUUCUUCGACAACUAUCACACAUAGCCACAUUCUCUGCGAUUUCCCUCUUCAUUUCGUACCACCAGAAUUUCUUCUUCAGAUCCUGAUACAUCUUCUCACUGCCAGGGUGAAUCGAAUAGGCUGUCUCAUGAGCUUCCUUGAGAAUCAACUCCCGAAUGGACUGGACAUUGGGAACACACAAGCGGUCUUUGAACCAUAUCACGCCUUCUGCAUCUUCUCGAAAGUCUUUGCCUCUGCCAUCUAGAAUCAGUCGCCGGAUCUCACUGAUCUUCUCAUCAUUCUUCUGCGCUUCUUUGAUUUCGCGCUCUAAGGUAGGUUCCAACUCAACUGUGACUCCUCGCGAAUUGUUCAAAAAUCCGAGACUCAACCUGUCGAACUCUUUGGCCAACUCAUAAGGCAUCGGACGAGCGACCAUCAGAUUGACUUGACUCUUUCUGCUCAAAGCAUCUGCCACUAUGUUUGCUUUGCCUGGAUGGUAAUGAAUCUCCAACUCAUAAUCUUUGAUCAACUCUAACCAUCUUCGUUGCCUCAUGUUCAACUCUGACUGAGUGAAUAUGUACUUCAGACUCUUGUGGUCUAUGUAAACAUCGCAUUUCUGUCCAUACAAAUAGUUCCUCCAUGUCUUCAGUGCGUGAACCACUGCUGCCAACUCUAGAUCAUGGAUUGGGUAAUUCUUCUCAUGAACCUUCAGCUGUCAGGACGAGUAAGCCACAACUCUUCCCUCUUGCAUCAACACACAUCCCAAACCUGUGUAACAAGCAUCGCAAUACACCGAGAAGGGCUUGUGCACAUCAGGCAAGACUAGGACAGGUGCUGUAGUCAACUUCUCUUUCAGCGCUUCAAAGGCCUCUUGACAUUUCUGGGUCCACUUGAACUCAACUUUGUUGCCUAGCAACGCUGUCAUUGGUUUCGCAAUCUUCGAAAACCCUUCAAUGAAUCGCCGAUAGUAUCCGGCCAUUCCAAUGAAACUCUUGAUUCCUCGAGCAUCUGUUGGCGACUUCCAGUUCAGAAUGUCUGCCACUUUCUUCGGAUCCACAGCCAACCCUUCUUUGUUGAUUAUGUGACCCAAGAACAGGACUUCAUUGAUCCAAAAUUCACAUUUGCUCAACUUUGCAUACAACUGGUGCUCUCGCAACCUCUGCAAUACCAUCCUCAAAUGAUCUGCGUGCUCUUCUUCGCUUUGAGAAUAAACCAGAAUGUCAUCAAUGAAUACCACCACAAACUUAUCAAGGUAAUCCAUGAAUACACUGUUCAUCAAGUUCAUGAAGAACGCUGGCGCAUUGGUCAAACCAAAAGACAUCACUGUGAACUCAUACAACCCAUACUUGGUAAUAAAUGCCGUCUUCGGAAUGUCCGAAGGUCGGAUCCUGAGCUGAUGAUAACCUGACCUCAGAUCAACCUUGGAGAACACACUGGCUCCUCUCAACUGGUCGAAUAGAUCUUCUAUUCUGGGCAAGGGAUACUUGUUCUUGAUCGUGACCUCAUUCAAAGCUCGAUAAUCAAUACACAUCCUCUUGGUGCCAUCUUUCUUCUCCACAAAUAGGACAGGGGCGGCCCAAGGCGAGGUGCUUGGCCGGAUGUAACCUUUCUCUGACAGCUCAUCAAUCUACUUCUUAAGUUCAACCAACUCUGGUCCGGAUAUUCUGUAAGCUCUCUUGAAGAUAGGGGCGGUUCCAGGAAGAAGCUCUAUAGCAAACUCAACUUUCCGCUCUGGUGGCAUACCGGUAAGUCCUUUGGAAACACAUCUGGGAACUCGGACACAACCUUGAUACUCUUGAUCGGGUCUGCUUCACUGCUAUCAACAGCUAUCUGAUAACAACUUCCUUUCUUUGGCUCAGGCGGGACUAACUCGGUCACCACUUCCUCUCCUAGUGGGGACACCAACUUGAUGGUCCUUUUAUCACAACGGAUAACUGCCUGAUACUUAUCUAGCCAAUUCAUCCCUAGGAUGACAUCUAUUCCCUGAGUACCCAUUACUAUAAGGUUGGCGGGAAAUGCUAUCCCCCUUAUUUCCACACUUAUAUUCAAACAAAUGCUAUCGGCUCGAAUUCUACCACCGGCUGAGUCAAUUUGAAUGGGGGUUGACAUGGUAGUAAUUGGAAGAUUAUGUGCUUCUACCCAUGAUGCAGUAAUGAAAGAAUGUGUUGCUCCAGUAUCAAAUAACACUUCUGCAAUAUGGGAGUCGACUGGGAACAUACCUACUAUCAUGCCGGGGGUCUCCUGAACUGCUUCAGCCUCCAAGUGGUUCAGCCUUCCAUGAUUAUAGCGCGACUGAGAGCGAUUGCCUGCUCCAGACUGAGGCACAUUCUGCUUUGCGGGGGCAUUGGGGCCUGACUGCUGCUGGGCUGCCUUCUUCGGACAUUGCAUCACCCAGUGGCCUUGCUCUCCACAGUGGAAACAUGCUCUGUUUCCAACCUGAGCUGGUGCUGCCUGAUUGCUUUGCUGGUUUGCUGGGGCAGGAAGACGAGGUGCUUGCUGAUUCUGCCUCUGAAACUGACAUCCUGACUGAUUGCUCUGACGGUUCUGGUACUGGUGCUGAGGAUACUGCCUCUGGAAUUGCUGAUGCUGCUGAGGUGGACGUUGGUUCUGCAUGAACUGCUGAGGUUGAUUGCCUGAGAAACGAGGACGAUUGCUGCUUCCAGGCUGGGGUCCACUAAUCUUGCGCUUACGAUCCUCCAUCUCCUUACGCUUCCUCUCUGUCAUGAUUGCUCUGUCAAUCAGGUGCUGGAAUGUCGGGAAGGUGUGAUUCAUCAGUUGAUACUGAAGAGGGUCAACCAAGCCUCUCAGGAAACGGUACUGUCGCUUGGCGUCGGUGUUGACAUCUUCAGGAGCAUAGCGAGACAAUUGCAGAAACCUGUCCCGGUACUCACUGACAGACAAUGGCCCUUGCUUGAGGGCCAAGAACUCCUCCUUCUUCACUAUCAUCAGACCUGCAGGAACAUGGUACUGACGAAAGCUACCUCUGAACUCUUCCCAGGUGAUGGCGUCAGGGUGGGCAUGGGUGGCGAGGUAAGACUCCCACCAUGACUGGGCUGCUCCUCUCAAUAGACGGGGACCAUACAGGACUUUCUCCCUGUCAUCGCACUGAGCGGUAUGCAACUCCCGCUCCACAUUGUGCAGCCAGUCUUCAGCAUCCAUGGGGUCAGAAGAAUGAGCGAACGUUGGUGGAUGACCUCUCAUGAAUUCAGCACGCUUGUCUCUAGGCAUCUGAGGCAUCUGAGGCUGAGGUGGGGCCUGCUGCUGCUGCUGCUGAAUGGCGGCCAAAGUCUGACCGAUGGCUUGAACUGCCUGAGUCUGCAUCAGAAACAUCUGCUCGAUCGACAUCGGGGGCGGGGGCGGCAGAUGCUGCUGCUGGGGCACCUCCUCCUGUUGAGCGGCUCGCUCCUGCUGAGCACGCCUUCCUCCUCUGCGCCUAUUCUCUGACAUCUGCAGAAUGCAACCACACAUCAGAACUGAUAUGGCAAAUCUUGCAGCAUAAGAAAAGAGUAUAGAAUUCUUCAACAGCACUGAACAGAUGAGCAUCUUCACUGAUCUCCAACAUAGACCACACAGCUUCUCAGAUAAAGAGGAAAGUGGAAUAAAAGGUUUCCCAACUAUAUAACUAACUUUAUUAACAUAAUAGGUAAACCAAAAUGCAGGAGAUACCCACACUGUGGUGACAGUCAUUACAAAGAUCCAAACCAAACAUAGUUCAUCAUAACAAGCAUAAAUGCACAGGAUAUAGGAAACUACCCUGUCUAACUAAGACUAACUAAAAGCGAGACUAACGCUAAGACUGUAGCUUCUACGUAUGUAUAUUUCGUAUUAAUUACAAGAUCCAACUCUAACAAGCUAUGGUUCUAGAGUUAUCUUGGUCUUGCAGUCGAGAUUGCCAUAAGACUGGUGUCCACGCCGAGGUGAGCGGUACGGGUGCUGAGUCCCGACGGGAGCGGGGGAACCAUCUUCCAGGUGACGACGUUCCACGCGCUCAGCCCACAGCAGGGCGAUCUCAGCACGAGCCCUACUCAGCUCGUCUAAUGCAUGGUCCAGCUCCGUGUUUAGCACGGCGGCUAGGUUGACUGUGCUGCUCAACCUAGGACUGCCCUCACCGACAGGUGAGACAAUCACGCCUCCUGUGCUGCCAGAUGGACGGCGGGGGUAAUACUUCAGGUCAAGGCCGUCAGCUACCCCACCGAAAACCGAGCAGUAGUGCGAAAGCGCACGCCGUGCAGCAUCUUGCAUGACUGCCUCAGCUGAGUCCCGCUCAGAGAUAGAAUAGUGCUCUGAGCAGGCCUCCGCACCCUGGAGAGUGUUCUCCGAGCGGCGCACCAAGCAGGUUGCCUCCCAGCGGUCCGGGUAGACCCCGCGACUAUGCUGGUAGACCACACAGCGAUACUCGAUGGACCAAGUAUGCCGGUUAAGUGCCCGACGUAGCAGGGUGUCGAGCGCAUCGUGGAAGUGACACCCGCGAGCAGCGUCGCGAGUGAUGGGUCGAGCAACCCAUCCUUCCGGCUCAGGGUUAGCAGAAAGGUCGGUGUCGUGGCUCGAGCUGUCGUCGCCACCUCUGUCGUCUAGGUCUCCUCCAGCAGCUACUCCAGAAGCUGGGGCGCCCAGUGGUGGUGUAGGGGGCGCCUCCAGAGGAAGCAAAGGGGAGCAGCUCCUCACGGACUCUAUCUCCUGUUGGAGCGAGAAAGAAGAGCCCUGCUGCUCCUGUCGUCGACGUUCCUGCUCCUCAUGCAAGCGGUGGUGCAGUCUCUCCAAGUGGCUGGAUUGUCCGGCCACGGGACGGCGAAGCGGACGCUCAGCAAGGCGGGAGGGUAAGAAGGGGAUGAUGGACUUUCAUGCAGUGUGUCUAAGUCGAGCCAUCUACAAAAGACAUCGCAAGCAAAAGGGUGAGAACAGAAUUAAUAUGACCAGCAAAUAAUGAAUCAUAAGUAAAUGAAGGAUUAGAAUAAAACACAAUUUUCAGCAAGGUAUAUUAUAUAGUAGAACAUAGGUUUGGUCGGUAUGACCAACUUUUGAAGGGAUAUCAAAGUCAAGGCGGGGACAGAGGUCUAUAGUCCUUAGAACGACCAUUCUACUCUAGGUUAGCGGUCCUACAGUCAGCACGGCUUUGAUACCACUUAUGUCACACCCGGUUUUAGAAGGCAAACCGAAUGCGAACCAUGUACGUGCCAGGAUCAGUUAUUCACGUACACAGCAGUUACAUAACAUGGACAUCAUCACACAGUGCUCAAAAUAGUAUUAAGAAGGGAAAUAGUCGAUUACAUCAUACGUCUGAGACGUCCAUAUAGUCUUUACAAUAAAUCAAAGUGCGGAAAAGAAACGUAGAUAAACGCGGCCUUCACAGGCAGCCGACUGGGGGUUGCCGCUAACCCACACCUAGAACUCGUCGUAGUCUUGGAACUCCUGGAAGUCUCCUUCCACGGCUUCAUCUUCUCCUGAGCAGUGGUUGCAAUGCUGACAACCUGGGGAUGGGGGGGGUUUGGUGUGUAGAGCAAGGGUGAGUACACAUCAACAUACUCAGCAAGCACCUGUACCAAAGUAUCUCUGAUCAAGUACCACUAAUCACUGGAGCUCCCUUGGCCGCUCAUAACCGCGAGCACGGCUGAUAUAUCAGUUUUCAAACACUCUGCAGAGGUUGUGCACUUUACCCACAAGCCGUGAUUCCCUUUCUGCCCGGAGAUCAUGACUCUCCAUUGAUCACUACCAAGGUGACCCAGCAGGGCAUCACUACGUAGCCUUUACAAAGAUUCCCCGGGGCUGUAGCCACCCGUUAGGUUUCCUAAAUGCACCGCACUCCUCCCCAAGGGGCGAACCCAAACUUGGCAGAGCGAGCCGCAUACACCGAGCCCCAUUGACGGCACGACGGCUAAGUGAACUACACCCCAGAUCCUCUAAUUAUUCAGCUAAGGGCAUCCCAUUCCACCCUCAUGGUUGCACUGUUUUCCCGGGCGGUCAUCCAUACAACAGGUCCUUACGGAGAGGCACUCGAGAAACCGCUCGAGCCCCCUUGAUGACCACAAGUACAACAUUAUAAUAAGAGAAGGGAGAACAGCGUAUCAUAGAUAAUCUCAUCAUGUUCAUUGAUUAGAGUUUGAGCAAUAGCAUAAAGCUAAACAAUAAUAAUCCAACCCAAAUAGGUAGACAAGGACAUGGAUAACAAAAGCUAGUCAAUCCUUAGGCAUAAAUGUGUAAUGCGGGAGGUGAAUUAAAGAAUGUAUAGGACAGAGAUAGGUCAAGGGACACUUGCCUCCACCAACCGACUGCUGCUCAGGGGCUUCUCCUGCGAGUUCCUCGGGCUCUUCGACCGGAUCGUUCUCUAUGCGAUUGCAAGCAUACAUACAUACAUCCAUUCAAAUUAGGAAACAAACAGUACACCACACAAGGGGACAAAUAAAGUAAAUAUGCAUCAAGUAUGACAUUCGAUGUCGCAUUCGUUAAGGUUAGAAAGAAACGGGGAAAGGUCUCGCAGGGGUUAAAGCUUAUGCACUAACGGAAACCUAGCCCCUUUUUAGUUGAUCGACCUUAAGCGAAAUGAACAAUUGACUAUAUAAAUUGACUAAUGUAACGGAAUUCUAAAUUAAGUUUCAUAUUUCAUUAACAUGAACGAUGAUUAGCUUGCCCAAAACAAAAUAAAAUAAAUAACAAUAAUGAAAGAAAAUAAAAUAGAAUAAAAUAAAAUAAAAAAUAAAAAAGGGGGGCGGUUGAACCGGCCGGGGGCGGUUGAACCGGCCAGGGGCAGGGGCGGGGGCGGCCAAGCCGGCGGCGGGCGGCCGGGCUGGGCGCGCAGGGGCGGCCGGGCAGGGGCGGCCGAACCGGCGGGGGGGCUGGGCCGGCCAAGGCGGCGGCCGAGCCGGCAGCCGAGCCGACGGCCGAGCUGGGCGGGCGGGCGGCCAGACUGGGGCGCGGGGGCGGCCGAGCGGCGGGGCCGAGCCAGGGCAGGCGGGCGGCCGAGCGGCGGGGGCCGAGCCGGGGCAGGGGGAAGGGGAGGGGAGAUGGGGGAGGGAGGAGAGGGGGAGGGGGACCUCACCGGGGACGGGGACGGGCGGCCGAACCGGCGACGAGCAAGGGCGGCGGCUAGGGCAGGGGCGGCGGCUGGGGUGGGGAAGAGAGAGAAUGGGAGGGAGAGAGAGGGAUUUGGGGAAAAAGGGGGGGGCUGGGCCAGCUGGGCCCAAAGGGGGCGCGUGGGGGGGGGGCGGCUGGGCCGGCCAAGGCGGCUGGGUCGGCCGGGGCGGCCCACGGCGCGGGAGAGAGAAAAAGGGAGGAGAGAGAGAAGGAAAAAGAAAAAAAAGAAAAAGAAAAAGAAAAAGAAAGGUUUUCUCCUUUUCGAAAUCCGUUUUUUCCUGGAUGAAUGCACUUACAUUUUUAAGCAAUCGAAAGAAUGCAUGGUUCGGCAUGAUGCAUCAAACAACAUAAAGUAUUUUAAGGUUUUGCUUAACACGGGAAUUCCAAGCCAAACCCCGCUAAAACUUUGGAAAAGGUCAAGGUUUAGCGAGAGAACGAGAAAAGAAAUGAGUAACGCCUGAAUUUGGUGAGAGAAAAGAAGAAAAAAUUCUACCCCCAAAUUCAGGGCGUUACAAUACGCACCCACACGCCCACACUGAAACACACCAUCUCUGCGUCCCCUUAGGAACACACCAUCUCUGCGUCCCCUUAGGAACGAUCGAAGUCUCUUUGCCGUUUAUUUUUCGGCUUCACCGCUUAUUUUUCGGUGUAAGUUCUGCAUCCCCUUAGGAACGUCUUUUGAACUUCUUCGCCUUCUAUUUCGGCGGUAUUUUUCGCGUUGACUUUUCGUGCUUCGCCUUAUAUUUCGGCGGUAUUUUCGCGUUGACUUUUCGCGCUUUGCCUUAUAUUUCGGUGGUAUUUGGCUCUGCAUUCCCUUUGGAACGACUUUUGAGCAGAAAACUUACACUGCGCUCCCUUAGGAACGACUUUUUGUAGCUUCGGCGAAACUUACACUGCGCUCCUUAGGAAUGACUUUUUGUAGCUUCGGCGAAACUUACACUGCGAUUUUUUGCUCUGCAUUCCCUUAGGAACGACUUUUGAGCUUCAACAAUUUUUGAGCUUCGUAAAUAUUUGAAGAAGAUAUAUUUCAUUCUGACCAAAGUGAAACUAUUACAAGAAAUUAAAACUAGUUCUGCAUUGUUUGUUCCUUAUUAAAAAACAAAAUGACAAUGAACAUAAAAAUGUUUCAGAGGUAGGAUAUCUCUCAAUAGAUGUGCUUUGAUUCCGACACAGUACUGUUGACUGUGCAAGCUUCAGAUUCCUCCCUGAAUUCCCAUUGCUGUUGAGAGUGCUGGCGCCCUUGAAAGUCGCCUAGAGGGGGGUGAAUAGGGCGAAUCUAAAAUUUACAAACUUAAUCACAACUACAAGCCGGGUUAGCGUUAGAAAUAUAAAUGAGUUCGAGAGAGAGGGUGCGAAACAAAUCGUGAGCGAAUAAAGAGCGAGACACGAUGAUUUGUUUUACCGAGGUUCGGUUCUUGAAAAACCUACUCCCCGUUGAGGUGGUCACAAAGACCGGGUCUCUUUCAAUCCUUUCCCUCUCUCAAACGGUCCCUCGGACCGAGUGAGCUUCUCUUCUCAAUCAAACGGAACACUAAGUUCCCGCAAGGACCACCACACAAUUGGUGUCUCUUGCCUUGGUUACAAUUAAGUUGAUCUCAAGAAGAAUGAGAAAGAAAAGAAGCAAUCCAAGCGCAAGAGCUCAAAUGAACACAACAAAUCACUCUCUCUAAUCACUAAAGCUUUGUGUGGAGUUGGAAGAGGAUUUGAUCUCUUGGGUGUGUCUUAUAUUGAAUGCUAGAGCUCUUGUAAGUGGUUGGAAGGUGGAAAACUUGGAUGCCAAUGAAUGUGGGGUGGUUGGGGUAUUUAUAGCCCCAACCACCACAAAGUGGCCGUUGGAAGGCUGCAGUCGCAUGGCGCGCCGGACAGUCCGGUGCGCCACUGGACACUGUCCGGUGCGCCAGCCACGUCAGCACACCGUUGGGGUUCGACCGUUGGAGCUCUGUCUUGUGGGCCCGCCUGGCUGUCCGGUGGUGCACCGGACAGGCCCUGUAGGCUGUCCGGUGUGCCACCCGUGCGUGCUCUGCUCCUCUGCGCGCGCAGGCGCGCAUUUAAUGCGUUGCAGUCGACCGUUGCGCGCGAAGUAGUCGUUGCUCCGCUGUCACACCGGACAGUCCGGUGUGCACCGGACACUGUCUGGUGACUCACCGGACAGUCCGGUGAAUUAUAGCGGAGCGGAUUCCCGAAGCUGGCGAGUUCAGAGUUGCUCUCCCUUGGGGCACCGGACACUGUCCGGUGGUGCACCGGACGGUCCGGUGAAUUAUAGCGGAGCUCCUCUGAAAAUUCCCGAAGGUGAAGAGUUGGGCGUCGAGUUCCCUCGGGCACCGGACACUGUCCGGUGGCACACCGGAUAGUCCGGUGCGCCAGACCAGGGGACACUUCGGUAUACUUGGCUCCUUUGUUUUGAACCCUUUUCUUGGUCUUUUUAUUGGCUUAUUGUGAACCUUUUGCACCUGUAGAACUUAUAGACUAGAGCAAACUAGUUAGUCCAAUUAUUUGUGUUGGGCAAUUCAACCACCAAAAUUAAUUGGGAAAUAGGUGUAAGCCUAAUUCCCUUUCAAUCUCCCCCUUUUUGGUGAUUGAUGCCAACACAAACCAAAGCAAGUAUAGAAGUGCAUAAUUGAACUAGUUUGCAUAAUUGUAAGUGCAAAGGUUACUUUGAAUUGAGCCAAUAUAAAUUCUCAUAAGAUACGCAUGGAUUGUUUCUUUAUUUUUAACAUUUUGGACCACGCUUGCACCACAUGUUUUGUUUUUGCAAAUUCUUUUGUAAAUUCUUUUCAAAGUUCUUUUGCAAAUAGUCAAAGGUAAAUGAAUAAGAUUUUGAGAAGCAUUUUCAAGAUUUGAAAUUUUCUCCCCCUGUUUCAAAUGCUUUUCCUUUGACUUAAACAAAACUCCCCCUCAAUAAAUUCCUCCUCUUAGUGUUCAAGAGGGUUUUUAAGAUAUCAAUUUUGAAAAUACUACUUUCUCCCCCUUUUGAACACAUUUGAAAAUCAUAGUUUUUUCUUAAAAUUAGGUGGUGGUGCGUCCUUUUGCUUUGGGCUAAUACUUUCUCCCCCUUUGGCAUGAAUUGCCAAAAACGGAUACUUUGAGUGAAAUAUAAGCCCUUUAACUACUUUCUCCCUCUUUCGUAAAAGACAUAUGAGUGAAGAUUAUACCAAAGUCGGAGAGUUGCUCGGAGCGACAGCGAAGGGUGAGUUAUGGAGUGGAAGCCUUUGUCUUCGCCGAAGACUCCAAUUCCCUUUCAAUACACCUAUGACUUGGUUUGAAAUUCACUUGAAAACAUAUUAGUCAUAGCACAUGAAAGAGACAUGAUCAAAGGUAUACUUAUGAGCUAAGUGUGCAAAACAUAAAAAGAAAUUCCUAGAAUCAAGAAUAUUUAGCUCAUGCCUAAGUUUGUUAAAAGUUUGUUCAUCUAGUGGCUUGGUAAAGAUAUCGGCUAAUUGAUCUUUAGUGUUAAUAUAUGCAAUCUCGAUAUCUCCCUUUUGUUGGUGAUCCCUUAAGAAAUGAUACCGAAUGACAAUGUGUUUAGUGCGGCUAUGCUCAAUGGGAUUAUCCGCCAUGUGGAUUGCACUCUCAUUAUCACAUAGAAGAGGAACUUUGGUUAAUUUGUAACCAUAGUCCGUAAGGGUUUGCCUCAUCCAAAGUAGUUGCGCGCAACAAUGACCUGCGGCAAUAUACUCGGCUUCGGCGGUAGAAAGAGCUACAGAAUUUUGCUUCUUUGAAGCCCAAGACACCAAGGAUCUUCCCAAGAACUGGCAAGUCCCCGAUGUGCUCUUUCUAUUAAUUUUACACCCCGCCCAAUCGGCAUCCGAAUAACCAAUUAAAUCAAGUUGGAUCCCCUAGGAUACCAAAGCCCAAACUUAGGAGUAUAAGCUAAAUAUCUCAAGAUUCGUUUUACGGUCGUAAGGUGAGCUUCCUUAGGGUCGACUUGGAAUCUUGCACACAUGCAUACGGAAAGCAUAAUAUCCGGUCGAGAUGCACAUAAAUAUAGUAAAGAGCCUAUCAUCGACCGGUAUACCUUUUGAUCGACGGAUUUACCUCCCGUGUCGAGGUCGAGAUGCCCAUUGGUUCCCAUGGGAGUCUUGAUGGGCUUGGCAUCCUUCAUCCCAAACUUGUUUAGAAUAUCUUGAAUAUACUUCGUUUGGCUAAUGAAGGUGCCCUCUUGGAGUUGCUUCACUUGAAAUCCCAAGAAGUACUUCAACUCCCCCAUCAUCGACAUCUCGAAUUUCUUUGUCAUGAUCCUACUAAAUUCUUCACAUGUAGAUUCGUUAGUAGACCCAAAUAUAAUAUCAUCAACAUAAAUUUGGCAUACAAACAAAUCAUUGCCAAGAGUUUUAGUAAAUAAAGUAGGAUCGACCUUUCUGACUUUGAAGCCAUUAGUGAUAAGGAAAUCUCUAAGGCAUUCAUACCAUGCUCUUGGGGCUUGCUUGAGCCCAUAAAGCGCCUUAGAGAGUUUAUACACAUAGUUAGGAUACUCACUAUCUUCAAAGCCGGGAGGUUGCUCAACAUAGACCUCUUCCUUGAUUGGUCCAUUGAGGAAGGCACUUUUCACGUCCAUUUGAUAAAGCUUAAAGCCAUGGUAAGUAGCAUAGGCAAGUAAUAUGCGAAUUGACUCAAGCCUAGCUACGGGUGCAUAGGUUUCACCGAAAUCCAAACCUUCGACUUGGGAGUAUCCCUUGGCCACAAGUCGGGCUUUGUUCCUUGUCACCACACCAUGCUCGUCUUGCUUGUUGCAGAAAACCCACUUGAUUCCUACAACAUUUUGAUUAGGACGUGGAACCAAAUGCCAUACCUCAUUCCUAGUGAAGUUGUUGAGCUCCUCUUGCAUCGCCACCACCCAAUCCGAAUCUUGUAGUGCUUCCUCUACCCGGUGUGGCUCAAUAGAGGAAACAAAAGAGUAAUGCUCACAAAAAUGUGCAACACAAGAUCUAGUGGUUACCCCCUUAUGGAUGUCGCCGAGGAUGGUGUCGACGGGGUGAUCUUGUUGGAUUGCUUGGUGGACUCUUGGGUGUGGCGGCCUUGGUUCUUCAUCCUCCUUGUCUUGAUCAUGGGCAUCUCCCCCUUGAUCAUUGUUCUCCUCUUGAGGUGGCUCAACAUCUUGAUUUUCUCCUUUAUCAUUUUGAGCCCCAUCCUCAUCUUGAGUUGGUGGAGAUGCUUGUGUUGAGGAGGAUGGUUGAUCUUGUGCAUUUGGAGGCUCUUUGGAUUCCUUAGCACACACAUCCCCAAUGGACAUGUUCCUUAGCGCGACGCACGAAGCCUCUUCAUUACCUAUCUGAUCAAGAUCAACUUGCUCUACUUGAGAGCCGUUAGUCUCAUCAAACACAACGUCACAAGAAACUUCAACUAGUCCUGAGGACUUGUUAAAGACUCUAUAUGCCCUUGUGUUUGAAUCAUAUCCUAGUAAAAAGCCUUCUACAGUCUUAGGAGCAAAUUUAGAUUUUCUACUUCUUUUAACAAAAAUAAAGCAUUUGCUACCAAAGACUCUAAAAUAUGAAAUAUUGGGCUUUUUACUGGUUAGGAGUUCGUAUGAUGUCUUCUUGAGGAUUCGGUGUAGAUACAAUCGGUUGAUGGCGUAGCAGGCGGUGUUGACCGCCUCGGCCCAAAACCGAUCCGAAGUCUUGUACUCAUCAAGCAUGGUCCUUGCCAUGUCCAAUAGAGUUCUAUUCUUCCUCUCCGCUGCACCAUUUUGUUGUGGCAUGUAGGGAGAAGAGAACUCAUGCUUGAUGCCCUCCUCCUCAAGGAAGCCUUCGAUUUGAGAGUUCUUGAACUCCGUCCCGUUGUCGCUUCUAAUUUUCUUGAUCCUUAAGCCGAACUCAUUUUGAGCCCGUCUCAAGAAUCCCUUUAAGGUCUCUUGGCUAUGAGAUUUUUCCUACAAAAAGAACACCCAAGUGAAGCGAGAAUAAUCAUCCACAAUAACUAGACAGUACUUACUCCCGUUGAUGCUUAUGUAAGCAAUCGGGCCGAAUAGGUCCAUGUGUAGGAGCUCGAGUGGCCUGUCAGUCGUCAUGAUGUUCUUGUGUGGAUGAUGAGCACCAACUUUCUUUCCUGCCUGACAUGCGCUACAAACCCUUCUUCCUUUUGCCGUCCUUUGCCAUGAGGCACUUGUGGCCGACGUUGGGGAAGAGAAGACCCUUGGUGACGGUGAUGUUUGCGGCAUCCUCGUCGGAGGAGGAGUCGGUGGAUCUCUCGUCGGAGUCCCACUCCCGGCAAAUGUGGGCAUCACCGCCCUUCUUCUUGUAGUAUCUUUUCUUCUCCUUUCUUCUCCCCUUCUUGUCGUCGCCCCUGUCACUAUCACUAGAUAAUGGACAUUUAGCAAUGAAAUGACCGGGCUUACCAUAUUUGUAGCACACUUCCUUGGAUCGGGGCUUGUAAUCCUUCCCCCUCCUUUGCUUGAGGAUUUGGCAGAAGCUCUUGAUGAUGAGCGCCAUUUCCUCGUUGUCGAGCUUGGAGGCGUCGAUGGGUGUUCUACUUGAUGUAGACUCCUCCUUCUUUUCCUCCGUCGCUUUGAAUGCGACCGGUUGUGCUUCGGACGUGGAGGGGCCAUCAAUCUCGUUGAUCUUCUUCGAGCCUUUGAUCAUCAAUUCAAAGCUCACAAAAUUCCCUAUUACCUCCUUGGGAGACAUUAGUGUAUAUCUAGGAUUUCAUCAAAUUAAUUGAACUUGCGUAGGGUUAAGAAAAACGAGGGAUCUUAGAAUAACCUUAACCAUCUCAUGGUCAUCCCAUUUCUUACUCUCGAGGUUGCGCACUUGUUUCACCAAGGUCUUGAGCCGGUUGUACGUAUCUUGUGGCUCCUCCCCUUGGCAAAGUCGGAAGCGACCGAGCUCCCCCUCGAUCGUCUCCCGCUUGGUGAUCUUGGUCACCUCGUCUCCUUCGUGCGCGGUCUUUAGCACGUCCCAAAUUUCCUUUGCACUCUUCAACCCUUGCACCUUAUUAUACUCCUCUCAACUUAGAGAGGCGAGGAGUAUAGUGGUGGCUUGGGAGUUGAAGUGCACGAUUUGGGCUACUUUGUCCUCAUCAUAAUCUUCAUCCCCUACGGAUGGUACCUGUACACCAAACUCAACAACAUCCCAUAUACUUUUGUGGAGUGAGGUUAGGUGAUAUCGCAUCAUAUCACUCCACCUAGCAUAAUCUUCACCAUCAAAUGUUUGUGGUUUGCCUAAUGGGACGAAAAGUAAAGGCGUAUGUUUAGGAAUGCGAGGAUAGCGUAGGGGGGUCUUACUAAACUUCUUGCUCUCAUGGCGCUUAGAAGUUACGGACGGCGUGUCGAAGCCGGAGGUGGAUGGCGACGAGGAGUCGGUCUCGUAGUAGACCACCUUCCUCAUCUUCUUCUUCUUAUCACCGCUCCGACGCGAUUUGUGUGAAGGGGAUUCCUUUUCCUUCCCCUUCCCUUUGUUGUAGGACUCUCCCGAUGGAGCCUUCCCGUGGCUUGUAGUGGGCUUCUCGCCGGUCCCCAUCUCUUUCUUGGCGUGAUCUCCCGACAUCACUUCAAGCGGUUAGGCUCUAAUGAAGCACCAUGCUUUGAUACCAAUUGAAAGUUUCCUAGAGGGGGGUGAAUAGGGCGAAUCUGAAAUUUACAAACUUACUCACAACUACAAGCCGGGUUAGCGUUAGAAAUAUAAAUGAGUUCGAGAGAGAGGACGCGAAACAAAUCGUGACCGAAUAAAGAGCGAGACACGAUGAUUUGUUUUACCGAGGUUCGGUUCUUGAAAAACCUACUCCCCGUUGAGGUGGUCACAAAGACCGGGUCUCUUUUAACCCUUUCCCUCUCUCAAACGGUCCCUCGGACCGAGUGAGCUUCUCUUCUCAAUCAAACGGAACACUAAGUUCCCGCAAGGACCACCACACAAUUGGUGUCUCUUGCCUUGGUUACAAUUGAGUUGAUCGCAAGAAGAAUGAGAAAGAAAAGAAGCAAUCCAAGUGCAAGAGCUCAAAUGAACACAACAAAUCACUCUCUCUAAUCACUAAAGCUUUGUGUGGAGUUGGGAGAGGAUUUGAUCUCUUGGGUGUGUCUUAUAUUGAAUGCUAGAGCUCUUGUAAGUGGUUGGAAGGUGGAAAACUUGGAUGCCAAUGAAUGUGGGGUGGUUGGGGUAUUUAUAGCCCCAACCACCACAAAGUGGUCGUUGGAAGCCUGCAGUCGCAUGGCGCACCGGACAGUCCGGUGCGCCACCGGACACUAUCCGGUGCGCCAGCCACGUCAGUAGACCAUUGGGGUUCGACCGUUGGAGCUAUGUCUCGUGGGCCCGCCUGGCUGUCCGGUGUGCCACCCGCGCGUGCUCUGCUCCUCUGCGCGCGCAGGCGCGCAUUUAAUGCGUUGCAGUAGACCGUUGCGCGCGAAGUAGUCGUUGCUCCGCUGUCACACCGGACAGUCCGGUGUGCACCGGACACUGUCCGGUGAAUUAUAGCGGAGCGGAUUCCCGAAGCUGGCGAGUUCAGAGUUGCUCUCCCUUGGGGCACCGGACAGUCCAGUGAAUUAUAGCGGAGCUCCUCUAAAAAUUCCCGAAGGUGAAGAGUUGGGCGUCGAGUUCCCUGGUGCACCGGACACUGUCCGGUGGCACACCGGACAGUCCGGUGCGCCAGACCAGGCGACACUUUGGUAUACUUGGCUCCUUUGUUUUGAACCCUUUUCUUGGUCUUUUUAUUGGCUUAUUGUGAACCUUUGGCACCUGUAGAACUUAUAGACUAGAGCAAACUAGUUAGUCCAAUUAUUUGUGUUGGGCAAUUCAACCACCAAAAUUAAUUGGGAAAUAGGUGUAAGUCUAAUUCCCUUUCAGCCCUUCUAGUUGCUGGCUUCGGGAAUAGGUCGGUUGUAGUGGUGGUGGAGGCGGGAGUUGUGGCCAAGAAGCCUGUGAAUGGCUAGCCGAAGCAACAGAAGCUGCAGGAUGAUUGUUCACAUACUCUGGUAUGUAAGGAGAGUGACACGAUGCAGUGUGCAAGACCUGCUUCGGCUGAUUCUGCCGAGCUUUGGCUUCUGCUAUCUCCUUUUGCUUCUGGAUGGUGACGUGGCACAUUCUUGUAGUAUGGCUCUUGUCCUCACCACAGAAUAAGCAGUAGACUUUUCUAGGCUGAUCCCCAAAUCUUCCUUCGAAGCCCCUGGCGCCUCUGCCCCUUGGAGCUGGUGGCCUGAAAGAUCUUUGUUGUUGCCCCGAAGAUUGUGAGGUAUAUUGUGACCUCUGGGACUGACUUCCUUUGUCGUCACUCUGAGUGGAGUUAUGGAUUGACCUGACGUGCCUCGGAUGGAUUCUUCCUCUGAAGCCCCUGGUCAUUUCGUAGAAUCUGUAAGCUUCCUCCCUUCUUUGGCGAAAAUCAUUGUCAGCUCGGAUGUACUCAUCUAUCUUCUGAAGCAGUUUCUCCAGAGUUUGUGGGGGCUUCCUGGCGAAAUAUUGAGCAAUAGGCCCUGGCCGAAGACCCUUGAUCAUGGCCUCGAUGACAAUCUCAUUAGGCACUGUAGGCGCUUGUGCCCUCAGUCGCAAGAACCUUCGUACAUAUGCCUGAAGGUAUUCUUCGUGGUCUUGCGUGCAUUGAAAUAGAGCCUGAGCUGUGACUGGCUUUGUUUGAAAACCUUGUAAACUAGUAACCAGCAUAUCCUUAAGCUUCUGCCACGACGUGAUAGUCCCUGGCCGAAGAGAAGAAUAACAUGUUUGGGCUACAUUCCGGACUGCCAUGACGAAGGACUUCGCCAUGACUGCAGUAUUGCCCCCAUACGAAGAUAGAGUUGCUUCGUAGCUCAUCAGAAACUGCUUUGGAUCUGAGUGCCCAUCAUACAUGGGAAGCUGAGGUGGCUUGUAUGAUGGGGGCCAUGGGGUAGCGUGCAGUUCUGCUGCCAAGGGAGAAGCAUCAUCAAAAGUAAAGGCAUCAUGAUUAAAAUCAUCAUACCAUCCAUCUUCAUUGAACAAGCCUUCUUGACGAAGCUCCCUGUGUUGGGGUCUUCGAUCCUGUUCAUCUUGAGCAAGAUGACACACUUCCUCAGUGGCUUCGUCGAUCUUCCAUUGAAGAUCAGCCAGCCGCGCCAUCUUCUCCUUCUUCCUUUGUAUUUGCUGAUGGAUUAUUUCCAUGUCCCUGAUUUCUUGGUCCAACUCCUCCUCCUGGAGUGUUGGACUGGUGGGUUUCCUCUUCUGGCUUCGAGCCUCUCGAAGAGAAAGAGUUUCCUGGUUUGGGUCCAGCGGCUACAGUACAGCGGUCUCUGGUGCUGAAGCUUUUUUUCGGCGGCAUGACGAAGGUCAGUGCUUGCCGAAGGUGGUCGAAAAAGGUUCACCGGAGGUGGGCGCCAAUGUUGGGGACUUGUUCUCAAAUGCUAUGAGUUAAGAACAAGGCAACACAAAAUGUUAAAUGUUAAAGUACUUCGUCCUUCGAAACAUUAUUUCCUUUGGGAUAUAAUGAUAUUUAGACGAAGGUUAUGAAGGACAUACCUUCAUCAACGCGGUAUAUGUUAAUAAAAGAAGUAUAUGAAAUAUAGGAAGCAAAAUAAACAAUUACAUAACAUUAUUAAUUCAUUGUAUUGUCAUGGAAAGACAGAAACAAUAUUGAAUUACAAAUGUACCUUCGGAUUGAUAGAAGACAAAAAGUACAAGCGUGACACAAGAGCCAGUACAAGUCAGCGUGAACAGUACGAGGGUACUGUUCAUCUAUUUAUAGUCACAGGGCGCAGCCUGUGCAAAAUUACAUUCAUGCCCUUCAUGUUUACUAUUGACAUUAGGACAAUCUAUCGAGGACUAAAUAGUCUUUUCCUCUUUAAGUCGGUUCCUUUUCUGCUACUGAGCCGAAGCUUUCUUGUGCAUAGCUUCGGAACUGGUUCGACCUUCAUCCCAACCAUGCUUUUCAUAUUGUGGACAGCUCCAUCCCGAUUCUGAAGGUUCCUGUACAUAUAUUACACUCGGAGAAACAUUGUUAAUCAUGUUUUUUAGGACCUUCGGAAGACGAAGGCCCCUAACACCACUCUUUUUUUAUUAAUUAAGACUACUUGUAAGAAACUGACACCUACCAACUAAUUGUUUGACAGGAGCUUGCUCAUAGCCAGCAAUAUUUCUUCUGGAAAAACUACAGGAAUAACAGACUGAAGCACAUCAUACCACGCCCUCCUCCUGAACCUGCACCUUCACAGGCACCUGCUACAUUGCCCCUACCAGCCCGCGAUGACACCCGUAGCUCCACCUGUUCCUGCACCAACAUCGUCUAUGCCACCUGUGGUAGCAGGUGGUGCAUCUGCAAUGUCUCCUAUGCAGUUUGUAGGAACUCCAGGCACUAAUAUGCCGAAGAAUGACAUGAGAAAUGCUAUGGACAAUAGAAAAAGGAAGUAUGCACCACCUCCCUUGCAAUCAUUCAAGUCAUUUUAUGAAGUUAUUUGUCCAUGCAUUGUUUUCUUUCCUUGCUAUUUUUUCUGUGCUAUGAAAUCAUUGGUGAACUAUUAUUUUCGAAGGACAUGAUCCAAUUCAGUUUGAUUUAUGGCCACUCUUCCAAUAUAGAUCAUGAAGAUUCCCCUUUCCUUACAGGAAAGAUGAUUGAGACUCUCAACAUGUUUUUUUUGAGGGAUGCUAUAUCCUCUUCCCCAUUCACUCUGGUUGCUCUUCUUCAUUGAAGACGGUGGAGAAAUACUUCUUUUACUUCUCUGAUCUUUGGCCCAUUAUCCCAGUAAAAUUUAUCUGAAGUUCUGUCAACAAUGCAUAUUGAGUCAAGUGUUAUUCGUCCCAUUGUGCAAAUAAAGACUGGAUAAAGACUCGUCAAUUGAAAUGUGAACGUCAUGCAGCUAUGACUGAAUCUGCAUAUUUCUUCAGAGCUUAUAAAUGUGAUAUGAAUGUUUCAUAAAACUUCAGUUUGGCUGAUGAUAUGUAUACAUCUUCAUCGCAGGAUGGGCUAGUUAAAAUUCUUGCGCAACUUUUCAACGGACACUUCCGGAUUCGAGCACAGUUGCUGCCUCUGGAGCCUUAUUAUUUCCUUUUGUUUUAGUGCUGGUUAUUUGGCCUUGUAGUUUAGAGUUUUUAGAAUGGAAGCUUCUGACUUAGAGUGAAGUUAGAACAAAUACUCCAUGUCGCAUGAACUUGGCAGCAGGAAAUAUGUACUGUUCAUAAACUAUACAUAUGCCCGUUGGCCCCAAUACAAAGUUGAUAUUUUGGCAAUAUUCUGUUUAUACAAAACAACUGUACAUAUUUCUGCAUUUUUUUACACAAAUAACUUAAAAGAAUGUUGACUUCAAACAAAACGAAGCUAUCUAAUGUUACUCGGUUCAACCCGUCUCUGGCGUUCGCCAUUAGACGUUUACAUGUUUACAUGAUGGAAACCACUUGUUGGAAUCAUAAAAACUAGUUUAAGAAAUAUACUGUCGUAAUUAUUUUUUUAAAACUUGACACAAAUCUACUCACAUAUAAAAGUUGGGAUACAAAUUUUCUUUUUGAAAAUUCAUACAAAAUCAGAAAUUUUAGUUGUAUGUGCACUGCGAGACAAAAAAGUAUAGAUUUUUGUCUUCUAGUAUACAUGCACAUAAGUUGUGCUAUUUUCAUAUGAUUUUUUUUUUCAAAAAUGACUUUGCAUCUCAAUUUUUGGGUGUGAGUUCUGUAUGGAUGAACUUAAGUUUUUUUAAAAAAUCAAGUUACAAAAGUGUACUUGCUCAGUUCCAAUUUAUAAUUUAUUUAACAUUAUCGACACCAACUUUACCGGCUCGCCUUAUUAAAAAAUAUAAUUAUUGUUUAUUAUUAUUGUGGUAUUGUUUAGCACUUAAUAUACUUUAAUUAUGGUUUUGGAUUUUCAAAUUUUCAAAAAAAUUACUAAGAUGAGUCAGUCAAAAUUAGUGUCAAAAAGUUAAAUGAAUUAUAAAUUGGAACCGUGGAAUUAUUAUUUUUUAACUAGUUUCCAUACAUCCAUGCAUGUCAGCACAAGACCAUUUUGACUCCUGUAAACCCUAUCAAACGUUGAAAGCUGACCUCUGUUCUUUCUUGGGGAGCUAGGAUGGUGAUUGAUCCUCCGAAUGCUCCUCCGGGCCUCCAAUUACACCCCGACAUCAGGAGCCUAAAAAUGGCCAAUGCGCCACUAUAAAGAGGGGAACCUCGUUGCAACGAAGAAAUCACCGUACCAUUAUGGCUGGUUCGUGGAUGGCUGCGCCACGACCUCUCCUGCUGUCGCUGCUGGUCGCCGUGCUAGCGGUGGCCGCCGAUGUCGCCAACGCCGGCCACGCCAAGCCCCUGACGCCUGGCGGGCGUGUGGUACACGACAACCACGGCAAGUUCACGGCCGGGCCGUGGAAACCCGCCCACGCGACCUUCUACGGCGGGCGGGACGGGUCCGGCACCACGGCGGGCGCGUGCGGGUACAAGGACACGCGCACGCAGGGGUACGGCGUGCAGACGGUGGCCGUGAGCACGGUGCUGUUCGGUGACGGCACGGCCUGCGGCGGGUGCUACGAGGUGCGGUGCGUGGACAGCCCUAGCGGGUGCAAGCCCGACGCGGCGGCACUGGUGGUGACGGUGACCGACCUGUGCCCGCCCAAGGACCAGUGGUGCAAGCCACCGCGGGAGCACUUCGACCUCAGCAUGCCCGCGUUCCUCCAGAUCGCGCAAGAGAAGGCCGGCAUCGUGCCGAUCUCCUACCGCAGGGUGGCGUGCGUGAAGCAGGGCGGCAUCCGGUACACCAUCACCGGGAACAAGUACUUCAACAUGGUGACGAUCACCAAUGUGGGCGGCGCUGGCGACAUCGCGGCGGUGUCGGUGAAGGGGAGCAAGCGCGUCAAGUGGACGGAGAUGAAGCGCAACUGGGGGCAAGUGUGGCAGACCGGGGAGGACCUCACCUGCGAGUCGCUGACGUUCCGGGUGAUGACCAGCGACCACCGCAAGGCCACCUCAUGGCACGUUCUCCCCGCUGACUGGAAGUUCGGCGUCACGUACCAGGCAUCCAAGAACUUCUAAGUAGCCACUUUCCCUCCUCUUCUUCAUCCUGCAUAUGCCCACAAGCAACCAUGCAAAUGAUAACAUGCAUCAUGCAUGCAUAUUCAUUCUUUCGCUCAUGCACUCCAAUAUGGUGCCGGAGUUAAAAAAAUGUAAAUCAAUGUGCAAACUCAAAUGACAUCUUAACCAGUUGUGAUCAAUCUCAACCGCUAAUGCAUUGCACACACCGAAUGAAGCUACCAUCCACUGCUGGAACAGGCUGAUUUAUCGAAUACUUGGCAAAAAGCCAAAUUCUUAGUGAUCUCCACUAUUUAGGCCUUGUGUUGCAUCAAAUGAAGUAACUUUAAGAGUCUCUCUAUAUUCUUUCCAAUUAAUAUAAACAGAUUUUUUUAAAAAAAAACCUCCAACAACUUAUCUAAAUGGCUACCUAAAUAUAACUGUUGGGGGCAUGCUUCUUCACCGAAGGUCCUCCAAGCAAAUACACCUUCGGCAGUAUGAUAUGCGAACUGACACAGCAUGAAGGCACAAGCAAAAGCUACAACCCAGAAAGCUUUGGCAUAAUGACGCGCCUUGAGACGAAGGGCGGCACCGACUUAAAGAGGAAAAGAUCGUUUAGUCCCUAAUAGUUUGUGUCGCAUUUGUAAUUUGUCAUGAAGGACAUAAAUGUAAUUUUGACCGGGCUGCAUCCCGCGCCUAUAAAUAGGUGAACAGUAACCCUGUAUUGUUCACGCUGACUUGUAUUCACUCACACGUCACACCUGGAUUUUUACCUUCUAUCAAGCCGAAGGUACAAAUAUAACUUGAUAUUGUUCAUGCUUAUUCAUGAUAGUAUAAUAAAAAUGUUCUGAUGAUGUCAUAUGACUAUUCAUGUUAUUUUACAUGUUUCAUAUGCUUCUACUUUCAUUAUUAUAUGCUGAAAUGAUGAAGGUACGUCCUUCAUGACCUUCGUCUGAAGAUCAUUAUAUCCUAAAGGAAAUAAUGCUUCGAAAGACGAAGGUCUUUAACCAUUAACAUUUUGUGUUGCCUUGUUCUUAAUUCAUAGCAUUUGAGAACAAGUCCCCAACAUUGGCGCCCACCUCCAGUGAACUCACUUCCACUGUUGAGCUGAUGGCUUCGUUCAACAACCAAGUCGUAGCACCUUCGGCUAUGAAGCUGGUGCUCCCAAUCACGGGCGGUUCAAGCACAGAGCCAGCUAACAAGAAGCAGAAGAAGGAAGCACAGAGAAGAGUGCAGCAUGUUGGGGUGCAAGGACCCUUCAUCAGGUCCAAGUGGUCCCACAUCCCAAUCACCUUCUCCAGGAGGAUCUUGAGCUAAAAGACUAUCCUCACAAUGAUGCUAUGGUCAUAUCUUGUGUCAUCAAGGGUUUUCUGGUCCACAAUGUUCUGGUUGACACAGAUAGUGCAGCAGACAUUAUAUUUGCAAAGGCUUUCAGGCAGAUGCAAGAACUAGAUGACAAGAUUCAUGACGCUACACACCCUCUUUGUGGCUUCGGAGGACGAUAGAUUGUGGCACUUGGCAAAAUCACAAUGACAGUUACCUUCGGCUAUGUCCACAACACAAGAACUGAGCAAGUUGUUUUUGACAUUGUCGACAUGGAAUACCCAUACAAUGCAAUCAUUGGUCGAGGAACACUUAAUGCCUUCGAAGCAAUACUUCAUCCAGCAUACUUUUGCAUGAAGAUACCUUCGGAGCAAGGGCCCAUUGUUGUCCAUGGAAGUCAAGAAGCUGCUAGAAGGGCUGAAGGUAGUUGGACAGAUUCAAAGGCAAUACACAACAUAGAUGGAGCCGAAGCUUGUCAACAAUAUAAACACAAAAGAAAGAAGGCUGCUUCGGCAGAUCAGCCGAAGCCUAUGCUUUUAUGUGAAGAUAUAGCAGAUCAAAAGGUACUGCUGGGGUCUCAGUUAUCUGAUGAGCAGGAAAAAACUUUGAUAAGAUUUUUGUUCAACAACAAAGAUGUCUUCGCUUGGACAACCAAUUAUCUCUGUGGUGUCAACAGAGAUGUCAUUGAGCAUUCACUUAAUGUGGAUCCGUCUUUCAGGCCAAGGAAGCAAAGACUUCGGAAGAUGUCUGAUGAUAAAGCUGAAGGUGCCCGGAACGAAGUAAAGAGGCUUCUCAGUGCAGGAGUUAUCAGAGAAGUAACAUAUCCAGAAUGGCUAGCUAACACUGUUAUGGUGAAGAAAGCUAAUGGCAAAUGGAGAAUGUGUAUUGAUUUCACAGAUCUCAACAAAGCAUGCCCAAAGGACGAAUUCCCAUUACCAAGGAUAGACUCCCUUGUAGAUGCAGCAGCUUCUUUGGAGCUCAUGAGUCUACUAGACUACUAUUCAGGUUAUCAUAAAAUAUGGAUGAAGAGGGAAGAUGAGCCAAAGACUAGCUUCAUAACCCCUAGCGGCACUUAUUGCUACCUUCGGAUGCCUGAGGGGCUCAAGAACACUGGAGGAAGAUUCAGUAGAAUGACAUCCAAGGUCCUUCAUUCUCAAAUAGGCAGGAAUGUGCUGACUUAUGUUGAUGACAUCAUAGUAAAGAGCACGAAGCAAGAGAAUCACAUUGCUGACUUGCAGGAGACAUUUGCCAAUUUCAGGCAAGCGGGUCUGAAAUUAAAUCCAGAAAAGUGUGUUUUUGGAGUAAAGAAGGGCAAGUUCCUUGGCUAUCUGGUAUCAAUGAAGGGAAUCAAAGCUAACCCCAAUAAGAUCGAAGCUAUCCUUCGGAUGGAGCCGCCAAAUACAAAAAAGAGGGCCCAACGGCUGGCAGGAAGACUGGCAUCAUUAAAUAGAUUCAUAUCUAGAUCAGCAGAAAGAAAUCAGCCAUUCUUUGAAAUACUGAAGUCAACCGAAGUUUUUCAAUGGGGUCCGGCUCAGCAAAAGCUUUCGAAGAGUUAAAGCAAUACUUGAUAGACUUGACAACUCUAACCCCACCUUCGCCAGGGGCUCCAUUACUCUUAUAUGUAGCAGCCUCUCACUCUGCAGUCAGUGCAACGCUUGUACAAGAAAAGCAAGAUGGCCAAGUUAAAAAAACAAGCACCAAUAUAUUUUGUCUCCGAAGUUCUAAGUUUGUGAAAGAAAAAUUAUACAGAAUUGGAGAAGGUACUAUAUGCCGUGUUGAUGGCCUCCAAGAAGCUUCGACACUGUUUUCAAGCAUAUCAUAUAAUUGUUCUUUCGUCACAACCUCUAAAGGACAUAAUGAGAAAUAGAGAAGCUACUGGGAGGAUCGGAAAAUGGGCUGCCGAGCUCAAUGAAUUCUUUAUUGAUUAUGUUCAUAGAUCCUCAAUUCAGUCUCAGGUCUUAGCAGACUUCAUUGCUGAUUGGACGCCAGGGGCUCAGGAAGAAGAAGCAACAAAAGACGCCGAAGCCUGGACAGUUUAUAGAGCACAUCAAUAAAAGAUACUAUAGAAGGGACCAGACUUUAGGCUAUAGAGCACAUCAAUAAAUAUGAGGCCGAAACAAUAAAGUGGCGUGAUAGAAAAGUUCGAUUGAAAAACAUCAAGCCAGAGCAUUUGGUGCUUCGGAGAGUGGCCAACCCAGACACAGUGGGCAAGUUGCAACUAAAGUGGGAAGAUCCUUUUCUGGUAGUAUCUUCGUCAAGACCCGGUUCUUACAGAUUGAAGGAUAUUAUACCACCCCACUGGUCACACACAUUGGAUGUUACCAAAACUCCUCCCACUAAACUUAUGCAACACAAGAGAUGUAAUACAGAGAGAAAAUAUUGCAAAAUCUGGCAGCACCUCCUUUGAAACUAGCAUAACAAGGGGGGGACAUGUAGUUCAUAUAGGAUAUAAAGAUAGAUAAUUCACGUAGUAGAAUCUAAAUGCAAAAGUGGUAAAACACAUUCAUGACCCAACAGGAACAAAAAUGAGAUAAGUAACUCAGCCCACCCCAACAAAUAAACCGCUCAACCACCAAGAGAAGCUAGAACAUAGAAAUUCUCUAGACUUGACCCUCCCUGAUUAACAACAUUAUUAAGUAGUGGUUCCUUAAUUAAAAGUGUAGUGGCCGUGCUGCUACAUCCCUCUUUUCCCAAAGCAGAAAUUAGGUGCCUGCAUCAAACAAUGCAAGAGUGAGAUGACACAUCUCAGCAAGUAAACAUGUAACUAAUUACUUAACGCCAAGAAGAAUCACCAUGUAAAAAUCCAGAUUAUCCACAUCCACAUAAUAGAUUCCACACCUCUCCCAUGAAUGCACAUGGCUACAGAUGCAAUAAUGACUUCUCCCUCCAUAUCUCUAAGGAUAUGAAGCUGCAUCAUACCCCUUCUCGGGCAACAUAUGAUGCUCAAUGUACCGGUACGGUCGGACCAUAAGAUCGCGACGAAACUUCAAUGCAAUGGAUGAUGAAUGCAUUAUGCAAGUCAACAACAUGAGUUCUUCCCAAACAGAAUGUGCUAGACAUAUACUUCCACUUAUUCCACAUAAUAAACCACAUGGGUAACAUGAUCAAACCACAUACUCAACAUAUGUAAUCAGUAAAACAUGAAUAUCUUCCAACGAUGGUACUCAAUUAAAAGUAUGAAUACGAACACAACAGCACAACAUAAUCAAGUGUAAGACUCUUCAUUCAACAGAUAGAAUAAUCCUCACUGCUUUACUUGCCUUUACCGGAAGUUUGGGCAAAUCCCUAAGUACGGUCCGUAAGUCCACCACCUGUUUUUGACACCCAACUUAGUGCACCAAUAUCACAUAAUAAACCCAAAAACAACGCCGCACCUACGCGCAAUCUCAAACCCCGCCGCGGGUAACAAUUCUCCUCACACCCACCAAACUGCAGCGACGCUGCUUAACGAUUCCAUAACUUUAAAAUUAAGGCAGCAGUGGUGACAAAUAAAAACUCCAGAGACAACUAUAUAAAAUUCCCCACAAGUUUUGUAUACAAUUUAUGAUUAAAUUCUAACAUCUAAUUACCCCUAAACGGUCCACAAGAUAAACCCAGCAAUCUGUUUUUUCCUCUUUUGGGCAGCGACAUACCCGGAUUCAAACAGCGAUAACUUUUAAAAUAUAAUUCCGAAUCGAGCGCAUAAGUACUAGUUGGAAAGGUAAGACAAAGACCUACAUGAUUCUCAUAAUGAUUAACACUAAUUACUCACGAAACGUCCCCAGAAACUGCUAACACUGCUGCUGUUCGUCCACCUGAAAAAUCUGUUUUUUUGGACAGCCACAUACCCGGAUUCAAAUGGCUAUAUCUUUUAAUUUAUAACUCCGAAUUGAGCGCAUAAAUACUCGUUGGAAAGGUAUGCCAAAGUUCUACAUGAUUCCCAAAUUGAUUCCCAUUAACUCCCCACGAAAAAACCCAAAAACUGCUAGAAUUACUGUUGUUCGUCUGCCACCUAAAAUUCUGGACAGCCCCUCUACCCAAUCGCAUAUGCCACAUCUAAUCAAUUGGAUUGCAGCACAAAUGAACAGGAGAUGAACACAAAAAUCACCUUGGGUUCUCCCCCUUUCCUUCCUCCCUUCUUCCCUCCACCGAAAACAAUCGAAGAUUUGCACCACGCGACGUAGAUCCGAGCGGCAAUGAAAAGCACAUUGGGAGGAGGAGAUGGGGGGGCUAGGGUUUGGUGUGUGGCUGCAAGAGUUUGGAAAGGAGGAGAUGAGAGGGGGGCAGCCAAAGGUGGGGAGAAUGAGGGGGGUUAGGGGAAAAGGGGCGGCUAGGGUUAGGGAAGAUUAGUGGGCCGAAACACGAAUCGCGGCCCAACUCGCCCACGCGACAGCUCCUGACCCCGUCGCAAGCGCCCAACCAAACAAAUUCUACUACCCUACUGGUGAAUGAUUUUCCCCAAAUUCCAAAUUCCCAAAACGCAUCAACCGAAUGAGAAAAAAACAAAAAGAAUAACCUCCAACUUCCCUUCUUUGCAAAACGGGUAUCACACUCUACCCCCCUUAAAAAGAAUUCGACCUCGAAUUCUGACGCUUCUAUCGGAACGACAAAAGGAAAGAUUAAAGAAUCAACAACACUUACCCACAACAAAAAGUUCCGGAUACUUCUGUCGCAUCAGCUCGUCAAGUUCCCACGUAGCCUCGCGCUCAGACUGAUUAGUCCAUAAGACCUUGACAUACUUAAUUGAUCUCUUCCUCAAUGCACGCUCCGAGAAUUCCAAUAUACGCACCGGACGACACUCCAAAGUCAGAUCCUGCUGCACCGCAAUUGGUUCCAUCUCAUUCUGAUGGUCCGGAUCCCGCAAGAACUUUCUCAACAUAGAGACAUGAAAAACCGGGUGUACCCCUGCCAUGGAAUCCGGCAGUAGCAAGCGAUAAGCCAAGCUGCCCACUCGGGCCAAGAUAGUGAAUGGUCCAAUGUAUCUCAGGCUGAGCUUCCCAGAGACACCGAACCGCACAACUCCUUUAGUAGGUGAUACCCUGAGAAGGACUUGGUCACCCACAGCAAAUUCCAGAUCCCGCCUCCUCACAUCAGCAUAACUCUUCUGACGGCUCUGAGCUACCAAAAUAUUCUGACGUAUUUCCCGAACCUUUUCAGAAGUCUGCUGAACCCAAUCAGGACCAACCAGGGAUCUCUCUCCCAAAGUCUCCCAGCACAGAGAGGAGAUACACCGCCUGCCAUACAAAGCCUCAAAUGGUGCCAUCUUGAUGCUAGCCUGGUAGAUGUUGUUAUAAGCAAACUCUGCCAGUGCAAGAUGAUCCUCCCAGCUACCCUUCCAUGACAGAACACAAGCGCGCAACAUAUCUUCCAAGGUUUGGAUUGUUCGCUCUGACUGACCAUCAGUCUGAGGGUGAAAAGCGACACUAAGUGAAAGCUUGGUGCCCAAUGCACUAUGAAGACUCUCCCAGAAUUUGGAUACAAAUUUGGAGUCUCGAUCAGAAACAAUAGACUUAGGUACCCCGUGAAGCCUGACUACUUCCUUCAUAUACAAGGGAACCAAAUCUGAAGCUGAAUUUGUGGUCUUCAUGGGAAUAAAAUGCGCAGACUUAGUCAAGCGAUCCACUACCACCCAUAUGGCAUCCCUGCCACGGGGGGAACGAGGUAGACCCACCACAAAAUCCAUGGUGAUAUGCUCCCAUUUCUACUCUGGAAUUUCUAAUGGCUUCAGGAAACCAGCAGGACGCUUAUGCUCGGCCUUCACGCGCUGACAUACUUCACAGGCGGCCACAUACUUAGAAACGUCAACCUUCAUCCGCUUCCACCAGAAGUUUUGCUUCAAAUCUCGGUACAUUUUGGUUUCGCCAGGAUGGACGGUGUAAGGUGUUUUAUGAGCUUCUCUCAAGAUAUCCAUCUUCACCUCUGAUUUCUAAGGCACACAAAGACGGCCCCUGAAACGAACCAAAUCAUUCUCAUCAAUGGUGAACUCCCGUGGUUUACCAUCACCAACCCUCUUUCGAGCUUCCUGCAAUAGACGAUCCUGCUGCUGAGCCGCACGCACUCUCUCCAUGAGAGAGGAUUGAAUAAGCAUCCGAGUCUCCUCGCUAGCGGUACCGACAUAACACAAAGCGACUCCCAAACGGUCUAGAUCAGCGAUCAACGGCAAGGCCACCUUUGGAACCUCGGACCUGCUAAGGGCAUCAGCCACUACAUUAGCCUUCCCCGGGUGAUAAUGAAUGGACAAAUCAUAAUCUUUAAUCAAUUCCAGCCACCGACGCUGCCUCAAAUUCAGCUCCUUCUGAGUAAAAAUAUACUUGAGACUUUUAUGAUCGGUGUAAAUGUCACAAGCCUUGCCAUAAAGGUAAUGCCUCCACGACUUUAGAGCAAAAACCACCGCGGCCAAUUCAAGAUCAUGAGUUGGGUAAUUCCCCUCAUGCUUCCUCAACUGUCUUGAGCCAUAAGCGAUCACGCUGCCUUCCUGCAUCAACACACAACCAAGACCAAUACGCGAAGCAUCCGUAUAAACUGUGAAACGCUUACCGCUCUCAGGCAAAGCUAGGAUAGGGGCGUCCACCAACUUGCUCUUCAAUGUCUGAUAACUGACCUCACAAUCGCCAGACCAGACGAAGGGAACACCCUUCUCCAAGAGUCUAGUCAAAGGCUUAGCAAUGCUGGAGAAAUUUGGUAUGAAGCGCCGAUAAUAUCCAGCGAGCCCCAAGAAACUUCAGAUUUCAGAGACACUAGAGGGUCUCUUCCACUUCACCACAGCCGCAACAUUGUUGGGAUCAACCGCAAUGCCCUGUUGAUUAAUCACAUGCCCCAGGAAAGCCACUUCGGACAGCCAAAAGGCACACUUCUUCAACUUGCCAUAGAACUGAUUCAUCCUUAGAGCACCCAGAAUGAGACGGAGAUGCUGCUCAUGCUCGGCCUCGGUCUUUGAAUAAAUCAGAAUAUCAUCCAGGAACAUGACCACAAAGUCAUCCAGGAAUUCAUGCAACAUCCUAUUCAUUGCUUCCAUAAAGGCAGCAGGGGCAUUAGUUAAGCCAAAAGACAUGAGUAUGAACUCAUAAUGCCCAUACCUGGUGCAAAAGGCGGUUUUCUCAAUAUCCUCCUCACGAAUCCUCAAUUGAUGAUAACCAGAGUUCAAAUCAAUUUUGGAGAACACUUGAGCACCCCUCAACUGUUCAAAGAGGACCUCAAUACGGGGAAGCGGAUAUUUAUUCUUGAUUGUCACUUGAUUCAAAGCGCGAUAAUCCACACACAGCCGCUUGCUUUUAUCCUUCUUCUCAACAAACAAUACUAGGGAAGCCCAUGGAGACCUGCUAGGCCUAAUGAAACCCUUAGCUAGCAGAUCAUCCAAUUGCCGCUUCAAUUCAAUUUGCUCCUUUGGGGCCAUUCGAUACGGGGCCUUAUGAAUAGGCUGUGUACCCGGAAUCAGCUUAAUCUCAAAAGCUGCAUCGCGCUCUGGAGGAAUGCCCGGAAGCUCUGCCGAAAACACGUCAGCAAAGUCACGCACCACCCAGAUGUCCUGCACCCGCAAGGCAGCCUCACCCUCCACCACCAUGGAGAAAAAGAUCCCCGACUUCCUUGACCGGCGAUCAGGAAGCAAUUGCGCCAACAAGGAUAACGUGAACUUCGGGGAACUUCCCAAGAAUACCACCUCCUUACCCGACGGCGCCUGCAAUAACACUAUCUUCCAAAAACAGGAUAUAACCGCGCGAUACUGGGAUAACCAAUCCAUACCCAAGAUAACAUCGAAUGCCCUCAAGGAAAUCACCACCAGAUUGGCCGAGAAGACCUCAUCAGCAAGAAUGACAGAACACCCCUGACAAACUGAACAGCUACUAAUGGAGCCAUUAGCAGAUCUAACCAGAAUUGGGUGACCCAACCUCUACACUGAAAGACCAGCCCGCGACACAAAAUCCUCCGAAACAAAUGAAUAGCUAGCGCCAGAGUUAAAAAGAGCAUGGGCUGCAAACGAAUCAACUGAAAUCGUACCUGUCACCACGUCUCCUUGCUCCCUGCCAUCCGCAGCGGGUAGCACAUAAGCUCCAGAAAUACCCGCAGAAGAGGAAGCUCCCGGAGUGAAAUUAACAGAAGAAACCCACUGAGCCGCCGGGUGAGGCAGACGCGGAGCUCCAAACUGAGACGGCAUAGGAGUAGACGGUGUAGGAGUAGGCGUGGCCUGAUACUGAGGAAAACCCUGCAUCAGCACAAACUGAGAAGUCCCAGGCACAAAAAGCUGCUGCGGAGGAAGAGGAACUGAAAACUGCUGCUCAGCACUUGACAUCAUGUUGAUAGUGCCCUGAGAAGAGGAGGAAGUCACCGGCUCCCAUCUGAGCUUCCCAUUAGGAUUCCUCCUACACACCACAUCCUUGUGGUCCUGACUGCAGAUAGAACACCUGCCACUCCACUGGCACUCUGCACGGCGAUGCGCAUCACCACAGCGGAAACACACCAGCCCCAGCCCGGGCUUAGGAACAGCCCGAAACCUCUGAGUACUUCCUCCCGAAGUACCCGCAUCGGAAGAUCUGCCACGGUAAGGAUGGUGGCGCUGAUGCUGAGACUUGCCCCUCUUGUGGGCUGGACCUCCCGUGUUGCCCCUCCUCGCGUCCUGGCCACGAGGCUGAUCAACACCCGAAGACUUCUGCGACUCCAUGGUAUACUGGUGUUGCAUCUCCACACCCAGUGUUUGCUCCACCGUGGUACGGAAGUCCACCAACGGAAAGGCUCCAAGAGCAUGCCUGAUAGAAGGCUUCAGACCCUGACGGAACAGGCUCGCCUUCUCCAUCUCAUUAUAAGCCACAUGAGGGACAAAGCGGACCAUCUUGUUGAAGCCCACCUCAUACUCUGUGACAGACUUCUUCUACUUGAAGGACUGCAAGUCAAUCUUCAUCUUCUCCAGGAAGGUGACCGGGUAGAAUCUCCUUUCAAACUGCCUGAUGAAAACAUCCCAAGACAGGACUCCUGGUGAGGAGGAGUGCGCUGCCUGCACGCCUCUCCACCAAAUUUGAGCCUCUCCCUUCAGCAGUUGUGUGCCAAAGCGAUCCCGAUCUCCAUACGCAAUCACGAAGACAUUCAUCUUAUCCUCCAUGUAAGUCAACCAAUCUGCUGCCUCGACCGGAGUACCACUGCCAUCAAAAGAAUCCAACUUCAUGCCCAUCCACUGCAUCAGAGAAAGACCACUGACUGGAAGAGGCACCUCGGCCCCGCCACCUGGAACAGCACCCGCAGGGACAGCGCCCCCGGGCACUUCUACACCACCAGCACCCUGAGCAGCACCCGCAGGGGCAACAAGAAUGACUUGCCUCAGAAGGGCCAACUCCUGCUGCAUGGCCUGCAUCGCGCCUAACAUUGUCGCCGGACUCGUCGAGUCCCCACUAGGAGCUUGCGGACUACCCCAAGCCCUACGAGGCGGCAUAGCUGCAGCCACAGGGAUGAGAAUAAUAAGUAAAUAAGAUUGGCAUAGCAUCUCUUCAGAUAAUGCCAAACUAGCACAGACAAUAACAUAACAUAUCAAUAGCAAGACAGAAAUCCCAUCCUACAUGUGCAGUGUGUCAAUUUAUUAUUACUCCACUUGCUAGGACCUACAGCCUAUUCCUCUGAUACCAACUGUAACACCCCACUGGUCACACACAUUGGAUGUUACCAAAACUCCUCCCACUAAACUUAUGCAACACAAGAGAUGUAAUACAGAGAGAAAAUAUUGCAAAAUCCGGCAGCACCUCCUUUGAAACUAGCAUAACAAGGGGGGGGAAACAUAUAGUUCAUAUAGGAUAUAAAGACAGAUAAUUCACGUAGUAGAAUCUAAAUGCAAAAGUGGUAAAACACAUUCAUCACCCAACAGGAACAAAAAUGAGAUAAGUAACUCAGCCCACCCCAACAAAUAAACCGCUCAACCACCAAGAGAAGCUAGAACAUAGAAAUUCUCUAGACUUGACCCUCCCUGAUUAACAACAUUAUUAAGUAGUGGUUCCUUAAUUAAAAGUGUAGUGGUCGUGCUGCUAUAUCCCUCUUUUCCCAAAGCAGAAAUUAGGUGCCUGCAUCAAACAAUGCAAGAGUGAGAUGACACAUCUCAGCAAGUAAACAUGUAACUAAUUACUUAACGCCAAGAAGAAUCACCAUGUAAAAAUCCAAAUCAUCCACAUCCACAUAAUAGAUUCCACACCUCUCCCAUGAAUGCACAUGGCUACAGAUGCAAUAAUGACUUCUGCCUCCAUAUCUCUAAGGAUAUGAAGCUGCAUCAUACCCCUUCUCGGGCAACAUAUGAUGGUCAAUGUACCGGUACGGUCAGACCAUAAGAUCGCGACGAAACUUCAAUGCAAUGGAUGAUGAAUGCAUUAUGCAAGUCAACAACAUGAGUUCUUCCCAAACAGAAUGUGCUAGACAUAUACUUCCACUUAUUCCACAUAAUAAACCACAUGGGUAACAUGAUCAAACCACAUACUCAACAUAUGUAAUCAGUAAAACAUGAAUAUCUUCCAACGAUGGUACUCAAUUAAAAGUAUGAAUACGAACACAACAGCACAACAUAAUCAAGUGUAAGACUCUUCAUUCGACAGAUAGAAUAAUCCUCACUGUUUUACUUGCCUUUACCGGAAGUUUGGGCAAAUCUCUAAGUACGGUCCGGAAGUCCACCACCUGUUUUUGACACCCAACUUAGUGCACCAAUAUCACAUAAUAAGCCCAAAAACAAUGCCGCACCUACGCGUAAUCUCAAACCCCGCCGCGGGUAACGAUUCUCCCCACACCCACCAAACUGCAGCGGCGCUGCUUAACGAUUUCAUAACUUUAAAAUUAAGUCAGCAGUGGUGAUAAACAAAAACACCAGAGACAACUACAUAAAAUUCCCCACAGGUUUUGUAUACAAUUUGUGAUUAAAUUCUAACAUCUAAUUACCCCUAAACGGUCCACAAGAUAAACCCAGCAAUCUGUUUUUUUCCUCUUUUGGGCAGCGACAUACCCGGAUUCAAACAGCGAUAACUUUUAAAAUAUAAUUCCGAAUCGAGCGCAUAAGUACUUGUUGGAAAGGUAAGACAAAGCCCUACAUGAUUCUCAUAAUGAUUAACACUAAUUACUCACGAAACAUCCCCAGAAACUGCUAACACUGCUGCUGUUCGUCCACCUGAAAAAUCUGUUUUUUUGGACAGCCACAUACCCGGAUUCAAAUGGCGAUAUCUUUUAAUUUAUAACUCCGAAUUGAGCGCAUAAAUACUCGUUGGAAAGGUAUGUCAAAGUUCUACAUGAUUCCCAAACUGAUUUCCAUUAACUCCCCACGAAAAAAACCAAAAACUGCUAGAAUUACUGCUGUUCGUCCGCCACCUAAAAUUCUGGACAGCCCCUCUACCCAAUCGCAUACGCCACAUCUAAUCAAUUGGAUUGCAGCACAAAUGAACAAGAGAUGAACACAAAAAUCACCUUGGGUUCUCCCCCUUUCCUUCCUCCCUUCUUCCCUCCACCGAAAACAAUCGAAGAUUUGCACCACGCGAUGUAGAUCCGAGCGGCAACGAAAAGCACCUUGGGAGGAGAAGAUGGGGGGGUGGGGGCGGCUAGGGUUUGGUGUGUGGCUGCAAGAGUUUGGAAAGGAGGAGAUGAGAGGGGGGGCGGCGGCCAAAGGUUGGGAGAAUGAGGGGGGGCUGCACAAGGGGGGGGGGGUUAGGGGAAAAGGGGCGGCUAGGGUUAGGGAAGGUUAGUGGGCCGAAGCACGAAUCGUGGCCCAACUCGCCCACGCGAUAGCUCCCGACCCUGUCGCAUAAGCCCAACCAAACAAAUUCUACUGCCCUACUGGUGAAUGAUUUUCCCCAAAUUCCAAAUGCCCAAAACGCAUCAACUGAAUGAGAAAAAAACAAAAGAAUAACCUCCAACUUCCCUUCUUUGCAAACCGGGUAUCACAGAUAUGGACGGCAACGACAUACCCAGAUCUUGGAAUGCGGAUGAGCUUCGAUGAUAUUAUGUGUAAUUUGAUGUAAUCUUUCUUUUUCAUUUUUUCUAUGGCACCCUUUUCCUUUCAGGAGGGGAGAAAGGUUUUUAAUGGGGCCAUAUUUUUUAAUUUUUCAUUCUUAUUUAGCCCCAUUAGGGCCAAAUCCCCCAAAGAUGUAAUAUGUAAAAUCUGAGCCUGCACCAACGAGUGCAAAAAGAGAACAGGGAGAAGCUCAAAAGAUGUCCCUAAGGGGAUGCGGAGCAUGAUGAAGCUACAAAAAGUCGUUCCUAAGGGAGCGCAGCGUAAGUUUUCUGCUCAAAAGUCGUUCCUAAGGGAAUGCAGAGCCAAAAUUGACGAAGCUACAAAAAGUUGUUCCAAAGGGAGCGCAGUGUAAGUUUUCUGCUCAAAAGUUGUUCCUAAGGGAAUGCAGAGCCAAAUACUGCCGAAAUAUAAGGCGAAGAAGUUCAAAAGUCGUUCCUAAGGGGAUGCAGAACUUAUACCACCGAAAUAGAAGGUGAAGAAGCUCAAAAGUCGUUCCUAAGGGGAUGCAGAGCUUAAGACUCAAAAGAUGUUCCUAAGGGGAUGCAGAGUCUGGGUGUGGUUUCAUGUGCGUGGUCGGGACAUUCAUUUGCACGUUACAUUACAUCAUUCAUUGCAUUCAUACACAUUCAUGUAGACAUUCGUAGGAUCAUCAUCAUCGUAAAGCACAAACAGAUACUUCGGCUUUGAUAACAAUGCUUCGAUGAGCAUGAAGAAGCAAGAUAUGCUUCGUUGUGUACGAAAAGAAGGGAAGGUGUUUUUCGCCUUCGGCUCAAAAGAUAUAAGUUUUCGUCCACAGCAAAGCAAUUUACACAUAGAAGGAAAGGUAAAAAUAUAUUACAAGGUAUGGAUAAAUAUACAGAGUAAUGUUCAAUUCUCGGUUACAAUGUCUCUUACAGAGAUAAUACAAAUGCCUCUAAAAGAUCUAUGCAGGCAAGUCUAAAGAUCAGCUUCAGUGGCCUUCGAAAUCUGCUUCGGAUUAUUAAUCUUCGGCAUCAUCGUCCUACACACAACAAAAUUUUAUAAGGUAAAAGGUAAUCACAAGAAAAGGUAAGCAACAGGUAUAACUUUCAUACCGACUUAAGUAAGCUUCGGGCCUCAUCACCAGCCAAAUCCCGACCACCCUUCGCCCAAAUUUGUGUUAUAAAUCUGCUUCCUAUGCUUCGGGCUUCGCCGGGAAUAUCAACUAAAUUUGUCGAAGAUAGGCUGAAGGUAGGCCUAUUGAAAGGGAAAUGUGCCCUUGGGCCAUUUCUAUAAUGUUUUGGUGAUUAAAUGCCCAACACAAGUGACUAAGUUCUUAUGGGCUAAACAAAGUGAGAGAUACAAAUCAUAUUACAAGGUAUGUUUCUAGACUUAGUACAUUGUUUUGUAUACUAAUGUGUUUGUCUAAGUGCUAGAAAUAGUGACAAAAGACGGAGAAAAGAAAAGGGAAAGAGUUGACUGUGUGCAGCAAACUCCAGCUCGGCCUGGCACACCGGACUAUCCGGUGGUGCACUCGGGAAUCGACGGAGUUGUACGGCUAUAAAUCACCGAACUGUCCGGUGGUGCACCAGACUGUCCGGUGAGUCAUUCGCGACGAACUCGUCGGUAUCGGGAAAUGGAAAGGUGACAUGGCUUAAAUUCACCGGACUGUCCGGUGGUGCACCGAACUGUCCGGUGAGCCAAUAGCGGUCAUAGCCAACGGUCGGCUGGGCAAUCUGCAGGUGACGCGUGUCUCGCUCCAACGGUCGGUUGGGCACACCAGAAAGUGUCCGGUGCGUCAACGGGCCCGGAGGAGCAAUGGUCGGCUACGCCCGAUAUGGAAGGAGAUCGCGCACCGGACAUGAACAGUGGCUGUCCGGUGGUCCGGUGCACCACUCGACAGAAGGCAAGAAAUGCCUUCCAAAUUGAUCUCCAACGGCUCCUAGAUGACUUGGGGCUAUAAAAGGGACCCCUAGGCACAUGGAGGAGACUACCAAGAAUUCUCUAAGCAUACUAAGACAUUCAGACUCCGCUCCCAUGCAUUUGAUUCGCUGUGUUGGUGAUUUGGGCUCCAUUCGAGUUGUGAACUCCCCGUGUUGUCCUUUGAACUCAAGUCUUCACUUGUGUGCGUGGUUGUGCUGCGUAUUUGAGUCUUGUGUGUGUUGCUCUCCUCCCUUACUUCUGUCUUUCUCUUGUGAUCAUCAUUAUAAGGGCAAGAGGCUCCAAAUUGUGGAGAUUUCUCGCAAACGGGAGAAAGACUAUAAGCAAGAAAGUUUUGGUAUUCAAGUGGAUCAUUGGAUCGCUUGAAAGGGGUUGAGUGCAACCCUCGUCCAUUGGGACACCACAACGUGGAAGUAGGCAAGUGUUACUUGGCCGAACCACGGGAUGAAAAUCAUGUGUCUCGUGUGUUGCUUCUUGUGAUUGUUUUGUUCGCACGAGCGUGUUCCAUAGCCACUUGAUUUAAAUAACACUUUAAUAAUCAAGUUUGUGGCUAUUUAGUGUUUGAUUUUACAGGAUCACCUAUUCAGCCCCCUCUAGGUGCUCUCAAUUGGUAUCAGAGCCGUACUCUUCAUCUAAGGGACUAACCGCCCGAAGAGAUGGAUCCUAAGGGAAAGGGGAUGGUGGUCAACGACAAGGAAAAGGAGUCCAUCUUCAAUGAGCCAAGAGACAACAAGCCCACUGACUCAGGCUCGAGUCACAAGAAGAGGGACGGGAAGAAGAAGAGACGCAUCAAGAAAAUCAUCUACUACGACAGUGAUCCCUCUUCCUCUUCACCAAGGGACGACAACGAUGACUCCUCGUCCAAGAAAAAGACGGUCAAUCAAAAUUAUUCUUUUGAUUACUCUCGCAUGCCCUAUAAUUCAAAUGCGCAUUUACUAUCAAUUCCCCUUGGAAAGCCUCCACACUUUGAUGGAGAGGACUAUUCGUUUUGGAGUCAUAAAAUGCGUAGUCAUUUAUUCUCUCUCCAUCCUAGCAUAUGGGAAAUCGUAGAAAAUGGGAUGCACUUUGAUAGUACCGAUAAUCCUGUGAUUAUUAAUGAGAAAAUCCAUAAAAAUGCCCAAGCUACUACUGUUUUGUUAGCAUCUCUUUGCAGGGACGAAUAUAAUAAAGUGAGUGGCUUGGACAAUGCCAAACAAAUCUGGGAUACCCUCAAGAUAUCACAUGAGGGAAAUGAUGCCACUAUGUUUACAAAGAUGGAACUAGUGGAAGGCGAGCUAGGAAGGUUCGCGAUGAUCAGGGGAGAGGAGCCAACUCAGACCUACAACACGCUCAAGACCCUGGUCAACAAGAUCCGAAGCUAUGGAAGCACAAGAUGGACGGAUCAUGAUGUCGUCCGACUCAUGCUAUGGUCAUUUAUUGUAAUUGACCCCCAUCUUGUCAAUCUUAUUCGUGAAAACCCCAGGUACACCAAGAUGACGCCCGAGGAGAUCCUUGGAAAAUUUGUGAGCGGGCGCAUGAUGGUGAAGGAGGCGCGAUACGUGGAUGAUGCGCUAAAUGGUCCACUACCCAUCUACGAGCCGCAGCCCGUUGCCCUCAAAGAAACGAGCAGCAGGGAGAUACUACCGAGCAAGGUAGCACAAGUGGAGGCUACCAGGCUCAACGAGGACGAAAUGGCGCUCAUCAUCAAGCGCUUCAAAACCGCCUUGAAAGGACGCAAGGAAUACUCCAACAAGAACAAAACAAGGGGAAAGUGCUCCUGCUUCAAAUGCGGUAAGACUGGUCAUUUCAUAGCAUAGUGCCCCGAUAAUGAUAAUGACUAGGGACAAGAAAAGUAUGGGAAGAAUGAGAAGAAGAAAAACUACAAGAAGGCGAAGGGCGAGGCACACCUUGGAAAGGAAUGGGAUUCUGACUGCUCUUCAUCCGACUCCGACGAUGAAGGAUUGGUUGCCUCGGCCUUUGACAAGUCUUCGCUCUUCCCCAACGAACACCAUACUUGCCUCAUGGCUAAGGAGAAGAAGGUACGUAUUCGAGAUUCCUCAAGGUACUCUUCUUCUAGUGAUGAGGAUUCUUCCGAUGAUGAAGUAGAAUACACUGACUUGUUUAAAGGACUAGAUAGAGCAAAGGUAGACAAAAUUAAUGAAUUAAUUGAUGCUCUAAAUGAAAAGGAUAGAUUGCUAGAAAAGGAAGAGGACAUAUUGUAUGAGGAACAUGACAAGUUUGUAAAUGUUCAAAAAUCUCUUGCUUUAGAAAUUAAAAGAAAUGAAGUGAUAUCCUCUCAGUUGUCUGCUGUAAUGCCCAAAUUUUGUAUCAGGAAAAUAAUAAUAACAAUGAUAUAAAAAAAUUAAUUAUGUAGUGUUUUGGGAUUAUGGAACCCUCGAAGAUUAUUGGUGUUCUUUUCUCUGUGCAUACUCAAUUAUGGAAAUUAAAGUAGUCAAAUAGCAAAUAAAUAAAUAUGGAAUUAUGCAUAGCAUGCUGAAGUUUUGGACUGUGCAUUCAAAACUUAGUUGAAAUCCAAACUAGAUUAAAACGAGAUUGUAAAUUUGAAUUUGAAACUUACAAAUGAAAUUAAAAAUCAGAAAUUCAAAAAAUAGAAGAAGAUAGAAUUGAAAACAAAAGAAAAAAAGCUUACGUUGCUUGGUGCUUGGCCUGUCCGUGGCCCAUUGCCACCAUCGCAUGGAGCCCCACCUCUUCCCCAUUUUUGUUUUUUUAUAUAUUUCCAGCUGUAGCUAAACAUCAGCCUGACAUUAGCUCACAUAAUUGUGUCUCUGCACAUGGGACCGAGCUGUCAGCUUGGGUCGGCAUCUACCUCAUGACGGAGUCAAAUUGGGGCACUGCGAUUACCAGCCACCAGGAAUCCUUCUCCUCGCUGUUUCCUUCGACUAUUCGCGGUCGUUGUUGACCCGCAUGGUCAGCUCUUCCUCGUGGAACAGAUCACGUAACAGCCGGUCCGUUUUCCACGCCGCGCCAUGUGCGCCACCAGCUGAUUCCGAGUCCUAGCCUCUGACUAAAUUGCCGUUCCCACCGAAGCGGGGUUUAAGAACCGAAGUAUCGUGGCCUUUCCUCUGCAUCCCAUCCAAGCGCCGCCCCAUAGCUCACUUUUCCUUGCCCCGCCGUGCCAGCAUCGUUAAGGGCGGAUAUUGCCGCCGCCAUAGAAUCUCGGGCCGUGACUAGCCAAAGCUUUAGGCGGGAGUUCAAUUGGAUUCGCUUGGUCGCGGUGAAGGUUGCCAGCGACGUUUCUGGGGCGAAUCGGGGCCCAGCACCUUGGAUUUCUCGCCGUUGAGUUGCAGUCCACCGCGUACCGCACUGCUCUGGAGCCAGGGCACGACUCGACAUAAACCUAGGUAUAAACGCUUAUCCCAUGCUCGCGUUGUCCUUCUGCUCUCGUUGCGCGCUUCGGCAGGGUGGUUGGGGGAUUGUUAUCGGGUUGGGUUUGCUCACCGGCGUGGUCUCCGCCGUGAACGGAGGUGAGCGCCGCCGUGCCCAAUGUCAGAUUAGGGGAAGGAAUGUGCACCGUUAGAUCUCAAUGGACAGCCCAGAUUAGAUGUCUGCGUACCCUUUCACGCUGUUGUAUGCAGGUCGUGGAUCUGUGAUCGUGCGGUUAGGCUGCUGGGGCUAGUCAUAAUAGAUCUGGACCGUCGGAUCCGUAUCCGACGACUGUGAUUAUGUUCUGGUUCGCGCGGAGAUAAGAUUUAAUCGUGGCCGUUCGCUCAAUCCGAUGGCCCAAAUCGUGCGAUACCCCUUCGGCUAGCGCAAUUGCAAAAGAGACCCUAACCUCUCUGGAAAUCAACCCGCCGUCCCCCGCCGGAUACGCCUGAGUCUGGGAAAUAUUUCGAGUUAGCCCCUGCGUUACUUUGUUUUUGAUGCCCAGCCCAGAGAACAAUGGAAAUAGAAAAUUAAUUAUAGAAAAUGAUUUUUAAUACAAAAAUAAUUCAGAAACUUGUUUAAUUAGUAGAAAAUUCAUAUUAAGUCCAAAUUGAUCCAUUCCAGUUUCAAUAAAUUUGUAUUAAUAUUGUAUAUCAAUUAAAAACAUUUUUUGCCAUGAAACUUGAAUUAAAAUUAUUCACUCAAAUUAAUCUGUUCUAAGUACUCAAUAACUCCAGAAAUUCAUAACUUAAUAAUCGUAGCUCCGAAUAUAGUGGUUCUUGUUUCUACGAUCUCGUAACAUCGCGUAGAUUAUUAUUACGUGGUUUAUUCUUAUGUUUGGUGUGAUGUUAAUUUUGUAUGUACCAUGUUUGUCUGUAUUGCUACGUUUAGCAGUGAGGACACGUAUCACUUGAAGAGCAAGUUGGUACCUGGAAUCUCAAGUGCCAGGCAAGUUGUGCCCUUGACCACUUUUUACCCAAUAAUGUUCUUUAAUAUCAUUUAUUCUUGCAUAGGUUAAUUUUGAUGGGACCCAAUAGGUUACCCUAGAUUGUUUAUCUCAUUACCUUGUUUACCCCUGAAUCACUUGGGUAGUUUGCUAUUGCGUUACAUGGAUUUGGGAUAAUUAUUUAUCAUAUCUAUGUUCCAGUUAUUUUGUUAUUCUAUUUAUGUUCAUGUCAAGAUCAUUAAUGUUAAUUGGAACAUAGAGCUUAACUUGAGAAACACGUGCCACCACAAGGGUUUAUGGACGCCCUUGGCUGAUUAAUUAGGAAAGCUAGUGGAGGACUACCUUACCCGAAAAGGGGCAAGGGCAGUAGGGGAGUGGUCAGUGUAGGGAGGUCCUUGGUUGAUUUUGCUGCGAUGGCGGUCAGGCAAGAACCCUGCAUUGGAGCUUCCUAUAAACUGUAGCGGGUUUUCUGAAGCUAGUGGAACUUUGUAAAGGCCUCGUAGUGUUACCCUGCCUCACCUCCUCGGUAGAGGUGUAUGGGAAGUCGCGAUCCCUUGGCAGAUAGGUAACAUGACUUGUGGGUAAAGGGUACCACCUCUGCAGAGUGUAAAACUGGUAUACUAGCCGAGUUCACGGUCAUGAGCAGCUCAGGACUCUCUGAUGAUUAAAUUAUGGAACUAAAUUCAAUUUGUCAUAUGCAUUGCAUCGCAGGUGAUGUUGUUACUUUUGUUCUACUACUUAAUUGGGUUGGUAUUUACUUAUACUUAGUAAUUGCUAAUAAAAUUUUGACCAACUUUAAAAGCAAUGCUCAGCUCUAAUCAUCAUCUUUGGUAAGCCUUACACUACACGUGAGCUCCCACCUUUGGCGAGUUCAUGCACAUUAUUCCCCACAACUUGUUGAGCGAUUAACGUAUGUGAGCUCACUCUUGCUGUCUCACACCCCCCCACAGGUCAAGAACAGGUACCACAGGAUAAGGCGCAUGGAGGAUGCUGUGAUGAGUUCGUGAGAGGUCUAGGCCGUCGUCUCCCAGUCAACUUUGGGUUGCUGGACCGUUGUCUCCUUAUAAUGUAAUUAUUUAUUUAUUUUGUAUAGAACUCCUAUUAUUGUAGUAAAGAUGUGACAUUCGAUCAUGUGCCAUGAUUCAUCAUACGUGUGAGACUUGGUCCCAGCACACCUGGUGAUUAUGUUCGCGCCCGGGCUUUGGACCCCUAAAACCCGGGUGUGACAUCUGCUUGCCAUGAAUCUGUCUCUAAUUUAAAGAAUUUAAAUGAUGAAUUAAAUGCUAAACUAGAGGAAGUUAAUAAAGCUAGUUCAUGUGUAGAGCAUGUUGUUAUAAUGAGGUGGCAAGUCUUAAUGCUCAACUUAAGACUUGCAAGGUUGAUUUUGAUAAAUUGAAAUUUGCUAGGGAUGCCUACACUGUUGGUAGACACCCUUCAAUUAAGGAUGGACUUGGUUUUUGAAAGGAAACCAAGAACUUAACAAUCCAAAGGACUCUCGUUCUCAACAAGGAGAAAGGGAAGGCCCCUAUGGCGAGUAGCCCUCAAGGGAACCAUGCUUUUAUUUAUGACAGGAAAAUUGCUAGCGGUCCUCAUUAUAAUAAGAGUUAUGUUCAUGCUGCUUAUAAUGAUUCACAUGCUAUGUUUGCCUCUAGCUCUACUUUUGUUCAUGGUAGAAGUAGGCCUAGGAGAAAUCAUGUUGUGUCUCAUGCUCCUAGGAGAAUGUGCAAUGGACCUUCUACUAUUUAUCAUGCUUGCAAUACUUCCUUCGCACUUUCAUAUAAGAAUGCAAAAGUAGUUGCUAGGAAGUUCAGAACCAAAUGCAAGGGAGACAAGACUUGUAUUUGGGUUCCAAAAGUUAUUGUGACUAACCUUGCAGGACCCAACAAGUGUUGGGUACCUAAAACCCAAGCUUAAAUUACCUUGCAUGUUUAUGCAUCCGGGGGCUCUAGCUGGAUUAUCGACAGCGGAUGCACAAACCACAUGACGGGGGAGAAGAAGAUGUUCACCUCCUACGUCAAGAACAAGGAUUCCCAGGAUACGAUCAUCUUUGGAGAUGGGAACCAAGGCAAGGUCAAAGGCUUGGGCAAGAUAGCUAUCACUAACGAGCACUUAAUAUCGAAUGUAUUUCUAGUAGAGUCGCUUGGGUACAACCUUCUGUCUGUAAGUCAAUUAUGUCACAUGGGUUACAAUUGUCUGUUUACAAAUGUUGAUGUAUCUGUCUUUAGAAGGAGUGAUGGAUCAUUAGCUUUUAAGGAUGUAUUAGAUGGCAAACUCUACUUAGUUGACUUUUUGAAAGGGAAUGCCGGUCUAGAUGCAUGCUUAAUAGCUAAGACUAAUAUGGGCUGGUUGUGGCAUCGCCGUCUAGCACAUGUUGGGAUGAAGAACCUUCUUAAGCUUCUAAAGGGAGAUCAUGUGUUAGGACUAAUCUAUGUCUGUUUUGAGAAAGACAGAUCCUGUGCAGCAUGUCAGGCAGGAAAACAGGUGGGAAGCACACAUCACGGCAAGAAUGUGAUGACAACAUCAAGACCACUGGAGCUCCUUCACAUGGAUCUUUUCGGACCCAUUGCCUAUCUAAGCAUCGAGGGAAGUAAGUAUGGUCUUGUAAUUGUUGAUGAUUUUUCUCGCUUCACUUGGGUGCUCUUUCUACAGGAUAAGUCAGAAACCCAAGUGACCCUAAAGCGCUUCUUAAAGAGAGCUCAAAAUGAGUUUGAGCUUAAAGUGAAAAAUAUAAGGAGCGACAAUGGGUCUGAGUUCAAGAAUCUACAAGUUGAAGAGUUUCUUGAGGAGGAAGGCAUCAAGCACGAGUUCUCCACUCCCUACACACCACAACAAAACGGUGUGGUAGAGAGGAAGAACAGGACGCUUAUUGACAUGGCGAGAAUGAUGCUUGGAGAGUUCAAGACACUCAAACGGUUUUGGUCGUGAAAGUCGCCUAGAGGGGGGUGAAUAGGGCGAAUCUGAAAUUUAUAAACUUAAGCACAAUUACAAGCCGGGUUAGCGUUAGAAUUAUGAACGAGUCUGAGAGAGAGGGUGAAAAACAAAUCAGAAGCAAAUAAAGCAUGAGACACAAGGAUUUGUUUUACCGAGGUUCGGUUCUUACAAACCUACUCCCCGUUGAGGUGGUCACAGAGACCGGGUCUCUUUCAACCCUUUCCCUCUCUCAAAUGGUCACUUAGACCGAGUGAGCUUCUCUUCUCAAUCAAACGGGACACAAAGUCCCCGCAAGGUCCACCACACAAUUGGUGUCUCUUGCCUCGGUUACAAUUGAGUUGAUCACAAGAAAGAAUGAGAAAAAGAAGCAAUCCAAGCGCAAGAGCUCAAAUGAACACAAGUCACUCUCUCACUAGACACUAUUUGAUUUGGAAUGAACUAUGGACUUGGGAGAGGAUUUGAUCUCUUUGGUGUGUCUUGUAUUGAAUGCUAUAGCUCUUGUAAGGUGUAGGAAGUUGGAAAACUUGGAUGCAAUGAAUGGUGGGGUGGUUGGGGUAUUUAUAGCCCCAACCACCAAAAGUGGCCGUUGGGAGGCUGUCUGUCGCAUGGCGCACCGGAUAGUCCGGUGCGCCAGCCACGUCAGCCGGCCGUUGGGUUCUGACCGUUGGAGCUCUGACAGGUGGGGCUUCUGGGCUGUCCGGUGGUGCACCGGACAGGUCCUGUAGACUGUCUGGUGCGCCUUCUGCGCGUGCUCUGUCCUCUGCGCGCGCAGGCGCGCAUUAAAUGCGUUGCAGUCGACCGUUGCGUGCGAAGUAGCCGUUGCUCUACUGGCACACCGGACAGUCUGGUGAAUUAUAGCGGAGUGGCCUCCCAUUUUCCCGAAGGUGAGGAGUUUAGCGUCGAGUUCCCUGGUGCACCGGACACUGUCCGGUGGUGCACCGAACACUGUCCGGUGCGCCAGACUAGGGUGCCUUUGGGUUGUCUUUUGCUCUCUUUGUUUGAACCCUUUCUUGGUCUUUUUUAUUGGCUUAUUGUGAACCUUUGGCAUCUGUAAAACUUAUAGACUAGAGCAAACUAGUUAGUCCAAUUAUUUGUGUUGGGCAAUUCAACCACCAAAAUCAAUUUAGGAAAAGGUGUAAGCCUAUUUCCCUUUCAGGUCGGAAGCUAUGAACACAGCCUGUCAUGCCAUAAAUCGGCUCUAUCUGCAUCACCUUCUCAAGAAGACCUCCUACGAACUCCUUACCGGUAACAAACCCAAUGUCUCUUACUUUCGUGUAUUUGGGAGCAAAUGCUACAUUCUGGUGAAGAAAGGUAGACAUUCUAAAUUUGCUCCAAAGGCAGUAGAAGGGUUUUUACUAUGGUAUGACUCAAAUACAAAGGCAUAUAGGGUCUUCAACAAAUCAUCAGGAUUAAUUGAAGUCUCUAGUGACAUUGUAUUUGAUGAGACUAAUGGCUCUCCAAGAGAGCAAGUUAAGCUUGAUGAAAUAGAUGAAGAUGAAGUUCCGACGGCCGCAAUGCGCACGAUGGCGAUAGGUGAUGUGCGUCCACAGAAACUACAGGAACAAGAUCAACCUUUUUCCUUGACACUAGUGCAUCCCCCAACUCAAGAUGAUGGACAUGUACCUCAAGAAGAGGAGCAUGAUCAAGGGGGAGCACAGGAAGAACAGGCUAUGGAGGAAGAAGCACCACGGGCCCCUCCAACUCAAGUCCGAGCAACAAUCCAUAGACAUCACCCUGUCGAUCAGAUUCUGGGUGACAUCAGUAAGGGAGUAACUACUCGCUCACGACUAGCUAACUUUUGUGAGCAUUACUCGUUUGUCUCUUCUAUUGAGCCUUUCAGGGUAAAAGAGGCCUUGUAGGAUCCAGAUUGGGUGUUGGCCAUGCAGGAAGAGCUCAUCAACUUCAAAAGGAAUGAAGUCUGGAGCCUGGUGCCACGUCCAAAGCAAAAUGUUGUGGGAACCAAGUGGGUGAUCCGCAACAAGCAAGACGAGCAUGGGGUGGUGACAAGAAAUAAGGCUCGACUUGUGGCAAAAGGUUAUGCCCAAGUCGCAGGUUUGGAUUUCGAGGAGACUUUUGCUCCUGUGGCUAGGCUAGAUUCAAUUCGAAUUUUGCUAGCCUAUGCCGCUCACCACUCUUUUAGGGUGUUUCAAAUGGACGUGAAGAGCGCUUUUCUCAAUGGGCCAAUCAAGGAGGAGGUAUACGUAGAACAACCCCCUGGCUUUGAGGAUGACAGGUAUCCCGACCACGUGUAUAAGCUCUCUAAGGCGCUCUAUGGACUUAAGCAAGCCCCAAGAGCAUGGUAUGAAUGCCUUAGAGAUUUCUUAAUUGCUAAUGCUUUCAAGGUUGGGAAAGCUGAUCCAACUCUUUUUACCAAGACUUGUGAUGGUGAUCUCUUUGUGUGCCAAAUUUAUGUCGAUGACAUAAUAUUUGGUUCUACUAACCAAAAGUCUUGUGAGGAGUUUAGUAGGGUGAUGAUGCAAAAAUUCGAAAUGUCGAUGAUGGGCGAGUUGACAUACUUCCUUGGAUUCCAAGUGAAGCAACUCAAGGACGACACUUUCAUCUCCCAAACGAAGUACACUCAAGAUCUUCUCAAGAGGUUUGGGAUGAAGGACGCCAAGCCCGCGAAGACACCGAUGGGCACUGACGGGCAUGUUGACCUCAACAAAGGAGGUAAGUCCGUUGAUCAAAAGGCAUACUGGUCAAUGAUAGGUUCAUUACUUUAUCUUUGUGCUAGUAGACCGAACAUUAUGCUUAGUGUAUGCAUGUGUGCUAGAUAUCAAUCCGACCCUAAGGAAUGUCACCUUGUGGCCGUUAAGCGAAUUCUUCGAUAUUUAGUUGCUACGCCGUGCUUCGGGAUCUGGUAUCCAAAGGGGUCUACGUUUGACUUAAUUGGAUACGCAGACUCCGAUUAUGCUGGGUGCAAGGUUGAUAGGAAGAGUACAUCAGGGACAUGCCAAUUUCUAGGAAGGUCCCUGGUGUCCUGGAGUUCCAAGAAACAGACAUCUGUUGCCCUAUCCACCGCUGAGGCCGAGUAUGUUGCCGCAGGAUAGUGUUGCGUGCAACUACUUUGGAUGAGGCAAACCCUCUGGGACUUUGGCUACAAUCUGAGCAAAGUCCCACUCCUAUGUGACAAUGAGAGUGCAAUCCGCUUGGCGGAUAAUCCUAUUGAACACAACCGCACUAAGCACAUAGACAUCCGGCAUCACUUCCUGAGGGACCACCAGCAAAAGGGAGAUAUCGAUAUUUAUCAUAUUAGCACCGAGAACCAGCUAGCCGAUAUCUUCACCAAGCCGUUGGAUGAGAAAACUUUUUGCAGGUUGCGAAGUGAGCUAAAUGUCUUAGAUUCGCGUAACUUGGAUCGAUCUAUAACAUACAUGUGUUCUAUGCCUUUGAUCAUGUUACUUUGAGCAUUUACAUUAUUCGUUGUAUAUUUAUGGUGCUCAAGUUGUACAAAUCCUCCCCGGACCUCACAAGUCCAUAUGCAAAUGGUGCACAUAUUUAGGGGGAGAUGUGCUACAACUUGACCAUUUGAGACUAACAUGUUUGUUUAAGUACACCUGAUGUAGUCUCAAAGGUACAUUAAAAGGGAAACUGAACUUGGACGAUGCAAAGACUUCCACUGCACUCCGGUAUUAGUGUAUUCAAUUCCAAGUUCAUACUUAUGCUCUCACUACCUUUUUGCUCUUAAUUGACAUUUUUGGUGAGGCAAUGGGGUUAAAGGGCCAAGAAUGAUCCCGUUUUGGUGCUUAAUGCCAAAGGGGGAGAAGUUAAGGCCAAAGCAAAAUGGAUCAGCCAACCACUUGUGAAUUUUUUGAAAAUAAUAGAGUAAGAAUUUGUGAUUUGCUCAAAAUACCCUUAUUGCAAAAUUUGGUCUCUUGUGGGGGAGAAUUUUGAUUAUGGGAAAAGGGGGAGUUUUUGGCACUUGAUUAAUUUUACUCUUGGAAUAUCUCUCUAUAUGCCCAAACAACCAUGUUUAACUUAGAGAAAGGAAAAUGAAUUUGAUUUGCAAAAACAAACCAAGUUGUGGCGAAGAAUGAUCCAAAUAUGCCAAAAUCCUAUUAAAGUGUUGGGGACUCGUUCUCAAGUGCUAUGAGUUAAGAACAAGGCAACAUAGAAAAUGUUAAUCGUUAAAGUCCUUCGUCCUUCGAAGCAUUAUUUCCCUUAGGAUAUAAUGGUUUUCGGACGAAGGUUAUGAAGGGCGUACCUUCAUAAGUUCGUUAUACAGUGACGAAGGAUGAAGUGUAAGGAAUAUAAAAGAUAAUAUAAACAAUUAUAUAUGUAUUAUUAUGUAUAAACAGAAAUAUCGCUGAAUUACAAAUGUACCUUCAACUUGAAGGAGAUGAUAGUACAAACGUGACGCAAAAAGCAAAUGCCCAGUCAGCGUGACCAGUACGGGGGUACUGUUCACCUAUUUAUAGGCACGGGACACAACCCAUACAAAAUUACAUUCAUGCCCUUUACACUUGAUAAUAAUUCUAUAGUAAUCUGUCGAGGUCUAAAUAGCCUUUUCAUCUUUAAGUCGGUUUCACUUUUUGCUGCCACGCCGAAGCUUUCCUGCUCACACCUUCGGCGCUGUACCAACCUUCGUAUUAUUCUGGUCUACUGUGAUGCCGACUUGGGUCCGAAGAUACCUGUUCACACAUUAUACUCCAGAAAUACUGUUAAAUCCUGUUUUUGAGGACCUUCGGAAGCCGAAGGUCCCCAACAGUAGCCCCUCGCAAUAUUAAUUUGUUUAAAAUAAUAAAUUUAGAUUGCGAUAUGGACGAAGGCUUUUCGCCGAAGGUCCGAAAAAACACCUUCCCUUUGCUAGAAUAGCAACAUUCACUGACAAGCGGGGUCUUUCAAUUUUCAACGCUCUUGGCGUAUAAAUACGGUCAUACCGCAAACUCAUUUGACACGCUCUCUGGCCAACUGCUCCCGCUCACUCAAUUUUUAGCUCUUGUGCACUACGAUUUGCUAAGCUUUUAGUUUUGAAGCUUCGGCUUUGAAAAUAGUUUUUUAGUGUCUCCGAAGAUGUCCGAAGAUAAGAAGACUGCUGCUGAGAUGAAGCUGAGCCUCGACGAAGAGAAAAAUUUGGGGUUUCUUAUAGCGAUGUCAAAGACCAAUACAGAAAAAAUCACCAAGGAGAUUUUGGAAGGUUUGUCUGAAGAUACUGGUGACAGUGACAACUAUGAUGUGGACAGUGGUGGUGAAGACUCCGAAGAUCGUCCCUGGCGACCAAGCCAUUCAGUUUAUGGUAAAUCAACUAUCAAAGAGAAUCAUCUUGUCAACAUGAGAGGAAGGUAUUUCCGGGAUUUGUCCAUUGUGAGGGCCGACGAAGGGGAAAAAACUUGCCCACACCCUGAAGAGAAUGAAGUCGUAGUGUACCGAAGCUUUUUGAAAGCUGGACUGCGAUUUCCCUUGAGCAGCUUCGUUGUAGAGGUGCUGAAAAUAUUCGAAGUCUAUCUCCAUCAACUUACCCCCGAGGCAAUUAUAAGGCUGAAUAUCUUCGUGUGGGCCGUGAGAAGCCAAGGUCUGAAGCCUGAUGCAAAAAGCUUCUGCAAUAUUCACGAAUUAUCAUACGAAACAAAACCUUGGGGUAAGGAACAGUAUCACAAUAAUUUUGGCUGCUACAGUUUCGUUUCUCGGUCCGGGUCAAGCUGCCCCGUGCCAACCUUUCGGAAGAGAUGGCCUGGCGACUGGAUGACAGAAUGGUUUUAUGUGAAGAAUGAUCUGACAGUACGAGAAGAUAUCAAAGGUAUAAUUAUGCACCCUAUUUGGCAAAGCUUCGGCCUUCGGAGGCCGAAGGUUGAAAUGAAUGAAGCCGCAGAAGAAUGCCAGAGGGCCUUCGGCGUUAUCUGUUCUUUUAUUGGAACGAGAGACUUAGUACAAGAGCAUAUUGCCUUCAGGGUAUGGCCGCUCGCGGAGAAAUGGGAAAUGCCACAAGAAACCAUAAAAGAGACCGACGAAGGUGGACUUAUCAGGUUGAAGUACACUUUUAAAUUUGGAGAUAAAUUUGUUGAGCCAGAUGAUGACUGGUUAAAAAGCAUUGAAAAUUUAAGUGAUGAACUGCUUGGGGCUUAUUCGAAGGCCGAAGAUACUGCAAUGUCAGCAGCCUUCGGAGGCCGAAAAAAGAAGAGGCUGAAUCGGGUAUUUGAUGCAAUCGGGUUUGUCUACCCUGACUAUUGCUAUCCCAUUCGAAGGCAGAAGAGAAAAAAUACAACCUCUGCAAAAGAAGAAGCUGCAACUGCUCCUAGCGAGCCAGAACCGAAAAGAAAAAAGAUAAAGGUCCUCACACAUCGGCCGCGCUAUAUUGAACCAGCUUCGGUGCCUGAGUUUACCGGAGAAACCUCUUCGGCCACCGAAGCUGAAAAACCAACCGAGCCAACCUUGCUGCCAGAAGUCGCAGAAACGGCCGAAGUGCCAACAAAGAUAGAAUUGGAACAAUCAAAGAUUUUGUUACCAGAAACGAAAGAGAAGGCCGAAGCGCCGUCCAUAGAAAAAAUGGAAGAAGUAAAAGAAGCAACUGAGGGAUCAAAAACAUCAGAAGUUUUGAGUCCUGCAGCAAAUAUUGAGACAGUAAAAAACCAAAAGGUGCCAGCAGUGACUCCGAAAAGGAAGAGAAUGGUCAAUGUUCUAGAUGUUCUAGAGACAAUUAAAUCUUCAAGCACACCUCCGAAGGAGACUGUUGUCAUCCCCGAAGAAAAAACUGAAGUCUCUGAUACUAAAGCUCCAGAGCAAGAAACUGAAGCCGAAGCUGGGUCCUCAGAACCCACGAAAAUAAAAUCCCUGGAAUUUGAGGAAGAAAAAAUUACAAAGCCAACUUUUGUUGAAGAAAUCAGUGCUGCUGCCCCCGAAGCAUCCCCCAAAGUCCUUGAUUAUAUUAUUCACCAUGCUUCGGGGAAACAACUAUCAGAAAAAGAAAAACAAGAGGCCCAACUUUACGCCCAAAAACUGAAGUAUCCAAAGGGGGCAUUAAUAUUCAAUGGCAGUGGAGAAGAAGACUUUUUGUAUUGUCUCCCUGACAGCAAAGAGAUUUCUGUCUGUCGGGAGAUGAGCAAGAGCUUCGGAUUCCCAACACUGGAAGAUGGGCUCUCAGUGCUAUCGAAAAAUGAUUUGGCCGACAGCCUGGCAUAUAAUAGCUUGAAGGUGCAACAAAUGAGAUCUUUGCAUUUUUUGUUGAGACCAAAAUUUUUCGUUUGUUUAAACCUAUUGACACAAACAUAUUUUUCUUUGCAGGGCCUGAUACUUAGCAAUGCCCUCAGGGCACAGAAAGAUGCUGAAGACGAAGGGUGUACUAUAGCCCUGAGCAACCUUCGUUCCGAAGUAAUUGAACUGAGGAACGAAGGUCUCGAGAAAGAUAAAAUAUUACACUCAUUGAUAAAUAAAAUAAAGGAAGACGAAGCUGCUUUCAAAGGUCAGGCUGAAGCUCAUAAACGCGAACUUGAAGAUCUUCGGAAACAACUGGCCAGAGCCAAGGAAGAACGUAUACUUGAAGAAACAAAGCGAGAACUCAGCGACCAAUGGGCAGAUCACUUAGAAGGAACUGUUGAAGAGCUUCGGUCGUCCAAGAAGAGAUGCUAUAACAAAUCUAUAGAAUGUGUUAAGAAGUUAAAGGCUAGCUUCGCCAGGGUCGGCGCAUUCUCAAGUGAGGAAAACUUUACGAGAUGCAAUCCCGAAGGUCCCAUCGAAUGGAUCGACCACGAAGCUGAAGCCUUCGAAGAAAUUUUAAAUAGCCGUGGAGAUAUAUGUGCCUUCUCGGGUGCCCGAGGGAUUGCCACUAUUUUAGAGAAAAAAGGCUGCGAACAUGUAAGGAUUCUGGCGCAAUCCGAAGGUGCUUUGUCCUUCGAAGAUGCAAGGGAUCCAUCGGCCGAAGCUAGCAUGGUUGGUGGAAAAUUUUUCACCGAUAUCUGGGAUAAUGGUGGCCAAGAAAUGGCCCGAGAGAUUAUUCAAAGAAGCGGAAAGGGCAUUCACGAUGCUAGAGAAGUAGCUGAGGCUGCUGAGAAGAGCGCAGAACCCGAAGGUCAAUUAGGUAUUAUCUAAUAGUUUUUAUUGUGUUGUAAUUUUAGGUUUUAAGAUUCGUUUGCAAUUUGUCAUAGCAAUGUAGCCGUAUCCUGUUCUACUUCAGAUUCUGCUAAAGCCCCUUCGGACCCCCAGCCGAAAGGAGACGACGAAAUAAAAAAGAUGGCUGAAGCUAUUAUGGACGAAGUCGUCAAUCGGCUCCUAAACGAGGCUGCAGAAGUUGUUUUGAGAGAGGAUUAAGUAUUAUUGUAAAAACUUCUGAAAUGUAAUAUAUUGUAACAUUUUGUAACCCUGAAUGUAAUAUACCUGUUUUUCUUGCUUAAUUCUUUACGAUGCAUGAAACUUUACACGUACCGUUUUUGAGUCUUUGACGAAAAAACACCUUCCCUUCUUUUCAUGCUUCGUGAAGAAGAAUUUUUCAACAAUAUCCAGUGUUCUGAUGAAUAAUAUCCAGGCUUCGUGAAAAUAUUUUCCGAAGCUACACCUCCGAAGAUCAAUAAUGUAUCUCCUUGUGAUAUUAUGAUUUUUCCCUUUUUUCAAAACGUUCUUCUGUAGAUUAAUAUUGUGUCCAACUCUUGUGCCAUAUGCAACAUGAUGUAUGAUGCUUAUGCUAUGCGAAAUGAUGCGAUGAUGUUAUGUUAUGUGAGGCGAUGCUUAUUCCGAAGAUGCACACGCAUCCCUGCAAUAAAACAUAUAAUCUUUUACAAGCCUCCCUUAGGAGCUUCUUCGCCUUUUACUUCAGCGGAAUCAGCGUUUAUUUUUCGCUGUAAGCCUCCCUUAGGAGCUUCUUCGCCUUUUACUUUCAGCGGUAUUCGCGUUGACUUUUCGCGCUUCGCCUUUUACUUAGGCGGUAUCAGCGUUGACUUUUCGCUGUAUGCUCUGCAUUCCCUUUGGAACGACUUUGGAGCAGAAAACUUACACUGCGCCCCCUCUGGAGCGGCUUUUUGUGACUUCGGCAAACUUACUCUGCGUUCCUUAGAACGACUUUUUGUUACUUCGAAGAAUUUUCGAUGUUCGAAUGUCCUCUUUGUUGUCACAAGUCUUUCAACAAUUUAAUCCUGUGAAGAAAAUAUAUUUUCCUUGUGGGAAUCAACGAAACUAUUUACAUGAAACCUGAACAAUGUCCUUUAUUACAGAAAAUAAAACUGAAUGAAAAAGAUUGCUAUUAAGGUAGGAUAUUUGUCAAUAGAUGUGCUUUGACUCUGGCACAGUGCUGUUGACUGUGCGAGCUUCGGACUGCUCUCUGAAUUCCCUUUGGUGUGGAGCAUAUUGGCUCCCUUCUGGCUGCUGGCCUUAUUGCAGCGGUGGUGGAGGCGGAGGUUGUUGCCAGGAAGCCUGAGGUUGACUCGCCGAAGCAACAGAAACUGCAGGGUGAUUGCCUACAUACUCUGGGAUGUAAGGCGAAUGAUACAAAGCAGUGUGCAUGACCUGCUUCGGCUGAGCCUGUUGUGCUGCCGCUUCGGCUAUUUCUUUUUGCUUUUGGAUGGUAACAUGGCACAUCCUGGUGGUAUGACCUUUGUUCUCACCACAAAAUAAGCAAAAGAUUCUUCUCGGUUGAUCGCCAAAUCUUCCUCCGAAGCCCCUGGCGCCUCUGCCUCUUGGAACUGGUGGUCGGAAGGAGCCCUGCUGUUGCCCCGAAGCCUGUGAGGAACAUUGUGGCCUUUGCUGUUGGCUCCCUCUAUCAUCAUUUUGUGUAGAGUUAUGAAUUGAUCUAACGUGCCUCGGGUAGAACCUCCCUCCGAAGCCCCUAGUCAUUUCAGAAAACCUGAAAGCCUCCUCCCUUCUUUGGCGAAAAUCAUUAUCGGCCUGAAUGUACUCGUCCAUCUUCUGGAGCAGCUUCUCCAAAGUUUGAGGGGGUUUCCUAGCGAAGUACUGAGCUGACGGUCCUGGCCGAAGCCCCUUGAUCAUGGCCUCAAUGACAAUUUCAUUGGGCACCGUUGGUGCCUGUGCCCUCAAACGCAAGAACCUUCGGACAUACGCCUGAAGGUAUUCUUCGUGAUCCUGGGUGCACUGGAACAGAGCUUGAGCAGUGACCGGCUUUGUCUGAAACCCUUGGAAGCUAGUUAACAACAAGUCCUUCAGCUUCUGCCAUGAAGUGAUCGUUCCUGGUCGAAGGGAGGAAUACCAGGUUUGAGCAACACUCCUGACAGCCAUAACGAAAGAUUUGGCCAUGACUGCAGCAUUGCCACCAUACGAAGAUACUGUUGCUUCGUAGCUCAUCAAAAACUGCUUCGGGUCUGAGUGACCAUCGAAUACGGGAAGCUGAGGCGGCUUGUAGGAUGGAGGCCAAGGUGUAGCGUGCAGCUCAGCGGACAGAGGAGAAGCAUCAUCAAAAACAAAAUUCCCGUGAUGGAAAUUGUCAUACCAGUCAUCUUCGUUGGGAAAACCCUCCUGAUGAAGGUCUUGGUGCUGAGGCCUUCGGUGUUGCUCAUCCUGGGCAAGAUGGCGAACUUCUUCAGAGGCUUCGUCUAUCUGCCUCUGCAGUUCAGCUAGCCUGGCCAUCUUUUCUUUCUUCCUCUGCACUUGUUGAUGAAGCAUCUCCAUAUCUCUGAUUUCUUGAUCUAUCUCGUCCUCUGGUGGUGUCGGGCUGACAGCCUUCCUUUUCUGGCUUUGGGCCUCCCGAAGGGAGAUUGUCUCCUGAUUGUGGUCCAGCGGUUGCAGAGCUGCAGCCCCAGUUGCUGAAGCUUUCUUCGGCGCCAUAACGAAGGUUUAUGAUCGCCGAAGGUGUUCAAAAAACUCAAAGAGUGGAAGUGAGUUCACCGGAGGUGGGCGCCAAUGUUGGGGACUCGUUCUCAAGUGCUAUGAGUUAAGAACAAGGCAACAUAGAAAAUGUUAAUCGUUAAAGUCCUUCGUCCUUCGAAGCAUUAUUUCCCUUAGGAUAUAAUGGUUUUCGGACGAAGGUUAUGAAGGGCGUACCUUCAUAAGUUCAUUAUACAGUGACGAAGGAUGAAGUGUAAGGAAUAUAAAAGAUAAUAUAAACAAUUAUAUAUGUAUUAUUAUGUAUAAACAGAAAUAUCGCUGAAUUACAAAUGUACCUUCAACUUGAAGGAGAUGAUAGUACAAACGUGACGCAAAAAGCAAAUGCCCAGUCAGCGUGACCAGUACGGGGGUACUGUUCACCUAUUUAUAGGCACGGGACACAACCCAUACAAAAUUACAUUCAUGCCCUUUACACUUGAUAAUAAUUCUAUAGUAAUCUGUCGAGGUCUAAAUAGCCUUUUCAUCUUUAAGUCGGUUUCACUUUUUGCUGCCACGCCGAAGCUUUCCUGCUCACACCUUCGACGCUGUACCAACCUUCGUAUUAUUCUGGUCUACUGUGAUGCCGACUUGGGUCCGAAGAUACCUGUUCACACAUUAUACUCCAGAAAUACUGUUAAAUCCUGUUUUUGAGGACCUUCGGAAGCCGAAGGUCCCCAACAUAAAGAGAAUUUGGUCUUCAUUUGCAUUGAUGUUGCUCUUCUUUUGUUGCUUUUUGAUGUGUUGGAAUGAAUCACCAAAAAGGGGGAGAUAGAAAGGGAAAUGUGCCCUUGGGCCAUUUCUAUAAUGUUUUGGUGAUUAAAUGCCCAACACAAGUGACUAAGUUCUUAUGGGCUAAACAAAGUGAGAGAUACAAAUCAUAUGACAAGGUAUGUUUCUAGACUUAGUGCAUUGUUUUGAAUACUAAUGUGUUUGUCUAAGUGCUAGAAAUAGUGACAAAAGAAGGAGAAAAGAAAAGGGAAAGAGUUGGUUGUGUGCAGCAAACUCCAGCUCGGCCUGGCACAUCGGACUGUCCGGUGGUGCACCGGCAGUGUCCGGUGCCCGAGGCUAGCCGACGGUGAACCAGCUGCUCUCGGAAAUCGACGUAGUUGUAUGGAUAUAAAUCACUAGACUGUUCGGUGGUGCACCGGACUGUCCGGUGAGUCAUCCGCGACGAACUCGUAGGUCUCGGGAAAUGGAAAAGGCGACGUGGCUAAAAUUCACCGGACGGUCCGGUGAGCCAACGGCGCUGGUAGCCAACGGUCGGCUGCGCAAUCUGCGGGUGACGCGUGUCUCGCUCCAACGGUCGGUUGGGCACACCGGACUGUCUGGUGUGCACCGGACAGUGUCCGGUGCGCCAACGGGCCCGGAGGAGGAACGGUCAGCUACGUCCGAUAUGGAAGGAGAUCGCGCACCGGACAUGAACAGUGGAUGUCCGGUGGUGCACCGAACUGUCCGAUGCACCACUCGACAGAAGGCCAGAAAUGCCUUCCAAAUUGAUCUCCAACGGCUCCUAGCUGACUUGGGGCUAUAAAAGGGACCCCAAGGCACAUGGAGGAGACUACCAAGAAUUCUCUAAGCAUACUAAGACAUUCAGACUCCGCUCCCACACAUUUGAUUCGCUGUGUUGGUGAUUUGAGCUCCAUUCGAGUUGUGAACUCCCCGUGUUGUCCUUUGAGCUCAAGUCUUCACUUGUGUGCGUGGUUGUGCUGCGUAUUUGAGUCUUGUGUGUGUUGCUCUCCUCCCUUACUUCUGUGUUUCUCUUGUGAUCAUCAUUGUAAGGGCGAGAGGCUCCAAAUUGUGGAGAUUCCUCGCAAACGGGAGAAAGACUAUAAGGAAGAAAGCCAUGGUAUUCAAGUGGAUCAUUGGAUCGCUUGAAAGGGGUUGAGUGCAACCCUCGUCCAUUGGGACGCCACAACGUGGAAGUAGGCAAGUGUAACUUGGCCGAACCACGGGAUAAAAAUCACGUGUCUCAUGUGUUGCUUCUUGUGAUUGUUUUGUUCGCACGAGCGUGUUCCAUAGCCACUUGAUUUAACUAACACUUUAAUAAUCAAGUCUGUGGCUAUUUAGUGUUUGAUUUUACAGGAUCACCUAUUCACCCCCCUCUCUUGGUGCUCUCACCUAUUCACUAUCUUCGCAUGCGUACAGCUAGCUUUCAAAAAUGAUGCAGUCGUGCCGCGAGAAGCUAGCAGGGCGCAGAAGUCACCAUGCCCCGCUAUUACUUCGUCAAGCGCCUCAACUUCGCCUUCAAUAUGUUCGAAGGUGCAUGAUAUGUUGUCGGCCGAAGGAGUACACUUUUCAGCACUGGCUCCAACUGAGUUGAAAACCUUUUUUAACCGUUGUACGCAGCGGCUGCCGAAAUUCAGACAUAUGUCAUGAAGCUCCUUCAAAGAUUGCUUUAGCUUCGUAUUCUCGGUAGCUUCGGCUUCAUACUUCGUCUGCAAGUUUUUUCUCUCUCGUUCUAAGCUCUCUGAUUUUUGCAGGAGUUCCCUGUUUAAUCUAAUAUUCUCGGCUUGCGCUUCUGCAAGGGAACCUUCCACUGCUUGGAGUAGGAAAUCUUUCUUUUAUAGAGAAGCUUUGUAUUCUUUGAUUUUUCUCUCUAGACCCUCGAUUAUAAUUUCGUUCUUUUUAUCCUCGAGGUCCUGUUGCAUUUGCAGCGCUUUGCUCAGCAGCAUACUCUGUACAAAAUAGACCUUCAUCAGCAAAUUUCGUCGUAAAAAUGAAACAGAUGAUGAAAUUUUGCUUUGUUAUAAGAAUUUUACCUUAAAGUUGGAAUAAAACAAACUACCGACGAUAUGUUGUCGUUGGUAGCUGCUAAUAUCGGCUUCAAGCUUCGGAAAACCGACACUCUUCGAUAGAGUGCCGAUUACCAAUCCUUUCAAUGGCAUCUUUUCAAUGGCUUGCAUCACGCUACCAAUCCUUUGCUUCUUCAGCCCAUCUGCCUUCUUUGUAGCCGAAGGUUCUCCUUUCUUCUGAAAAAGCUUCGUCAGUUCCGGUCCCAGAGGACUUAGCAGCUUGAUAGGUAAAGAUUCAGUCAUUACCUUUAAUAUCUCUUCUACUUCGGUAGCAGGAGGUGUUGAAGGAGUUUCCUCUUCCACCUCAGUCACCUUCGGCUCUAGAGUUGUAGCCUUUCUCUUCUUCAAAGCCACCGCUUUCGGCUUGGGACUAGAUUUUCUCUUCUUUAAAGUUUUUUCAUCUUCCUUCACCAUUCUAGCAUCCUGCCUGCUCAGAACGCUGACAACCCUUUUCCUUUUUGCCCCUUCGGCACCUUUGUUGAGUCGCUCAUAAUCAGGGUAUUCAAAAUUUAGAGCAUCCAUUACCCGGUUCAACCUUCGUUUUGGUCGGGUGCCGAAGGCUGCAGUCAUUAAUUGAUCUUCUUUUUUGGUAUAGUUUCCCAAAAUUUCAUUGCACAUUGUCUCAAUCAUUUCCAGCCACUUUUGGCAAGGCUCCUUGAACUGUUUCUCAAAUUUAAAACGAUAAGGCAAUCGAACAAGCUCAAGUUUUUUCUUUGUUCCCUUUAGCUUCGGCAUGCUCCAUUCACUUGACAUUGGAGAUGUUCUAUUAGCCAAGUAUUCUUGAACCAGAUCUUUAGUGCUGAUUUGUUCAGCCACCACCCUGAAUUCUUAUACAGACAGUUGGCAUGCUAACCCUGGCUGCAUGUUGCACAAAGGUCUGGUCAUUCCAAAGCUUAAAGCCAAUGGGCACAUGGCCAUCGUCAUCAGUUUCCCCUUCUCUUUUCAUCGGCUUUAAUAUAAAACCAUUCACUCUUCCAGACGGUUGGCCACUUGGUGCGAUAGUUGAGGAUCCGAGCCUUCAUAUCUUUGCGAUACGCGAAACUAUAACAACCAAAAUUCUCAUGUAAACCAUCUGCUCUGGCCUUCGUUUGGUAGUGCAGCUCGUGCACUCGGCAGAAUGCUUCGGCAUCUGGGUCCAUCCCUUGGCUUCGGAGGGCCCAGAUGAAGAUACUGAGCCUAACGAUAGCGUUAGGGGUCAGCUGAUGAAGAUAAAUUUCAAUUUUUUUUAAAACUCCUCCUAUCAUCUCGUUUAGAGGAAACCGUAAUCCUGCUCUGAAGAAACUUUUGAAAACCACUACUUCAUCAUCCUUCGGUGUUGGAGUGGUUUCUUCUCCGGCAAAACGAACAAGCUUCCUCUCAGCUUCUCCAAAGUAGCCUAGUUUCAUCAUCAUGGGCACGUCGGCUUCAGACACAGUAGAUUUCUCAAAAUCUAGGUGGCUGGGUUUUGAUGGGAUCAAAAUGCUAUAAUCUUCCUCUUCUUCAUCAGCAUUUUCUUCCUCAAUAUCAACCUGUUCAGCUUCGGCAGCAGGUGUAUCUUCGUCAAUGGUUCCCUCUGUCACAACUAAACCCGACUGUCUAAUGACUUCGAAAAUCGGAGCUGUCUCGGUGGCCUCGGUCUCCUCUCCUUCACGAGUCACCCUUGCAGUCAAGCGUACUCUAGCCAACAGAUGGAUUUUUUUGCGGUUUUUACGAAGUUGAUGUCUUUCGCAGUUUUGACGAAGUUCUAUUUUUUAACGAAGCUAACUCAAAAUGAUGGUCCGCUCGAGAGUGCAGCGAAAAAGCUUCGGCUAUGGUUAAUUUUUUUAACAGCACAAUAGUGCAAUGACAAUGAAUGUCGUGGUAACUCCACACCUACCCGUCUGUUUAUAUAGUGCUGCAGGUGGGAAGGUGAACCGCCAAGUCGCCCACACCCGCUGAAUGGUGGGCCACUCGGUGUCUGGAAGGUGAAUCGACAGAUCGCUCGUACCCACUGAGCGCUAGGCUAUCUGACGCUUGGAAUAUUUUAAUCGUUUCUCGACAACGAGCUCAGGGAAGGUGUUUUUCGGACCUUCGGCAUUCCGAAGCCUUUGAGAUUUUUUCACGGGUCAUGCUCAUUACGAAAAACGAUCUAGCACCGUGAAGGGGCUACUAUUAGGGACAUGCUUUUUCACCGAAGGUCCUCCAAGCAAAAACACCUUCGGCAGUAUGAUAUGCGAACUGACACAGCAUGAAGGCACAAGCCGAAGCUACAACCCAUAAAGCUUCGGCAUAAUGACGCGCCUUGAGACGAAGGGCGGCACCGACUUAAAGAGGAAAAGACCGUUUAGUCCCUAAUAGUUUGUGUCGCAUUUGUAAUUUGUCAUCAAGGACAUAAAUGUAAUUUCGACCGGGCUGCGUCCCGCGCCUAUAAAUUGGUGAACAGUAACCCUGUACUGUUCACGCUGACUUGUAUUCACUCGCACGUCACACCUUGAUUUUUACCUUCUAUCAAGCCGAAGGUACAAAUAUAACUGGAUAUUGUUCAUGCUUAUUCAUGAUAGUAUAAUAAAAAUGUUCUGAUGAUGUCAUAUGACUAUUCAUGUUAUUUUACAUGUUUCAUAUGAUUCUACUUUCAUUAUUAUAUGCCGAAAUGAUGAAUGUAUGUCCUUCAUGACCUUCGUAUGAAGAUCAUUAUAUCCUAAAGGAAAUAAUGCUUCGAAAGACGAAGGUCUUUAACCAUUAACAUUUUGUGUUGCCUUGUUCUUAAUUCAUAGCAUUUGAGAACAAGUCCCCAACAAUAACCAUCUUCUAUUCCGGGUUUCUCGCUAGCCAAAUAUAGAAAACGUGAAUGACUCUCUAGAGCGCAAACAAGAUAUAGAAAAUGCGAGUUAUUACUCGGUACUCAGGGACGGAUCUAGCGUUGGGGCUGGUGGGGCUCAAAUCCCACUACCGCUCCUGAGCAUAUGGAGCUCCACCAAAAACCCUCCUAAAAUUUAAAAUAUAUAUAAGGGGUGUUUGAAUGUACUAGAGAUAAUAGUUAGUGGCUAAAAUUAGCUGGAGACAUCCAAACUCCCUAGCUAAUAUUUCAACUAUUAGCUAUUUUUAGUAAAUUAGUUAAUAAUUAGCUAGAUAUUUGUUAGCUAGCUAAUUUCACUAGCAAAUUUUUAGUCAACUAACUAUUAGCUCUAGUACAUUUAAACACCCCCAUAGUAUAAUCUUAUUACGUAUUUUAUGGUUUUAUCAUGUAUCGAUGUUUUAAUAUAAUGCUACUUCAAACCAUUACAUAUGUCUAUUAUAAGUGCUUUAUCAAUAAGAUUAUAUCAGUUUAGUUUAGUCCCUCCUAAAAAAUUUUCCUAUUGUACCGAUCAUUGGCAUGGUGAACCAGAUGCUUGGUACCCACCGAUCGAGAUGGUCAUAGCGCCAGUCAGCUCUACCGCUUAGUUGGCUGGCUGUCAACUGGCCAAUCGAAGCAUACCACCUACGUUGGAGCCUGCGCAGUCGGUACGUGUUAGGGUCGCGACUAAAACCGACCGGACAUGGUCGAUACUGUCCACAUGUUUGCACAUGUGUAAGCAUAUGAUUGGCCAUUCAAUUUCAAACGUUUGAAUUUGAAACAAAAUUCCAAAAAAAUAAAAACAAAUCAAAGCAGCCCUUUUCCCUCCUCUCCAACCCGUAUGCCCGCAAGCAGCCAUGCAAAUGGUAACAUCAUGCAUACACAUAUUCAAUUCUUCCGCUCAUGCCCUCCGCCACGGUGCCCUAAGUUAAAAAAAUUGUUGAAAAACCAUUAUGCAAAUUCAAAUGACAAAAUAACCAUCUUAACAUGUUGUGAUCAAUCUGAACUGCUAAUGCAAGCGCACACCUAGGGGUGAAAACGGAAACAAUAAUUUUCGGAUACUGGGAAUCGUUUUUGAAUUUUUACCUAAAUUUAGGUCUAAACAGAAACGAAAACGGUUACCGGAAAUACAAAAACAGAAUUGAUAGAAAAAAUCGGAAUCGAAAACAGAAAUGGUUUGGGUCUCUUCCGACCAUUUCCGAAAAUUACCGUUUUUAUUCGGUAUUUUACCGUCGGAAAUAAAUUCGGCAUUUUUCAGAAAAAAUAUUAAAUUUGAACUGAUCUUUGUAAAUUCGUAAUAAAUUUAUCUUAGCUUAGAAAAAUAUGAAACUAAUUUUAUUAUUUUUCUAAAAUUAAGAUCUAUCUAAUGGUAUAUAGUUUAGAAUCAUUUGAAACUUUUAUAAAUCUUAUUUAUGUUUUCUUACCUGUUAUUACUAUUAAUACAUAUAUUUAUAAUUUACACGAGAACUUAAGAAGGACUAAGAGGAUACUAAUUAUAUUGACUAUGCCAAGUAGUAAAAGUACAAAUAUAAUGUAAGUGCCAUAUCAUUAUACACAUCUUAAUUCUACUUUAUUUAAAUACAAAAUAAUAAUUUUAUUAUUGUAUGACUUCUUACUUUAUAUAUUUAUUGUGACCUCCUACCUUAUAUACUAUUACUAAUUUUAUAUGAAUGUAUGACUUGCGUGAUCGAAUUUUAGAUACAUGUUAAUUGAGGAUACAUGUUACAGUUUUUACUGAUCUAAUUUUAGAUUCCGAUCGUAACCGGUGUAAUUUUCGUACCGAACUUUCGUUUUCGAUGUUUCCGAAUUAUCGAUGUCGUUUUCGUUUUCGGAGUAUCCGAGGAAAAAUAUGAAACAAAAAUGGUUUUAGUGUUUACCGAUCGUUUCUGACCGUUUUCACACCUACACAUACCGAAUUAGACAUGUGAAAUAGACAAGCAAUGGUCUAUUUGUAAAUGGGAGAAAUAUGUAUUGGAAACCACUUGCUGGUCGAAAACAUGAAAACUAGUUUUAAAAAGAACACUUUUGUAACUUGAAAUCUUCUGGAACUUGAUACAUAUGCAGUUCAUCCAUACAUAAACUCACAUAAAAAGUUGAGAUGCAAAGUCAUCUGAAAAUAACAAAAUUUGUGUGCAUAUAUAAUAGAAGACAAAAAUACAGAAAUUGUCUUGUAGUGCACAUACAAGUGAAGUUUAUGAUUUUUAUAUGAAUCUUUUAAUAUUGAGUUUAUAUUCUAACAUUUGUAUGUAAGUACAUAUGUAGAUGACACAUAUGUGUCAAUUUUCAAAAAAAAAAGUUAAGUUACAAUAGUAUAUUUUAAACUAGUUUCCAUAUUUUCACAUAAGAGGUGGUUUUCAAUGUAUAUUUUAAAGUCUAUUUGACCCUUCAAACUAUUGUUAAUUGUUUACCUCACCCUUACACAUGUAAAACAAGGUAUUGUCUCCCUUAAACUAUUGAAAAUCAUCUACAUAAUCCUCUAAGGAGGUUUAGAAACUGGUUUUAUUGAUGUGACAUGUUAAAAUGUCUAAUUCCCUCAACUAUAACCCCUAGUCUUAUAGAUCCGUUUAGUUACCAUAUUCGGCCAAACUAGACUAAGAUUCCAUGCUUGCAUCCAAUACAAGCCUAUCAACCGCCUCACUCUCUCUACUCUUUUUGAGUUUCCACCACUGCCAAAUGAGCACCACCCUAUUUCCUUCUCCGCUCAUGGAAAUCCUCGACAACAUUGAACUCAUGCAUUGCACUUGUGCCCUUGUCAUUUGGUCCCUUCUUGUCUGCUCUUGUUUUCUUCUCACAUUGCUACGUAAAAAUUUGAAGGAUGAUCAGGUAAAAGAUAUGGGAGGGGUUGGAUGACAAGGGUACAAGCAUGCAUGGUGCUUGAGCUCAAUGUCAUCAAGUGUUGGGUGAUGGUCUAGGAGAUGAGAAGUUGCAUCCUGUUUAUUGGGUGGUGGAUUAGCAUAGAAAGACUAAAGAGGUGCAUGCUACAAAUGGGCCUAUAAGAAAAUAUGUGUACUUAGGCUAGCCUAGUAUGACACAAUGUCUAAACACCCUAGAAGACCAUGCAGGAGAUCACAUUAUUAGAUACUCUAAAAACUGUAAUAUUAGAUUUUAUAGUUGAUGGGGUUAUUGUCGUUGCGGAAACCUUCUAGGGACCGCCUUUGCAGACAAGGAGUCGGGAGGUGCGCUGCUGCUGCCUUUGUCCCUACAGAACGUGACUCUGUGUACAUGGCUGCUCUACAGACGCACAACAAUCAGUUAAACAUUAAAGCCAGAUCGUGUGGAUCAUCCUGUGCUGGUUGCACCGAUCGGCUCCUUGAGCCAAUUUUUGUUUCUUUUAUGGGUCGACUAUUAUCAUAAUAAUAAAUGUGAUCAUGCAUUGGAAGUGGUCGACAAAGAAUAUAAAUCUAUCUAAAGCAUGCAUGAGCCGAUUGUUUACUCUAGAGCAAUGUAAGUGCAUGUCCAAGAAGAGUGGCAUGCCAAAGGGCAACCAUUAUUAACUACAUUGUUAACCAAAUCUAGGGCCAUAUGAACAGUAAACCAUCUAUAGAAACAUUAGCUACUGAGAACUGUUGACCACACAUGUGAACAUGGAUCAUGACCUUGAAGGAAGUCCAACCAAAGUAAACAAUGAGGCUAAGCAUGUAAAAUAGGAUGGCAGAUAUGUAUUGGACUUUCAAGUUGCUGCGUUCACAUGUGCAACUUGUAAGUCGUAGAAUGUGGCAACUGGUCAAUGAAUACUCAUGCGGCAAUGUAAAAUCAAUCUAAUAGCAUGAAUCAUAAAGACAAAUAUAGAUUGAAACUACAAAUGUAACUAGCGGAUAUUUCUAACAACAACGCUUAGUACAAUAUCUAUCAGGGUAAGGUGGUGACACCAUGCCACCUUGACACGAUCAAGACCACAUCAGGGCAACAUGGCGUUACCUUGUAAAACUCUUGGGAAGGGGUGGCGAUGCACCGAGAGGAUGAGAGUCACUUGCUGCUUGGUGAAUGAAUGACUUUCUAUUUAUUCAUGUUUGUAUCAGUUUUAAUAUAUAGCCUUGUGGGCCUGAAGUGAUAAACACUUCCUAACUUACAUUACCAUCUAAUCUGUUACUUAUUUUUGAUAUAAUGGUAUAUUUCUAUAUCACACACUUAUUUUUUCUUGUGAUCAGAUACUUCUUUUGUGGAGCCAUUCGGUCAGAACAAUAUCCUAGACCCAGCUAGGAUUAGGUGCCAACACAUGCCCCCUAUUUUUGGUAGAAUCUUUUAUGUCGAAACUAAAUCUUCGCCUUGUGGAAGAUUAACACCUCUGUUAGCAGUCAAGUCAUGUCAACUGACUCUUCAUCACACAAAUCUACCUCAGGUUUUGGUCCGACACUUCCACUUCAAGUUGUUUGCCUCCUUAUACUAGUAUUAGUAUGCACAUGAACUCCUCUCCAAAUAGCAUGAACCUAUCGUAAGCAAUGACACCGCUUCUCCCACCUAGAACAACGACUCUUCCUACUUCUCUUGGCCAUCUGAUCCUCCCAUCACCCCUAUGAGUCUCCUCUUCCUUCUCCACCCUCGCUUUAUUUAGUCGAGGAGGAUUGUGACUUCCACUAAGACAUUGAUCCCUUCUCGAUUGAUUAUGCCUCAAUGAUCGUCGAUGAGUCCGAUGCAUAUUCGUUGUUUGUUGUGUGAGUUGCUCGCCUCCUGCAUGCCUCUUUGUACCCUCCACCUUGGAAGAUGAUUGGGACUAUGAUGAGGCAUACAUCGACUCCACUGAGGAGGAAGUCUUCGUUGAGGAGAUCGGAGGAGUUGGUAGAGAUGUGGCUGCGCAAUAGCAGCUCCACCAAUGAGGAGCCUAAGGAGGACCUCAACUAAGAUUUCAGCGACGAUCCUAGUGUGGAGAGCUUCACUGACGCUGUUGCCACCAAUGAAAGUGGUGACAAGGAGGAACUAGAGCGUAAGCGUAAGAGGUUGAUUAGAUACCUCUGCCUUUUAUAGAUAAGAUUUCUUUGAUAGGGUCCCCUUGUAGUCCUGCUCCUUCUCGAUGAAAUAAAUAAAACUUUCUGUCAACCUGAUCUAUUUGUGCUUCCCUUUGCUUGAUAUAUUUUGGCCAAUCUAUCUGUGAUGUUCAUGUUACCUUUUCUUGAUGCAUUUGAAUGACCUCCUCCUCAUUCCCAUUAUUAUUAGAAUGUUUCGGUAGCGUCCUAUUAGCCCAUAAAACCCCCAUCUUCGUCAUCUCUUCCUAUGGCGACGGUACUCUUAGCUGACUGUCAUUGGGGCUCACGAACGACAUCAACAAGUUUUCCUUGAACGACGUGUUGACUUAUGAUACCCUCCGAGCAGCUAAUGACACUUCAAUGUGUCUAUAGUCUUCUAGUCGUUCAUCGACUUUACCAUUUUUAUCAUUAUUUUUUAUCUAAAGGCGAUGGCAAUGCAUUGACUAUCCGACCUUUUACUUUUUUAGAUGAUAACAACAUAUCAACUUUUGGCUAUCAACAACAUUUCUUCAAAUAUUUGCCAUUGAUAUUCCUGCUAAACUAGAUGCCUUCUAAUGUUUCCAUCCGAUAUGAGUUACUUGGGACAGUUUCUUUGAUACGAUGUGGACACUUUCCAUAAAUCGGAUCCUUAGUCCCAACUAGCAAAAUCAAUUCCUAAAUGAGGUCGCUAGUGUGAAAUUAUUUGGGCCUAACCUUUUUCUUGUAUGCCCAAGCCGCUUUAGCUUUAUUUUCCUUGUUUUUUCUAAUGACCACAGUCUCAAUUCUAUUAGGUCCUCAGUAUUGAUAUUCAUCAUUAUUGCAUACUCACCAACCUAUAAAUCAUUCCAAAAUGUUACCAUUCUUGAUCCGUGCUGAUUUCCCAUGGAAUUAUGGCCUCUGAACCAUAAACUAGCUGGUAGGUCAAGUUCUUGGUUGCCUCAUGACAAGACAUCAUGUAAGCCCAUAAUGCUUCUACCAACUUGUCAUGCCAUUAUUUCAGGUAGUCAUUGAUCUUACGCUUGAUCAACUUGGUUAAGUUUUUAUUUGAUGCCUCGGUCUUUCCAUUGGCCUGAGCAUAAUAUGGUGAUGACUAACCAAGAUGACUCCAAAUUAUUUAGCAAACUUUCCAAAUUCUUCUGAUAUGAACACUAUCUGUUGAGGCCACAGACCCAUGUGCCUAAUUGGUAGAACAAGCGGUAUGCCCCAUACCUGUGGUGUGUUGGGUUUCUAAACCUAGCCUAAGUAGUGACCUCUGGGUUACUUGACCUUGACCUAGCACUACACACCACUGGCAUGGACCAAAGGUAGCCGAAGACCCACUCGUUUCACCUUACUUAUGCUGAGAUAAUGAUCACAAUAUAUGAUGUUGCCUAUAACACCCCUGGUGUUAUUAUCACUAAAACUUGAGCAUAACAUCAUGAAAAUUAGCAUAUCAUGUGUUUGUCACACCUAGAGUGCAUUCAUUAGGUAAAAAGUUCAAAAUUGUUGGACUGAUAUGACUUGAUGUGUGGUGAAACCCUAGGGUAGGGUACUUAACCCUAAACUAGGCUUAUGAGGGACAAUGAAGCACAAACAAGUUAAAAUCUCAAAACUUAUUAGAAAUGAACAUAAGAUGUCACAUUUAAUGAACUUUGAUAGCACCAAAACCCUAAAUAGGUCAAAACCCUAAAAAGACCCCUAGAAAACCCUAAAUUGAAGCCCUAGGGGGCUAAGUGUAAAAUUUGUACCUUUUGGACUCAAGUGCAAAAACCAAGGUAAUAGGGCACCUCAAAUCAUAUAGUUCACACCCUUGUGGAUUUUCAAAUCAAAUUGUGGAAAUUGGACCUAUUUGCAAAAAGGUACCCUAGGAAUCAUAUGUGGCUAAGUCUGAAAACCAGUGCAUAGAGCCAACUUUGGAAACCUGUAUCUGUCAGUUUAUGAGGAAUUUGCCCUAAAUCAACACAUCAAAAGUCUAGAGCUACUAUAGGAGCACAACUUUGCUUAAGUGAUUAAGCAUUAUUGACAUACAAAAAUUGGAGAUAACUAGCCCUGAAGUCUGGCUGUCAGACCACCCUAAGACUGAAUACUGACUGGCAGUUAGUUCUGAGGAACUUUGGGCUCGAUUCUUGCUCAAGGGGAUAAUCAAAGGAGCAUAGAUUGUAGUUGGUAUAUAGAGCUACAAGUUUGUUACAGAUGGAUUAGCAAGUUCUCAUACAAAAAUCCAAGAUCUGGGCACUGCAAUUCUGGUUAUCACGCGUUCUGAAUAAGGAAUCCGAUGGUACAGUGCUAUACAAAUAUCCCAGGUUCAGAGAACCUCACCGCUGGUGAGCCAUGCGUCCGGAUUCACGCCAGCCGCUGUGAUUCGUGCCCAUCGCAAGUGGAUAACAGAGAGGAGUAAAAAUCUUGACGCUCGAAUUAGCUCGGGCUUGCUCACCGUUGUGCCUGCCGUACCCACUUGGACCACGGCUGGCCGGGAUCGUCCUCGCUGGCAUUAGCCACUUAACGAUCGUGCGCCACACGUCUUGGAAGUCUAGCACGUCACAAUGAAUCGGUGUUACAAGCCUAUCCAUCGCCUGAGAACUGGCCACGGUGAAAGCCACAAAUUCAUUGCGCCAGUAACCUCCCCUCUCCCCGGUCGCCAACGCUUCACCUCCAAAUUAAGUGCCACCGCCAUUGAGUGAUAUAAACUGAAGCCUCAGGGAGCUCCGCUAGGAAAUUACGCGUCCAACGCACCAGCACUUGCCUCCAAUUGUCCACCAGAGCCGCCCAAUUGCCCAUUUCCCCCAAAUUGGUCUAAAUACCACCGCGUGAGCACCUCGCCGUGGCCAGCGUGCUACAGGUCCAUUCAUGUCCUCUGCUCUCUUGUUGCAGUACCCUUAUGUGCCCCUGAUGCUUCUCGACCCGACCGACUAAGCUAGAACCCAUUAGAUUACCAAGAACACUUUGAAUUGUCCCCGGAUUGCGCGGUCACCGUGAGCAGAGAAGUUGGGAGCUCGAACCGUGCAAUUGAUCGAGGGGAAAUGAUUGUUAGAUGUUGAAUUAGGUAUCAACCAAGUUAGAGAACCGGCCAUUGCGUGACUUGGCCAGUACAGGCUCGCCAGAGCUCGGUUUGCCGUCGUUCUGCAUCGUGGACUUGGCGCAGUGAAGAAAUAGAAAUAUAGGGGGGUUUUGUGAGUUGUCAGUGACUCAGUGAUUAGUACGUUAGACUCUUUUCAAGUUGUUUAAAAUUCCAGGGGCCUUUGCGCAAAGUUAUCAGCACGGGCGCGCGCGGGGCAUUUUGCCUAUCAUGGGCUGUCUUGGGCCAGAAUGAGCCCAAUACUGUUGACCCUUCAUCUUUUUCUUUUUCUGCCAGGAUUAGAGAAUUCUUAGAAAAUUGUAGAAAAAUGCUAAAAAUACAAUACCAAUUUUGUUAGACUCCUAAAUUUCUAUAUUAUUUAAUAAAAAUGGUUUCAGGAUUUUUAGUCCAAACCAGGAAUUAUGAAGUAUAAAAAUAGCUAAAACCUAUACUCCUAGAAUUUUAGAAAUUACUUAGUAGCUCCGAAAAUCACCAAACUUUUUGGAUAAGCCUAAAAUGGUAUUUAGAAACCUUGGGUGAAGUUUGACUUGAUUUGGACAAUGUUUGAUACCUAAACCCCAAAACCCUAACCUUCUAAGUAGUGCCUGCCCUAUGGAAUAAAAUGCUGACUCCAAAACCCUAGUUUCCUAGAGUACCGUGAAGGAAAAUUGUAUUCAAGGCCUAAUAUGAUGUACCUUUAUUAUCUUUGCAUUUCCAUAAGCAUUACAUGAGCAUUCAUGGUUAUAUAUAUAUAGAACGAAGAAGUAGUGGUUGAAGAAGGAGUUGCACCACCACCACCUGAAGACCCACAUGCUGGGAACUGCUUUUACUUCGAUAUUUACGGAGCAGAGCCCGACUCUCCUAUAACACAAGGCAAGCCCCGGUGCAUUUGCCACCUCCUUGCUAUUUUAAAAUCUUUCUCACUUGCUUGAUGCAUUAAGUGAUAGGAGUUGUGUGCUAAACAAAUUGAUGCAUUUCCUUCCUUGGAAGUUUGAUUACCUUUCCUUGAUCACCUGUUUUAUGAAAGGAUUUUUCUUAUGCUUAGUAUUGCUCUAGAAAAACAAAAUGUUUUGUUUUAACAUAAUAUGAUGCUUCAAGUGGGAUGGGAUAUUUUCAAAAAUAAAACUUGAUGGUGGAUCCAUCAUGGCCAUGAUGGGUUCAACGUUGUCACACCCGGUUUUGGAAGGUAAACCGAAUGCGAACCAUGUACGUGCCAGGAUCAGAAAUUCACGUACACAGCGAUUACAUAAAUGACUCAUCAUAGCACAAUGCUUCGAAUAACAAUAAAAAGUAAUUAAUAAUAUUAAAGACCAGAGUCAUUUACAUAAUAUAAAUCAAAGUGCACAUAAUAGAAACGUAGCCAAUGUAAAUUAACCCACCACAGGCAGCUGACUGGGGGAGGUCGCUAGCCUAAUCCUCGAACUCGUCAUAGUCCUGGAACUCCUGGAGAUCCGCCUCGACGCCUUCUUCUUUACCUGAGCAUAGAUUGCACCAAAGGCAACCUGGUGUUUUGUGAAAGCAAGGGUGAGUACACAUCAACGUACUCAGCAAAUGUCCCGUUUGGCUGAAGUGGACUAGCUUUUAUGUGGGGUUAGGCUCAAGAAGUUGCUUUUAGUUGGUCAGAUAUUUAUUGUUAGUAGAAGCCAGAUUUUAUCAUAAAACCCAAGUUAUAAUCCCAAAAAGUACCUCCUCAGAGAGGAAAUACUAGAAUACAUAAUUAAAGUCACCAUCAUUAACCAUCAUCAUUAAAGUCAUCAUCUGAGGUGUAUCCGGAGUAUCUCUAAUCAAAGAGGAUCCCAAGGCCGCUCUUAACCGUGAGCACGACUGAUAUAUCAGUUUCGAUACCCUCUGCAGAGGUCGCACACUUUACCCAUGAGCCAUGAUUCCCGUUUUGCCCGGGGAUCAUGACUCCCCAUUGAUCACUUCCUAGGUGGUCCGGCAGGGUAUCACUACGUAGCCUUUACAAAGAUUCCCUAGAGGUCAUAGCCGCCCGUUAGGUUUCUCCAGUUUGAUAAACACAGUACCUCUUCCCGCAGGAGGGUGACUAACAAAAGCAAAACGAAAGAACCUCGGCACCCAACCUCGGCAGAGCAAGCACUGUGCCUGGACCCCAUUGACGGCACGACGGCGAAGCAACUACACCUCUAGUUCCUCUAAUUAAUUAGCUAAGGGCGUCCCAUUUCGCCCUCAUGGUUGCACUGUUAUCCCGGGUGGUCUCUCAACGAACAGGUCCUUACGAAGAGGUACUCGGGAAACAGCCCGAGCCCCCUAAAGUAUCACAAGAACAUCAUCGGGAUAACAUCAUAGUAUCAUAAGUAUUCACAUCAUGUUCAUUGAUUAAAGUAAAGCAAUAGCGUAAUGCUAACCAUGAUAACCAAAAAGAUAAACAAGGAUAAGGUAAAUAGAAAGCUAGUCAAUCCUUAGGUCUCAAUUAAGUAAUGCGGGACAGUGCAUUAAAAGUGAAUGGGAAAUAAUGGGUCAGAGGACACUUGCCUUCACCAAACAGAUGCUCAGGGUAUUCAAUCUCGUAGAACUCGAAGAGUUUUGAUCUCUUGGUCACCAACGCUUGAUCAUCGAUUCCUGGAAGCUUGGAGAUGGAUCGCAUUCUAAUCGCAACGCGAAGCGAAGACGAACAGACACAAGCAAGCAAACACAUACAUAUGCAUAAGAACAUUACACCAUACAAGAUAAAACAUCAUAAAAACGAGUAAUAUAAAGUAGAGAACGCUUCUCCGGUUACGUGACAAAAAGAAACGCGACGGUCGAGGCUACAGUCGAGGAGUUAUCGUGUUUACGUUAAACAAAUGUUAAAAAUAACAUUUAAUUCGACAUUAACAAACAUAAAUGUUAUAUAUCAGUUAGUUCGAUUAAUCUGCUACACUAACAAAUGUCAGUUAAUUAAAUAAUUUAAUUAAAACAAGAGAUCCUAAGUGAGAUGGAUUUAUGACGCGUGAAACAACACGAUAGCAUGCAAACGACGCGCGGACACGCGCGACAUAGCACACUAACGACACACGAAAAUAGCGUGCGCGACGAGCGCGAAUGCGCACGAACCCGCACGCGACCACGAGCGCAUCACACACGAACAACGCGCAGACAGCAUGUGAACGACGCGCGAAGCAGCACACAAUCGUGUGCUGAACAGCACGCACGAUAUACGAGGAAAGCUAAAUCGGUGACGGGUUUAUACUAAACAAGUGUUAGUUAAAUAAAAAAUGAGUUAAGCUAAUAUUACCCCGGUUAAUGUUUAUUAUAAAAGCGCGAGAUAAACACUACACAUUUAAUCUAAUUGAAAUGUUAGUCUAAUAAAUAUCAGUUGAGCGAACCUUAAGUUAAUUUCUAAGAUGUAUGACUUAACGAAUUAAUGUCACUAACAUGAAUAUUCAUAAGUGGCAAACUAUUUAUUAUCACACGCAGACGUCGUGCGACACACACAAAACAACACGCACGAGCCAACGCGACUACGCGCGUGAACGGCUUGCUGACGCGCAAACGAUGCCGCGCGCGAACAACAACAACAAAUAAUUAAAUAAAAUUAUUUAGGUUGGUAUUAAUCAAGUUAAUUAACAAUUAUAUUGAUAAAGGCACGAAUUAAAGCUAAAGUCUCAUUCUAAUUAAAUCGUUAUUUUAGAUAACCGGCAACUAAACCAGAAUUGACUAAAUAACGCGAGCAAUCAUAAUGGAAACAAUUAAAUAAUGCGCGGAUAGCGCGCGAGACACACGUGAGCAGCAAGAGACGACACACGCGGCAGAGGAACCGAUGCGAUCGACGCAAUGGUCGAGAGAUAUCGCAUGCAUGCUACACAGAUAUGAAUUACAAUAUUUUAACUCAACCUAGUCAUACUAACAGACAACUAUCACAUGCAAAGAUAAAAUCGACGCUUAGCUUUGAUGGGUUUGCUACUCGGUUACUCGCUGUUUAAUUACGUAAAUUAAUUAACGUGAGUGAUUCUAGGCGAAACAGUUUAUUGUCGUACGACACGGCGCAUGACCCACUAAACAAGGCCGCGGAACGGCGCACGCAACAACGCGCAUCGACACGUGUGAACGACACGCACGGUGCGCGCGAACGGCACGCGAUAAUCGCUAACAAAUAACGUGUUUAUAAUAAACAAGUAUUAAAUAAAAAGUGUUUAAGUUGAUAUUAAUGUCAUUAAUGUAUAUUUACAAAAGUGCAACCUAAACUAUAAAUUAAAUUGCUAUUUUAAUAAUCAUCAGACAAACCAUUAAUUAAUUAAUUAACUAAACCUGCGACCAAAUUAAUUAACUGAACCAUUAAUUAAUUAAUUAAUUAAGUGAAGCAUGCAAUGGCCUUUGUUGGCUUUGGUUCUGCAUGCCGUGCAUGCGGUGGGGGCGAGACCGGUUUCCAAUUGACUGAUUCCAAUCGCAAGGGAAAACGUGUGGGGGAAUGGGUAGAUCGGCAUGCAACCAUGCGGGUGAGGUCGACCUAGAGCUCUCUUUUUCUCUCUCUAUCUUCUCCAUACUGGAACAGUAAGGACGGUUAUUGCUCACCUUCUCCUCCAAAAUUCAUGGCGGCAGCAAAGCAAUAGGGAGCAGCCGACCGGACGUGGGAUGGAGGUGCGACCUGCAGAGGCCUAUGCGCGCAGGGAGCCGAGCGGGGCACAUCGGGGUGGCUCGGUGGCUCACUGAGGCGGCUGGCCAGGCCAGCCUCGGCGACAGGCGGGCAGCAACGGCACGGUGAUGCACCUGCGGGAGGCUGCAAGGUCCAGUCGCGGCCGAGCAGGGACGUGGGAGCUCGGCCCGCCGGCUGGCCGGUCUGCCGUGGCGAGCCGUGCGACCGCGCAGGGGAGGGCCUCGGACUGGGCGCUGGCUGCGGCUGGCUGGCCGCCGCGCAGGCUGGGAUGGGCGCCGCGCCGCUGCUGGCCUAGGGGCUGGCCGGCUAUGGCUGCUAGAGCGUAGUGGAGGUACAUUUAUGGGGCUGGGCAAACGAGGAAGAAGAGCCCAGGAAAGAAAGGGACGAGCGUACGACGAUGCUCCUCCUCUCCUCCGGUUGCUGCAGCGUCCGCGAAAAUUCUUCGUCUGGGAACUGACAUUUGCGAAGGAGAGAGGUAAAGAUAGGACAAUUGUGUAACUGCUCGGGAAUAUGCGGAGGGAGAGAUUAUGUAUGGGUGGAGAGGUUACGGUGGAUUUCUUCUCGUAGGAUCAUGGUAAUCUAUUUUAAAGAUUAAAUAAUCAUAUUAGAUACCAAAAUUACUUUAAUGGAUAAAAAUAUUUUAAAGAGUCCAAAAAUUUAGAAAAACUCCUAGACAUGUUUUGGAACCUAAUGAACUUAAAUAAAAUAUUUGGAGGUUAUAAAAUAUUUUUAAGCGUCUCAAAUAACUAGAUUUUGAUUUUCGGAAAAUAGGAAAACACUCAGAAAAUAUGAAAAAAAAUCCAAAAGCUUCUACAAGAUAUAUUAACAUGUUUCAAACAACUUUUGCAUACAGAAACACUAUGCAACGACAUGAAUGCGACAGUCAAAGCUUCUCUAGAGUUUCACUUCACUAAGCUUACACCUAUAUAUAACAAAAUAACUCUCCAUUAUUUAUGAAGUAGAGAAGAAAAGCAAGGAAAUGAGAGGGUAACACCUGAAUUUGGUAGAUAUUAGAAAAGAAAUUUUAUACCCCCAAAUUCAGUGUGUUACAAACGUCGGAAAAGAUGUACCUCUGUCAGGUACCAAACUUUGGGUUGAAAUGAUAAAGUUGAGACCGGGUGGGUGACUUGCACAAGAAGAGAGUCUCGGUGUAGUGUCUCCGUCUGUGUCGAUUAAGGACCGUGUCGAUGUUGGCUUGAUGAUUGAGGACCUUUUAACUGGUCACAUGCCUCAUCAUGGGUAAGCUUUGCCUCGGGCAGACUAAUACCAGAAUAAGAUAACACGCAAUGGGAGUGGAGAGAUGGCGAGAGUAGCGUGUAGCCUCCGUGGCAAGAGGCUAGACGGUGGUGUAUCUGUGCUCUUGGUUGGCGUGAACCUGAUCUAGUCUUAAGAACCCCGGUGGCGAGUUGACAUAUGCAAGAGUUAAGUGCUACAUAUGUCGUGUGAUUGGAGAUCCCCAGCUGGGUAUUAAUCGAUUCGGAUCGCCGUUACUUCUCGAACAUGAAGACUUGGUCACUGACCUACACGUAGCAUUCCAGUGAACAAGAAGGGUUAAUAAGAAGAUGGCUAGUAUAGGCCAAGUGCUUGAACUAGGGUACAAAGAACUCUAGAUUCAGGUAAUGACUUAACUUGCUAAUAAAACUGGAUUUUUAAGGAUCCACUAUUAGUAAGCAUUUUUGCAAACAGAGUCUUGAUUCUUGAUUAAGCCUUACCUUGACUCUCUCAAGCCAGCAUAUCCUUGAGAAUCUUUUAUUUUGACGGGUAAGACUUGCGAAAGUACACUUCGUACUGAGGGUUUUCGAACCCAUGUUGUUGUAGGUGAGGAAGCAGUAAACUUUUGUUGCUUUUGCUCUAAGGUGGUGCCAAAGGAAGAAUCUCAAGAAUGAAGCCUCGGGAGGAUGUUGUCCUCCUUAAAAACUUUAUACUUUUAUGCGGGAGGGGUUUUUGCCUCCCGAGUUUGUAAUAAUAAUACUUCUGCACCCAUAUAUAUUACUGGUCUGUAAUAAUAACACUCUUCUAUAUUUUAAUGUAAAUUAAGUUACUGUAAUUGCUUCCGUUAUCCGUUCCUCCGAUGUGUUGUAAUAUCUGCGUGACGGGUGAAACGCUCUUGGGAAAGGCAAAGAAUGCAGAUACCGAACUUGUCAAGCGAUCAGGUGCAUCUGCAGGAUUGUCCGAGGUCCGAUGGACAAGGACAACUGUAGGUGGGCCUAAUGACUAGGGAGGUUCCGUCACAGCUGGUACCGGAGCGAAGCCCAUCUCUUCAGAUUUUAUGAGACAUUUCAAAAAGAAUUUUCAAACACUUAUCUAAGAAAACAUCUUUCAUGCUUAUCUUACUACUUUCUGAAGUACUCAUCUUAUAAGACCAGGUAGCAGAGUGCAAUGUAUAGGAGGUUGUGAAUCAACGAAAGUUGAUUAUGUAAUUAUGCAUGCAUCAUGUUUAAAAACUAUACUAAUAAAGUUUUCCCCAUUAUGGAGAUAUGCCGCUGCGUACGAGGAAAACUGCGCGUAAGUCCACUGGACCUAUUGGCAUACCUCGGCAUCAGCUAGCUCCAUGUAACGCCCUGAAUUCGGGGGUAGAUAUUUUUCUUCUUUUUACUCACCAAAUUCAGGCGUUACUCUCUUUUCUCUUCCUGUUUCGCUCCUUCUUCACAAUUUCAAAGCAGUAUAGCGACUGGUGUCCGUAUGGCGUGUGAACAAAAACCAAAGUUGUCAUGGGUAUUGCAUCAUGCCAAGGCAUAUUUCUUGUCUGAUGUCGUGUUUAAUCGCGUGUUUUGCUUGGUCACGUUUCGCGAAUCGGAUUCCGAUCGGUGGUUGUGCGUGUCGUGGGUCUUUGCCCCGCGACGUGACCCAGCCCGACCCAACCCGGCCCAGCCAGCCCGCUCUAGCCCACGCGCCCUCGGUGCCCUGCCCCUCCCCAUGCGCCCCCCUCCCUUUCUCUCAUUUGAUUUUCCCGCGCAGCAACCUCCUCUCCUCCACCUCUCUCUCUCCCCGUGGUGCCCUAGGUUUUGGAGACGAUGAUCGCCGGAUUUGGACCCCGAGGUGAGCUCCCCUCUCCCUCUCUCUCUUCUCCUCCCCCCUCCCCUUCUUAUUCCUCCCGCGCGGCCCCCUGGCGCGUCCCGCACGGCCCCCUGACAGCCCCCAGCGCGCUCCCUGGCGGCCCUCGACGCGCUCCCGCAUGGCCCACUGGCACGCGUCCUGCGCAGCCCCCGGCGCACUCCCCUCGCGACCCCAGCGUUCGUCCCGCGCGGCCCCCGACGCACUCCCGUGCGCCCCCCAGGCGAGCUUCUGCGCGGCCCCCUGGCGCGCUCCCCGCGCAGCCCCCCGACGCGCUCCCCCCCCCCCCGCGUCCCAGCAUGCCCCUGCGUGGCCCCCCGACGGUGCUCCCUCGUGGCCUUGGCAGCGCCCCUCGCGGCCCCCUGCCCCGCCCUCCCCGCGCGCCCCCUGGCGGCGCCCCUGCGUGACCCCCUCGUGGCCCCCUGGCGGCGCUCCCACGCGUGCCCUGGCGGCCCCUCGCACACGCCCCCGAGCGGCCCCUGCUCGGCCCCUCCCCGGUGGCGCCCGCCCUGUCCCCGACACGGCUGCGCGCCCCCGGCGUGACUCACGUGUCCCCGGCGCGGCCUCGCGCAGCCCCAGUGCGUGGGGCGAUCGAUUUUAAGUUUAAUUAGUUUUGAAUUUAGUUUAAUGAAUGUGCUGCGUUGCGCGCUUCGUCGCGCGAUCAUUCGUUUUAAAUUCAUCUUUAUUAAUGAGUUGUGUCGCGCGCUUCGUCGCGCGACGAUUCGUCUUAAUUUUAGAUUUAUUUAAUGUGUGGCGUCGUGCAUCCAGUCGCGCGACGUUUCGUUUUAAAUUCAGUUUAGAUGACAUAUGCCGUCGUGCGUUUCGUCGCGCGACGCUUAAUGUGUCUUUAUAAUUAAUGCAAGUGUCUCGUUGCAUGCUCCGUCACGCGACGAGUCGUUUAUUUCUUAAUUCAAUUUAAGUGUUGUGUCGUGCACUUCGCCGCACGACAAUUCUUUUAAUUUACCUUUAUCUGUUCAUAAUAAUUAAACAUGGAACAUGACUUUACCCUAUGCUAAACACGAUGGCUAAAUUAAUACUAUUCUGUUUAAACGAGUAUUUGAUUUAUAAUCGUGUGACAUAAUCGCUCUUCGACCGUAACCUCGACCGUUACUCUCUCUUUCUCGCUUAGUCGUAGGUGUGAGCCCUGCGCCGAGUGUCUGUUUAUUUAUAACAUUCUAUUGUAUGGUGUACUAUUCUUUUUGUAUUAAAUAUGUGGAAUGUAUGUUUGAACUCGUAUAGAUAACGGUCAGUUGGUGGGGCCCGAAGGAAUUGCAGGUGAAGACCCUGAGCAGCAGCUGGUUGGUGAAGGCAAGUGUCCCUUGACCCAUCUAUGUCCUACUCAUUCUUAUAAUUCACUCCCCGCAUUUAUACAGUUUAUACCUAAGGAUUGACUAGCUUUUGUUUAUCUUGUCCUUGUUUACCUAUUUCAUUUGGGUUAUUUUGGUUUAGCUUUAUGCUAGCUAUUCACAUUAAUCAAUGAACAUGAUGAGAUUAUCUAUGAUACGCUGUUUUCCCUUUUGAUUAUGAUGAUGGUUCUAUGACAUUUAAGGGGACUCGAGCUGUUUCUCGAGUGCCUCUCCAUAAGGACUGGUUCAUUGGAUGACCGCCCGGGAAAACAGCGCAACCAUGAGGGUGGAAUGGGAUGCCCUUAGCUGAAUAAUUAGAAGAACUGGGGUGUAGUUCGCUUCGCCGUCGUGCCGUUAAUGGGGCUCGAUGUAUGCGGCUCGCUCUGCCAAGGUUGGUUCGCCCCCUUGGGGAGGAGUGUGGUGCAUUUAGGAAACCUAAUGGGUGGCUACAGCCCUAGGAAAUAUUUGUAAAGGCUACAUAGUGAAACCCUGCCUAUUCACCUUGGUAGUGUUUAAGGGUUUGAUCGGCCCGAGGCAAGAGGAAAUCACGGCUUGUGGGUAAAGUGUGCAACGUCUGCAGAGUGUUAUAAACCUGAUAUAUCAGCCAUGCUCAUGGUUAUGAGCGGCCAAGGGAGCUCCAUUGAUUAGAGAUACUUGAUCAGAGAUGGUUGGUUUAUAGGUGGUGAUGAGGAUGAUGGUUUUGGUUACGACUAUGGUAAUGGUAAGUGGUAUUCUUUCCGUUUGGAAAGGGUACUUUGGGUUAAUAACUUGGGUUAAUGCUAAAACCUGGCUUUCUGCUAGUAAUAAUAACCUGACCAACUAAAAGCAACUGCUUGACUUAACUCCACAUAAAGCUAGUCCACUACAGCCAAACGGGACAUAUUGCUGAGUAUGUUGAUGUGUACUCACCCUUGCUUUACACACCAACCCCCCAGGUUGUCUGCGUUACAACCAUUGCUCAGGUGAAGAUGAAGUCGUGGAGGAGGACUUCCAGGAGUUCCAAGAGUACGAUGAGUUCUAGGCGUGGGUUAGCGGCAACCCCCAGUCGGCUGCCUGUAUAGGCCAUGUGUAUCUACGUUUCUUUUCCGCACUUUGAUAAUUGUUAAAGACUAUGUGGAUCUCCCGGACAUCAUGAUGUAAUCAACUAUUACACCUUCUUUAUGUUAUUAUUUGAGCACUGUGUGAUGAUGUCCAGUUAUGUAAAUGUUGUGUACGUGAAUUGCUGAUCCUGGCACGUACAUGGUUCACAUUUGGUUUGCCUUCUAAAAACCGGGUGUGACACUCCAAGACAUGAAGAGAGCAGCAGCGGCAGUAACGACCCCAUCAGAGACCUAGAAGCCCAAGUGGAGCAGCUUCGGAUGGAGCUACAUCACCGAAAUAGGGUGUGGGUAGAAUAUGGUCAGCGUAUAAAUGAGUUAAGAGCUGAUGUCAGACAUCUGCAAGAUGAGCUUGCUGAACGGGAUUUGGCAAUCGAUUGGGCUGUCAACUCACGUUCAAUUGCUUGGGACCGGGAAGCCAAAGCUCGAGCCCGUGUGGAUGAGCUCAGCACGGCCCUUGACAGCUUGCAGGUGUAUUGCAAUACUUUAUAUGAGGAAGUCCAUGUACUGUAUUCGCGACUGCACCUAGACGUACCUACUGACCCUGUUGGAAUGGGAGUCGGACCCUCAGGAACAGCAGGUGAAGCACUUGGUGGCAAGCCCCUUCCUUCUAUGAACCUGGCUGACGAACGGUCCCCUACAACAGAUAGUGAAGCAACCAAAGACGAUAAAUACUAGAGUAGUAUAGUUUAGAUAUAAUACUAAUGUAAAAUAGGUAAGGAAGUCAUGUUGUACAUUUGAGUCUGUAUGAUUACAUCUUGGUAAUGUAAAAUGAUGGUAUCAGUAUGUUAUAUUUCCCAAAUGUUUCUUUGCCUCAUAUGCCAUCCAGGACUCGUGCACAUGACAGUGUUGGUACUUCCUGUGGUCGGGAAGACACGCCCAAUCCACCACCUGUACCGCCAACGUUGGCCGAGGCUAUCGCUGUCUUGGUCAAUGCGACCGCCGACAACACCCGCUUUUUGCGUGAAAUGGCGGGAAAUCAAUUUCAGCAGCAUGGCGGAAGGGUUUAUCCGCAGGGACCCCGUGAAACUUCAUACCUAGAUUUCUUGGAAACCCGUCCCCCACUCUUCGUUAAAGCCAAAGACCCUCUGGAAGCCGACGAAUGGGUACGGGUUAUUGAGUAGAAAUUUGGACUCAUCCGCUGCACUGAAACCUAGAAGUCGUUGUUCGCGGCUCAAUAGCUAAGAGGCCCUGCCAGUACAUGGUGGGGAAAUUUUGUGGCCAUUCAACCUGCCGGACAUUAGGUCACAUGAGAUGAAUUUAAAUUAGUGUUUCGUGAGCACUAUAUUCCAGAAGGAGUGCUGCACAUGAAAUAGGAGGAAUUCAUGCGACUCAAGCAAGAAGGAGAUACUGUCAUGCAGUAUCUCAACAAAUUCAAUCAUUUGUCCCAGUAUGCAAUUGAUCAGGUAAAUACUGACCUGAAAAAGAAGAAUUGCUUCAUGAGAGGCCUCAACGACCGGCUUCAAAGAAAAUGGCCACCUGCCUAGAUCUCUCCUACAACAGGGCUGUCAGCAUAGCGCUGGCAGUAGAAGCAAAGCAUAGAGGCCCAGGAAAAUCAAAGGGAUUCGGAGGUGACAGGUCCAACCAGGGGCCUAAAAAGCGACCAAGGUUGGUAAUUCGACCUUUCAAUCAAAACCGUUCUUCACCUCGUCCACCCUCCUACCCAUUUAAACAGCCUGUCUUCAUUCGCCCUGCCACUGCCCCCACUUCAACAAGUCAGCCGAGUGCCCCUGGUGCUCGUUUCCACGCCCUCCCUAGUUCCUCAACUGGCUGCUUCAAUUGUGGGAAGUCUGGACAUUUUAUCAAAGACUGCCCAUAUCUGAGGCAGAACAAAUCCAACAAUCAGCGGAACCCAGGGAGCUCAAAUCAAGGCAAGGGAAACACGACGAAUAAUUUAGCGGGCAAGAAUAUAAAGAAGAUUGGGCGAAUAUACUACACACAAGUGGCCACUACACCGGAAGGAGAGCCGGUUAUGAUGGGUACGUUUCUUGUGGCCAAUCACCCUGCAAUCAUUCUCUUUGAUUCUAGUGCUUCACAUACAUUCAUAAGCAAGAAAUUUGUGGAGAAAUAUUGCAUUCCUUGCACUAAAUCAAGGGAAGGGUUUAUUAUUUAUUCGCCUGGGGGACAAAUAUUCACUAAAGAAGUGGCUUUCCAUGUGCCUGUAACAUUGGAUGAACGGGACUUUCCCACCAACAUGAUUGUUCUGAAAGGCCAAGAUAUAGAUGUAAUUCUGGGCAUGAAUUGCUUAGCCCAGCACAAAGCUAUUCUCAACACUGAUUUGAGAACCAUCAGGUUGAGCUAUGGCCAUGAAGAGGUUCUCUUGUCCAUCCCUGUAGCUAUUCCAGCUAAACCAUGUGGCAGAGUCUAUGAAGCUAUCAUCCGCAAAUCCAAGAUAUUCCGGUAGUAUGUGAGUUUCCGGACGUCUUUCCUGAAGAUCUGCCUGGAUUACCUCCAGAAAGAGAUAUAGAGUUUGUGAUUGAACUAAAGCCUGGUACGGCUCCUAUUUCUAGAAGGUCGUACCGAAUGCCUCCAAAUGAGUUGGCAGAGCUCAAGACUCAAUUACAAGAUCUACUAGAGAAGGGAUUCAUCCGGCCUAGUUCGUCACCUUGGGGAUGUCCCACAAUCUUUGUCAAGAAGAAGGAUCAAACACUUCGGAUGUGCGUGGACUACAGACCCUUAAUGAGGUCACAAUCAAGAAUAAGUACCCUCUUCCCCAGAUUGAUAUUUUAUUUGAUCAGCUUACCGGAGCCCGGGUAUUUUCCAAAAUUGACCUCAGGUCGGGCUAUCAUCAGAUCCGUAUCCGACCCGAAGAUAUACCCAAGACUGCAUUUACUACGCGGUACGGAUUAUUCGAAUAUUUGGUUAUGUCUUUCGGAUUAACCAAUGUUCCUGCCCACUUCACAUAUCUAAUGAACUCGGUAUUUAUGCCUGAGUUGGACAAAUUUGUGGUGGUCUUCAUUGAUGAUAUCUUGAUAUAUUCCAAGAAUGAAGAUGAGCAUGCUCAACAUCUACGGAUCGUAUUAACGCGCUUAAGGGAACAUCAACUAUAUGCUAAAUUCAGCAAGUGCGCGUUUUGGCUGGAGGAAAUCCAAUUUCUGGGACAUGUAUUGUCUGGCAAGGGGAUUGUGGUUGAUCCCAGCAAGGUCAAGGAUAUUUUAGAGUGGAAACCACCAACCACUAUACAUCAAGUUUGAAUUUUCCUUGGACUGGCUAGCUAUUACCGCCGAUUUAUCCUGGAUUUCUCUAAACUUGUGAAGCCAAUCACAAGUCUAUUGAAGAACGAUACAAAAUUUAACUGGUCCUCAAGAUGCAACGAAGCCUUCGAGCAGCUGAAGGUGUUAUUGACCACUGCUCCGGUAUUAGCUCAACCGAACAUUGAAAAGCCUUUUGAUGUAUAUUGUGACACAUCGGGCAGUGGCCUCGGAUGUGUCUUAAUGCAAGAGGGCCGAGUUAUAGCAUAUGCUUCAAGACAGUUGCGUCGGCAUGAGGAACAUUAUCCAAAUCAUGACUUAGAGUUAGCUGUUGUGGUUCAUGCUGUGGGGGACAGAUAUCCCCCGGGUCCACUAGAAGGCAAGAAGGCCUCACAAAAGGCCUCAGGCCCAUUAUUUCGCAAGGCCAUCCCUUCAUGGGCCAGGGGAGGAAUGUCUGGUAGAAUGGAUCAACGUGAGAUCGGAUCGGCUCGAGCCAGUGCGACUCACUGAAUUCAAACGUUAUCCACAGCAGUGAUCCGAUUCUCCCGCGCAACGCCCUCAGACGACGGAACUGAAUGAUGAUAAGUCGGCAGGAUUAUAGGAAGAUAAGCUCAAUCGGUUCACUAUUACUUAGGCGCACGUUGUUAUCAUAUCCGCAUGUAACGCCCCACGGUCGAGUAUAUAAGGCCUAGGGGGCACCCCAUCAAACAACAACUGACUCAUUAGUCGUCUACUCAGUUCUCUAUUAUCCCUCAUACUAGAGAACUCCCCUGUAACCCACCACAUAAAAGAUCCACACCAGGAAGUAGGGUGUUACGCCUCUCUAAGCGGCCCGAACCAGUAUAAAAUUGUCCACUGUCUCUCAUGCAUCUAGCACGAACCAUCGAGCUAGAGUCGGUAACACUGUCCUACUCCAAAAAGCACCUCGAGGGGCAACCUCCAGGUGCGCGGUCGGACCCAAAACACCCACAGCUGGUGCGCCAGGUAGGGGGUGUCACUGAUCCAAGCUAGCUCAAUGGCCAUCACUUUCUAGCACAAGAUCGCUCUCCGCCCUAGAUCCGUGUUCUGCUUCGGAACCAUCUCAUUCGUGGCACACGAAGAAGGAACUCUACAUCGCAUAGCGGAUCCGCCGGAGAGAAAACCUUCCUCGAUAAUCUCCGGGAAAGUCGGAACGAAGCAAGAAAUAGCGCAACCUCCAGUGCUCCGAGCAAAGACUACCUCCUGCAAGCCAGGAGCGGAAAAUUCAUUCACCCGAAGAACCCCGUUGUCCACCUCAUCCACAGAAGAGUGGACACGGAUUACGAGGAAAAAAGAAACGAAGACCCGUCAAGCUGCCCUUCUAGUACCUCCGCCCUCAAAGGAGAACAAAAAGAAGCUUGUCAUCACAACAACUCCGUUCUACCCCGACAUCCUCUUUAUCGGGGGGAGAGUGGAAUCGUCCCCCAUCUCCAACGACGAACCAACUGUGCCUAGGGAGGAACCACCUCAGCGGGAAGCUCGUCGAUGAAGGAACCGACGCCGUAACGCCCGGCGACAUCAUGAAGCCGGAGAACGAGAUCCAGCACAGCCUGUGUCGCGAGAUGAGAUCUCAGAGGUGGGAGAAACUCCAGAUGAACGAGUCUUCAGGGAAAGGAGGAAUUCACGUCGACGUGAUCGUCGGCAAGCUCAAGAGCAGGCCGAGCAGGAGGCGAGACAACAUUGAGAGAACCCUCUCCUCGGACGAAACUUGAACCCCGACUUCGCCCGAGCCAUGAACACCCCGAGCGAGGUCGGUGGAGUGUUGGCUCGGAUAGCCGAUGGCCUCCCCCGGACUCCAGACGCUGAGGGAUAUCGGCGGCUGCUCACUCGGGCAGCUAACCAUCUUCUGCCUCUCGCUCAUCCUCCGAGUUAUCUACGACACACCAUCAAUAGUCGAUGGGACACACGGAGCUCCAUCAAUGCUUCGUGCGAACGAUGACAUGAGAACGAGAUUCGGCGCCGAGAAGAGUAUGAUCGGGAUCACGACAUCUCUACACGAAGUCAGGCCACUAGGGUUGAGUCGGCAACAGCUUCAACUGGCGGCACAACCCGGGGACGGUCGAGGUAGCACAUCGACAACUCCCCUCCCUAGGACUGACACCACAACCAUCGACAGGAAGACACGUGUGGAGUAUCGGCGCUUACUCCACGUAUCAGGGCCAUUCAGUGGCCCCCUAACUUCAAGGUCUCCAACGUUGACAAGUACGAGCCUAAGCAGGACCCAGGAGGCUGGUUGGCCGUCUAUACCACUGCUGCCCGGGCCGUUGGGACAACUAAAGAUGUGAUGACUGCGCAUUUGCCCAUCGUCCUUGGGCAAGAUGCGCUGCAAUGGCUACGACACCUGCCCCGACACUGCAUCGACGAUUGGAGCGACUUUAGUCGACGUUUUAUCGCCAACUUCUAAUCCCUCUCUGACAUGUCGGCGCAGCCAUGGGACCUCAAACCCAUCAGGCGCCGAGGGGAUGAGACUCUCCGGUCAUACCUCAAAAGAUUUCAGACCAUGAGAAAUCGAAUCCCCGAGGUUGUGGAAGCAGCGGUCAUCGAGGACUUCUACCGGGGAUCUAAUGACUCGGCCUUCGUCCGAGCCAUACUGCAAAAGGCGUCGACUACCUCCGAGCAGCUAUUCAGGGAAGCAGACCUCUACAUCACUACCGACGAACGAGAUCAGGACCUCAUCGGAGGAACGAAGCCUACACCGCCGGCACCACGACGCGACGAGAACCAACAACCCGACAAGCGUUGGGAGAAGAGGCCUCGCGAAGAGGUCCACGCCACCGGACCACCCGUCUCUCAUGCCCGAGGGACACCCCGCGGAGGCGAACGGACAUUGGACGACAUCCUCGACGCCCAAUGUCCGUACCACAAGGACAUGCGCCACACCCUCCGGAACUGCAGAGAUUUAAAGUACUCCAUCGGGAACAGCUGACCCUUCCAACCUCUGCCACCUCCCCCACCACGAGGAGGACCCGGAGAACCUCAGCAACCCUAGCAGAAGGAAGGGGGAGGAGGCGGGGCAUUCCCGCACGUCGACAGAGAAGUCAACGUCAUCUUCGGCGGACACGGGUAGCAAGAGAGCAAAAGGCAGCAGAAGCUCAACGACCGUCAGAUACUAGUGGCAGCCACCAGUCCUCCUGCCCCGUAUCGAUGGUCCGAACACCCGAUCACCUUCAGUCGGGCGGAUCAGUGGCUCAACUUCGAUCAUCCGGGGAAAUACCCACUCCUCAUCGAUCCGGUGAUCCGAGAGAGCAGGGUAAAGAAGGUGUUAGUGGACGGGGGAAGCAGCAUCAACGUCACCUUCCCCCGGACACUCCUAGGCUUGGGAGUCGCACUCAAAGAGAUCCACGAGUCAGACACUCCUUUCUUCGGCAUUGUGCCGACUGAAGGAUAAUAUCCACUUGGACAUAUCUACAUGUCGGUUACCUUCAGAACUCCGGAAAACUACAGAACCGAGUUCUUGAGGUUCGAGGUAGCAAGCUUCGACUGUGGAUACAACACCAUCAUCGGCAGGCCGGGAUUGGCGAAGUUCAUGGCCAUUCCACACUAUACAUACAUGAUAUUGAAGAUGUCGGGACCACAAGGAAUCAUCACCGUGCGUGCUGACCUCCAAGGCGCCGCAGAAUGCUUCCGAGUUGCCAUUCAGGCGGCCCUCACCACCAAAUCAUCAACGACUUCUUCCGCGCAGGCGAACUCAAAGCCUGAGGAGGACCUCACGGUACCUGCAAAUGAAGCUCAAGCCGUGACCUCUAUGCGGCCGACUGAGGAAACAAAAAGAAUCAACCUCGGGUUCGCUGAUGAAUGCAAGACCACCAUCAUCAGCUCCAGCUUGGAUGACAAAUAGGAAGGCGCGCUCAUCCAGUUUCUACAAGAUAACCGAGACAUAUUCGCAUGGCAACCUGUGGAUAUGCCGGGAGUCCCGAGAGAACUGGCCGAGCACAAACUGAAGGUCUAUCCCCAGGCGAGGCCGAUCCGACAAAAGUUGCGUCGUUUCAUGCCCGACAAGAGAGAAGCUAUUCGUGCUGAGCUAGCUCGCUUAGUCGCAGCAGGGUUCAUUAGAGAAGUACAGCAUCCUGAGUGGUUAGCAAAUCCUGUUCUUGUACUCAAAAAGAAUAAAGUGGAUUGGCGCAUGUGUGUUGACUAUACAGAUCUCAACAAACACUAUCCGAAGGAUUCCUUCGGACUUCCUAGAAUAGAUCAGGUGGUAGAUUCAACCGCCGGAUGCUCUAUACUGUCAUUCUUGGAUUGCUACUCGGGAUACCAUCAAAUUAGCUUGGCAAAAGAAGACGAGGAAAAAACAGCAUUCAUUACCCCAUUUGGAGCUUUCUGCUAUACCUCCAUGUCGUUCAGCCUCAAGAACGCUGGGGCGACUUACGAGAGAGCCAUUCAAACAUGCUUAGCCGAUCACUGGGGCAAGCGGGUAGAAGCUUAUGUUGAUGAUGUAGUAAUUAAGACAAAAAAACUCAGAAAACUUCAUUGAAGAUUUGCAGCUGGUCUUCAACAGCCUGAGGCGAUAUAGGUGGAAGCUCAAUACAGAAAAAUGUGUCUUUGUAGUGCCAGCAGGGAAAUUGCUCGGAUUCAUUGUCAGCCACCAAGGAAUUGAAGCUAACCCAGAAAAGAUCGAAGCUAUCAUGAGAAUGGAAGCACCACGGUCACAGAAGAAAGUGCAAAGGCUCACUGGAUGCAUGGCAGCUUUAAGCAGGUUCAUAUCAAGGUUAGGAGAAAAAGGCCUACCAUUCUACAAAUUGCUCAAGAAGGUGGAUAAGUUCCAAUGGACCUCAGAAGCUCAGGAAGCUCUUGAUGCACUAAAGAAGUUCCUGACCACACCACCAGUGCUAAAGCCGCCACACUGAGCCACGCCAAACCAGCCGGCAGAAGAUCUGCUGUUGUACAUCUCUUGCACGACUCACGUGGUGAGCACCGCGUUGGUAGUCGAGCGAGCAGAGGAAGGACACGCAUAUCCAGUAUAGCAUCCUGUCUACUUCAUCAGCGAAGUUCUGGGGCCAUCUAAGAAGAAGUAUCCUCAAGUUCAAAAACUGUUGUACGCAGUACUUCUAACUGCACGCAAGCUCUGUCACUACUUCGAUGACCACAAAGUCAUAGUAGUCACUGGGUUUCCAAUAUGGGAUAUUCUCCACAACAAAGAAGCCAUUGGAAGAAUAGCCAAGUGGGCCUGCGAGCUGGGAGCUCACGACAUUGAGUUUCAGCCUCGUACUGCAAUAAAGACUCAAGCACUAGUUGACUUCGUAUCAGAGUGCACCGAGCAACAAGUACCAAAUAACCCAGAGACUGCAGAAGUAUAGCGGAUGUAUUUCGAUGGCUCGCUGAAGCUGCAGGGGGCAGGCGCAGGGAUCCUCUUCAUUGCACCUGGAGGUGAACAACUCAAAUACGCUCUUCAGUUGUUAUUCUCAACAUCCAAUAAUGCAGCAGAAUAUGAAGCUUUAAUCUACGGAUUGAACAUUGCCGUAUCACUGGGCAUUAAGAGGUUGAUGGUAUACAGAGAUUCACUGGUGGUCAUAAGUCAGAUAAAUAAAGAAUGGGAUUACUCGAAUGACUCUAUGGGCAAGUACUGCACAGCCGUCCGAAAGCUGGAAGACAAAUUUGAAGGGUUGGAAUUUCAUCAUGUAGAAAGAGAUCGCAACGUGACAGCAAAUGCGUUGUCGAAACUAGGAUCCAGUCGGUCCCAGGUUCCACCUGGAGUUUUCGUCCAAGAGGUGCCACGCCAUAGCAUUUCCUCAGAUCAAGUAGAAGAGUGCAAUGUUUUAAGCCAGCCAGAGUCAGACUCUAAUGACUGGAGGGAGCCCAUCAUCAUAUAUAUAAAGAAUGAAGAGGAACCAGAUGACAAAGCCGCAGCAGAAUGCAUCGCAAGGCAGUCAGCCCACUACACCCUCAUUGGGGAUGCACUGUACAGAAGGGGCGCAACAGGAGUCCUCAUGAAGUGCAUUCCUUCGGCUACUGGGAAGCAACUGUUAGAUGAGAUCCACGCCGGACAGUGCGGGAUACACGCAGCAUCCAGGACUCUGGUUGGGAAGAUCUUUAGGUCUUGUUUCUACUGGCCGACAGCAAAGAGUGAUGCAGCCGAGUUAGUCCAGAGGUGUGAAGCUUGCCAAUUCUUAUCAAAGCAGCAGCAUUUGCCAGGACAGCAACUGCAGACCAUACCCAUAACAUGGCCAUUUGCGUGCUGGAGACUGGACAUGAUUGGACCCUUCAAGAAAGCUCAGGGAGGAUACACUCACGUGUUGGUCACCAUUAACAAAUUCACCAAAUGGUAGAAUACAAACCCAUUGCUUCUCUGACUUCAGCCAAGGCAGUGAAGUUCAUACAAGAUAUAAUAUUCAGGUUUGGGAUACCGAAUAGCAUCAUAACCGACCUGGGAUCCAAUUUCACUAGCUCUGAAUUUUUUGAUUUCUACGAACAACGAAGCAUCCAGAUCAAAUAUGCAUAAGUAGCACAUCCAAGGGCCAACGGUCAGGUAGAAAGGGCUAUUGGAAUGAUACUGGAAGCACUCAGGAAGAAUGUCUUCGACAAGAAUGAAAAGUUCGCGGGAAAAUGGAUCAGAGAGUUGUUGUAUGUAGUUUGGAGCUUAAGAACUCAACCUAGUCGAGCUCUGCAUGGAAAUACUCCUUUCUUCAUGGUCUAUGGUUCGGAGGCAGUGCUACCUGCCGACCUCAGGUUUGGGGCACCAAGGCUGGUCUUCGAAAACAUAACUAAGGCAGAGGCUACCAGAUUAGAGGAUAUUGACGUAUUGGAGGAAGAGCGAUUGAAUACAGUAAUUCAGUCAGCUAGAUACCAGCAAACCCUGAGGCGCUAUCAUGAUAAGGCUAUACGACAUCGAUCCUUUGAAGUGGGAGACUUGGUCCUUCGCCGAAUUCUAACGGGGGAAGGACGACACAAAUUGUCACCACUAUGGUAAGGGCCAUUUGUAGUAGCGGAGGUCACUCGGCCAGGAUCAUAUAGGCUCACUCAAAUGGAUGGCACGGAAAUAGGGAAUUCAUGGAAUAUAGAGCAUCUCAGGAACUUUUACCCUUAGCAAAAUUUCAAAAAGCUAUCGGGGCAGCAUUGUAUUCUAUAAUUGGAAAAUACAUCAUCAAUAAAAAGAUUUCAUUCUCAAGGACACUCGAACUGUUUAUUAUCAAUCAGCAUGCUUACUCGGUAUAGGGUGACCACUAUACCCUACUAACAGAGCAAUCGGCUUAAGUCGGCAAUGACUUAAGACGGUGCAACAUGCUCGCGCUCACUCAGCAUAGGGUGACCACUAUACCCUACUAAUAGAGCAAUCGACUUAAGUCGGCAAUGACUUAAGACGAUGCAACAUGCUCGCGCUCACUCAGCAUAGGGUGACCACUAUACCCUACUAACAAAGCAAUCGGCUUAAGUCGGCAAUGACUUAAGACGGUGCAACAUGCUCGCGCUUACUCGGCAUAGGGUGACCACUAUACCCUACUAACAGAGCAAUCGGCUUAAGUCGGCAAUGACUUAAGACGGUGCAACAUGCUCGCGCUUACUCAGCUUAGGGUGACCACUAUACCCUACUAACGGAGCAAUCGGCUUAAGUCGGCAGUGACUUAAAACAGUGCAACAUGCUCACGCUUACUCGACUUAGGGUGACCACUAUACCCUACUAACGGAGCAAUCGGCUUAAGUCAGCAAUGACUUAAGACGGUGCAACAUGCUUACGCUUACUCGACUUAGGGUGACCACUAUACCCUACUAACGGAGCAAUCGGCUUAAGUCGGCAAUAACUUAAGACGGUGCAACAUGUUCAAGCUUACUCAACUUAGUGUAACAUGCUCGCAAGGCGAUCUCUAUGCCUUACCAGCCGAUCAACUAGCGUAAAUUAGAAAAAGAUUCCAAAACCAGCGCACUACACUUACUUCUACAAUCAUUCAUGACAACUGUUGAAUUCUAACGACAGAAACAAAACGUUAUAGUUUUUGGCGCCAAGAACACAUUCUAACAUCCUACCGAAUAUUCAAGCGCGCUGGUCACACAUACAUAUAGUUCACAAAUGCAUUCAAUGUCUUCUAAACACAGCAAAACAUCUCUACUUGGCAAUGUCUUUCGCAGGAGCAAUCAAGGAUGAAGAGCGACUCGAAGCAUCAGGUGUAGCCUUGACGUCCGCAACAAUGUCAUCAGGAACAACUACACCAGGCCUUCUCAUCAAGAUUCGCCCCGCGCGGAUGGCUUUGUCCAUAGCCUUGUCACGCUGGGUCUUCAAAACAGCGCAGUUGUCUUCUGCAACCUUGGUAGCCAGUCGAGCGGCCUCUAGCUCCUGGGCGACUGAUCUCUUGGAGGCACGUAGAUCUUUGAUUACAGAGUCCUUGCUUGACACCAGCUACCUGAGCCGCAGGAUCUCAUCCUGGGAUACUUGUAGUUCAUGGCGAUGAUGAUCCAGAUCUGUCAUGGUGAAGCGGUGGCUCCUCUCCAAGAUGGUUAGAGAAUUGUUGGCGUCAUGAUAUAACUUAUCCAGAUUGUCGCGAGAAGCUGCAAGUGCUCGUUUCUCCUCCUACAGACAAGAUUCAGCUCUCAAAUAUCCAGAAAUCAGUAAAAGCACAGUAGAUCCAAUUAAGUAAGCUUACCUCAUUAGCCACCCUUUCAGAGUCAAGCCGAGCAUUAAGAGAGGAAUUCGAAGAAUUUGCGUCGUCUAAAGAAGCAGAAACCCAGGCCAGGUCGAUCUGACCUUGGGAAUACUUCUCCUCAAGCUCAGAAUACCACUGGGUUGAGUCGGUUUGAUACUGAAGAUGUUUCUCCUCGAGCUUAGAGUACCUCCGGGUCAUAUCUGACAAAAAACAACCGAAUAAAGAUACACGGUCAAAAAACAAAAUAAUCAAUCAGCCAAGAAAGAAGCAAAGGUACCAACCAGCAUUUGUCACUUUCAAAUCAGCUAUCUGUUUCUGAAGCAGCAAUGGAUUCCACUGCGUCAAAGACAGAGCUCCUUCUGGGAUAGCAGCGCCAUGUGAUCUCAAUUGAGCAGACAUCCCAUCAACCAAAGCCUGUUAUUAAAAACAAGUGAGUACGAAGAAAGUAAUUUACCAGGAGGAAUGACAUAAUGAAAAAAGCUAGUUUACCUGAAGAUUAGAAAAGAAUGAAGGCAAUCCCAAGUCAUGAGAAGUUGUGUUAUAACUCAACGAAGGAAGAUCAACUCGAACAAUCUAAAAAGCAUCGUCGGGGGUUGAUUCAGCUCCACCAGCAGAUAUCUGAAUCCUAUCUUCCGGUGCGCCGACCUCUAAGGCGACUCCCUCACUUGAAGCUAAAGAAGUAUGCAUCGCUAUCACUCCAUCAGAAUGUGGUGGAGAUGACCCGACGUGGACAUCCAUGGAGGUAUGGGAAGGAGAGCUCGCUCGGACACCCUCGGGGGCUGGGUUGCAGCACGCACUGCCCAUCGGAGCCGGAUCACUACCGGCAACACCCUCGUGGGAUGGGUUACAGCUUGCGAUACCCACCCGAGCUGGAUCAUUACUGGCAACACCCCCGGGGGCUGGGUAAUCACCAGCAUCACCCUUGGGGCUGGGUUUUCUACAACAGCCACCUCUACGGCUGAAGGAUCCUCAGUCACCUCCACGGGAGUCGGGCAAUAUGGACCAACCUCUUGACAUUGAAGACCGCCUCCCAAGGUCAACGAUGCGCGAGAUGCUGCCCGAGAUGCCUCUAAUCCCACAUCUGGAAUGUCAGAGCAAACAUCCAUCAUAUCACCAUCAGUCGACUCUGACAGCAUAUCCUCAGGAAAUGACAUCCUCAAGGGCCUGACCAAAAUCUGUUAUGGAUAAUUCUUGCAGGCUAACAAGAGCAGACAGAGCUGGAGAAGGAAUAUCACUAUCCCCUCUACUACCUCUGUAACGCCGGCUAUUCUUGCGAAUUAGUGGGACUUUUUCUUCUUCUUCGUCCCCAUCAAAAAUGCGGACAAAGGAUGGUGCAGGAUCACACCCAUUGGGCUCAGCUGCAACAGGAUCACACCCAUUGGGCUCAGCUGCAAUAGGAUUACACCCAUUGGGGUCAGCUUCAGCAGGGUCACACCCAUUGGGGUCAGUUGGUGCACGGUCACACCCAUUGAGGUCAACUUCAGUAGUUACACCACCAGUGGGAUCAACUCCAGUAAAGACCUCUGCUGGUACUUCUUCACAAGCAGGAGCAGAAGGUCCAGCAUCCUGGUCCAAACAUGACAACCGCCGGAGCCGUCUCUUUUUCUUCCUCUUCCCUUCAGCAGGUGCAGUUGGGCGGCUGACAUGGCGAAGACGAUUUGGGCGAGUACCAUCAGGCUUUCGGGUGUCCACUAUUCUGUCAAGCUCUGGUAUAACUGCAACAGCCAUUGUUUCAGCAGGAGCCGAGUCAGAAGAUUCUCCAGCCAACAUAUCGAGCACAACAUUCAUCUCUGCAUCAUCCGGACUCGCUGGCAUCUCAAAAUGAACUUGCCUCUCAUCAUUGGGAAGAUCACAAAGAGAAGUAACCUAGGCCUCAAUAUCUUCGGGAGAGGGUCGCACUCUAAGACCCAGACCACUAUCACCAGUAGGAGGAUUAGACACAAAAUUGAAAAAGGACUUAGGAGGUGGUAGAUUCCAAGCAGAGUAGGAAACAAGAGCACCAACAUUUGAUACUUUGCCUCUCAAGAUCAUGUCUAGCCGGCUCACCAAAUCCUUAGCAGGAAUUCUCCUAUUAGUAACCCGAGUGGAGUCAAUAACACCAUUGUACAAGUAAGUCGGGUAUGCUCUGUCUUUCAGGGGCUGGAUGUUCUUAAAAACAAAAUCAACAACCACAGCUUCGGCGGUCAGACCUCUUUCCUUCAGCAGACAGACUUCAGCAAGCAUAACCUUAGCCUCUGUUACUUCCAAGGCAGUAGGAGACUCAAUCCAACUUGGAGUGCGCACAUCUGGUUGUCUUCUCGACCGAGGGGGGAGGGACUUGCCGUGGUUUUCCACAAUAAACCACUCAAGACGCCACCCCUUAAUGUUGUCCUUAAGCGGAAUAUCAAGAUAUUCCGUUUUCCUUCCGCGCCUCAUUUCCAGACUCGCACCACCCAUGAGUUGGUGCUGACCCCCAGCAAUCCUAGGUCGAUAGUGGUACAGAUACUUCCAUAAACCAAAGUGGGGAAGAACUCCGAGGUAGGCUUCACACAGAUGAACAAAUAUAGAGAUUUGCAUAAUGGAAUUGGGAUUCAGAUGAGUUAGGUUCAGAUUGUAAAAGUCAAGGAGACCGCGGAAGAAGGGAGAAAUGGGAAGAGCAAGGCCGCGGAUAAGAAAAGGAACAUAAACAACGGACUCGUGGAUAUCCUCUGUUGGGACAGUAACCCACGAUAAAUCCGCCAAGAACAAAGCUCUUUCAGAGGAAGAAUUCCAACAUCGACAAGGUGAAGGAGAUCCGAUUCCGAGACAACAGACAUGUGGUUACCUGCGAAAGGCAACUGGCUGUUGGGGUCGAUGGGAGGAAUGACCACCGCAGCAGAACUUUGGUUCUUCCGCUUGGGCGCCAUCACAAUCUCGUCAACGGAUUGAAAGGAAGCGAAAUCAGAGGGAAAGAAGAGUAAUGUUUGGAGGAAGGUGAAGUUAGGGCUCAGAAUGCAGAGGCGUGCGACGACGUGAUAUAAAUGGGGUUUUCCUGGGUCAGACACUGUUUCUAAAAAGUGCUAAGUCAUCACUCGGAAAAAGCAAGACGCUCUGGCAUAACUCGGCAGCUACUUCUAAAGCACCGACGUGGCCCAACAUGACUCGGCAGCUACCUCUAAAGCAUCGAUGUGGCCCAGCAUGGCUCGGUAGCUACCUCUAAAGCAUCAACGUGGCCCAGCAUAACUCGACAGCUACCUCUAAAGCGCCGACGUGGCCCAGCAUAACUCGGCGGUUACCUCUAAAGCGCCGAUGUGGCCCAACAUAACUCGGCUGUUACUUCUAAAACGCCGACAUGGUCCAGAGAAGCUCAGCGGUUAUUUCUAAAAAAACACAGGCAAUGCAUAAUUCAGCCGUUUUCUCCAUGUAAACGCCAGCAGAACCAAAUACGACUCAACAAUUACCAGUCAUUACUCGGGCGUUAUCUCUAAGAACAACGGCAACGCUGGGAAUGAAUACAAGCUAUCGAUUGACUAUAAAAGAACGAUGGAAAAGCAAAAAGGAGAGACUCAGAACAAGCCGAAAUUUUCUUCAAUAUAUUGAUAAGGGAAGUUCUUCCACAAACUCAAAGGCCAACUCAUUAUGAGCCGGCCUUCCUUCCCUUUUUUGCUACAUUAUACUACUACACCACCACCCUACUUACACUACUCUAUACUACUAACUACUACUACAUUAUUUCACUAUUACUAAUACUACUUCUACUGCUACUUAUCUAUACUAAUAUUUAAGCCGGUGGUGCUUUGCCACUGGCCCUGCCGCUGCCGCCGUCGCCCUUGUUGUCGCUGUCGCCCUCAUCGUCGUCGUCAUCACCGCUCCCCUCCUCGGAGGAGUCGAAGGAGUCCUCCUCGUCCGAGGAGAUCUCCGACUCAUCCGAGCCCUCGAGCCCAGAGUGCUCGACGGCCCAGAUAUACGUCCACACCUUGGCGGCGAUCCCUUGGGAAUCGUCCAAGUCAUCGGAUGACACCGGGGGCGAGGCGUAGGCUGGCGACCCCUCGGACUCGGAGGAGAACUCCUCCUCCGAGUACUCGGAGUCACUAAAGUCCUCGGAGGGGGGACUCAACUCGCGCUUCCUCUUGUCGCCGGAGUGGUGCGACAAACUUCCGCCUUUCUUGCUCUUUCCCAUGGUUGAUUUGAAGAGAAGAGAAAAGAGGAGAAUAAGCAACAUGCGGCCGAGAGAUAUGUGAAGACACCAGUGAAGCAAGCGCUCUAUUUAUAGGGGCGGGAGGCAACUGCUCAUCUCAUACCAUGGUCACUGAACAGUCGCAAAUAUUCAAUAUGCAAUUCAAAUCGUCUGGAAACAAGUCAGGCGGCAGACACCGUUUCACGUAACACGACACCCAUUGGGACUGAAGUCAACUGCUUGGACGAUAUGAUUACAUCCGUGGUCACGUCAAGUUACUACUCAGGGGAAGUUUGCUAAACGCUCAGCACACCAAGCCGUCCCUUGGCUACAUCCAUUGGGGAGGGGGAUGUCCAGGAAUUUUCAAUAGAUUUUCCCAAGCAGUCACAUCCAUACAGUAUACGCAAUGAAUGUAUCAAGACAGAAGGAAGAUAUCGAUAGAGAUUGGAGGAAAGCCAAAAAUAGCUGGUGAAGUACAAGUCUAAUCAACAUAAGCAUUGAAGCACGAAGCGAAAUGAAGACUAAUCUGUCGGACGUCUACCGAACGUCCAAUCUGUCACAGAUCAAAUUAAAUUCAAACCUAACAGGACAUGGGUAGACCGCGUUGUUGAUCUCAAAGGCAAAACUGUAUGCUGAUCUCUAAAGCAUAAAGUUGAUGGUAUAAUGCUGAAUUCUAAGGCAUUCGACGAAGAUAAAAGGAUGAUUUCUAAAAGCACGGGAUGAAGACCUUUGAGUGGAUUAUUUUCAGUAAUCCACUCAAAGCUCGGGGGCUACACCCAUUGGGUGCACCUCUGGUGCACCCAAUGAAUCAUUAACCACAAAAGACAGAAUGCUGAUCUCUAAAGCAUGAACUAACGAUAAAAUGUUGAUUUCCAAAGCAUGAGAUGAAGAUAAAACAAUGUUGAUUUCUAAAGCAUGAGAUGAAGAUAAAACAAUGAUUUCUAAAAAAGCGUGAGAUGAAGACCUUUGAGUGGAUUAUUUUCAGUAAUCCACUCAAAGCUCGGGGGCUACACCCAUUGGGUGCACCUCCGGUGCACCCAAUGAAUCCUGAACCCCAGAGAACAGAAUGCUGACCUCCAAAGCAUAAGCCAGAGACAGAGGACCGAAUCUGAAGAAUAAAGCGAAGACCGAUGAAUAAUGGCAGGAGAGGAUAACAGAAGAUCGUUUUUACCGAGUUACUCAGAGUUUAGAAGCAAUAACUCGACAGGCCUAUUUUCAGAGCAUUCCUUACCAAAAUCAAAAACUGCAAGUUGGACCUAGAAUCUUUGGGCCGAUUAUUUCAAAAUCAACUCAAAGACUGGGGGCUUGUGGGGGACAGAUAUCCCCUAGGUCCACUAGAAGGCAAGAAGGCCUCGCGAAAGGCCUCAGGCCCAUUAUUUCGCAAGGCCAUCCCUUCGUGGGCAAGGGGAGGAAUGUCUAGAAGAAUGGAUCAACAUGAGAUCGGAUCGGCUCGAGCCCGUGCAGCUCACUGAAUUCAAACGUUAUCCACAACAGUGAUCCGAUUCUCCCGCGCAGCGCCCUCAGACGACGGAACUGAAUGAUGAUAAGUCGGCAGGAUUAUAGGAAGAUAAGCUCAGUCGGUUCACUAUUACUUAGGCGCACGUUGUUAUCAUAUCCACAUGUAACGCCCCACGUUCGAGUAUAUAAGGCCUAGGGGGCACCCCAUCAAACAACAACUCACUCAUUAGCCGUCUACUCAGCUGUCUAGUAUCCCUCAUACUAGAGAACUCCCCUAUAACCCACCACAUAAAAGAUCCACACCAGGAAGUAGGGUGUUACGCCUCUCUAAGCGGCCCGAACCUGUAUAAAAUUGUCCACUGUCUUUCGUGCAUCUAGCACGAACCAUCGAGCUACAGUCGGUAACACCGUCCUACUCCAAAAAGCACCUCGAGGGGCAACCCCCAGGUGCGCGGUCGGACCCAAAACACCGACACAUGCCCUUAAAAUAUGGUGUCAUUAUCUACUGGGAAAUAUCUGCCAUAUAUAUACAGAUCAUAAAAGUUUGAAGUAUAUUUUUACCUAGUUAGAACUAAAUAUGAGGCAAAGGAGAUGGCUUGAGCUGAUUAAGGAUUAUGAAUUAGAAAUUCACUAUCACCCAGGCAAGGCCAACAUGGUGGCAGAUGCACUAAGUCGCAAGGCUUCUUGCCAUUGUCUUACAGUAAAGACUUCUAACAUCACAUUAUGUCAAGAAAUGGAGAAAUUAAACCUAGGAUUGAUUCAACAUGGAACCUUAAACCAAUUAAAGCUUGAGUCGGUUCUUCUGCAAAAGGUUAUUGAUGCACAAAGAAGUGAUAAGGGUAUGAAACACAUUCAUGAGAGAAUAAAGGCUGGUAAAGCAAACUGUUUCAGAAAAGAUGAUCAAGGCAUUGUAUGGUUUAAUAACCGCACAGUUGUGCCUAAAGAUGAUGAUGUCCGCCAUCAAAUUUUAGAUGAAGCACAUCUUAGCCGAUAUUCUAUUCAUCCCGGAAGCACUAAGAUGUAUCAUGAUUUAAAGCAACAUUAUUGGUGGAUAAAGAUGAAGAUCGAAAUUGCAGGCUAUGUGGCAAAGCGUGACACCUGUAGACGUGUCAAAGCCAUACACAUGAAAACUUCUGGUCCAUUGCAAUCCUUGCCCAUCCCGACUUGGAAAUGGGAGGACAUUAGCAAGGACUUCAUUGUGGGAUUACCCAGGACAGCAAAGGGUUUUGACUCCAUUUGGGUUAUAAUUGAUCGGCUUACGAAAAUAGCUCAUUUUCUGCGAGUCAAGACGUACUACCCGGUCAUCACUUAUGCCCAGAUAUAUAUUGCUCGUAUUCUCAGUCUGCACGGGAUUCCAAAAACUAUAGUGUUGGACCGCGGACCACAAUUUGUAUCCAAAUUCUGGGAAGAACUCCACAAAUUUCUGGGUACUAAGUUGCUUCACAGUUCGGCCUAUCAUCCUCAAACCAGUGGGCAGACAGAGAGAGUGAACCAAAUACUUGAAUACAUGUUACGGGCAUGCGUUCUGGAAUACCCACAGAAAUGGGAUGAAUGUUUACCGUUGGCAGAAUUCUCAUACAACAAUAAUUAUCAAGAAAGUAUCAAGAUGGCACCUUUUGAAGCUUUAAAUGGACGACGGUGCCGUACUCUAUUGAAUUGGUCUGAACCAGGAGAAAGAUGGUUUUUCAGGCCUGGUAUGGUUAAUGAAAUGGAAGAAAAAGUUCAACGAAUACAAAAUUUGAAGGAAGAACAAUCUCGACAAAAGAGAUAUGCAGACAAACGACGACAACCCCUAUACUUUCAAGUUGAAGAUUAUGUUUACCUGAAAGUAUCGCCAAUGAAGGGUGUAUCUCAUUUCGGUGUAAAGGGAAAGCUUGCACCCCGGUACAUUGGUCCGUUCCCCAUUCUUGAACAAUGUGGACCAGUAGCAUACCGACCCCAACUACCCAAAACAUUGUCUGCAGUGCACAAUGUGUUCCACGUGUUCCAAUUGAAGAAGUGUCUUCGGGUUCCAGAUCGAACCAUUUAAGUGACAGAUGUUACCUUGGAACCAGACUUAACAUAUUCAGAACAUCCUAUUUGAGUCCUGGAUCAAAAGGACAGGGUUACCCGAAGAAGAACUCUCAAAUUUUAUAAGAUACAAUGGAACCAAUACACGGAAGAUGAAGCUACAUGGGAAACCCAAGACUUUUUAGAAAAGAAUUUCCUAGGCUUUUUAGCUUCAUGUAAAUUGUGAGAUAUGUACAAUUGCUGUAAUAGAGGAGUAAACCCCAUACCACCCCUUGCCUUGUACAACAAAUAAGGAAAUAAAAAUAUGACGCGUUUCCUUUUCCACUACUUGCCCUAGGACUUUGGCCCUGUUUGGCACAACUUAUUUUCAGCUUCUUCACAAAUUUAAGCAGAAGUUCUGCCAAACAGACAGCUUCUGCAUCAGCUUAUCAUUUCAGCUGCUUCUCAAAAUGAACUAAAUGCAGCCAACAAGCAGAAGCUGCUUUUUACCAGCUUAUCAGAUAAGCUGCUUUUUCAACAAGCAGUAGUUGUGCCAAACAGGGCCUUUAAAUCUCGGGACGAGAUUCUUUUAUGGGGGGAAGGAUGUAACACCCCUGGUGUUACUAUCACUAAAACUUGAGCAUAACAUCAUGAGCAUUAGCAUAUCAUGUGUUUGUCACACCUAGAGUGCAUUCAUUAGGUAAAAAGUUCAAAAAUGUUGGACUAAUAUUACUUGAUGUGUGGUGAAACCCUAGGGUAGGGUACUUAACCCUAAACUAGGCUUAUGAGGGACAAUGAAGCCCAAACAAGUUAAAAUCUCAAAACUUAUUAGAAAUGAACAUAAGAUGUCACAUUUAAUGAACUUUGAUAGCACCAAAACCCUAAAUAGGUCAAAACCCUAAAAAUACCCCUCGAAAACCCUAAAUUGAAACCCUAGGGGGCUAAGUGUAAAAUUUGUACCUUUUGGACUCAAGUGCAAAAACCAAGGUAUUAGGGCACCUCAAAUCAUAUGGUUCACACCCUUGUGGAUUUGCAAAUCAAAUUGUGGAAAUUGGACCUAUUUGCAAAAAGGUUCCCUAGGAAUCAUAUGUGGCUAAGUAUGAAAACCAAUGCAUAGAGCCAACUUUGGAAACCUGUAUCUGUCAGUUUAUGAGGAAUUUGCCCUAAAUCAACACAUGAAAAGUCUAGAGCUACUAUAGGAGCACAACUUUGCUUAAGUGAUUAAGCAUUGUUGAUAUACAAAAACUGGGGAUAACUAGCCCUAAAGUCUGGCUGUCAGACCACCCUGAGACUGAAUACUGACUGGCAGUUAGUUCUGACGAACUUUGGGCUCGAUUCUUGCUCAAGGGGUUAAGAAAAGGAGCAAGAUCACUAUAGCAGAAUUGUAGCUGGUAUAUAGAGCUACAAGUUUGUUACAGAUGGAUUAGCAAGUUCUCAUACAAAAAUCCGAGAUCUAGGCACUGCAAUUCUGGCUGUUAGGUGUUCUGAAUAAGCAAUCCGAUGGUACGGUGCUAUACAAAUAUCCUAGGUUCAGAGAACCUCGCCGCCGGUGAGCCGUGCGCCCGGAUUCGUGCCAGCCGCUAUGAUUCGUGCCCAGCGCAAGUGGAUAACGGUAAGUAGUAAAAAUCUUGGCGCUCGGAUUAGCUCGGGCUCGCUCAUCGUUGUGCCCGCCGUACCCACUUGGACCACGGCUGGCCGGGAUCGUCCUCGCCGGCGUUAGUCGCUUAAUGAUCGUGCUCCACGCGUCUUGUAAGUCUAUCACGUCGCAAUGAAUCGGUGUUACAAGCCUAUCCAUCGCCUGAGAACUGGCCACGGUGAAAGCCACGAAUUCAUUGCGCCAGUAACCUCCCCUCUCCCCGGUCGCCAGCGCUUCUCCUCCAAAUUAAGCACCACCACCGUUGAGUGCUAUAAACUGAAGCCUCAGGGAGCUCCGCUAGGUAAUUAUGCGUCCAACGCACUAGCACUUGCCUCCAAUUGUCUACCAGAGCCGCCUAAUUGCCCAUUUCCCCCAAAUCGGUAAAAAUACCACCGUGUGAGGACCUUGCCGUGGCCAGUGUGCUACAGGUCCGUUCAUGUCCUCUGCUCUCUUUGUUUCAGUACCCUUAUGUGCCCCUGAUGCUUCUCGACCCGACUAAUUAAGCUAGAACCCAUUAGAUCACCGGGAACACUUUGAAUUGUCCCCGAAUUGCGUGGUCACCGUGAGCAGAGAAGUUGGGAGCUCGAACCGUGCAAUUGAUCGAGGGGAAACGAUUGUUAGAUGUUGAAUUAGGUAUCAACCAAGUUAGAGCACCGGCCAUUGCGUGACUUGGCCAGUACAGGCUCGCCGGAGCUCGGUCUGCCGCCGUUCUGCAUCGUGGACUUGGCGCGGUGAAGAAAUAGAAAUAUAGGGGGGGUUUUGUGAGUUGUCAGUGACUCAGGGAAUAGUACUUUAGACUCUUUUCAAGUUGUUUAAAAUGCUAGGGGCCUUUGUGUAAAGUUAUCAGCACGGGCGCGCGUGGGGCAUUUUGCCUAUCAUGGGCUAUCUUGGGCCAGAAUGAGCCCAAUACUGUUGACCCUUUCUCGUUUUCUUUUUCUCUCAGAAUUAGAGAAUUCUUAGAAAAUUGUAGAAAAAUGCUAAAAAUACAAGACCAAUUUUGUUACUCCUAAAUUUCUAUAUUAUUUAAUAAAAAUGGUUUCAGGAUUUUUAGUCCAAACUAGGAAUUAUGAAGUAUUUAAAAUAGCUAAAACCUAUACUCCUAGAAUUUUAGAAAUUACUUAGUAACUCCAAAAAUCACCAAAAACAUAUUGGAUAAGCCUAAAAUGGUAUUUAGAAACCUUGGGUGAAGUUUGACUUGAUUUUGACAAUGUUUGAUACCUAAACCCCAAAACCCUAAUCUUCUAAGUAGUGCCUGCCCUAUGGAAUAAAACACUGACUCCAAAAACCCUAGUUUCCUAGAGUACCAUGAAGGAAAAUUGUAUUCAAGACCUAAUAUGAUGUACCUUUAUUAUCUUUGCAUUUCCAUAAGCAUUACAUGAGCAUUCAUGGUUAUAUAUAUAUAGAACCAAGAAGAAGUAGUGGUUGAAGAAGGAGUUGCACCACCACCACAUGCCGGGAACUGCUUUUACUUUGAUAUUUGUGGAGCAGAGCCCGACUCUCCUAUAACACAAGGCAAGCCCCGGUGCAUUUGCCACCUCCUUGCUAUUUUAAAAUCUUUCUCACUUGCUUGAUGCAUUAAGUGAUAGGAGUUGUGUGCUAAACAAAUUGAUGCAUUUCCUUCCUUGGAAGUUUGAUUACCUUUCCUGGAUCACCUGUUUUAUGAAAGGAUUUUUCUUAUGCUUAGUCUUGCUCUAGAAAAACAAAAUGUUUUGUUUUAACAAAAUAUGAUGCUUCAAGUGGGAUGGGAUAUUUUCAAAAAUAAAACUUGAUGGUGGAUCCAUCAUGGCCAUGAUGGGUUCAAUGUCGGAAAAGAUGUACCUCUGUUCGGUACCAAACUUUGGGAUGAAAUGAUAAAGUUGAGAUCGGGCGGGUGACUUGCACGAGAAGAGAGUCUCAGUGUAGUGUCUCCGUCUGUGUUGAUUAAGGACCUUGUAAAUGUAGGCUUGAUGAUUGAGGACCUUUUAACUGGUCACAUGCCUCAUCAUGGGUAAGCUUUGCCUCGGGCAGACUAAUACCAGAAUAAGAUAACGCGCAAUGGGAGUGGAGAGAUGGCGAGAGUAGCGUGUACCCUCCGUGGCAAGAGGCUGGACGGUGGUGUAUCUGUGCUCUCGGUUGGCGUGAACCUAAUCUAGUCUUAAGAACCCCAGUGGCGAGUUGACAUAUGCAAGGGUUAAGUGCUACAUAUGUCGUGUGAUUGGAGAUCCCCAGCUGGGUAUUAAUCGAUUCGGAUCGCCGUUACUUCUCGGACAUGAAGACUUGGUCACUGACCUACACGUAGAAUUCUAGUGAACAAGAAGGGUUAAUAAGAACAUGGCUAGUAUAUGCCAAGUGCUUGAACUAGGGUAGAAAGAACUCUAGAUUCAGGUAAUGACUUAACUUGCUAAUAAAACUGGAUUUUUAAGGAUCCACUAUUAGUAAGCAUUUGUGCAAACAGAGUCUUGAUUCUUGAUUAAGCCUUACAUUGACUCCCUCAAGCCAGCAUAUCCUUGAGAGUCUUUUAUUUUAACGGGUUAGACUUGCGAAAGUACACUUCGUACUCAGGGUUUUCAAACCCAUGUUGUUGUAGGUGAGGAAGCAGCAAACUUUUGUUGCUUUUGCUCUAAGGUGGUGCCAAAGGAAGAAUCUCAAGAAUGAAGCCUCGGGAGGAUGUUGUCCUCCUUAAAAACUUUAUACUUUUAUGCGGGAGGGGUUUUUGCCUCUCGAGUUUGUAAUAAUAAUACUUCUGCACUCAUAUAUAUUACUGGUAUGUAAUAAUAACACUCUUCUAUAUUUUAAUGUAAAUUAAGUUAUUGUAAUUGCUUCUGUUAUUCGUUCCUCUGAUGUGUUGUAAUAUCUGCGUGACGGGUGAAACAUUCUUGGGAAAGGCAAAGAAUGCAGAUACCGAACUUGUCAAGCAAUCAGGUGCAUCUGCAGGAUUGUCUAAGGUCCGAUGGACAAGGACAACUGUAGGUGGGCCUAAUGACUUGGGAGGUUCCAUCACAUUGCCCUAAUCUUUUGGAUGUCUUUACAUAGACUCCAUGUCAUUGGGGUUGUGAACCUGAGAACUAGAUGGACCUAAUGGGGGAGUACUAUAGGAUUAGGCCACCUGAGGAUGCUGAGGCUGAUAGGUCCAAGUAAGUACAACAUAAAUCAAGUAUGUUCCAUUAUUAUAAAACAUUAUUUGUUCUCAUGUUGUUUUUGUUCUUUCACAGGAGAACAUUAGGGGUUCCCUCUAGUCAGAUCUGUUGCCACUUAGGUAUCUAUUCACUAGGUGCUACAAAGUUGAGGUCAAGAGGCACAUUAUAGUGUGGCUCUGGCACUUUGUAGCUACUUUCCUAUUCCCCAACGCUUCUGGCAACAAUAUCAAUUGGGCGAUGCUACAGAUCCUUAAUAAGGAGAGGGAGAACAUAAGUCAGUUUAGCUAGGGCACCAUAGAUCUAUCUUGGAUGUAGCAACAUCUCGUAUAGCCUACCAUCGUGAUGUCUCAAACAUGAGCUUAUGUGGUUGUUCUUACCUGGUUUAGUUUUCAUGUUUGGAUCAUUGGCCCAUUAGGAGACCUAACCUUUGUGGUUUUUCUAUAAGUCAUUUGCAAUGUCACUAUGUUUCAAUCACUUACAUCAUUUGGUUAUACAAACUAACACGUGUGUGUUACUUGCAGACCUAUAAUCACCAAGAUGGGACUUGUUCGAUUUGCCUGUACCAUGAAAAGAGGUAAAAAAUAUGAAAGACAACCUACAAAGAUGUUUAUGUAGUAUAUGGACCUCCUCGAUGUCCUAGCACAAUGCAAGGUUAGCAACUUGUGUUAUCAUCACCGUUGGCAUGUUUGUUUUCUCGAGAAUCUAACAGUUAUAUGUCACUGGUAGGUUACUUGGAUGCCUUGGGCAUAGUAGGAUCUAGACUCUUAUAGUCUAAUCAUGAUAGUGGCAUAUGGAGCAUAUAUGUGCCAUUUAUCUUCUUCCACGUGGUGGAGGUCUACUACCUUUGCAUGGUGUGUAGGUAGUUAAGAAGGUUUCAAUCGAACCCACCGAUGGACUACUACAUGAGCUAGACGUGGCACAAGUUAGUUAAAUAGUUCUUAAUUUGUUACAACUUGUGAAUGAAAUGUAUGGACAAUUCAAAUUAUUAAUAUAGAAAUUCUAGAUUUGAUUAGAGAAACAGGUACAAGAUGAAGGAUUGGCAUGUCGCACACCAUGAUGUUGUAGAUGUGGAACCAUAGGGAGCAUAGGGACCCAUGAGCGAUCCACCACAUGACUAACACAGGUGGUUUGGAAGAGUAAGAAGAAGAUGACGUGGAGGUGGAAGGUGGUGUUAUGGGAAUGAGAACAUCAGAUGUGGAUGUAGAAGAUGAUGGUUCAGAUGCUGGAAUGGAAGGAAGAUACAGGAAAGAAGUAGAUUCUGUGGGAUAAUAUGAGGAGUGAGUAGACUAGUUGUGAAAGAAGGGGCGAUUUUCAUUGAAACUCACAUCUCUAGAAAUUCGAAUACGACGAGUAGAAGGAUCAUAAAAACGAUAGCCUUUGUGUUCAGGACUGUAUCCAAGGAAUACACACUCUACAGAUUGAGCAGUCAAUUUGGUCCGCUCACGUGGUGGUAACAAGACAUAACAUAUACAUCCAAACACACGAAGAUGAUCAUGUCGUGGAGGAGUCCCAAAAAGAACUUCACUCGGGGAUUUGCCCAAAAGUUUAGAUGAUGGAUGUCUAUUAAUGAGAUACACAACAGUGGAAACAGCUUCACUCCAAAAGCAUGAAGGAACAAAAGAAGAUAUCAAAAUAGUACGAGCACUCUCAAUAAUAUGACGGUGUUUGCGUUCAGCAACACCAUUUUGGGCAUGAGCACCAAGACAAGAAAGUUGAGCUAGAGUACCCUCUAAGGUCAAUAUCUGGCAGAAAUUGUCAGAUAAAAAUUCACGACCAGAAUCUGAACGAAAUAUUUUAAUAGUAGCAGAAAACUGGGUGCGAACCAUGCGAGUAAAGGACUUGUAAAUAGAAGGCAAUUCCGAGUGGCGUUUCAUGAAGUAAAUCCAAGUAUAACGAGAAUGAUAAUAAAUAAAAAUGACAUAAUAUUUAUGACCACCUUUGGAAACAAACGGAGCUGGACCCCAAACAUCAGAGUGAAUUAGAUCAAAAGUUUAGCAGAAUGGGAAUCACUAGUAAAAUAUGGAAGUUGUAUUUGUUUUCCAAGAUGACAACCUUUACAAUGAAAACUAGACUCAACAUGUGUAGGGCCUAAACAUCCUGACUUUAUUAGAGUGGAUAGACGAGAUCCACAUAAGUGACCUAGACGAUGAUGCCACUGGGCAAACGACAUCGACCGAAGCAGCAAGCACAUGAGGUGUAGAGGCAUGGUAUGAAGGAAGACGCAAGGUGUCCAAGAUGUAGAGGCGAGGCAAAGAUUGACGGCAACGGCCAGUCCCAAUCACAUCCCAUGUGUGUUGAUCCUGUAUAAAACAAGAUGAGUCAUCAAAUCCAACAAAGCAAUUGUGAUCGGUAAUUUGGCCAACUGAUAGCAGAUCCAUGGAUAAUUCAGGUACAAAGAAAAUAUUUGGGACAAUAAAAUUAGAAUUGGAAAGAGAACCCUUGUGGGUGACAUGACAUAAUGUACCUUCAGCAGUCUGAACAGAAGUACCCUCAGUGACAGGUGUAGUAGAUGCCAGCCGUGACUGAUCAGAUGUCACAUGAAAUGAAACUCCAGAGUCAAGAACCCAAGAGGAUGACAAAGCACCAACAAAUGAAGUAGCAGCAACGACAACUGAGUCUCUAGGAGAUGGUCCUGUAUCACAACCUCGAAUAGCACGACAGACACGAAAAUCAGCUAGCUUCUCUGGAAACUUAGCAAAGCAGUUCUCAGACCGAUGAGUGGUCAUUUUACAAUGCUCACAAGGCUGAAAAGAGGUGUUCCUGGACUUCUAAGUAAUGGCCAAUACACUGUGAGAACUCACACCAGUAAUAGAAGACAUCGACUUCAGACGAGUCUCUUCAGCAAGUAAAUCAGACAACGCCUGAGCCAUGGUGAGAGUAUCAGAACUGUGAAGUAACCUUGCAUGAAGAGAAUCAAAUUCAGGUCGAACGCCCAUAACAAAUCUGUAGGUAAAGAACUUCUCAAUGAACUUAUGGGUUGGGCAAGGCACAGUUGUACAAUCAGGCAACAUGGAGGUCAAUGCACUCAUAAGAUGAUCAAAGGCUAAAUAGUAUUCAUCAAUGGAGAUAUCAUGUUGCUCAAUGACAUGAGUCUACUGCAUAAGGGUAUGUAAAAGAGCACCACUAUCCUGAACAAACCGAUCCUUCAGAUGUGACCAGAUAGCCUUAGUAGUGGUGAAUUUGGAUAGACUCAUAAUCAUAGUUGGUUUAGUGCUAUUGACCAUUGCAUCCAUUACCUUGCCAUCAUUGAUCUACCAAGUCUUGAUUGCAGCAGCAUUGCUUCUAUCAGCUGCUAAAACUAGAGAAUCUUCAGUCAAAUGAAAUAGUAAACCGUGACCUCUUAAUGCAGUCAGAACACAAAAGGCCCAUUAUGGGUAAUUCUGCCCAUCAAGCACAAUAUUGACAACAAUAGCGUUGAUCGACAUAUUGAAGAGCAACAAAAUGCUAAAGAAUAAUAGAUCUGAAAAAUACUGGCUUGAUGGUACCAAAAACCCUAGCGGGUGUAGUGGAUGAACAGUGGAUACGCCAGCUACAGUCUUUUUCAGAUGGCAGGGCACGACACCGGGCAGGGACGGAGCACUGGCGCGCACGCAAAAGAAUCGCACGGACGAUGAAGAUGGCAGGACGGAGCACCGGCUGUUGACACCUUUACGGGCGCCAAUCACUAUAACAAGAACCGGCGGCGGUGUUCUUAGCACAGGCGCGGACGGUUCACGGCCAGGGGCCGGACGGUCCACGACUUGGCGCAGGGCUAGGGUUCCCUGCCUGACGUGCCGGACGAUCCGCGCCCUGGGGCCAGACGGUCCGCACGUGCAUAGGGGCGGCGAAGGUCACCGACGGCGCCUGGAUCUCGCUCCCGGGUGGGACCCCGUCAGGGAGGAUAGAUCCUAGGUGUUGUCUAGGCUUGGCAGGCCGACCUAGACUCCUCUGAUCAACGUAGAGUCGAGGAGAAGCGGAGGAUUUGGGGAUUGGGAGACUAAAAUAUAACUAGACUAGAACUACGCCUAAAUGUACAAGAAAUAAAUGUGAGAUAAAUUGAUUAUUGAUUCGAUUGAUGAUGCUUAAUCGGUCGUAUUCCUCUUUAUUUAUAGAGGAGGCGGGCUGGACCCAUUACAAACAAAUCUCCUGAGUUAAUUCCGUGAAUCUAGCCAACAACAAUAGCGAGAAACUCGAAACCCUAAUUGGCUCUGCGCACGCGUGGACCAUCCGGAGCACUAGUGCGGACCGUCCAGCCAUCUCUUUUGGGGCUCAACAUAUGCCCCUGCCUUUUAGCGGAGCUGAGCGAACCAAAAGAAACUAACACAAUGUGAUCACAUCGGUUUCCUUAGGCAUCUUGCCACAUACUAGGAUGAUACUGCUUGAGGAAACGCCCGUUUAAAGCCUUGGGCCAGUCUUUGCCUUGUAAUGUUUGCAACAAGUAGGUGUUACUAGACAUCACCUAUGUGACUUUGUAAGGGCCUUCCUAGCUUGGCGACCACUUCCCAAACUUCUGGUCUUUGCUCCUCAGAGGCAAGACAACCUUCCACACCAGAUCCCCUACAUGGAAUGAUUUAGCCUUGACCUUUUGUUGUAAGCUUUGGCGACCAUGAUCUUGUCCUUCUCUAUUUCUCCUAAGGCUGUCAUCCUUUUGUCGGUCACUUCAUCAAUAUUGUCCAUCAUUGAAUUAUAAUAAUCACCGAUAGUCAGAUCAUUUUGCUUGGCGAACCUGACAGCACUCUACAGGUAACACUGCUUCUUGCCCAUAGACAAACUCAAACGGAGAUACUUUAGUAGCACGGUGUUUAGAUAUUCUAUGAGCCCAUAAAGCUUCAGACAAAAUCUUAUGCCAAUGCUUAGGAUGAUCAGACAUCUUCUUUUUUAUCAAGCUAAUCAAUGUCCUAUUACUAGACUCGGGCUGUCCAUUGGCCUGAGCAUAAUACGGAGAUGAAUUGAGUAACUUAAUUCUAUAUAAUUCAGCAAACUCACGUACCUCCUUUGACAUAAAAGAAGCCCCUUGGUCUGUAGUCAAAGUCUGGGGAAUGCCGAAUCUAUGAAUAAUAUGCUCAGUUAUGAACACAAUUACCUCCUUGUGUGUCAUGUUCUUCAGAGCAACGACUUGAGUCCAUUUAGUAAAGUAGUCAGUGGCAACUAACACGAACUGAUGCCCUUUUAACGAUGAAGGAUGAAUUUCUCCAUCCUCUGAAAGGCCAAGGCUUGAUGAUAGGAUAUAAUUCAGCUGCAGGGACCAACUAUAAGUCGCCAAAUUUUUGACAUACUUGGCAACCUUUGUAGUACUUGAAACAAUCAGCUAUCAUGUUAGGCAAAUAGAAGCCAGACCUUUGCAACAACCACUUCAUCUUUGGAGCCGAUUGAUGGGUACCACAAAUCCCUUCAUGUACUUCGGCCAUGGCUAAUAUAGCAUCACCUAGGCCCAAGCAUAGUAGGAUGUCGUUGCCUGUUCGGCGAUAGAGCUCAUCACUCAUUAAAACAUACUUGAAAGUUGUACGCCGAACGUUCCUAUCCAUCCUAACACUAGGAUUUCGUAUAUAAUUAAUUAUGGGUGUCCUCCAAUCGCUUGCUUCAUCUUCAUUACCAGCUGAAUCAAUCAGGAGAACUUUCCUCACAACCCCAAACGGUCCAAAACCCUCAACCGGACGGCCCGUGACCUGGGGAAUUGGCCCUGUAUCGGUUAUCAGAUUUUCGGUGUUGUGAAAUUUCCCUCGUUUUAUCCGAUAACCUGAUGCAUCUUGUGCCAAAUUGUUAGCUCUGUGAUUCUCAACUCUAGAGAUGUACCUGUAGGGGACUUGUUCUCAAAUACUAUGAGUUGAGAACAAGGCAACACAAAAUGUUAAUGGUUAAAGACCUUCGUCCUUCGGAGCAUUAUCUCCCUUAGGAUAUAAUGGUCUUCGGACGAAGGUUAUGAAGGAUGUACCUUCAUCAUCUUAGUAUAUAAUAAAGCAAGUAGAAGCAUAUGAAACAUGGAAAAUAACAUGAAUAACUAUAUGAUAUUAUCAGAACAUUUUUAUUAUCUUAUCAUGAAUAAACAUGAACAGUAUAGAAUUACAUUUAUACCUUCGGCUUGACAGAAGGUAAAAAUCCAAGCAUGACGUGCGAGUGAAUACAGGUCAGCGUGAACAGUACGGUGUCACUGUUCAUCUAUUUAUAGGCACAGGACGCAACUUGUGUAGAAUUACAUUCAUGCCCUUGACAUUUACUAUUGACUUGGGGAUAAUCUAUCGAGGACUAGACAACCUUUUCUCCUUUAAGUCGGUUUCAUUUUCCAUCGCUAAGUCGAAGCUUUUUCACGGGUAGCUUCGGCACUGGUUCAUCCUUCUCCUGAACCGCGCUCUUCAUAUCAUGUACAACUUCAUCCCAUGUCCGAAGGUUCCUGUACAUAUAGUAUACUUGGAAAACAUGUUAGUCGUGUUUUUGAGGACCUUCUGAAGACGAAGGCCCCCAACAGUAGCCCCUCGCAGUAUUAAUUUGUUAUAACAACGGAUAUUUAGACUGCGACAUUAAUGAAGGCCUUAAGCCGAAGGUCCGAAAAACACCUUCCCUUCGCUAGAAAAGCGACAGUCAAUGACAGACGGGGGCCGCCAAGUUGCAAAGCACUAGGCGUAUAAAUAUGAACCCACAACGGCAGCAUUUGGUUUGCUAUUUCUGCUAUUCGCGUUAUUUUCUCAAAUUUCUAGCUCUUGCUCAAUAGUUCUUGCCUGAUUUUCGAGCUUUUAGAGCUUCGGUUUAAAGGCGUGCUUGGUCCAAAUUUGAGGAGAAGAAGAUGAGUGGAGAGAAGAAGAUGACAGAAGAGAAGAAAAUAACCGAGGAGAAGAAGUUAUAUGAAGAGAAGAAAGUUGUGGAUCCUUUCAUCGCUGGGUUUUAUGAGUCCAUGGCAAAAACGAAUACAGAGAAAAUUACUAAGGAGAUCAUGGAGGGUUUGUUCGAAGAUUCUGAUGACAUUGAUAGUUAUGACGUGGAGAGUGGGGAUGAAGAUUCUGAGGAUCGGCCCUGGCGGCCAAGUCAUACUAUCUUCGGAAAGUCGACUAUCAAGUAGAGUCAUAUUGACGCCAUGAGGGGGGAUAUUUUCGCGACAUGUCUAUUGUCAGAGUUGGAGGAGACAACACUGCCCUCGCUCUUGAGGAAAAUAAAGUUGUUAUUUAUCGAAGCUUCCUGAAAGCAGGUCUCCGGUUCCCACUGAGCAAAUUUGUGGUUGAGGUAUUAAAGAUUUUUCAGAUUUUUCUUCAUCAGAUUACCCCCGAAGCUAUAAUUAGGAUGGGGAUGUUUGUCUGGGCUGUAAGAAGCCAGGGGCUAGAGCCGAGAGCGAAGUGCUUCUGCAAUAUGCAUGAGCUUUUAUAUGAGACGAAGGCUAUUGGCAAAGAACAAUACCACAACAACUUCGGCUGCUACGGGUUCAUUGCCCGCUCUAAUGCAAGUUACCCGGUGCCAACAUAUCGGAAAAGAUGGCCCGGGGCCUGGAUGGAGGAGUGGUUUUAUGUUAAAAAUGAUCUGAUUAAAAGAGAAGAUAUCAAGGAAACUAUCCAGCGCCCCAUCUGGUCUCGCUUCGGCCUCCGAAGGCCGAAGGUGGAAAUUGAUGGCGAUGUUGAAGCAUGCCAGAAGACUUUUAGUACUGUUUGCGCCUUCAUUGGCACGAGGGAUUUAAUUCAAGAGCACAUAUCCUUCAGGGUGUGGCCACUUGUGGAGAGCUGGGAUAUGCUGAAGGAAACUACUGCCGACUCCAGUGAAGGUGGCCUGGUUCGAUUGGGAUAUACCUUCAGGUUUAGAGAGAAGUUUGACGAGCCAAAUGAUGACUGGUUGAAAUGUAUUGAAGCUACUAGUAACGAGUUGCUUGGGACAUAUUCCAAAGCCGAAGAUGAUGCCUUGUCCGCAGCCUUCGGGGGUCGGGGCAAGAAAAGAUUGAAUAGGGUAUUUGAUGCGAUUGGCUUCGCAUACCCUGAUUAUCGCUACCCGCUACGAGGUCAAGGAAAAAAGAGAGAAAGAUUGCCACUUCGGCCACCACAGCUAUGCCGAAGGGUAAAAAAGUGAAGGUUCUGACCCACCGGCCACGGUAUAUUGAACCGGUUGUAGUGCCUGAAUUUGGCGAAGGGGCCUCUUCAACUGCCGAAGCAAGACAAGCUGCUCCGAUUGUGCAGAGCGUUGAAGAGCUAAAUGUAGUGCCGAAGGUGCCUACAGUCGGGCCAGCCGAAGCUAAGGAUGAUAAGGCCGAUGUCACACCCGGUUUUGGAAGGUAAACCGAAUGCGAACCAUGUACGUGCCAGGAUCAGAAAUUCAUGUACAUGGCGAUUACAUAAAUGACUCAUCAUAGCACAAUGCUUCGAAUAACAAUAAAGAUAAGUAAUAAUAUGAAAGACUAGAGUCAUUUACAUAAUAUAAUCAAAGUACACAGAACAAAAACGUAGCCAACGUAAAUAAACCCACCACAGGCAGCUGACUGGGGGAGGUCGCUAGCCUAAUCCUUGAACUCGUUGAAGUCCUGGAACUCCUGGAGAUUCGCCUCGAUGCCUUCUUCUUUACCUGAGCAUAGAUUGCACCAAAGGCAACCUGGUGUUUUGUGAAAGCAAGGGUGAGUACACAUCAACGUACUCAGCAAAUGUCCCGUUUGGCUGUAGUGGACUAGCUUUAUUUGGGGUUAAGGUCAAGCAGUUGCUUUUAGUUGGUCAGGUUAUUAUUACUCAUUGAGAGCCAGGUUUUAACAUUAACCCAAGUUAUUAACCCAAAGUACCCUUUCCAAACGAAAAGAACACCACUUACCAUUACCAUAGUCAUAACCAUCAUCCUUGUCACCACCAGUAAACCAACCAUCUCUGAUCAAGUAUCUCUAAUCAAAGAGGAUCCCAAGGCCGCUCAUAACCGUGAGCACGGCUGAUAUAUCAGUUUCUAACCCUCUGCAGAGGUCGCACACUUUACCCACGAGUCAUGAUUCCCUUUCUGCCCGGGGAGAGCUAAUCCCCAUUGACCACUACCUAGGUGGCCUGGCAGGGUAUCACUACGUAGCCUUUACAAAGAUUUCCCAGAGGUCAUAGCCGCCCGUUAGGUUUCUCCAGUUUGAUAAACACAGUACAUCUCCCCAAAGGAAGGGUGACUAACAAAACCAAAUCAAGAACCUCUGCAACCAGCCUCGGCAGAGCAAGUACUGUGCCCGGACCCCAUUGACGGCCCUACGGCGAAGCCAACUACUCCUCUGGUUCCUCUAAUUAAUCAGCUAAGGGCGUCCCAUUCCACCCUCAUGGUUGCACUGUUAUCCCGGGUUGUCACUCUCCAAACAGGUCCUUACGGAGAGGCACUCAGGAAACAGCCUGAGCCCCCUAAAGUAUCAUAGGAACAUCAUCGGGAUAACAUCAUAGUAUCAUAAGUAUUCACAUCAUGUUCAUUGAUUCAAGUAAAGCAAUAGCAUAAUGCUAACCAUGAUAACCCAAAAGGUAAAGAAGGAUAAGGUAAAUGGAAAGCUAGUCAAUCCUUAGGUUUCAAUUAAGUAAUGCGGGACAGUGCAUUAAAAGUGAAUGGGACAUAAUGGGUCAGAGGACACUUGCCUUCACCAAAUAGAUGCUCAGGGUCUUCCACUUUGUAGAAUUCGAAGAACUUGAUCCCACGAUCGUCGAAGCUUGACCAGCGAGCAGAGGUUGAAGACACGACGACGGCGAUUGCGUGGCGAGUGGGCGCGGCCACGGUGCUGCUCGGGCGGAGAGGCGCUGCAUAAUGGCGUAGACGACCAUGAGCACGGCGAGGCUGCUGUCGUGGCACGGCGGAGGCGGUGGUUGCUGCAGCGACUGCGAGGGAGAGGAGAGCAGAGCAGGGCCGAGCAGACGUGGGCGCUGGGUGGUUCCAUUUUUAGCGUUGUGGAUGUGUGCGUCUCGAAGAACAGGGAAGGAAUAUGGUUACAUGGGAGAGCUGACUGACAUGUGGGGCCCACAUACACUGCACAGCCUGGACAGCUGACAGGUGGGGCCCUAGCCAUGCACGGCGCGUGCCUGGUCUUGCCCCCGCUCCUGUGCGUGCGUGCAGGAUGGGAGUUUUUAGUGGGGGCGAGAGGGUUGGAUGGGAUUCUCUUUUUUUGUUUUGUUUUUUUUUACUUUUUUUAAUUAUUUUCUUCCUCCCUUUUUAUAUAUAGGUAUAGAUAUAUAUAUUUAUAUAUAUAUAUGAUUAUUUUUAUUUACAUUAAAUCGUGCCCAUAUAAUUUGGAUUCAAUAGUUUUUCCUUCUUCUGAACGUAAAUACCACGAAAAUCAUUUUUUUGCAGACAUAAAUUAUGCUUCGGCAUGAGAUGCAACAAUCAAACUCCUCCAGGGCUCACUCCACUAGGUUCACGCUGAUAUAUAACAAAUAACUCACCUUUAUUUAGAAAAAAAAGAGACGAAAAGAAAAAAAAAGAAGAGGGUAACACCUGAAUUUGGUGGAUAUUAGAAGAAAAUUUUAUACCCCAAAUUAAGGGUGUUACAAAUCUAACCCCUUAACAGGAAUCUCGCCCCCGAGAUUCAAGAAGAGGCUAGCAAGAACGACUAGGUUGGUUCAUAGGUUGAUCACGACUUCUUCUGACUCAACUCUGACUCUGGCAACUUUAACUUGCGGACUGGUUCCUUUGACCUUUAGAUGCUUGAGACCGAUCGAUGCAAUUUUUGAGGAUCUCUUGGACUUGUGAGUCAGGACCCACACACGCUUUCGUUGCGCCAGUCUGAUCUUGUUGGUUGAUGUUGAUCGCAUUGUCUUCAUUGGGGUUAGCGGCUAACCCCCUUAACAGGAGCAUUGAUAAGCACUUGGUGAAGAUGCUGUCGAUUCUGAUCUUGAUUGAUUAAGAGGAGCUAGAGGUUGCCAACUGCAUAGGUGCAAGAGGAAAGAAUAUAGGUAGAAAAGGUAAGCAUAGAUGGAUUAAAGAGAGAAACGGGAGAGCACCCAACAACCUAAAUUUAUGGCACUCAGCUAGUAAACUGAUGUCAUUGCGGACCAAGGGCCACAUCACAUCAACACUCAUCACAUGGAAGCAAAUCAGUCAUCACACAAGGACAAACAACACAAGCAUACAACAACAAACAUCUCGUUGCUAUACGUUGAUGUUAACUAGAUGGUGGUCUUUCCUGAAAAGGGAAUAACUACUCUCUAAGGUUGUUGAAGGACAAGGAGAAGGACAAGACGUACAGGAUAGGGGCACGAGCACCAUAAAUGAUGGAGUUAAAGUAAGCAUUGUAAGCGACCAGGAUAAGGAUACGGCCAAGGCAUAAUGGGAAGAACACUACUCUCGAGUUGAGAUAGAAAAGGGGGGAUUCCAAAAAGCGGAUCUAAGAUAAGCAUCAAGGCAAGAUCUAGUGAUUACAAAGGUAAGGGUGAUAUCAAACAAAAGCUAAGACCUGCAAUGCGGUAGAGGAAAAGGAAACGACUACGAGCGAGAUGGGUAAGACAACACUCUUGAACUGAAAUGGGAGAGGAGGCUUUAAAUUGCAUGUACAAGAUAAACAUCAAAGUAAACAUCAAGGGAUGACAAGGGUUCAGGUGAUAACGAACAAACACACAACAAAGGAUGUAUUUUAGACAAAACGUGUGAGGUAUCAAAGAAUGGGAAGCAGUCAAUGGUGAAGUAGGUGAGGCAUUAUCCUCAAACAUCGAUGAAAAAGAGGUGGCUUUAAAGGGUAGGUUCAAAGUAAGCAUGAGGGCAAGGGCAUAGAUAUCACGAGGGUUUAAAGGUGAUAACAGACAAGGAUGUAGGAGAGGAGGUAAACGCGCAUAAUAACCAAGGAUAUAAGUACCACAAAGGAUAGAGUUAAGACAAGACCUGCAGAUGAAAAAGAAGGAGGUAUGUCCAAGGGCCAGAUAGGUAAACAGCCACUCUCCAAUUGAGGUGGAAGAGAGGAGAUUUUAAAGAGCCAGAAUAAAGAUGAGUAUCAAGGCAAGAUCGACGAAUGACAAGGAGGUCGUGAUAGCAAAUAAAACACAUAGCAAAGGAUGGAAUUGAAACAAAACUUGUAAGGCGACAAGAAGUGAAAAGAAAUCAAGGGAGAGGUAGGUAACUCGCAACUCUCAAAGUGGGUUGAAAGAAAGGGGAGGAUUUAAAGGAUAAGUUUAAGGUAAGCAUUUAGGUAGAAGACAUAAAUAUCGCAAGGGCCAAAGGCGAUAACGGACAAGGGUACAAGAGAAAAGAUGAAGGCAUAGAAGAGCCAGUGGUAUGAGUACGACAAAGAAUGAAGUUAAGAUAAGACUCACACCUAGCAAAGACGAGGUUCCGACCAAGGGCGGGAUAAGUAAAACACUUCCCUCGAAUUGAGAUGAGAGAGGGAAUUUUAAAUAACGGACAUAAGAUAGUCAUCAAGGUAAGAUGGAGAGACGGUGAAGGUAAAGGUAGUAACAGAUAACGAAGGGUGGAGUUAAAAACUCGCAAGCGACAAGGAAUAGGAUGCAACUAAGGGAAAAUAGGUAACCUUCAACUUUUAAAAUUGAGACGAAAGAGAGAAGGUUUUGGAGCACAGGUAUAAUAUAGGCAUCAAGGUAAGAUAUAGAGGUGUCAAAGUCGAAGGUGAUAAUAAUGAAAGGCAUAACAAAGGAUAGAGUUAAGGCAAGACUCGCGAAAUGCCGAAGUGGAGAAAACAAUCAAGGUAAGAUAGGUGAUGUUUCAAUAGAAUGGUUGAAGUAAGAAUUCAUUACUGAGGCAAGUUAUAAGGAAGCAACGAGAUUACCACGGGUGUGCAAAAUAAAAUGACCGCUCAUGGAUCUUUAGGAAAUAAGGAUGGUCAAAGGCAUGUUAACUGAAAUGUCUUGAAUAGUCAUUGGGGUAUGAAGGUAAGCAUACUUGAAAAUAUGAGAGUACGCAAGACACCAAGGAUAUGAGCAUACCAAGACAAGGGAAUAGAAAAAAAAACAAAUGAUAACGACUUAACAACGAAAUAGGGAGGGAUCUCAGAAGACAAGAAGGUCAUGGACAUAAAAACUGGAAUGUUUAAAGAGGAAACCGAGUUUUCAGAGGUAACUAUUUGAAACAAGAGUAUUAAAGAAUCUAGGGGUACAAGCAUGUCAAUACGAAGAGGACAAAGAUAGUCAAAGGGUAGCAAUUUAGUGAUGGAAGAGGGAAAAAUCCCAACAGACAAAAAGUUAUGGUCAGGGGGCAUCUUCAAAGAUGUCGCAAGCAUAAGAGUGAGAACAGAACUAAUAUGACCAGCAAAUAAACCAUAAAUAAAUGAAGGAUUAGAAUAAAACACAAUUUUCAGCAAGGUAUAAUAUGUAGUAAAACAUAGGUUUGGUCGAUAUGACCAACUUUUGAAGGGAUAGCAAAGUCAAGGCAGGGACAGAGGUCUAUAAUCCUUAGAACGACCAUUCUACUCUAGGUUAGCGGUCCUACAGUCAGCACGGCUUUGAUACCACUUAUGUCACACCCGGUUUUGGAAGGUAAACCGAAUGCGAACCAUGUACGUGCCAGGAUCAGAAAUUCACGUACACGGCGAUUACAUAAAUGACUCAUCAUAGCACAAUGCUUCGAAUAACAAUAAAGAUAAGUAAUAAUAUGAAAGACUAGAGUCAUUUACAUAAUAUAAUCAAAGUACACAGAACAAAAACGUAGCCAACGUAAAUAAACCCACCACAGGCAGCUGACUGGGGGAGGUCGCUAGCCUAAUCCUUGAACUCGUUGAAGUCCUGGAACUCCUGGAGAUUCGCCUCGAUGCCUUCUUCUUUACCUGAGCAUAGAUUGCACCAAAGGCAACCUGGUGUUUUGUGAAAGCAAGGGUGAGUACACAUCAACGUACUCAGCAAAUGUCCCGUUUGGCUGUAGUGGACUAGCUUUAUUUGGGGUUAAGGUCAAGCAGUUGCUUUUAGUUGGUCAGGUUAUUAUUACUCAUUGAGAGCCAGGUUUUAACAUUAACCCAAGUUAUUAACCCAAAGUACCCUUUCCAAACGGAAAGAACACCACUUACCAUUACCAUAGUCAUAACCAUCAUCCUUGUCACCACCAGUAAACCAACCAUCUCUGAUCAAGUAUCUCUAAUCAAAGAGGAUCCCAAGGCCGCUCAUAACCGUGAGCACGGCUGAUAUAUCAGUUUCUAACCCUCUGCAGAGGUUGCACACUUUACCCACGAGUCAUGAUUCCCUUUCUGCCCGGGGAGAGCUAAUCCCCAUUGACCACUACCUAGGUGGCCUGGCAGGGUAUCACUACGUAGCCUUUACAAAGAUUUCCCAGAGGUCAUAGCCGCCCGUUAGGUUUCUUCAGUUUGAUAAACACAGUACAUCUCCCCAAAGGAAGGGUGACUAACAAAACCAAAUCAAGAACCUCUGCAACCAGCCUCGGCAGAGCAAGUACUGUGCCCGGACCCCAUUGACGGCCCUACGGCGAAGCCAACUACUCCUCUGGUUCCUCUAAUUAAUCAGCUAAGGGCGUCCCAUUCCACCCUCAUGGUUGCACUGUUAUCCCGGGUUGUCACUCCCCAAACAGGUCCUUACGGAGAGGCACUCAGGAAACAGCCUGAGCCCCCUAAAGUAUCACAGGAACAUCAUCGGGAUAACAUCAUAGUAUCAUAAGUAUUCACAUCAUGUUCAUUGAUUCAAGUAAAGCAAUAGCAUAAUGCUAACCAUGAUAACCCAAAAGGUAAAGAAGGAUAAGGUAAAUGGAAAGCUAGUCAAUCCUUAGGUUUCAAUUAAGUAAUGCGGGACAGUGCAUUAAAAGUGAAUGGGACAUAAUGGGUCAGAGGACACUUGCCUUCACCAAAUAGAUGCUCAGGGUCUUCCACUUUGUAGAAUUCGAAGAACUUGAUCCCACGAUCGUCGAAGCUUGACCAGCGAGCAGAGGUUGAAGACACGACGACGGCGAUUGCGUGGCGAGUAGGCGCGGCCGCGGUGCUGCUCGGCGCGGAGAGGCGCUGCAUAAUGGCGUAGACGACCGUGAGCACGGCGAGGCUGCUGUCGUGGCACGGCGGAGGCGGUGGUUGCUGCAGCGACUGCGAGGGAGAGGAGAGCAGAGCAGGGCCGAGCAGACGUGGGCGCUGGGUGGUUCCAUUUUUAGCGUUGUGGAUGUGUGCGUCUCGAAGAACAGGGAAGGAAUAUGGUUACAUGGGAGAGCUGACUGACAUGUGGGGCCCACAUACACUGCACAGCCUGGACAGCUGACAGGUGGGGCCCUAGCCAUGCACGGCGCGUGCCUGGUCUUGCCCCCGCUCCUGUGCGUGCGUGCAGGAUGGGAGUUUUUAGUGGGGGCGAGAGGGUUGGAUGGGAUUCUCUUUUUUUGUUUUGUUUUUUUUACUUUUUUUAAUUAUUUUCUUUCUCCCUUUUUAUAUAUAGGUAUAGAUAUAUAUAUUUAUAUAUAUGAUUAUUUUUAUUUACAUUAAAUCGUGCCCAUAUAAUUUGGAUUCAAUAGUUUUUCCUUCUUCUGAACGUAAAUACCACGAAAAUCAUUUUUUUGCAGACAUAAAUUAUGCUUCGGCAUGAGAUGCAACAAUCAAACUCCUCCAGGGCUCACUCCACUAGGUUCACGCUGAUAUAUAACAAAUAACUCACCUUUAUUUAGAAAAAAAAGAGACGAAAAGAAAAAAAAGAAGAGGGUAACACCUGAAUUUGGUGGAUAUUAGAAGAGAAAUUUUAUACCCCAAAUUCAGGGUGUUACAGCCGAAGAGCCUGAGGUGGAAAAAUAGUGAAAAUGCCAGAAAUUCUGAGCCCACCAGCUGAGGCAAAAUUGCCGAAGGUGCAAAGGGCUCUUGCCACAACUCCCAAAAGGAGGAGGAUGGCCAGCAUACUGGACGCUGUUCUGGAGACCACAAAGGCCUUGAGCCCUGCUCCUGCUAAGAAAAGUGCUGAAGCUGCCAAAGUCCAAGCCAGAGCCGAAGCUGGGCCUUUAGCUCCCAUUGAGACGAAGGCUGUUGCGCUUGAAGAUAAAGGUGGUCAACAGACUCUAGAUACCGGCAUGGCAGCAGGGCAAGACAUGUCAAGAAAAGCAAAAUCCCCUGCCCCUGAAGCUUCAAUUGAAGAUGUUAAUUACAUUUUUUGACAUGCUUCGGGGAAAAAUUAUCCGAAGAAGAAAUCCAGUAAGCCAGGCAUUAUGCCCAAAAACUAAAAUAUCCAAAGGGGGGUUUAGUGUUCAAUGGCACUAACGAAGAUGAUUUCCUAUACUAUCUCCCGGACAACAAAGAAAUAUCCGUUUGCCGGGAGAUAGCUAAAAGUAUGGGAUUUUCGAAGCUUGAGGAAGGCCUUUCGGUUAUGUCAAAGGAUGAUCUUGCUGAUAGCCUUGCGUACAACAGUAUAAAGGUAUAGAAGUUAAUUUUGAAGUUAGAAAAUGAAGUAUUUUAUUGCCAUGCUCAAUUCUUUCUCCUUCUUUGCAGGGCUUAAUUCUUAGUAAUGCCUUGAGGGCACAAAAGAGCGUCGAAGACGAAGGCUGUACAAUGGCUCUUAACAACCUUCGCUCAGAGGUGAUUGAACUGAGGAAUGAAGGUCUAGAGAAAGACAAAAUUUUGAUUUCAUUGGUGAUUAAAAUAAAAGAAGACGAAGCUAAGUACAAUGCUCAGGCCGAAGCCCAAAACGCUGAGGUUGAAGACCUUCGGAGACAACUGGCCGAAGCUAAGGAGAACUGAGCGCUCGCACAGGCUAACCAAGAGAUUAGUGAAUAUUGGAAGAAUAAACUAGAGAAAAAUGUUGAAGAACUUCGCGAAUCCAAGGAAAAGUGUUUUGAAAAAUCCUUGGAUUGCAUGAAGAAAUUAAAAACUAGCUUCUCCAAAGUGUGUGCCUAUUCUUCUGAAGAAAAUUUUAUCCGAGGUGACCCCAAAGGUGUUAUUGAAUGGAUAAGUGGAGAAGUCAAAGCCUUCGAGGAAAUCUUGAAUGAUCGCGGGGAUAUUUGUGCGUUUUCCGGCGCUCACGGGAUCUCAACUAUUCUGGAGAAGGCCGAAUGUGAUCACGUCAAGGCUAUAGCCCAGGCCGAAGCUGCCUUCUCCUUCGACGAUACGAAGGAUCCUUCAGCCGAAGCAACUUUAGUGGGCAGGAAAUUUUAUUCUGAUGUCUGGGUGAACGGUGGCCGAGAGCUGGCCAGCGAAAUUAUAAAAAGAAUGAAAAAGACACCCACGACGCCCGGGAAGAAGCAAAGCGAGCUGAAGAGGCUGCUGAACGCGAAAGGCGCAUAGGUAUAGUUUUUGAUUUUUUGGCUUCAGUACUUUCUAUGUAGCUUCAAAACUAAUAGUUUACUUACUACAGCUGAACUAUCCCCGCCACCGGAGCCGUACAAUCCCCUAGCUGAUCCAGAGAUGAAGGAAGUACUGGAUAUUAUAAGCAUGGCGAACUCCAUUAUCGACGAAGCCGUCGAUAAACUUUUGAACGAAGUCGCAGAAAAAGUCCUUAGAGAAGAAUAGAUUUUGUUGUAAUAAUGUUUUGAAAUGCUUGAUUGUAAGGGACAAUUGAAUGAAGAUUAGGCUUCUGUUGUAACAAAACUAUGUAACAUUUGAUGUAUGUAAUAUUGAACCGAAUGUGUAAGCUGUUGUAAUUUAUUUCUUUGCGAUGCAUGAAACAUACACACAUACCGCUUUUUGAGCCUUCGGUGAAAAAACACCUUCCCUUCUUUUCAUGCUUCAUAAAGAAGGAAACCACUUCUAGGGCAGAUCUGAUAGAAUUGUCACCCGAAGUUUGCUUCGUGCCUUAGCACAUUUUCAUUUAAUCGAAGUAUUUCCAAAGAUUUGCUUCGUAUUCAGUCUUUCUGUUGAUGCGAUAUGAUGUAUGAUGUGAUGCUAUGCUAAAUGAUGUGAUGAUAUGAUGCAAUAUGAUGAUGCUUUAACACCCACACAUACGCCCAAACUGGUACACGGAAGACUCUGCAUCCCCUUAGGAACGUCUUUUGAGUUUAAGCUCUGCAUCCCAUUAGGAACGACUUUUGAGCUUCUUCACCUUCUAUUUCGGUGGUAUAAGUUCUGCAUCCCCUUAGGAACGACUUUUGAACUUCUUCGCCUUAUAUUUCGGCGGUAUUUGGCUUUGCAUUCCCUUUGAAACGACUUUUGAGCAGAAAACUUACACUGUGCUCCCUUAGGAACGACUUUUUGUAGCUUCGUCAAUUUUGGCUCUGCAUUCCCUUAGAAACGACUUUUGAGCAGAAAACUUACAUUGUGCUCCCUUCGGAACGACUUUUUGUAGCUUCGUCAAUUUUUGCUCUGUAUUCCCUUAGGAACGACUUUUGAGCUUCGAAAUUUACUUCGUUCCUUUAAGAGUCGUCUUUCGAGCUUCGUAAAUUUAUGAAGAAGACAUAUUUCAUUCUGGUGUAGGCAAAAUUAUUACAAGAAAUUGAAACUGAGUUUUUCAUUACUUGUUUCUCACACAGAAAGUAAAAUGGCAUAAAAUAUAAAAGUACUUCAGAAGUAGGAUAUUCCUCAGUAUAUGUGCUUCGAUUCUGGUACAGUGUUGUUGACUGUACGAGCUUCGGACUCCUCCCUGAAGUCACAUUGCUGUUGGGGGUGCUGGCGCCCUUCUGGCUGCUGGCUUUGGGUAUGAGUAGGUGGCAAUGGUGGUGGCGGUGGAAGCUGAGGCCAGGAAGCUUGUGAAUGGCUUGCCGAAGCAACAGAAGCUGCAGGUUGAUUGCCCACAUAUUCUGGUAUGUAGGGAGAGUAGCAUGAAGCAGUAUGUAAAACCUGCUUCGGCUGGUUCUGCCGGGCUUCUGCUUCAGCAAUCUCUUUUUGCUUUUGAAUGGUAAUCUGGCAUGUUUUUGUAGUGUGGCCCUUGUCUUCACCAUAGAAUAAGCAAUAGAUUUUCCUGGGCUGAUCCUCAUAUCUUCCUCCGAAGCUCCUGUCGCCUCUACCCCUUGGCGCUGGUGGCCUGAAGGAGCUUUGCUGCUGCCCUGAAGACUGUGAGCUAUGUUGUGGCCUCUGAAACUGGUUUCCAUUGUCAUCACUCUGACUGGAGCUGUGGAUUGAUCUGACAUGGCUAGGGUGGAUUCUUUCUUCGAAGCCCCUAGUCAUCUCAGAAAACCUAUAAGCUUCUUCCCUUCUCUGGCGAAAAUCAUUAUUGGCUCGAAUGUACUCAUCCAUCUUCUGAAGCAGCUUCUCCAGGGUCUGAGGGGGUUUCCUGGCGAAGUAUUGAGCCGUAGGCCCUGGUCGAAGACCCUUGAUCAUGGCCUCAAUGACGAUUUCAUUGGGCACUGUUGGCGCUUGUGCUCUCAGAUGCAAGAACCUUUGGACGUACGCCUGAAGGUACUCCUCAUGAUCUUGUGUGCACUGGAACAAGGCCUGAGCAGUAACUGGCUUCGUCUGAAACCCUUGAAAACUGGUGACCAACAUGUCCUUAAGCUUCUGCCAUGAUGUGAUUGUCCCUGGCCAGAAAGAGGAGAACCAUGUCUGGGCCACACUUCGGACUACCAUGACGAAGGACUUCGCCAUGACAGCGACGUUGCCUCCAUAUGAGGAUAUUGUUGCCUCAUAGCUCAUCAAGAAUUGCUUUGGGUCCGAGUGCCCAUCAUACAUGGGAAGCUAGGGUGGCUUGUAUGAUGAAGGCCAUGGUGUAGCCUGCAGUUCUGCUAACAGAGGAGAAGCAACAUCAAAAGCAAAAUUUCCAUGGUGGAAAUCGUCAUACCAAAUGUCAUCAUCAUAGGAAUUGUCCUGGCGAAGCUCUGUGCGUUGAGUUCGCCGGUCCUGGUCAUCUUGGGUGAGAUGACGCAUUUCCUCAGCGGCUCUGUCGAUCUUCCUCUAAAGAUCAGCAAGAUGAAUCAUCUUCUCCUUCUUUAUUUGGACUUGCUGAUGAAUGGCUUCGAGGUCCUUGAUCUCCUGGUCUAACUCUUCCUCCUGAGGCGUUGGACUUGUAGCCUUCCUUUUUUGGCUUCGGGCUUCGUGCAAUGUGUCUUGGUUGACGUCUAGUGGCUGCAGUGCAGCCCCUAGCCCUGAAGCUUUCUUCGGUGGCAUGACGAAGGUCACAGCUUGCCGAAGGUGGUCGAAUGAGUUCACCGGAGGUGGGCGCCAAUGUUGGGGACUUGUUCUCAAAUACUAUGAGUUGAGAACAAGGCAACACAAAAUGUUAAUGGUUAAAGACCUUCGUCCUUCGGAGCAUUAUCUCCCUUAGGAUAUAAUGGUCUUCGGACGAAGGUUAUGAAGGAUGUACCUUCAUCAUCUCAGUAUAUAAUAAAGCAAGUAGAAGCAUAUGAAACAUGGAAAAUAACAUGAAUAACUAUAUGAUAUUAUCAGAACAUUUUUAUUAUCUUAUCAUGAAUAAACAUGAACAGUAUCGAAUUACAUUUAUACCUUCGGCUUGACAGAAGGUAAAAAUCCAAGCGUGACGUGCGAGUGAAUACAUGUCAGCAUGAACAGUACAGUGUCACUGUUCAUUUAUUUAUAGGCACAGGAUGCAGCCUGUGUAGAAUUACAUUCAUGCCCUUGACAUUUACUAUUGACUUGGGGAUAAUCUAUCGAGGACUAGACAGCCUUUUCCCCUUUAAGUCGGUUUCAUUUUCCAUCGCUAAGACGAAGCUUUUUCACUGGUAGCUUCGGCACUGGUUCAUCCUUCUCCCGAACUGCGCUCUUCAUAUCAUGUACAACUUCAUCCCAUGUCCGAAGGUUCCUGUACAUAUAUUAUACUUGGAAAACAUGUUAGUCGUGUUUUUGAGGACCUUCGGAAGACGAAGGCCCCCAAUAGUACCGAAUGCUGAAUUUGUCAAAAGAAUGAAUUAUGCCCCAACAUUUUUCAAGGUAACUGUUUAGAGUACCAUCAAAACAUUGAUAUUCUUCUACUACUUGUUGGACAACCAGCUGAGAAUCACCAAAUGCCCUGACAUGUUUUACUCCCAUACAACUUAACAUCUCCAAGCCGAACAAAAGGGCAUCAUAUUUGGCUUGAUUGUUAGUGCAAUAAGUUUUUAAUCAGCUAGAGAAGUUGAAAGAGACAUUACUUGGUGAAACAAGCACGAUGCCAAUUUCUUGUCCUUCAUUGCAAACCGAUCCAUCAAAAUAUAAAAUCCAGGGAGUAACAGUGAGAUAUGAUAUGUCUAGUUUAUGAGUGUCAUCAAUCUGAUGUUCUACAAAAAAAGUCUGCUACGACAUGGCCUUUCAUAGAUUUCAAUGGUUCAUAAGCCAAGUCAUAUUCUAUGAGUGCAUAAGCCCAUUUACUAAUUCUACCACUCAUAAUCGGGUUUUGCAACAUGUAUUUGAUCACAUCGGUUUGACCGGAAACGGUGCAAUGAUUAGACAACAAAUAACAUCUACACUUGGUGCAUGCAUAAAACAGGCAUAAGCAUAACUUCUCGAUGAAAGUGUACCUUAUUUCAGAAUCCACCAGCCUCUGACUUAGAUAGGUCACCACAUGCUGCUUUCCUCUGGUCUCUUGCGUCAGAACAGCCCUAAUAACCUUAUCUUCAGCUGCAAUCUACAAUCUGAACGGUACUCCUACUUGCGUUGCUUUUAACACCGGAGCCGAAGACAAAUAUUUUCUGAUGAGAUCAAACGCUUCCUGUUGUUCUGCCCCCAGGUGAAUUCGGCAUCAUUUUUAAGCUGAAGGAUAGGGGUGAAGGCAUCAAUCUUCCCAGCUAGGUUAGAAAUAAACCUUCGUAAAUAAUUUAUCUUGCUAAGGAACUUCUGCACUUCGACCUUACAGGUCGGAGGUCCCACAUUCCGAAUGGAUUUAAUUCGGUCAGGUUCUACCUCUAUACCAUGUUCAUGAAUGAUGAACCCUAAGAACUUACCAGCUGACACUCCAAAAGCACAUUUACGUGUGUUCAUUUUCAGAUCAUACCGACGAAUUUUAUCAAAGGCUUUGCGCAAAUCAUCUAUAUGAGAACUAAACUCAGCCGAUUUGACUACAAUAUCAUCAAUGUAGACUUCCACAGUGUUUCCCAAUAGCUCGUGAAAGAUCAAAUUCAUAGCCCUCUGAUAAGUAGCACCAGCAUUUUUCAGACCAAAUGUCAUGACAACCCACUCAAAUAAACCAAUGAAGCCUAGACAUAUAAAGGUCGUUUUAGACAAAUCUUCUUCGGCCAUGAAAAUCUGAUUAUAUCUGGCAUUACCAUCAAGAAAGCUAAUAAUUCUAUUCCCUGGCGCAUUAUUGAUUAAUGUCGGCUAUGGGCAUGGGAUAUUCAUCUUUAGGAGUUGCUCUAUUUAAAUUGCGAAAAUCAAUGCAUACUCUAAGCUUACCUGAUUCUUUCUUUUCCAUUGGCACAAUAUUGGAGACCCACUCUAUGUAUCUGCAAGGUCUAAUAAAAUUAGCUUCUAGCAGCCAGUGAAUUUCGUCCUUUAUUCAUGGGAGAAGGUCUAGAUGAAAUGUUCUAGCUUUCUGUUUGAAAGGUCUAAAACUGGACUUAAUGGGCAGUCGAUGAUCUACUAUCUCACGUCUUAAUCCCGGCAUCUCAGUCUAAUUCCAAGCAAAGCAAUCAGAAUAUUCUUUCAAUAGACUGAUCAUUUCAUCUAUAGGAUCGGUCUCUAGGGUCUUAUUCACAAAAGUCGCCUUGGAGUAUUACCAUCUCCUAUAUCAAUCUCCUUCAAAGGAUCAGCCGAUGUAAACCCCUGUCCUAAUUUGUUAAGAUCUCUGAAUUCCUCUAUUAUGUCUCCCACAGAGGAAUUAGAUGAUCUUUGUGUGACGGCGGACCCUCUGGUCUCGGGGGCCGGAUCAUCCGCGACACUGGUUUUAUGCUAUGGUGAAUGUUCGGUCUUAAAAGCUGAACUGUCUUGUAAAAGACCGGACCGUCCGACCUCAGAAGUUGGACUGUCCGCGACCAGAGACUCAUUCAUUCUGUGUACUCAUCAUUUAAACUUUAUUUAGGAUUUAGCUGAUUGUCUAUCGGGUCUAGCAUUACAGGAAUGAAACCCUUUUUAUCUAUAUUUAUGAACUGAUAAUCAGAAAAAUCUACUCCUGUGAGACACGUAGUAGUCUCAUAGGUCCAAAGUACAGGGGCAUCGGCCACAGCGAUACAGGCCGAUGCAUCAACAUGUACUUGCUCUACAUCGUCGCCUUCCCAUUGUAGUAACAUUUGAUGUAACGUAGAAGGUACACAUUGGAUAGCAUGAAUCCAAUCCCUACCUAGGAUUAGACUGUAAUUUCCUUCUACAUCAGCAACGAAUAAUGCAGCAGCAAGGGUCUUAGUCACGAUGGUUAACUCAACGGACAUGACUCUCUUGGCUUUGAUCGAACUAUCAGUUCCAACGCCGCUGAGGGUCAUGUUGGUCUUGACAAGUUCAUCAUCUUGUUUACCUAGUUUUCUGUAUAAUGAAUAAGGCAUUAGAUUUACAGCCCCCCCCAUCUACCAACAUUUUAGCACGGUAUCCCAUUAAUGUGACCGCGCACGAAGAGCGACUUCAAAUGAUUUACCGAUUCCUUUGGUUUAGUGAAGGCGACUUCUUUAGGACCAAAGUCAAACUGAGCAACGACAAGUUCAUCAUCGCCGACAAUAGUACAAUCGGCGGAAAUGUAAUCAAAUUUAUGUUCAUACCUGUGUGCUCUGAAGAAGCCUCGUAGUCGACCAGGUCCUCUCCUAGUAGGUCGUCCUCCUCCAUGGGCGUCGGCACGUCGUUGGAGGUGUCCUGGUGUAGUGUGGGCGGUCCGGACUCGAGAGUCGGACGGUCCGUGUCAUCUGCGGAUGGUCCGACCUUUAUAGCCGGACUGUAUGCCGUACCUGCAGAGAGCUGUGGAGUUGCUGUCUCAUUCUCUAUCUUCGUGGCCGUUUGAUUUAUCUCAACGGCCUUUGGCCUCCACCUCUUUUGCGGUGGGGGGUACUAUGGAUGUGUGUCAUUAAAUAUUUUUCCGCUUCCUUUUCUUGGUUCUCCUUCGCUCUUAGGCACUGUAGUUUUCGCUUUUGGGACCGUGUCAAUCCCGAUGGGCACCAUCGAGGCAUAGAGUAUUUUGGAUCGGCUAUUUUGAUGGCAGUUGUAUCUUUUUUUGUUUGUGUUGGCCGAUUCACCAAAAAUCAUCGGUCCUUCAUUAUUUUCCUGUAUGACAACAUCUGUUGUACCUAUUUUGAUGAUGUCCUUUUUUGUCGUUCUCUCAGUUGCUGUAGGUAUAUGCCCCCCUGUUGGAUUGGUCGGCCUUUGCGGCCGAUUAGUCCGGUAAUCUUGCUGGGCUUGUGCCUGGUGAACGGAUUGAGUGGCGCUCAAUUGGUCUUGUACUAGUGGUGCCAACCUGAUGAAUACAGAUACUUGGGGUGCCCCCCAAGCAGGAUACUGUGGCAUCCCAAAUGGAUAUGGUGGCAUACCCCACAUUUGAUUUGGUGCGUAUGGCAGUGGUACAUAUGCAUAUUGAUAUGGCAUAGGUAGAUAUGGGAGUGGAUGUGUCCAUGCAGUUAUGCUAGGCCUCAACUGGACAGUAUGACCUUCCAUUUUUUCCGAUUGGUGAGGUGGUCCAAUCGGUCUUACCUGCUGUUGCUCCUGUAUGGGCGAGCGAGGUCGCUUCGCUGGCUGGUCACUUGGAACGGCCUUCUUUUUUACAUAUGUCGGGGACCAUAAUUAGGGGUACCCUCAAGGCUCCUAAUUCUCAGCUGGUAACCCCCAUCAGCAUAAAGCUGCAAAGGCCUGAUGGGUGCGAUUAAGUCAGGGAUCAGUCCAUUCGAGGGACUCGAUCAUGCCUCGCCUGAGCCCAGCCUCGGACAAGGGCAGCCGACCCCAAAGGAUUUCCGUCUCGCACGAGGCCCCCCUCCAGCGGCGAAUAUAUUUCCGGCUCGCCCGAGGCCCUAUCUUCGCCAAGAAGCAACCAUGACCAAAUCACCGCACCGACCGACCAAAUCGCAGGAGCAUUUAAUGCAAAGGUGGCCUGACACCUUUAUCCUGACUUGCGCCCCCCAGCCGGCAGAGCCGAAGCGACCGCCGUCACUUCGCCGCUCCACUGACCGGCCUGACAGAAGGACAGCGCCGCCUGCGCCACUCCGACUGCGGUGCCACUUGACAGGGUGAGAAUGACAGGCAGUCAGGCCCGGCCGAAGGCACCAUAGGAAACUCCGCUCCGCCCGACCCAGGGCUCGGACUCGGGCUAAGUCCUGGAAGACGGCGAACUCCGCUCCGCCCGACCCAGGGCUCGGACUCGGGCUAAGUCCCGGAAGACGGCGAACUCCGCUCCGCCCGACCUAGGGCUCGGACUCGGGCUAAGUCCCGGAAGACGGCGAACUCCGCUCCGCCCGACCCAGGGCUCGGACUUGGGCUCAGCCCUAGAAGACGACGAACUCCGCUCCGCCCGACCCCAGGGCUCGGGCUCCGCCCUGGCCUCAGCUGACGGCCUCCGCCUCGCCCGACCCAGGGGCUCGGACUCGACCUCGGCCACGGAAGGCAGAUUCGACCUCGGCCACGGAAGACAGACUCGACCUCGGCCACGGAAGACAGACUCGACCUCGGCUUCGGAGGAGCUUCCACAUCGCCCAACCUAGGGCGCAGACCCACCACGUCAACAGGAGGCACCAUCAUCACCCUACCCCGAGCUGACUCGGGCCGCAGGGAACAAGACCGGCGUCCCAUCUGGCUCGCUCCGCCAGAUGGGCGAUGAUGGCGCCUCGCAUACUCUGUGACGACGGCGGCUCUCAGCCCCCUUACGGAAGCAAGAGGACGUCAGCAAGGACUCGACAGCCCUGACAGCUGUCCCUCCGCAAGGAUCCAGCACUCCUCCGACGGCCACGACAUCACACCAGCUGGGUGCCAAAAUCUCUCCGGCUGCCACGACGGCAUGUACUUAGGGCGCUAGCUCUCCUCCGCUAGACACGUAGCACUCUGCUACACCCCCAUUGUACACUUGGAUCCUCUCCUUACGCCUAUAAAAGGAAGGACCAGGGCCCUCUUAGAGAGGGUUGGCCGCGCGGGGACGAGGACGAGACAGGCGCUCGCUCGGAGCCGCUCGCUCCCUCACCCGCGUUGACGCUUGUAACCCCCUACUGCAAGCGCACCCGACCUGGGCGCGGGACAAACACGAAGGCCGCGGGAUUCCCACCUCUCUCACGCCGGUCUCCGGCCGCCUCGCUUUUCCCCCUUCGCGCUCGCCCUCGCGCUCGACCCAUCUGGGCUGGGGCACGCGGCGACAUUCACUUGUCGGCUUAGGGACCCCCCAGUCUCGAAACGCCGACAACAUAUUGAGACAAUAACUGGUUAAAGGUUGGGCCGGAUCUUACCAGUCGGCCAGCUGCCUUUACUGUGUUAGUUUUCCACGUACCUAUUUCUGGUCGUCGUGGUUUGAAGGUACGUGGUCGUUGUGGUUCCUGGGUGUUGCCGAACCGUCCACAAGAAUGGUCUGGACUUUCUGGCGGUGUCCCAGACCAUCCGCGUCUAUGCGUCGGACCGUCCGCGAUGCACAAAAUAGGUGUACGCGCCUGGUCCCUUGCUUGCAUCCGCCCCCCAGCGUUGGAGGUGGUGAUGGUAACUUUCAAAGUCUCCCCUCCUUUAGGAGUCUUUUCCGCCACCACUUUCCUGUAAGAGAUUUUAUUAUUCUCAUUGGCCUUCCGCGCGUCGCCAAUGAUGACUUCUUUGCCUUUGCCCUUAUCGGCUGUGCUGGGCUAAAUUAGGACCUUUUUGCCCUCGAAGUCGAUCACAUUCAUUGGGAAGGGUUCCGUAUCCACCUGCAUUUCCUGAAAUUUCAAUCGUCCCUCGUUAAUGGCUGAUUGAAUUUGUCGUCGGAACACAUUACAAUCAUUAGUGGCAUGAGAAAAUGAGUUAUGCCACUUGUAGUAUGCACGGCGUUUUAGUUCGCGGCAGAUGGAACAGUAUGAUUUAUUUUAAUGUUGCCAUUUUUGAGUAAUUCAUCAAAUAUUUUGUCACAUUUGCCAACAUUAAAUGUAAACUUAACCUCCUCUUGUCGUUUCUUUUGAACCGGCUGUAAGGAGGAACAAGCCGAAGAUUUGGCCUGCUUUGGCCAAACCAUUUCAGCCGCGUAUACUUCUGUUGAUUCGUCAUCCGAGCUGCUUUGGUCUCGCUCUACUAUAUGCACGUUGUGAUGAACUGUUUUAGCAGUUUCUUUGCUUCGGCUUUCACAAGCCAAAGCUCUUUGAUGUAAUUGUGCUAGCGUAAAAAACUGGAAACCUUCUAAUCUUUCCUUUAAAUAAUAUCGUAGUCCAUUAAAGGCUAAUCCUGCUAGUUGUUUGAGUUAUGUGGUGCAUUACUAUUUGCCCUAUAUGGUUCAUAGGAUUGACCGUUCCUUUCCGGCCUUCUAAGCGGGGCCGGAAAGUACUCGCCCUCGUGGGCUUGGGAUUUUGUAUUAAGGUACAGGGGUGCCGUAGGAUAUGAUGGGAAGUUUUGCUGGGACGAAUUGGGAUCCAAGUAACAAUCCCCCUCAAAAAAUUAUGCGCCGGACUGUCUGGUUGGAUACGCGGAUCGUCCUGUGGUAUGCGCGGACUGUUCGGUCACGUGGCCGGACCGUCCGUUGUUGUAUGCGGACCGUCCGUCGCUAUAUGCGGACGGUCCGACUGGGUAGUUUAGGGUUUGUGCAGUACGUGGUUGCUCGGGCGCAUGUCUCGGUAACUCAGUAAAAAUGGGACCGGCCGUUGCUGGCCCGGACGGUCCGCGCUCACGUGUGGACGGUCCGGAUAUGUGCAAAUCAGCUAAUAUAUUGCUGAUGUAAAUAGGAGGUUGUGGUUGCUCGGGGUAUGUGUCUAUCAGUAUCCCAUAAAAGGGUUGUGAUUGGUCGUGACAACUUGUAGCCGAUGAAUUACACGUGUUUUCCCCCAAUUCAACCUCGUGCGAAGGAAAAUUUGCGACGGUAGAUUUAUCGAACACACGUACUAGCCUCCUAUAAUCCUUUUGCAUACCCCCUAUGAUAUUUUGCAUUUGGUCUCGCUUCUCAUCUAUAUAAAUUUUAAGAGAUUGGAGCUCGUUUGUGUUGCUUACCUCGGGGGUAGUCGUGGUAGGUCGAAGCGAAGCCAGAUCUGUCACCCAUUGCCGAACGACUUUGUUGUUCCUGUCCACCUUGAAGUUCACCAGGAACUUCGCCUUUGCUUCUUGGAUCAGCUGCUCUUUGUGCUCCUCAAACUGCAGAUGUUCAUCAGCCGACAAGGUUUCCCAAGUUGGCUCUAUGGUGUUGCUGGGGGAGACUUCAGAGUUAUCCCUUGAACCGGCCAUUGAGGGCCGAUCUGACAGGUCUAUAUGUGAUGUCCCCAGCAGAGUCGCCAAAAAGUAUGUUGACACCUUUUCGGGCACCAAUCACUAUAACAAGAACCGGCGGCGGUGCUCUCUACACAGGCGCGAACGGUCCACGGCUAGGGGCCGGACGGUCCAAGACCUGGCUGUCACACCCGGUUUUGGAAGGCAAACCGAAUGUGAACCAUGUACGUGCCAGGAUCAGAACUCACGUACACAGCGAUUACAUAAUUGGACAUCAUCACACAAUUGAAGCGUCCCCAAUCCUCUGGGACUCAAAUGUGAUACAAUUACUAGUCCCAGGAGGCUAGUAAACACAUUUAUACAUCAGAUGAUUCCAGAUAUGCUUAAAUGAGACAAACCUAUAAAUGUGACGAUCAACUUUAAGAGUUGGUCCACAACUCGGGACAUAUCAUCAGAGUAAGGCUGAAGCAGCCCGAUAUACGCAGCGAAGCAAAUCAGCGGUGCAACAGCCACAUGCAAGGUUGGGAACAGUCGUAACUCUUACCCGAUCUCCUUUUUCUGAAAAACAACAAAUAAGCAAGGGUGAGUACAAACGUACUCAGCAGCCCACCUUCACCCGUGGAAUGGGGAAAUCAGAUAUAAUGCAUGGAAUAUGUGGAGCUCAGGAUAUUUUGCAGAAAUAGCAAUAUUUUAUGCAGGGUUAUUUUGAAAAACAUUUUGUAUUUUUGCAAAGCGCAUCCUCUCCAAAAGAAGUAGGAAGUUUUUCAAUAUUAGAACAAAAUCCCCUGGACUAAACCAUCCAGGUAUCUCAGCAGUUUCCCACUGGUUUUCCUUUUCAAAAACAGCUACUGGACUUCCCGUCCACCAUAGCUCACGGCUCAACCGUCGAACCUUUUAAAACCAUUUUUCUCAAACGCACCCUUUUUUGAAAACAAAACAUUAAUUGCCAUACCAUACCAGACUCGUCCAUUCCUGUGGACACGGACUAUUCGAAUAGGUUUUCAAACUCUGCGCAGAGGUGUACACUUUACCCACUAGUCCGGCUCUGCGAUCUCAUAGCUAGCGAGACCCGAAUCCGAAUCUCUUUCUUUCCCCACACGUCCUAACCUUAACGGUUAUCCGGAAGGAGUCAGGCCGCCACCAUGUUCAAACCGGACAAAACUUUCCCCCUCCUUAUCCUCCCGGUGCUCCCCAGCCUUCAUAACCCUGGGGUCGGACCGCACGAGUUCAGAUUGAGUGACUGCCCACACAGUCUCGAGUGGUUGUACUAUUAAAGAGUACAGGUAGUGAAGAUGACAAAUCGGUCCUUAUAUGAGGGGACAAUCCUUCUGCUCACGCCUAAACCAGCUGAGCCAACACCUUAGGCCCUUCCCUAAACCAGGGAGUCCCUGAUUAUCCCACUCACAAGGUGAUAAGGGUGAAAACCCUUCAUCAUACACAUUUUGAAAAGCAUUUUCUUUUGAAAACUCACACCUUUUCUCAAAUCAUUUGGAACAUAUAUAUCAGGGAUUGAUUGUGGCAAGCGGCUUGGGUGGCCAUAAUAACUUGUCUCAAAAUCAUAUCAUGCAUAAAAUAACAGGCUGAGGGUUGUGGUUGAAAAAUCAUAGGUAAUUUAUGCAUCAAAGGGAUCCAGUGAGCUUGCCGUGCUUAUCCAGCGAAGGGGGAAGGAGAGCUCGCGGAACUGGCUUCUAGCUCCACCGCCUGGCGUAGACUUGCAGAUCUGGCCUCCACGAGACGGCACGAAUGCUUCGAUAACUAUGCAACAUGAAUAAGCAAACAUACAAACAAGCAUGUAUACCAACAAAUAUUUAGCAUAGUGGUCAGAAUAGUGAUAUAUGGAUGGGUAGAGUCUUGAGUAGAAUCUGUGUCAUGUGGUGUUGUGAUAUUACUGGUGGUGGAGCGGAGGUGCUUACGAGGAGGGUGGACUGGAGGCGAAGCGACACUAUGCGUGUAGCCGGCAGAGCAGAGUAACUGAGUGGGUGGGGUGUUUGCCUUGGCUGAGGGUGUUGAGUGUGUGUGGAGAGGGAGAGGGUAGCUGGGUGUAUGUGGUGUAGCACAGUGAAGUUCACUGUUGGUGAGAAUAGUGACGAAUGAAUCGUCUGACUUAGUAUGAACAGGAGAGUUAUAGGCAGAAUAUGGGACAAGAGUAUUUUGGGAGUUUUCUGGAAUAUGAACCAUGCUUAAGGGAUGGCAUGGUUGGAUAGGGAAUAGUUUGAUAAGAAUUUAGAAACGAGAAUUAUUGGAAUCUGAGUUUGGAAGCCUGGUUCGAAGGAAUCUCAAGUUAAGCGUGCUCAACUUGGAGAAACCUAGGAUGGGUGACCAGAUGGGAAGUUCCCACUGGAAGGAAAAUCACAGUUACUGGAGUUUGUAUAACUGGAAUAUGGGUCUGGCUGGUCUUAGGUGGACUGGACAACAUGAUGGAUGAGUAGUUGAAAUUUGGGGUGAUCGGAUGAUCGAUGAAUAGUAACGGUAAAAAGUAACGGUAAAUAGUGAGAGUAAAUAGUGACGGUAAAUAGUAACAGUAAAUAGUGACGGUAAAUAGUAACGGUGAAUAGUAACGAUGAAUAGUAACGGUGAAUAGUAACGGUAAUUAGUGAUGGUGAUUAGUUCGUAUGAACGAACGAUGAACGGUGAAUAGUGACGAUGAACGAACGAUGAACGAUCGAAUGAUCGAACGAACGAACGAUCGGAAUUUCGGCAGCAUAACGGCAGGAAAAAGAUUAUUUGGACGAACGAACGGACGAACGAUCGAACGAUCGGACGAAUGGAUGAACGAACCAUGAACGAUCGGACGAACGAUCAAACGAUCGGACGCACGAACGAUCGGAAUUUCGGCAGCAUAACGGCAGGAAAAAGAUUAUUUGGACGAACGAACGGACGAACGAUCGAACGAUCGGACGAACGAACCAUGAACGAUCGGACAAACGAUCGAACGAUCGGACGAAUGAACGAACAAACUAAGAACAGGGGGACGAACGAUCGAAGAACGACCGAACGAUCCUUGUGCUAGUGUGUGCAUGUGUGGGAAGUGGAGUGGGAGUGGGAGUGGGCGUGUGGGUGUGGGGGGAGAGAGUUGCCAUGAAAUGGCUUGGGGUGGGAUGAGAGGAGGCCCUUGCCCCUCUAUUUAUAGCCAUGGUGGGGUAUUAGGGGGAGGGAUGAGAGGAUUAGUGGGAGGAUGAGAGGAUUAGUGGGAGAUUAGCAUGGAUUUGUCUUAUAUGAGUGUAAUUAGCUUGUAGAGCUUACCGUAUGACACCGGAGGCAUACGUAUACGUAUGAGCAUGAAGAAAGUUAUGAAGAAAAUAUUUGUGGGGGCUUGAAAAAUGAUUCUGAAGGUAUUUCUUAGGAAGAAAAUACUUGGAGAUAUAUCGGUGGAAUAUUUGGGUAGUAUUUCUGAAAGAGUUUGAGGGUGAUCACUGGGGAAAUAUUUGUAGGAUAUUUUGAGGAGGAUUUUAGAGAGAAUAUAGACCACUAUACUUUAUUUGUUGAUAUCAACUCGCAAACAAACAUUUUGAAAUGAAAUUUGAAACUCAUUUUGAAUUUAGAGCGAGUUUGAGAAAAUUUCAGGAUUUGAAUUUUUGGGAUGCUACAACAAUGCUCAAAGUAAAUAGCGGAAAGAUACUUUAUUUACAUCAAGAUGUCCAAGACAUCCAUAGAGUCUAAUACAUAGCCAUAGUCUUCAACAUUAAUAUCAAAGUGCGGAAAUAUGAAACGUAGAGGGUAAGCCUACAUAGGCAGCUGACUGGGGGUUUGCCACUAAGAUAAACUAGAACUCAUCGUAGUCCUGGAACUCCUCAAAGUCCUCCAUGUUUCCAUCAUCUCCUCCUGAGCACUGAGUACAGUGGGGACAACCUGGGGUGAGGUGGUUUGUAAAGCAAGGGUGAGUACACAUCAAGGUACUCAACAAAUGUCCUGUUUGGCUAAAGUGGACUAGUUGUAUGUAGAGUUAAGGUUAAGAAGUUGCUUUUAGUUGGUCAAGUUUUUAUUACUAUAAGUAGAGCCAGAUUUUAGUAAUAAACCCAGUUAUUACCCAGAAGCACUCCCUCCAAGAGGAAAUACCAGAGAUCAAAAUUAUAACCAUCAUUGCCAACCAUCAUCAUAAAAGUAACCAAAGUUCUUCUAAUCAAAGAGGAUCCCAAGGCCACUCUUAACCGUGAGCAUGGCUGAUAUACCAGUUUCUAACACUGUGCAGAGGUCGCACACUUUACCCACAAGUCGUGAUUCUCAUUCUGCUCGGGGUUCUAGCCUCCCCAUUGAUCACUACCAAGGUGACCUAGCAGGGUCUCACUAUGUAGCCUUUACAAAGAUUUCCCAGAGGUCAUAGUCGCCCGUUAGGUUUCUCUAGUUUGAUAAAUACAGUACAUCUCCCCAAAGGAAGGGUGACUAACAAAACCAAAUCAAGAACCUCUGCAACCAGCCUCGGCAGAGAAAGAACUGUGCCCAGACCCCCAAUGAUGGCCCUACGGCGAAGCCAAAUACUUCUCUGGUUCCUCUAAUUAAUUAGCUAAGGGCGUCCAAUUCCACCCUCAUGGUUGCACUGUUAUCCCGGGUUGUCACUCCCCAAACAGGUCCUUACGGAGAGGUACUCAGGAAACAGCCUGAGUCCCCUAAAGUAUCACAAGAACAUCAUCGGGAUAACAUCAUCGUAUCAUAAUAUUCACAUCAUGUUCAUUGAUUAAAGUAAAGCAAUAGCAUAAAGCUAAUAAUGAUAACCCAAAAGGUAAACAAGGGUAAGGUAAAUACAGACUAGUCAAUCCUUAGGUUUCAAUAAUGUAAUGUAGGACGGUGAAUUAUAAGUAUGUAGGACAUAAUAGGUCAGAGGACACUUGCCUUCACCAGGUUGUUGCACAGAAAGAUCUUCAGCAACACACUAAGGAACCACGGACUACUCGUUGUCUAAAUAAAGCGAUCAUGUAUUCAAUACAUUUGGUAAAUGACAAAUAAACAACACAUCAAUCAUGUACAAACAUGGGAACACAUCUCAAAAGAAAAGCAUAAACCCAAAAGGGAAAUCAAAUUAUAGGUGAACUAAUUCUCAUUUAGUAGUUAAUUAUUCCCUAAGUACUGUCAAUGAUUACAUAAUCUAAUUUAAUUACUUUCAAUGAGACAUAAAAAUUAAACCAAAGAUAAAUUCAUGUACUACACACUAUUAAUCCUACAAGAUUAAGUAUACUUUAAUCUCUAGGGUUUCCCUUUUAUUUAUUUUAUUAAAUGAAUAAAUCUACACAUAUACUAGUUCAUAGUUAACCAUAAAAAUUAGAGUGUGCAAGUAGUAAAUGUAACUAAUUUAUUUAAACAGAGAAUAUUCCUAUGAAUAUUUUGCAAUUUGAAUCACUAAAUUUGGAGUUCAUAUGCAAAAGAUAUGAAAUAAACAAGUUUGGAAAUUUAGAAUAUGAAAAUAGGUCUAAUUCUGUAAUUAUUUAAAAGCCAAGGGUUCAAUCUGCAGGAUUGCAGGGGCCUGCGUGCGAAAACCAGGGACGGCGGGUUGAUUCCCAACAAACCGAGGGUUUCUUACGCAAAAUAAUCACGCGAAGGGGUACGGGAUCUACUCAAUCGUCAGAUCUAAAACUAACGGCUAAGACUAGAUCAGCGGGCGAGGGCGCGCGCGGGCGAGCGAGCGCUGACAGGUGGGCCAGCGGUGUCAGCGAUCGAGAAGAGGGCGGACUGACCGAUUGGGCCCAGUGCCAGGGGGCACAGGGCUGACAGGCAGGUCCGGACGUGGGGCGCGCGUGCACAAAGCGGUAUCCCGUGAUCUAGGUCGUGCGAUAGAGAUCAGACAGGGAGAUCAAAGCCGGGGAGGGGUUAACGACUGCGGCGGCGCCGCUCCUUCUCGCGGCGGUGAGGUCGCCGGAGUUGAGGCGGGUGCGAGCUAUGGCGGCUCCGAGGUCGCCGGAGCCAGCCAAAAACGAAGGGGAAGGCACGACGAACUCACUGGUAGGGUUGUGACCGUGAGACCGGGGUCAGAGAGGGGAGAAUGGCUGAAGGAGGACUCCGGGCGGGUCGGGGUAACUCCGGUGAGGGAUUCCGGCCACGGGGAGGGGGUCUGAGGCGCGCUAAGGCCUGGACUAACUUCAGCAGGGUGAGGGGAACACCAGGCGACUGGACGACUGGCGUGGCAGGUGCGGGUCUCUAGUGAGGUCGAAUGGCGUGGGCAGAUCGCAAGAGAGGGCAAGGCUAUGCGAAAUGGGACGGGGGAGCGAGUGCGGGUGCGGGCGGUGCUCAAAAAGGAGAUGGGGUGCGUGGGUGGGCGACAUGGCCGGGGAUCUCGGCAUGCGUGCGCGAGUGCGCGCGUGUUGGUCCACGGCGGGCGCGGUGAAGGCGGAGCUGACAUGGCGGUCCCACGGCGCAGCGAGAGAGAGCGGGCGCGCGGGGGUAACGGUUCGGCACACUGACGAGACGGGCCAGCGAGGCAGAGGGGAGAGGGGCGCAUGGGUGAAGGCAACUAGCGCCGAUAGCCCGACCCCAUUGGGCAGAGAGAGGGAGAGAGAGAGCGUGUGGGGAAGGGAACCGCCGCUGACAGGUGGAGCCCACCUGUCAGGCGGCACGGGCGCACGGCCUGGCUGGGCCGAGCUGGGCCGGCUGGGCUGCUUUGGCCUUUUCAUUUUUCCUGGAAUUUCUAUUUGCUUUUCCAUUUCUUUUUUUCUAGGGUUUUCAAUUCAAAUUCGAAUCAAGUUUCAAAUUCAAACUAAUACAAACAUGUGCAACAAUUCAAAGAAUAUUUAAGGUCAGCAUGAUGCAACAUGUCAUGACUCACAAUGUUUUGGCAAAAACAAAUAAUUAAUCUCUCCUAAUUAAGCUAACUCUACUCAAAAGGGAAAAGGAGAGAGAGAAUCUAGAGAUAGAUAGAAACUAGAGAGAGAGAAGAGUAACACCUGAAUUUGGGUGAUAAUUAGAAAGAAAUUUUAUACCCCCAAAUUCAGGGUGUUACACUGGCGCAGGGCUAGGGUUCCUUAUCUGACGUGCCGGACGGUCCGCGCCCUAGGGCCAGACGGUCAGAGCGUGCGCAGGGGCGCCGAAGGUCACCGGCGGCGCCUGGAUCUCGCUCCCAGAAGGGACCCCAUCGGGGAGGAGAGACCGAGAGAUCAUAGGUGUUGUCUAGGCUCAGCAGGCCGACCUAGACUCCUCUGAUCGACAUAGAGUCAAGGAGAAGCAGAGGAUUUGGGGAUUGGGAGACUAAACUAGAACUAGACUAGAACUACUCAUAAAUGUACAAGAAAUAAAUGUGAGAUAAAUUGAUUAUUGAUUCGAUUGAUGAUGUUUAAUCGGUCGUAUUCCUCUGUAUUUAUAGAAUAGGGGGGCUGGACCCGUUACGAACAAAUCUCCCGAGUUAUUUCAGUGAAUCUAGCCAACAACAAUAGUGAGAAACUCGAAACCCUAAUUGACUCUGCGCACGCGUGGACUAUCCGGACCACCAGUGCGGACCGUCUGGACCGCGGACCAUCCGGCCGUCUCUUUUGGGGCUCAACAUAGCGCGCGCAGAAGAAUCGCGCAGGAGAUUAGGGCCACGACGGUGGCUGGGUGGGGGGAGGUCCACGACGGCAGCCGACCAGGGAUGAGUGACGGCGGCUGGGGUGGGGGAGGGUCGCGACGGCGGCUAGAAAAUUAGUGGAACCCUAAUCAUAACCUCCUUUGUUACCAUGUUACUAACCUUGGGAUUGACAAUAGAUGAUUAGUCCCUAAGGACUAUAUGUUAUAUAUAUAGGCAGUAGGCUAGGGUCUAAUGGGCCUUAACAAUGAGUACCUCAUCUGAAGGUACUGUGAUCAUACUGAUCAAGCAUUGGUUUUAGUUUAGAAUUGUUAGAUCAAGAAUUGGUUUCAGUUUGGUACUUUGGUUUCAGUUUAGAGUACCUCAUUUGAAGCUACUGCUGUUUGAGAAUUGAGACUUUGAGUCUACUAAUUGAUGCUUUGAUUACCUACUGUUGUAGUGUUGUAGUUCUAGGACCCUGUUUGAAGUAUAGUGCAUAUAACUAUAUAUAAUUAUAUAUGUCCUGAUUAGUACAGGGCGUUUAGGACGAUCAGUCACCGAUUAAUCGUCCUGGUCAACGUCCUAAUCGUGAUUAGUCGCCUAAUCGGUCACCAUCAACGACCUGGUGACUAGGCGACUUGAAAUCCAUGCACUUCAUCUUCUUCCUCCCUCUCAUAUUGACCAUCAAAUCCCACAUUUCAUACAUUAAGUGAAUACAUGGUGUGUUGGUGCCCACCAUACCUAUCAUUUCAUAUAUAGUAGUAAUCCUAAGAAUGUAGUUCACCUCAUCCCACCGUACAUCACUAAGUAUCCUGUCCUUCACAAGUUGGGCAGUUGGAGCAUCAUCUCUGUAGACUGUAGAUGCUGAUUGUUGGAGGGUUGUUUUUACUUCAACAAACUGUUUCAACAUACAUACAAUUGAGGCAAAUCUUGUUUCAUGAAUCGAAAGUAACUUCAAAAGGCUAAACUCAUUGAACAUUAAAAGCUGCAUGCCAAUUAUUUAUCAUAGCAGCCUCAGUUUUAAAAUAGCAAGAUCGAGGGUAUGCACAACAUGUGGUGUCCAAAAUAUGUUAUCAUAUUCAUCUUCUAUUACGACCCCAGCACCUUUGCAGUUUGCGGUGUUGUCUGUAAUGAUUUGUACCGCAUUGUUGACCUACUUCAAUAACACCCCCAACUUAUCAGCAAUGUAUUCUUUUGAUUUGUAUUUACUCACCUUGACAAUUAUCAGCCCUCAAGAACAAUGAUGCCUUCUCAGAAACAGCAAUAAAAUUAAUGAUUGGUCACCUCUGUGGAUCCAACCAACCAUCAGUGCAGAUUGUGACUCCCUUCUCUGCCCAUAUCCUGUAGCUCCACCUGUUCCUGCACCAACAUCGUCUAUGCCACAUGUGGUAGCAGGUGGUGCAUCUACAAUGUCUCCUAUGCAGUUUGUAGGAACUCCAGGCACUAAUAUGCCAAAGAAUGACAUGAGAAAUGUUAUGGACAAUAGAAAAAGGAAGUAUGCACCACCCCCGUUGCAAUCAUUCAACAGUCAUUUUAUGAAGUUAUUUGUACAUGCAUUGUUUUCUUUCCUUGCUAUUUUGUCUGUGCUAUGAAAUCAUUGGUGAACUAUUAUUUUUGAAGGACAUGAUCCAAUUCAGUUUGAUUUAUGGCCACUCUUCCAAUAUAGAUCAUGAAGAUUCUCCUUUCCUUACAGGAAAGAUGAUUGAGACUCUCAACAUGUUUUUUAGGGAAGCUAUAUCCACUUCCCCAUUCACUCUGGUUGCUCUUCUUCAUUGAUGAUGGUGGAGAAAUACUUCUACUUUACUACUCUAAUCUUUGGCCCAUUAUCCCAGUAAAAUUUAUCUGAAGUUCUGUCAACAAUGCAUAUUGAGUCAAGUGUUAUUCGUCCCAUUGUGCAAAUAAAGACUGGAUAAAGACUAGUCAAUUGAAAUGUGAACGUCAUGUAGCUGUGACUGAAUCUGCAUAUUUCUUUAGAGCUUAUAAAUGUGAUAUGAAUGUUUCAUAAAACUAUUGUUUGGCUGAUGAUAUGUAUACAUCUUCGUCGCAGGAUGGGCUAAUUGAAAUUCUUGCAACUUUUCAACGGACACUGCCGAAUUCGAGCACAGUUGCUGCCUCUGGAGCCUUAUUAUUUCAUUUUGUUUUAGUGCUGGUUAUUUGGCCAAGUAGUUGAGGGUUCGCGAGUUUUUAGAAUGGAAGCUUCUGUGUGAACAUAAGGUUGACUUAUUCCUUGUGGUUCGGGUUGAUGAUAAGUGAUUGUCAAUGGGUAGCACUCUGGGAUAGUCAGUGGACUGAUCAGAGUGUGAGAUUAUGCUUGUGCAACCAUGUCGGUCGACUUGUGGUGUGCAGGUGUGGAGCACAGUAACGGUGGUCGAUGGCUGAGGUGAAGGUCAUGCGAGCUCGUGCUGAUGGACCGGGAGCGGUGAAGGGCGAGUGUUGGGUCUUGACUGACGGAUCAGAGCAACCAGGUGACCAACCAUGGUGGCUGACACCUAGGACACGCACUUGUGUGAGGACGUGGUGGAGUGGACCGUGUUGCCGGCGUGGUCGAGGACUGGCGGGACACGCGUCUAAUCGUGGAGGACGUGCACGAGGUGCGGUGCUCAUGGCAGGUUUAUUGGUUUGGGCCUCAAAACCACCCAGCGCUACGGAUGGCUGAUUUUGCUGAGUUUGGGCCUCAAAACUCGGCGGUGGCGGUUUCAGAGGGAACUAGUGGCGGCACGCGGUAUGAUCGCGGAGGGUGCGUCAAGGCGAAGCAACUCCGUGUGAAGGACGUGGCCGUCGGAUCGAAAACUUAGGAGUUGGUCCAUUUUGCCCCCCGGUGGAGUGGAUAAGCUAUAUAUAAAACAAUUAUAAGUGAUAAAAUACCUCAAGCAAUGCAAUUUCUUUUGCCAUCUGAAAGUAAUUGAAAGUCGCCUAGAGGGGGUUAAUAGGCAAAUCUGAAAUUUAUAAACUUUAAGCACAACUACAAGCCGGGGUUAGCGUUAGAAAUAAAGUCGAGUCCGAAAGAGAGGGCGAAAACAAAUCACAAGCAAAUGAAGAGUGUGACACGGUGAUUUGUUUUACCGAGGUUCGGUUCUUGCAAACCUACUCCCCGUUGAGGUGGUCACAAAGACUGGGUCUCUUUCAACCCUUUCCCUCUCUCAAAUGGUCACCUAGACCGAGUGAGCUUUUCUCCUCAAUCAAUUGGGACACUUAGUCCCCACAAGGACCACCACACAAUUGGUGUCUCUUGCUUUGAUUACAAAUGUCUUGGAAAAAAGAAUGGGGAAGAAGAAAAGCGAUCCAAGCGACAAGAACUCAAAUGAACACAAAUAUCUCUCUCUCACUAGUCACUAUUUGUUUGGAGUGAUUCCGGACUUGGGAGAGGAUUUGAUCUUUGCUUUUGUGUCUUGGAGUGAAGUCUAGAGCUCUUGUAUUGAAUGUGUUGGCUGAAAAACUUGGAUGCCUUGAAGUGUGGUGGUUGGGGGGUAUUUAUAGCCCCAACCACCAAGGUGGCCGUUGGGAGGGGCUGCUGUCGAUGGGCGCACCGGACAGUCCGGUGCGCCACCGGACACUGUCCGGUGCGCCAGCCACGUCACCCAACCGUUAGGAUUCGACCGUUGGAGCUCUAACAUGUGGGGCCACCGAACAGUCCGGUGGUGCACCGGACAGGUAUUGUUCACUGUCCGAUGCACCUUCUGGCGCCUGCUCUGACUCUGCGCGAACUGUCCGCACACUGUAGCAUUGUCAGCCGACCGUUGAACUCGACCGUUGCGCUGGCGACCGUUGCUCCGCUGGCACACCGGAUAGUCCGGUGCUACACCGGACAGUCCGGUGAAUUAUAGCGGAGUGGCUCCCUAAAACCCCGAAGCUGAGCAGUUCAGAGUGGAUCUCCCUGGUGCACCGGACAGUCCGGUGCGCCAGACCAGGGUAGCCUUUGGUUGGUUUUGCUCCUUUCUAUUUGAACCCUUUCUUAGACUUUUUAUUGGUUUGUGUUGAACCUUUGCCACCUGUAGAACUUAUAAUCUAGAGCAAACUAGUUAGUCCAAUUAUUUGUGUUGGGAAAUUGAACCACCAAAAUCAUUUAGGAAAAGUUUGACACUAUUUCCCUUUCAGUAAUCAAAUAAGCCAUUAUUUAUAUUUCUGCAGAACUGGGAACUAAUUCUGGUGUUGUAGAUGAGGUAAUACUUGAUCCUUGAACUCCAAGCCCAAGAUUCACUUGGGAAGAUAUAUAGGAAUUCUGUGAAUUAAACUACAUAAAUAAAUUGAUCAGUGUGCAAAAGAAAAAGAAGUAGAACCACAAAAAGGCAUUAGGUGAAAACAAGCGAGUAUUUUUUUACAGAACUAUUCUACAAUGGAAAAAAAUACGGGCAACACAUUUGGAAACUUAUUUCACAGAAAUACAAUGUUUGUUUGCUCUUCUGUAUCACAACUAUAUUUUGAAUAAUGUAAACUACGUCCAUUGUCAUUUUAAAUCAGAAAAUAGACCUCUUAAAGAAUUUGUAUCGAAACCUAAACUUAUAUCAUCAUCCCAUUUCACAAACCUACACAUUUCAAAGUGCAGCUUGAGACAUAGAAUGAUGAAAAAAGCAUAGUUCGUUAUACAAAUUGCCAGGAGAAUAGUUCUGUAAUAUGAGAGCACAAUGGGAUUGUUAUGAAAUUAAUAGUAGCUUUGAGAUGAAAAGGUACAAGAAAUUUUAGUGCUACAAAACAACUUUGUAAAAAUGCAGUUUUGCAAUUGGUGCUUACCAUGUGUCGAGGUUAGCCUAGUUUUGUGAUUGCUAGGAGAAUCUUACUAAUCAUGGGCAGUCCCCAUUAAACCACGAUCACAUAUAAUCUUUAGCUUCCUUAUUUUGUAAAAGGGAAUAUAUUCAUAGCCCAACCAUCCUUUUUCUUCAAAGAUGCUGCAAAUCUGCCAAGGUUAGCACUCAUAUCCAUAAUGUUUCGAAAGGAAUCCUUUUGUAUCUCAGACUCCAUAAGCUUCCAGUACUGAAUUACUCUUGAAUGCCAAAUCUCAUGCAUGCGUGAAGUCAUCUAGGAACAGCUUGCUCUACAAGUUGUCGAACAUGUGCCUCAAUAGGUUCCUACAAAUAAAAAGAUUCAACGUCACCACAGAAUGAAGUAGCGCUUCAGCUCAAUGAAUCCAUAGAAUUCUUGGACUAGAUUUCCCCCUCCUUAGGAUUUUUGGUUCUUAGGUUGGGGCAACAUGAUGGGGGAAAAGAUGGAUUUUUUAGAGCCGUGAGCUUACUUGAACAUUAUGAUGGCGCUAAUGAAGGUUGGCUAGAGGGCGGCGCCCUAGAAAGUGGCAAAGGAGAGGACGUGAGCCAGCUUGGUGGAUGUGACGGAGCCUACGCCGAAGGGGGGAAUCAAGAGCAUCAGAGACGAAGAGUUGGCACGCAGCAAAGAAGAACACCGCCGCUAGGAACCAUGUCACCCACCCCAUCGCUCGAAUCUAUGGAAUUUUUGGACCAGAUUUUCACCUUAGGUUUUUUGCUUCUUAGAUUGGGAUAAGAGGACGGGGGGAGAAAGAUGGGGGUUUUAGAGCCGGGAGCUUACUUGAACAUCAUGAUGGCCCAUCGCUGAGCCUGGAAGGCUUGGAGCAGGGAACGCCAGCGGCGACAGCAAGCCGCGAGGGGGAAGCAGUGGCGUGGGAGGGAGAAAGGUACAGGAAGGAGAGGAGAUAAGGAUGGCAUGGGGAGAGAGUGUUCGAUGGUAGACGGACGCGACUAGCCGCUCAGAGCUAAAAUUUAGGGAAAUUUCGGGUCCAAGCGACUAUCACAUGUCGCCUGAUGGAUGGCGGGGAAGCCGCCGAAUGCGGUCGGCGCAGCAAAACGGGUGAGAUUUUAAUAUCUCCGAUGUUUCAGCGUAUUGGCAGCAGGAAAUAUGUAAUGUUCAUAAACUAUACAUAUGCCCGUUGGCCCCAAUACAAAGUUGACAUUUUGGCAAUAUUCUGUUCAUACAAAACAACUUACAUGUUUCUGCAUUUUUACACAAAUAACUUAAAAGAAUGUUGACUUCAAACAAAACGAAGCUAUCCAAUGUUACUCGGUUCAACCUGUCUCUCGCGUUCGCCAAUACACGUUUACAAGGGAAAAUAUAUGGUGGAAACCACUUGUUGGAAUCAUAAAAACUAGUUCAAGAAAUAUACUUCAUAACUAUUUUUUAAAACUUGACACAAAUCUACUCACAUAUAAAAGCUGGGAUAAAAAAUUAUUUUUGAAAAUUCAUACUAAAUCAGAAAUUUUAGUUGUAUGUGCACUGCGAGACAAAAAAAUCUAGAUUUUUGUCUUCUAGUAUACAUGCACAGAAGUUGUGUUAUUUUCAUAUGAUUUUUUUUUCAAAAAUGACUUUGCAUCUCAAUUUUUGGGUGAGUUCUGUAUGGAUGAACUACAUAUGUGUUAAGUUUUAAAAAAAUCAAGUUACAAAAGUGUACUUGUUAGGUUCCAAUUUAUAAUUUAUUUAACUUUAUCGACACCAACUUUAUCGGCUCGUCUUAUUCAAAAAAAAUAUAAUUAUUGUGGUAUUGUUUAGCACAUAAUAUACUUUAAUUAUGGUUUUGGAUUUUCAAAAUUUCAAAAAAAAAAUGACUAAGAUGAGUCAGUCAAAAUUAGUGUCAAAAAGUCAAAUGAAUUAUAAAUUAGAAUGGAGGAAGUAAUUUUUUAAACUAGUUUCCAUACAUCCAUGCAUGUCAACCCUAUCAAUCGUUGAAAGCUGACCUCUCUUCUUUCUUGGGCAGCUGGGAUGGUGAUUGAUCCUCCGAAUGCUCCUCCGGGCCUCCAAUUACAUCCCGACAUCAGGAGCCUAAAAAUGGCCAAAUGCGCCACUAUAAAGAGGGGAACCUCGUUGCACCGAAGAAAUCACCGUACCAUUAUGGCUAGUUCGUGGAUGGCGGCGCCACGACCUCUCCUAUUGCCGCUGCUGGUCGCCAUGCUAGCGGUGGUCGCCGAUGUCGCCAACGCCGGCCACGCCAAGCCCCUGACGCCUGGCGGGCGCGUGGUACACGACAACCACGGCAAGUUCACGGCCGGGCCGUGGAAACCUGCCCACGCGACCUUCUACGGCGGGCGGGACGGGUCCGGCACCACGGCGGGCGCGUGCGGGUACAAGGACACGCGCGAGCAGGGGUACGGCGUGCAGACGGUGGCUGUGAGCACGGUGUUGUUUGGCGAUGGCGCGGCCUGCGGCGGGUGCUACGAGGUGCGGUGCGUGGACAGCCCCAGCGGGUGCAAGCCCGACGUGGCGGCGCUGGUGGUGACGGCGACCGACCUGUGCCCGCCCAAGGACAAGUGGUGCAAGCCGCCGCAGGAGCACUUCGACCUCAGCAUGCCCGCGUUCCUCCAGAUCGCGCAGGAGAAGGCCGGCAUCGUGCCCAUCUCCUAUCGCAGGGUGGCGUGCGCGAAGCAGGGCGGCAUCCGGUACACCAUCACCGGGAACAAGUACUUCAACAUGGUGACGAUCACCAACGUGGGCGGCGCCGGCGACAUCGCGGCGGUGUCGGUGAAGGGGAGCAAGCGCGUCAAGUGGACGGAGAUGAAGCGCAACUGGGGGCAAGUGUGGCAGACCGGGGAGGACCUCACCUGCGAGUCGCUGACGUUCCGGGUGAUGACUAGCGACCACCGCAAGGCCACCUCAUGGCACGUUCUCCCCGCUGACUGGAAGUUCGGCGUCACGUACCAGGCGUCCAAGAACUUCUAAGUAGCCACUUUCCCUCCUCUUCUUCAACCUGCAUGCCCGCAAGCAGCCAUGCAGAUUAUAACAUGCAUCAUGCAUGCAUAUUCAUUCUUUCGCUCAUGCACUCCGAUACGGUGCCAGAGUUAAAAAAUGUAAAUCAAUAUGCAAAUUCAAAUUACAUCUUAACCAGUUGUGAUCAAUCUUUAUAAAUUCGUAAUAAAUUCAUCUUAGCUUAGAAAAAUAUGAAAC
RNAcentral lists this long non-coding RNA (229067 nucleotides) under Zea mays. RNAcentral's name for it is "long non-coding RNA (ZMAY_LNC005315)". The record is from RNAcentral. Lineage: Eukaryota; Viridiplantae; Streptophyta; Magnoliopsida; Poales; Poaceae.